GCUUCUAUCCCUCUUCAAACCCAAAAAUCCAGAAACCCCAACACCUUCCUCGUGUUGAUCUCAAUCUGAAAAACCCAAAUCCCGUCAAAAACGGACCUCUUAUUUUCCCAUAUAUCCCGGAAUCCCAAGAAUACGGUGAAACCUAACCCUAACCUCUUCUUGUCACAACUGGACGACGCAGAUCCAAGGGCGUGGGAUACCCAUCAUCAUCGGCUUCUUUACAUGUGCUUCAGUGGCACUGCACUUUCCAAGCUCCUUCCUUUCCAUCUCCCCUCGUCCUCUCUCUCUCUCUCUCUCUGAAUUGUGAUGGAGCAGCAGCACCGCCAGCAUUCUCAGUUUAAACCUUCUCGUCGAAGGACAACUGACUCUGCCUUUUUUGUUUUUUAUUUUUCUUUGCCCGUCCACAGGUAUGCUUUUGUUGCCUUUUGUCUUUUACCAUAGUAUCAAACAUGUCCAAAUCUGGGGUUCCCGUUUGGAUUUCUAGUUUUCUUCAAUUCUUCAACCUAUUUGUGCUGUUUUCUUUUAGGGUUUUUUUAUUUUUAUUUUUUUAUUUUAUGAAUUUAUGUUUUUUUUGGUAUGUGUAUUUUUCUUCCAUUGCUGUGGAAAUCACAAUAUUGAGUUGCAGAAUUAGGGUUUUGGUAUUAGGAUUUGGAUGUCAAAAUCACGAGAUUUUGGUGUUUGAUUAGGGUUAGGGUUUUUUUGUGUUCAUGCCUAUUUUAGCACUUGUAUACGUAUGUUUAGAGAAUGUUGUUUAUUUAUGUAUUUUUCUGUACAUUUUUGUUAAGAAAUUCUUCUUUAUAUUGCGAUUCCUAUCGAAAUUUAAGGAAAAUAAAUUUUCAAUUUUACAGUUUUCAUGCAUAAAUACUUGAAUUUGGUCACAUGGAGAUUGAGAAGGUAAAUAUGUAGUAUUUACAUUGAUGAAUCACAUGGAGAUUGUUUGAUUUUUACUUCUGUUUGUCUAAAUAGUUUAAGAAGACAUUUCCUUUUCAUAGCUUCUUCUUAUAUAAGCCCUUUGCUCAGCAUGAUCAGAAUUUAGCCUCUCUUUAUAUAGAUGUUGCCCUUAAAAUAUAUAUGUGCACUGCCACUAUAACCGUCGUGGUUUGGAUUGAUUCAGGAUUUGUUUUCUUCUUUCAGGGACUUGCCUAACCACAGAGGACUGCCUCUUGAAUAAAAAUAGGAACCCACAUUUGACUAAGGAGCAAAUAGAGGCUGAGCUUAAGUCCUAUCUUGGAGUCAAGAAAGUUAUUUGGUUGCCUCGCUGAUUAUUUGGUAAAUAUUUCUCCUUUGAUUGUUAAUUUCUGCGUUAGGUUUAGAACUAGUUGUAAUGAAGCACCCCACCCUAAAUAGGUCAUUCUUUUUUCUUAUAUGAAGGUCUACAUGACCCUUGUAUUUUGCUGGUAUGUUCAUGUUGAUUCGGACAAGACCACAGUCAUAGACCUUUGUUUGUCUUCCAUUUUUUAAAUAUAUUAUUAGCUUUCCGCCAAAUUGGUCUCAUGAACUCUAAUGAUAGAAAUGGAACUCUCCAUUUGAAGCUCUGAAUUCAUCUUACAAUUAUAGCUGGUUUUCUCAGUGCUUUGCAAUUAAUACCUUUUGCUAAUCUUUGUUCAACUUCUAGCAAGUAAAAUCCAAAAUUCGGUAGGGCAGUGAAGAAUUGACCACGCAAAAUUGUUUCAUUUCCUGAAAUGUAAUUAAAGUUCCAUAAUUUAACUAGUUUUUUACCUUUCAUAUUGAUCCUUUUUCUUUUCUUCUUUGUUUGGUUUUGAUUUCCUUCAUUAUGGAUCUUGUACUGCUGAAAUGGUAUUCUUCUGGGGCCACACACAUAUCAUUCAUGAGCAAUGCUUUUUUUGCUCAUAUUCUUUGAGCUUAUCACUUUUACCACUGUUCGUAAUUGGACAUCUGGUAGCCUUGCUGUAUGUGAGGCUGACCCAUAAUAACCAAACAAAACUGGUGGGCAUACAUUAUUUUUGCAUUUCAAAAUUGUAAAGAGUCAAGCUCUAGAACUAUUCAUUUUUGCCACAUUUUGGUUCUAUACAACUGCCUUCAUGGGCUUUGGUUCGGAAUGACAUUAUGGGAAGCAUCUGUAGUUUUAGACUAAAAUGGUUGGGAUAGAACCAGUAAUCACAAAGGGAUGAUUUAUCAUUAGCCAUUACUAUAAUUUUAGCCAAAAUGCUGUGAUUAGGACAUCAUCCUGCUAUAAUAUGUGUACCUGCUCGUCCAGCUAUAUAAAUUUUCUUGGUAACUUUAAAUUUUCUUAUUUUUUAGCUUUCUUUUAUGGGAUAUUAUUACGAAAAUUGUAAUGAGCAAAUGAUAACCCAAUAAUUCAUUACUUUCUAGUGGACCUUCUGUAAUUGAAUUCUAUGACUACUGGUGGCCUAUCAUCUACUACUCAAACAUAGUACUUACUAAGAUACCAUUGCUUGAAAAACUUCACAUUCAUAUUUUCUAGAAAAUCAUUUCCUGUUUUUGAGGAUAAUGGAUCUUCGAAGCUGGUAUGGAGGAUUUAAUGGCAUUGGUCUGAAAAAAUUGUUCUCAUUAAGGGUUUUGUUUGGAUUUUAGAACCAAUACAGCUGGUGGGCACACCGUGAGGGAUUUAUAUGCUGGUGUAGUUAGCUUACAGGUAACACCAUGACCAAGAGGAAUUUUGUUUGAAAAUAUUGACAAGAGAAGCUGGCUUUUUGAGUCACAGAUGCUUCAAAUAUGAGAAAUGCAAAAAAAAAAAAAAAUUUCACUUGGUUUAUGGCAUUUUUCUAGUCUUAUUUGCAGAAAGUCAUCUUCUCUUUAAUAUUUUUUGUAAUCUUAGUCUUUGGGAUUUUUCUAAUUUUGAUGUUAUAAUCACCCAGAGGAGCACGUAAGUGAAGAAAUUUUUUUAAAUCGUCCUACUGCUGGCACACUCUUCAUGGAGGGACAGAUGCAAGCAAGGGAUCAAGAUAACAGUGGGGAAAUGCAUGACUUCAAUUUAACUACUAUAUUGACUGCUAUGAACCGCUUCUCUGAUGCCAAUAAGCUUGGAGAGGGAGGUUCUGGGCCUGUUUACAAGGUCAAGAAAGAACUUAAUUUCCUUAGAGAAAAAGGGUUCUAAGAGAUGCUACACGAUAUAUGCACAUUAAACUCUGUGAAUCUUACUUUCAUGACAUACAACAAUGCUUGGCCACUACUUGUUUGAUUGAGUUUGAAAUGCCUUCAGGUUAAGCUGCAUAAUGGGAAGAGAUAGCGGUUAAAAGGCUUUCGAGGAAAUCAGGGCAAGGUCUUGAAGGGUUCAAGAAUGAAGUUAUGUUAAUUGUUAAACUUCAACACAAGAAUCUUGUGAGGCUGCUGGGUUGCUGCAUAGGGAGAGAGGAAAAGCUCCUUGUCUAUGAGUACAUGGCCAACACUAGUCUUGAUGCCUUUCUAUUUGGUUUGCUCUCUCUUUCUCUUCUUCUCUCUCUCUCUCUCUCCCACACACAUGUAGCGUCAUCUUCUUAAUACUUUGCUCUUCCAGUAUCAUGAAAAACCUUCUCAAGAAUGGUCUAAACCUCAAAAUUAUUAUGAGAUUUUCCCCUGAAUUUUUUUUUCUUAUGUUCUUACAAAAAGCAGGCAACUAGACUGGGCCAAGCUUGCUGCCAUUGUUGGGGGAAUAACAAGAGAGAUUCUGUAUCUGCAUGACGACUCUCGGCUCAAAAUCAUCCAUAGGGAUUUGAAAGCAAGCAACAUUUUGUUGGAUGAAGAGAUGAACCCAAGGAUCUGAGACUUUGGAACUGCUAGGAUUUUUGGUAGUAAUCAGCUUGAUGCUAACACAAACAAAGUUGGUGGUACAUUGUAAGUCAUCUCCUUCUCUUGCCAUGCUUUGUUUAACUGUUAAGCCCAAAAGAAAAAAGGAAAAACUGCACAUACAUAUUCUGUUUCUAUUAAAAAAAUAUUCCUUAUCAUCUAACUUGUCUAGCAUGAGACGCGCGCAAUCUUAAGUCCAAGAAAGUACUACUAUUCCUAUCAAUCAAACAUCUCUUUCUACUAGUUUUAUGUGAAAAUAGUCAUUUUAUAGAAAAAUAUAUAUAUAAAGUUUAGUCCCUUUGUAAAACUUAUGGUCAAACUAGUCUCUUUAUUACCAAGUCAUGUCAUAAUUUUUUUUCUUUUCAAAAUUUAAGUUAAAAUCUCAAUUGUUAACCAACGUUUCAUUAUUUAAUUGAAACUACAAUUAACAAUUGAGAUUUUAUUUUUGAACUAAAACCUUAAUUACUAAUUGAACUUCAUUAAUUUUUUUAAUUAAAAAAAUAUUAAAUUAUGUUGGAAUUAAAAAUAUAUAAUUUAAUAAUAAUAAAUUUAUAUAUUUAAAUUUAAUGAUCUAAUAUUAUUUUAAUAAAGAUAAAUUGAUAAAUAUAAUAAUAAAUGAAUAUUUUAUUUAUUAAUAAAUUAAUAAUCUUAAAAUAAUAAAAUUAUAUGAUACAUAUAUAAGAUAUAAAAUUAUAUAAUUUAUUAAUUUAAGAUAUUUAUUUUAUUUUAUUUUUAAGAUAUAAAAGUAUAUCACAUGUAAUACUUGCCACUAUUAGAAAGGGGUUUUUGGUUUUUUUUUUUUUUCAUUAUCUAAAUGUUUAGUAGAUAUUUUUUUGUAACUUUGAUGAAACUAUUGAAAAUGAUAUUUUAUAAUAGACUUUUUCUAAGUAAUUUCAUUAACUAAUUUCAAAAUGUAUCUUCAAGGCAUAUAUGUUAUGUGUACAAAUAAUAGUAUUUUUUUUUACGUAAAAUUAUAAACAUAUGUUUUAAAAUAAUAAAAAAAUCUAUAUAUGAAAACUUAAGAAUAUACUAUUAUUUAAAUAAAGAUAAAUUUUUUAAAAUACAAAUAAAUUAAUAUCUUAAAAAUAUAAUAAAUUAAAUAACUUAAAUUAAUAAAUUAUAUAAUUUUAUAUCUUAUUUAUAUAUCAUAUAAUUUUAUUAUUUUAAGAUUAUUAAUUUAAAAUAAAUAAAAUAUUUAUUUAUUAUUAUAUUUAUCAAUUUAUCUUUAUUGAAAUAAUAUUAGAUCUUUAAGUUUAAACAUAUAAAUUUUUUUAUUGUUAAAUUAUACAGUUUUAAUUUCAACAAUAACUUGUAAUUUAAUAUAUUUAUUAAAAUGUCACGGUGUAGACCCCAAAAUUUGUUACAAUUUUAUCUUUACAUUAAUUUUGAGUCCAGUUUUGAAUUCCAAUUACAUAUAUUUUUUGGCCCACUCACUAUUUCAUAGUUUUUAUUAUUUUGUAUAUCAUUUUAUUUUAUUUUAUUAUUAAUACUUUUAUUUUAUUAUUAUUAUUAUUAUUAUUUAUUUUUUUCUUUCUUUUCUCUCUCCUCUCUCCUCUCUCCUUCUUACUCCCCAACCACCCCACCCUCUUCUGCUCUCUCUUCCCAUUCUUCCCACACGAUCCCCCCCGAACAGACUGGUUUUUUUUUUCUUUUCUUCCUCCAUUCCUCUUCUUCCCACAACCAACCCCCAUUUUUUUCUUCCCUUUCUCCAUUUUUUUUUUCAGUUUUUCUCAUCUUGUUUUCUCAAGAGAGCCGACCCCCAUUUUUAUUUUAUUUUUUAUUUUUUCCUUUUUCUUCUUCCCCCAAAAGCACCCAACAGCCUGCUCCCCCAUUCCUCUUCCAUUUUUAUUUUUUAUUUUAUUAUUUUUAUUUCAGUUUAUUUUAUUUUAUUUUAUUUGUGAUUCCUAAAAAAAAUCAUCCACUACUGUCGGCAAGAUCGUCGGCCAGCAACCCCUUUCCCAUCUCAUCCGUUCCCGUUAUUAUUAUUAUUAUUAUUAUUAUUAUUAUUAUUAUUGUUAUUAUUGUUAUUUUAAUUUAUUUUAGUAGUAAUUGUUGUUUAUGAAAUUUGGAUUGUUGAAUUAAUAUGAAAUUUGGGGUUAAUUUGUUAUUGAUAGAUUAAUACAUAAUUUGAUUUAAUUUAUUGUUAGUGAAUUAAUUUGAAAUUUGCUAAUUUGGGUUUGUGGGCAUAUUAUAUUGGGUGAUUAAUUUGAGGAUAUUUAGAUUAUAUCAAUUGCAUAUUGUUUAUUUGGACUUGGGUCUAUUGUUAAAUUGUUAUUUGUUUGGGCUUAUUGAAUUGAGCUUGAAAUAUUGUUUCUUUUGACCAUGUGUUUUUUUUUUAUGUGAUCUUGUUAAUUGAUGUGAAUUUUGGGGCACAUAAUGUGGGUGGGAUUUGUUGGAUUAUUUGAAUAUUUGAUAUGGGUUUGACCAAUUUAAAUUGUUUAAUUUGGACAUAGGACAAUUGUGGUGUAUAUUAAACUAGACUUAGAUUAUAAAAUAUUAAGUUUAGGUCUAGUAGAAUUUAUUUUAAUUUAUCCAAUUUUAGGUUUGGUUGAUUGUGUUUGUAUUUUUUGUUAUUAAUUUGGAUGUUCUAGGUUAAGACCUAUAGUAAUUUGGGUUCAUUUUAAAUUGAUAAAAUUUAUAGGACUAAUUUGAAAUUGGGAUUUGGGUUUAAAUAUUUGUUUAGGAUUUUAUACAUCUCUGAAUAUUUACAUUUACGUUGUUUUUGUUUUUGCAUGGACCCAUUCUGCAAUCUUGUUGGCUGAGUACGAAUUGAUAACAUGUGGAGCUUGUUGUAAGUUUAUUUGGGUACAUAUUUUAUUUACCACUUUUAUUUGGUUUUAUUUUAAUUAACUCUUGUAAAUAUUUGUUCGUUUAUAUUUAUUGAGUGUACAGAAUUGAACAUCGAACAAAUUAGAAAUUUUGUUUAAAUGAGAGGAAGAAUUUAGUAAAUAUUCUAAUAAAAUACUAAUUUCAAAAUAUCUUUUUUAAUAAAAGAAAGUUUUUUUAUUUUUAUUUUAUUAUUAUUUUUAUUUAUUAUUAUUAUUAUUUUUUAUCUAUUUAUGAAAAUUCAAAAAAAUGCAUUUAGAAAAAUAAUAAAAAAAUUGUUUUUAAUAGAAUUCGAAAAAUUGUUUUUAAUGACAUUGUUAAAAAAUUUCUUUGUUUAAUAAAAAUUGUCCAAAACUUGUUUUGUAAUUAAAGUUGUCCCAAAAAUUAAUUUUUAGUAAAAUUAUCUAAAAAUAUUUUUUUAAACGAAUUCUUUUUCUUCCUUAAUUAAAACAAAAUUAAAAGUGUUUUUCAGAAAUAGAGAAUUUAAAUCUUUGUUUUUCCUUUUAAUUAAAAUUUCUCUUGCAAAUAAAGUUGUGUCAUUUUAAAUAAUUUAUAAAAAUCACUCUUUUAAAUGAAAAUGAAUCUAAAUACUUUUGUAAAUAAAAUUGUAAAAAUUCAUUAUUUUCUAGUAAAAGUAAGUAAAAAUAAUUUUUGUACCCAAAUUGAAAUUUUGUAAUAAAUUCUUUUGAUACAAUAAGUGUAAAUAGCUUUUUUGAAAAUUGAAUACAAUUGAAAUUGAGAAAAUAAAUUGAUUCUUUUUUAUAAGUAAAUAAAUGGAAAUCACUAAUUCAAGAUCAUUUUUAAUAGAAUCCUUUGAAAUUUCUUUAAAACUUUUUUUAAAUAUCUUUUAUUUAUUUAAUUCAAUAAAUCAUUUUGCAUAAUCCUCUUAUUAUUUAUUUUGUGUAUUUUUGUAAUUAGAUUUCAUCAUCGUUUUUGUGCAUAUUAAUUUUCACCAUGACUUGUAUAUUGAUUAUUUUUCUUGAUAUCCAUAAUUAAUUAAAUAAUUAUCAUAAUUUCCUUAAUUCGUUUAGUAGAGGUCGUACGUAUACGGGCUUAGAGGGGUGCUACGGCUCACCAUCGUACCUUCUCAAUGAGUAACCUGACCCCCGGACCCAGACUCGGUUUUUCACAAACCCGUUUUUUCCUUCAAGAGUCACACUUAGGGUUUUUCUUUCUUAUUUUGUUUUUCCUUUUAAAAAUAAAACAAAAAUAAGUGGCGACUCCAAGUCUUUUUUUAAAAAUCGAAUUUUCACCAAACAAAAUAAAAAGCGAGUUUCACCAUCGAGUGGGAACGCAUCGAGAAAAUACAGGGUCCAUAAAAUGGCGACUCCACUAGGGAUUUUUAGAGGGUCAAACUUGAACUCAAGUUGAAGGGAAUGUGACGUUUGAUUGGUUGAUUAAUGGAUACCCCUCUCUAUGUGUCUUGGUAUGAUUGGUUGUUGAUUACACAUUGAGAGCUUUGAUAUGUUUGUCUGUAAUAUAUGUUUGGUUGUUAUGUUCAUUUGUGAUGUUGAUAUGUUGAUUACAUCGAUUGAUUCUCUUACCUACUUUAGAAUAGUGACUCUUCUUGUUGUAUGUUUAUCUUGCUUUCCUAGACAUGUAUAUUAUCAUUUUUGUAUCUUAUUCAUCUUGGCAUGAUUGAUUCAAUUUGUUAUGUAUUAUCUUGUUUAUCUCGACAUAUUGUCUAUUCUUGUUAUAUUUCUAUCUUGCUUAUCAUAUUCUUGCUUAGCUUGUGUGUAGAUAUGAGUUAUAUACCUGUUAUUUGCAUGACUGCUUUGGUGCAUGACUGCUAUUCUUUUAUGUGAUGCAUGUAUUGCUUGUUUGUGUGGGACACACAUCUAUCCCCUUACCUUCAACUCCCUAGACUCGGUCAACCUUGUUUCACUUGAUAUCGUAUUCGAUAUGAGACUUGUUACUUUGUUUGCUCUUUGACCGAGUUAGGGGUUAGGAGUAGGGUCUAGCGACGGGCUAUACCGAUGUUUGGGAGCAUUGUGGAGGAAAGCGACACUUUGAUGUCGAUUGUAGUCCGAUCAUUGAAGACCUGUAUAGCCCGAAGCUAGGUUUCAUGGAUAUUUGUGUAGUCAGUGUGUUUCUUUUUCUAUUUUAGCUUCGUAAGGUUUUUCGGAUGCACCCACACCAUCACUGUGCACUCUAGCUGACCAUUGAGAGUUGAGAGUUUUAAGAGGUUUCACUAUAGGAAACCCCCUAGGAUGUCGAGGUAGUGUAUGUGUGGAGGUGAUGACCACCUUGCAUGGAAGCACCCCGCCUCUUCGGAGGCGUGCAGAGGGUUGCGUACCGUCAGAGGGUAUGAUCGCUUCUGCUAAAGGAUCUUUUAAAGUCCACCCUUAUCCUUUUAGAGUCACUUUGACCUUGUAGGUUGAGCCGUAGAUUCUUCAAUUAGGACUCCCUCCCUACACCUGGGUGCAUCUGAGGGCCUUCAGAGCCUUUUUGAUCAUAGUUGGGAUUCAAUAUUCCCUCUUUUAGUCUCUAGUGAGAGUGCACCGAGAUCAGUACGAGUUUGGGUAUGGUCAGACGGUCCGUCUUCGUUUUUGAUGCCCUGCUCAUUCCAAUUCAGACUAGCAUUUCUUCCAUGUUUUCCCUAUGCCUACCAUAUCUCAUGCUUCAUGCUUUUCAGGAUUAGUUCUUCAUUCUCAGUGUGGAUUUACCAUCUUGGGUUAAAGUACAGGGGAGCUUAGUUUGGUUUUCCGAGAGGUCAAGCAUAGAUCAGUAGACUGUCACAGUUGGCUAGUUCACAGACGCCAUGGAUUCUAUUAAGGUAUCUUGUGAUUCAUGCUCUUCAGGAUUGGUUUUUCAUUCUCAGUGUGGAUUUGCCAUCUUGGGUCAGAGUAGAGGGGAUAUUAGUUCGCUUUUCCGAGAGAUCAGACAUGGAUCAGCGGGUUGUCACAGUUGGCUAGUUCACAGAUGCCAUGGAUUCUAUUCAGGUAUCUUGUGCUUCAUGCUCUUCAGGAUUGGUUUUUCAUUCUCUAUGUGGAUUUGUCAUCUUGGGUCAGAGUAGAGGGGAUAUUAGUUCGCUUGUCCGAGAGAUCAGACAUGGAUCAGCGGGUUGUCACAUUGAUUAGUUCACGGCCGCCAUGGCUUCUAUUUAGGAGGCCUUGGCCAGUCUCAGGCAGGAGAUAAACAAUCAGCAGAGUAGACAGUCCUUGAGGAUACUCAUUCAUGUAUGGAUCGUAUUGAGUAGCGUAUCAGGCAGUUGAGAGUAUCUGAUAGUUCAUCGACUUGGGAUGAUCUUGAUAGUAUACCAGUAGCCAGUCUACCAGCCAAGUUCAGGAUGCCUGACAUUGAGAGGUACACGAGCGUUGGUUGUCCAUGUAUUCAUCUUCGACUCUACAGUACUGUGAUGAAGGUCCAUGGGUUAGACGAGUCACAGAUGAUCACCAUGUUUCUUUUAUCUCUGAGUGGCGUAGCCCAGCAUUAGUUCGCAUCUUUGGAGUCCUCGCGACACAGGACAUAGGAUGACCUAGCUUAGGAGUUUUUGUGACAGUUUUCAUUUAGUACUGUCGUAGAUGUGUCGAGGAGAGAGCUUGAGGGUUUCAGACAGAGAUCAGAUGAAUCCAUUUCUUCCUUCAUCUCCCGCUGGUGGGGGAAGAUAGCAGAGAUUAUUGAUUGACCAUUAUAGAGAGGUGACUUAGUCUUGAGGUUCAUCAGAGGAUUGAUUAGAGAUCCUAGAGGGAAGUUCGGACCCAACUGGAGCAGACUUUAUUUCAUCAGGGAGUUGACCCCAGAGGGCGUUGCAUGGUUGAUGGAUCUAGAUGGAAACCGAUUCUCAGAGUUGACCAAUGUGGAUCAGCUAAAGAGGAAUUAUGUUUGAGACCAUGGUUGCAGGAUGGGUGGCCAUCAUUUCGGUUAGCCAUAUACCCUUUCACUUUUUUGAUACAUAGACCGUUGCUAGCCCAUUGAGCCUCACAUGUGCAUUAUAACCUUUCUUUCUUAUCGCCUUGCACACAUUUCUACACCGGGAUAGGGACCCUUUAGUGUAUGCAUGCAUUGUUUGGGAGUCUCAUGAGUCUUGGACCUACAGGUGCAUCUUUCUCUCAUCAUUUUUUCCUACCAUCACAUUACUGCAUUCCAUCGUAUCUUAGUGGUUGUCCUUCAUCUUUUCUUCUUUGUUCUAUCUAUUGCUUGUUUUGUUUCAUAUGCUCUCCACCUUGAGUGGUGAUCCUCCUCAGUUCAUUACAUGAAGGAUAAUCACAUCAUUUCCACUAUUUAUUCUAUGAACACUGGUUCAGAGAUUCUUAGUUUGAGAAGGUCAUCUUGUCAGAGAAAGUUUUUGUUACCUUAGUUUUGAGAGUGUGUCUAUUCAUCGUUGAUAUCAUCUUUGGGGCCUAUUUUGUUCAUGUUCAGGGUGUGUACAUUUGUAUAUAUGUAAAAAAAAAAAAAAAAAAAAAUGAAUGAAAAAAAAUUGAAAAGAAAAAAAAGAAAAAGAAGGAAAAAAAAAUUGAAAAAAAAAAAAGCGCAGGUGUGUAUUAUUUUUUAUCAUUGAGUGUGUAUAUUGAUAUUCGAGGGUCACUUGAUUGAGUAUGUUUGUUGAUGGGAGUUCGUAUGUGAGCUUUCCGAGGCCCUUCAUGCUUUGUAUUCAUUUUUAUUGUAUAUUUCGAGAGUGAGAUGAGUGACCUUCUCCUAGGAGCUCUGGGUCAUUGUCUCUUCCAUCAUUACGUUCAUUAUUGAUGUGACUUCACUUUAUGUCUGAUUUGAGUUGAUCACUACUCCUAUUUGUGUUAUUUGUUCCAUCAUCAUCCUCGUUUUUGCUUCUGAUUCAUCAUUUUCACUUCACAUCUUAUUCUUUUCUUACAGCAACCCAUCUCGGGUUUGAUACUCUCUUCGCAUCAUCAUUACACAUAUCACUAUCAGUUCAUUUGCUUCAUUUGUCUCCUUAUCGACAUCAUAUUCACAUUAGGCAUCCUUAGGUCUAUGGCUCACGAGAUUCACUAUACAUGUUGCAUUUCAUAUACGAGGGUAUGAGUUUUUUAUCAUUGGGUAUUUGAGCCUAGUUUUCCUUUAUUUCUAUCACCCUAUCACCUUGGCCUACGUUACGUCCUGUGUCUUAAGACCACCCUGAGGCCAUGGGAUCAGAUGUCGUCUUCGACAGCCUCUACUUGGACAGGUGUUUGAGAUCUGGUUGAUAUUUGAAUAUCGUCAUGCUUCUUCUUCUGGGAGUCGUCUCUUUGAUGUUUAGAUCUAAUUCAGCUGUGUUUGGAUUACCUGGAUCAUGCACUUGACGAUGGAUGAUUUGAUGUCACCUGAUUUUUCAGAUUUAUCACAUAUUCGAUGUCAUACUGGGGCAUAUUCCGUUUCGGGCGAGAUCUAUAGGUCUUCAGGGAGUUGCAUGAUUAUCCCCACUUGUGAGAUGUACGUUGAGAUGAUUGAUUGGUUCAUUAUUUUAUGAUGAUCCCUUAGUGGAGCCUCUGUGGAGCCAUUCAGUCAAGCCCACAUUUCUCGGCAUUUGGUUGCCGCCAUGCUUCUUAUCCAAGGAGAUGUUCCCUAGUUGUUUGGCAUGUUCGAUGAUAGAUGAUUCCAUGUCACCUGGUUUCUGACUUACCGUACAUUCGACGACAUACUAGGGCAUAUUUUCGACUAGACGAGAUUUAUAGAUCUUCACGGAGUUACAUGAUCACUCCCACUUGCGGGAUGCACACCGAGACGAGGACGUGUUCGUUAUCUUAUCAUGAUCUCCCAGGAGAGCCUCUCUUGAGUGAUUCAGUCAGGCACACACUUUUGACAUUUAGAUGUCCUUAUGCUUCUUCUUUUGAGAUACGCCUUUUGAUAUGUGGGUUGGAUUCAACUAUGGAUUUAGAUGAUUGGGAUCACACAUUUGAUGAUAGAUUAUUUGAUGUUGUCCGAUUUUUGGCUUAUUCCACAUCUGAUUCUAUACUGGGGUAUAUUUUCAUUUUGAUUGAGAUUUAUAGAUCUUCAUGGAGCUACAUGAUCACUCCCACUUGCGGGAUGCACACUGAGACGAGGACAUGUUCGUUGUUUUAUCAUGGUCCCUCGGUGGAGCCUCUCUUGAGCCAUCUAGUCAGACCCGUAUUUUUUGGCAUUUGUAUGUCAUCAUGCUCCUUAUUUCGAGAGACAUUUCCUUGAUGUUUGGGUUCGAUUUGGAUUACGGAGAUCACACAUUUGACAAUUGAUGGUUCAUGUCACUCAAUUUUCGACUUACCAUACAUAUAUACAAAUGUACACACCCUAAACAUGAAGAAAAUAGGCCCCAAAGAUGAUAUCAACAAUGAUAAGAUUUUCCCCCCAUUUUUUUUUCCUAUUCUCUUCUCUCUACUUUUUCCUCUUUUUCCCUCAUCGAAACACGCCGGACCCCUCGACUUUGAUUUUUUUUAUUAUUUUUUUUCCUUUUUUGGCUGCAGUCGGCCAUUGAAGAGGUUUUUUUUUUUUUUUUGGGGGGGGGGGGGGGGGGGGGGGAGGGGGGGUUUUUUUUUUUUUUUUUUCCCUUUUUUUUUUUUUGGCCCCCCCCCCGGAAAAGGGGGAGGGGGCAUUUUUUUUUUUUUUUUUUUUUUUUNNNNNNNNNNNNNNNNNNNNNNNNNNNNNNNNNNNNNNNNNNNNNNNNNNNNNNNNNNNNNNNNNNNNNNNNNNNNNNNNNNNNNNNNNNNNNNNNNNNNUCGGUGGAGCCUUUCCUGAACCAUUUAGUCAAGACCCGAUAUUUUUGGCAUUUGAUUGUCAUCAAGCUCCUUAUUUUCGAGAGACAUUUCCUUGAUGUUGGGUUUGAUUUGGAUUACGGAGAACACACAUUUGACAAAGGAUGGUUCAACUCACUCAAUUUUCGAAUUACCCUACAUAUAUACAAAUGUACACACCCUAAACAAGAAGAAAAUAGGCCCCAAAGAUGAUAUCAACAAUGAUAAGAUUUUCCCCCCCUUUUUUUUUCCUAUUUUUUUCUUUUUACUUUUUCCUUUUUUUCCCUCAUCGAAACACGCCGGACCCCUUGAAUUUGAUUUUUUUUUUUAUUUUUUUUCCUUUUUUGGGUGCAGUUGGCCAAUGAAGAGGUUUUUUUUUUUUUUUUGGGGGGGGGGGGGGGGGGUGGGAAGGGGGUUUUUUUUUUUUUUUUUUUCCCUUUUUUUUUUUUUGCUACUCCCUCUAGAGACGGGGAACGGACCAGUUUUUUUUUUUUUUUUUUCUUUUCUUCCUCCAUUCCUCUUCUUCUUCCCAUAGCCAACCCCUAUUUUUUUCUUCCCUUUCUCCAUUUUUUUUUCCUUUUUUAGUUUUUCUCCUCCUGUUUUCCCAAGAGAGCCGACCCCCAUUUUUAUUUAUUUUUUAUUUUUUCCUUUUUCUUCUUCCCCCAAAAGCACCCAACAACCAACUCCCCCAUUCCUAUUCCAUUUUCAUUUUUUAUUUUAUUAUUUUUAUUUCAGUGUAUUUUAUUUUAUUUUAUUUGUGAUUCCUAAAAAAAAUCAUCCACUACUGCCGGCAAGAUCACCGGCGAGCCACCGUCGGCCGGCGACCCCUUUCCCAUCUCAUCCGUUUCCGUUAUUAUUAUUAUUAUUAUUGUUAUUGUUAUUAUUAUUAUUGUUAUUGUUAUUGUUGUUAUUUUAAUUUAUUUUAGUAGUAAUUGUUGUUUAUGAAAUUUGGAUUGUUGAAUUAAUAUGAAAUUUGAGGUUAAUUUGUUGUUGGUAGAUUAAUACAUAAUUUGAUUUAAUUUAUUGUUAGUGAAUUAAUUUGAAAUUUGUUAAUUUGGGUUUGCGGGCAUAUUGUAUUGGGUGAUUAAUUUGAUGAUAUUUAGAUUAUAUCAAUUACAUAUUGUUUAUUUGGACUUGGGCCUAUUGUUAACUUGUUAUUUGUUUGGGCUUAUUGAAUUGGGCUUGAAAUAUUAUUUCUCUUGACCAUGUGGUUUUUUUUUUUUUUUUUUUUUUCCUUUUUUUUUGUUGCUACUCCCUCUAGAGACGGGGAACGGACCAGUUUUUUUUUUUCUUUCUCCAUUCCUCUUCUUCUUCCCACAGCCAACCCCUAUUUUUUUCUUCCCUUUCUCCAUUUUUUUUUUCUUUUUUUAGUUUUUCUCCUCCUGUUUUCCCAAGAGAGCCGACCCCCAUUUUUAUUUAUUUUUUAUUUUUUCCUUUUUCUUCUUCCCCCAAAAGCACCCAACAACCAACUCCCCCAUUCCUAUUCCAUUUUCAUUUUUUAUUUUAUUAUUUUUAUUUCAGUGUAUUUUAUUUUAUUUUAUUUGUGAUUCCUAAAAAAAAUCAUCCACUACUGCCGGCAAGAUCGCCGGCGAGCCACCGUCGGCCGGCGACCCCUUUCCCAUCUCAUCCGUUUCCGUUAUUAUUAUUAUUAUUAUUGUUAUUGUUAUUAUUAUUAUUGUUAUUGUUAUUGUUGUUAUUUUAAUUUAUUUUAGUAGUAAUUGUUGUUUAUGAAAUUUGGAUUGUUGAAUUAAUAUGAAAUUUGAGGUUAAUUUGUUGUUGGUAGAUUAAUACAUAAUUUGAUUUAAUUUAUUGUUAGUGAAUUAAUUUGAAAUUUGUUAAUUUGGGUUUGUGGGCAUAUUGUAUUGGGUGAUUAAUUUGAGGAUAUUUAGAUUAUAUCAAUUACAUAUUGUUUAUUUGGACUUGGGCCUAUUGUUAACUUGUUAUUUGUUUGGGCUUAUUGAAUUGGGCUUGAAAUAUUAUUUUUCUUGACUUUUUUUUUUUUUCCUUUUUUUUUGUUGCUACUCCCUCUAGAGACGGGGAACGGACCAGUUUUUUUUUUUUUUUUUCUUUUCUUCCUCCAUUCCUCUUCUUCUUCCCACAGCCAACCCCUAUUUUUUUUUCCCUUUCUCCAUUUUUUUUUUCUUUUUUUAGUUUUUCUCCUCCUGUUUUCCCAAGAGAGCCGACCCCCAUUUUUAUUUAUUUUUUAUUUUUUCCUUUUUCUUCUUCCCCCAAAAGCACCCAACAACCAACUCCCCCAUUCCUAUUCCAUUUUCAUUUUUUAUUUUAUUAUUUUUAUUUCAGUGUAUUUUAUUUUAUUUUAUUUGUGAUUCCUAAAAAAAAUCAUCCACUACUGCCGGCAAGAUCGCCGGCGAGCCACCGUCGGCCGGCGACCCCUUUCCCAUCUCAUCCGUUUCCGUUAUUAUUAUUAUUAUUAUUAUUGUUAUUGUUAUUAUUAUUAUUGUUAUUGUUAUUGUUGUUAUUUUAAUUUAUUUUAGUAGUAAUUGUUGUUUAUGAAAUUUGGAUUGUUGAAUUAAUAUGAAAUUUGAGGUUAAUUUGUUGUUGGUAGAUUAAUACAUAAUUUGAUUUAAUUUAUUGUUAGUGAAUUAAUUUGAAAUUUGUUAAUUUGGGUUUGUGGGCAUAUUGUAUUGGGUGAUUAAUUUGAGGAUAUUUAGAUUAUAUCAAUUACAUAUUGUUUAUUUGGACUUGGGCCUAUUGUUAACUUGUUAUUUGUUUGUUUUUAUGUGGGCUUGUUAAUUGAUGUGAAUUUUGGGGUCCACAAUGUGGGUGGGAUUUGUUGGAUUAUUUGAAUAUUUGAUAUGGGUUUGGCCAAUUUAAAUUGUUUAAUUUGGACAUAGGACAAUUAUGGUGUAUAUUAAAUUAGACUUAUAUUAUAAAAUAUUAAGUUUAGGUCUAGUAAAAUUUAUUUUAAUUUAUCCAACUUUAGGUUUNNNNNNNNNNNNNNNNNNNNNNNNNNNNNNNNNNNNNNNNNNNNNNNNNNNNNNNNNNNNNNNNNNNNNNNNNNNNNNNNNNNNNNNNNNNNNNNNNNNNAUUUAGGCUCAUUUUAAAUUGACAAAUUUAUGGGACUAGUUGAGANUGGGAUUUGGGUAUAUUUGUUUGUGAUUUAUACAUCUAUGGAUAUUUACAUUUGCGCUGUUUUUGUUUUUGCAUGGACUCAUUCUGCAAUCUUAUUGGCUGAGUACGAAUUGAUGACAUGUGGAAUUUGUUGUAAGUUUAUUGGGGUAUAUAUUUUAUUUACCACUUUUAUUUGGUUUUAUUUUAAUUAACUCUUGUAAAUAUUUGUUCGUUUAUAUUUAUUGAGUGUGUACAGAAUUGAACAUCGAACAAAUUAGAAAUUUUGUUUAAAUGAGAUGAUGAAUUCAGUAAAUAUGUUCUAAUAAAAUACUAAUUUCAAAAUAUCCUUUUUAAUAAAAGAAAGUUUUUUAUUUUAUUUUAUUUUUAUUAUUUAUUUAUUUAUUUUUACUAUUUUUUAUCUAUUUAUGAAAAUUCAGAAAAAUGCAAAAAAAUUGUUUUUAAUAGAAUUCGAAAAAUUGUUUUUAAUGACACUGUUCAUGUUUAAUAAAAAUUGCCCAAAAAUUGUCUUGUAAAUAAAGUUGUCCCAAAUAUUAAUUUUUAGUAAAAUUGUCUAAAAAUAUUUUUUUAAACGAAUUCUUUUUCUUCCUUAAUUAAAACGAAAUUAAAAGUGUUUUUCAGAAAUAGAGAAUUUAAAUAUUUGUUUUUCCUUUUAAUUAAAAUAAAGUUGUGUCAUAUUAAAUAAUUUAUAAAAAUCACUCUUUUAAAUGAAAAUGUAAAUACUUUUGUAAAUAAAAUUGUAAAAAUUCAUUAUUUUCUAGUAAAAGCAAGUAAAAAUAAUUUUUGUACCCAAAUUGAAAUUUUGUAAUUCUUUUGAUGCAAUAAGUGUAAAUAACUUUUUUGAAAAUUGAAUACAACUGAAAUUGAGAAAAUAAAUUGAUUUUUUUUUAUAAGUAAAUAAAUGGAAAGAUCAUUUUAUAGAAUCGUUUGAAAUUUCUUUAAAAUUUUUUUAAAUAUCUUUUAUUUAUUUAUUUGAAUAAAUUAUUUUGCACAAUCCUCUUAUUAUUUAUUUUGUGUUUCAUCAUCGUUUUUUAAUUUUCAUCAUGACUUGUAUAUUGAUUAUUUUUCUUGAUAUCCAUAAUUAAUUAAUUAAUUGCCACAAUUUCCUCUUUAGUAGAGGCCGUACGUAUACUGGCUUAGAUGGGUGCUACGGCUCACUACCGUACCUUUCCAAUGAGUAACUUGACCCUCGGACUCAGACUCGAUUUUUCACAGAUCACACUUAAGGUUUUCUUUCUUAUUUUGUUUCCUUUAAAAAUAAAAUAAAAAUAAGUGGCGAUUCCUUUCUAAAAAUCAAAUCUUCACCAAACAAAAAUUCGCAAUUGAGUGGGAAUGCACCGAGAAAAUGUGGAGUCCACACACGGUUUUGUAUUUUAAAAUUUAUACUACUUUGAUAUUAAAAAUAUGGUUUUUAAAAAUAUUUAAUAAAAUAUAUUAAUUUUUAACUAUUUUCAAAUAUAAAUUUUUUUUUUAUGAUAUUAAUAAGAAUUUUUAAUAAAUAAUUUUAAUUUAAAUAUGAAAAUUUUUUUUAACGGAAAAAAAAAAAUAUGAGUAUCUUCAACAAUUCCAUUAGGUACGGCAUUGACGUGCAGUAUAAGGCACCGUGGGAAAAAUAUCUUGUAAUAAGCGGCUAACUUCCCCAUAACUUGGAAAUCCAACCCCCAACUUGGGUGAUUAAUUUGAGGAUAUUUAGAUUAUAUCAAUUACAUAUUGUUUAUUUGGACUUGGGCCUAUUGUUAACUUGUUAUUUGUUUGGGCUUAUUGAAUUGGGCUUGAAAUAUUAUUUCUCUUGACCAUGUGAUUUUUUUUUAUGUGGGCUUGUUAAUUGGAUUAUUUGAAUAUUUGAUAUGGGUUUGGCCAAUUUAAAUUGUUUAAUUUGGACAUAGGACAAUUAUGGUGUAUAUUAAAUUAGGCUUAUAUUAUAAAAUAUUAAGUUUAGGUCUAGUAAAAUUUAUUUUAAUUUAUCCAACUUUAGGUUUGAUUGAUUGUGUUUGUAUUUUUGGUUAUUAAUUUGGAUGUUCUGGGUUAAGACCUAUAAUAAUUUAUUAAAUUGACAAAAUUUAUGGGACUAAUUUGAGAAUUGGGAUUUGGGUAUAUUUGUUUGUGAUUUUAUACAUCUAUGGAUAUUUACAUUUGCGCUGUUUUUGUUUUUGCAUGGACUCAUUCUGCAAUCUUAUUGGCUGAGUACGAAUUGAUGACAUGUGGAAUUUGUUGUAAGUUUAUUGGGGUAUAUAUUUUAUUUACCACUUUUAUUUGGUUUUAUUUUAAUUAACUCUUGUAAAUAUUUGUUCGUUUAUAUUUAUUGAGUGUGUACAGAAUUGAACAUCGAACAAAUUAGAAAUUUUGUUUAAAUGAGAUGAUGAAUUCAGUAAAUAUGUUCUAAUAAAAUACUAAUUUCAAAAUAUCCUUUUUAAUAAAAGAAAGUUUUUUAUUUUAUUUUAUUUUUAUUAUUUAUUUAUUUAUUUUUACUAUUUUUUAUCUAUUUAUGAAAAUUCAGAAAAAUGCAAAAAAAAUUGUUUUUAAUAGAUUUCGAAAAAUUGUUUUUAAUGACACUGUUCAUGUUUAAUAAAAAUUGCCCAAAAAUUGUCUUGUAAUAAAGUUGUCCCAAAUAUUAAUUUUUAGUAAANNNNNNNNNNNNNNNNNNNNNNNNNNNNNNNNNNNNNNNNNNNNNNNNNNNNNNNNNNNNNNNNNNNNNNNNNNNNNNNNNNNNNNNNNNNNNNNNNNNNGCAAGAUCGCCGGCGAGCCACCGUCGGCCGGCGACCCCUUUCCCAUCUCAUCCGUUUCCGUUAUUAUUAUUAUUAUUAUUAUUGUUAUUGUUAUUAUUAUUAUUGUUAUUGUUAUUGUUGUUAUUUUAAUUUAUUUUAGUAGUAAUUGUUGUUUAUGAAAUUUGGAUUGUUGAAUUAAUAUGAAAUUUGAGGUUAAUUUGUUGUUGGUAGAUUAAUACAUAAUUUGAUUUAAUUUAUUGUUAGUGAAUUAAUUUGAAAUUUGUUAAUUUGGGUUUGUGGGCAUAUUGUAUUGGGUGAUUAAUUUGAGGAUAUUUAGAUUAUAUCAAUUACAUAUUGUUUAUUUGGACUUGGGCCUAUUGUUAACUUGUUAUUUGUUUGUUUUUAUGUGGGCUUGUUAAUUGAUGUGAAUUUUGGGGUCCACAAUGUGGGUGGGAUUUGUUGGAUUAUUUGAAUAUUUGAUAUGGGUUUGGCCAAUUUAAAUUGUUUAAUUUGGACAUAGGACAAUUAUGGUGUAUAUUAAAUUAGACUUAUAUUAUAAAAUAUUAAGUUUAGGUCUAGUAAAAUUUAUUUUAAUUUAUCCAACUUUAGGUUUGAUUGAUUGUGUUUGUAUUUUUGGUUAUUAAUUUGGAUGUUCUGGGUUAAGACCUAUAAUAAUUUAGGCUCAUUUUAAAUUGACAAAAUUUAUGGGACUAGUUUGAGAAUUGGGAUUUGGGUAUAUUUGUUUGUGAUUUUAUACAUCUAUGGAUAUUUACAUUUGCGCUGUUUUUGUUUUUGCAUGGACUCAUUCUGCAAUCUUAUUGGCUGAGUACGAAUUGAUGACAUGUGGAAUUUGUUGUAAGUUUAUUGGGGUAUAUAUUUUAUUUACCACUUUUAUUUGGUUUUAUUUUAAUUAACUCUUGUAAAUAUUUGUUCGUUUAUAUUUAUUGAGUGUGUACAGAAUUGAACAUCGAACAAAUUAGAAAUUUUGUUUAAAUGAGAUGAUGAAUUCAGUAAAUAUGUUCUAAUAAAAUACUAAUUUCAAAAUAUCCUUUUUAAUAAAAGAAAGUUUUUUAUUUUAUUUUAUUUUUAUUAUUUAUUUAUUUAUUUUUACUAUUUUUUAUCUAUUUAUGAAAAUUCAGAAAAAUGCAAAAAAAAUUGUUUUUAAUAGAUUUCGAAAAAUUGUUUUUAAUGACACUGUUCAUGUUUAAUAAAAAUUGCCCAAAAAUUGUCUUGUAAAUAAAGUUGUCCCAAAUAUUAAUUUUUAGUAAAAUUGUCUAAAAAUAUUUUUUUAAACGAAUUCUUUUUCUUCCUUAAUUAAAACAAAAUUAAAAGUGUUUUUCAGAAAUAGAGAAUUUAAAUAUUUGUUUUUCCUUUUAAUUAAAAUAAAGUUGUGUCAUAUUAAAUAAUUUAUAAAAAUUAAAUAAAAUUGUAAAAAUUCAUUAUUUUCUAGUAAAAGCAAGUAAAAAUAAUUUUUGUACCCAAAUUGAAAUUUUGUAAUUCUUUUGAUACAAUAAGUGUAAAUAACUUUUUUGAAAAUUGAAUACAACUGAAAUUGAGAAAAUAAAUUGAUUUUUUUUAUAAGUAAAUAAAUGGAAAGAUCAUUUUGUUUUCUUUCUUAUUUUGUUUCCUUUAAAAAUAAAAUAAAAAUAAGUGGCGAUUCCAAGUUUUUUUAAAAAUCAAAUCUUCACCAAACAAAAAUUCGCAAUUGAGUGGGAAUGCACCGAGAAAAUGUGGAGUCCACACACGGUUUUGUAUUUUAAAAUUUAUACUACUUUGAUAUUAAAAAUAGUUUUUAAAAAUAUUUAAUAAAAUAUAUUAAUUUUUAACUAUUUUCAAAUAUAAUUUUUUUUUUUUUAUGAUAUUAAUAAGAAUUUUUAAUAAAUAAUUAAAAUAUGAAAAAAAAUUUUAACGGAAAAAAAAAAUAUGAGAUACUUCAACAGUUCCAUUAGGUACGGCAAAAAUAUCUAGUAAUAAGCUUGGGGGUUGGCUUUGAAUAAUUAAUUAGCCGAUCUUACAAGGUUUGUUUUCAAGUUGUCAGGAAUAGCGAAAUAGCGACUUUUGUCUUAAUUGAUAAAAAUUGAGUAUCCGGUGGGAGUCCACACACGGUUUUUGUAUAAAUUACUCACUACACCGUGGGAAAAAUCCACUAUAACUUGGGGGUUGGCUUUUGAAUUAAUUAGCCGAUCUUAACAAUUGUUUUCAAGUUGUCAGGAAUAGCGAAAUAGCGACUGCUUUGUCUUAAUUGAUAAAAAUUGAGUAUAAAUUACUCACUGCACCGUGGGAAAAAUCCACACACGGUUUUUUGUAUAAAUUACUCACUGCACCAUAUAUAUAACUUGGGGGUUGUGAAUUAAUUAGCUGAUCUUAACAAUUGUUUUCAAGUUGUCAGGAAUAGCGAAAUAGCGACUGCUUUGUCUUAAUUGAUAAAAAUUGAGUAUAAAUUACUCACUGCACCGUGGGAAAAAUCCACACACGGUUUUUUGUAUAAAUUACUCACUGCAUCAUAUCUAUAACUUGGGGGUUGUGAAUUAAUUAGCCGAUCUUAACAAUUGUUUUCAAGUUGUCAGGAAUAGCGAAAUAGCGACUGCUUUGUCUUAAUUGAUAAAAAUUGAGUGGGAAUGCACCGGAGUCCACACACGGUUUUUGUAUAAAUUUUACUGAGGACUUUCUAAAGAUUAAAAUUUGAUAUUAAAAAUAUGGUUUUUAAAAAUAUUUAAUAAAAUAUAUUAAUUUUUAACUAUUUUCAAAUAAAUUUUUUUUAUGAUAUUAAAUAAAUAAUUUUAAUUUAAAUAUGAAAAUUGUCUUUUAAGAAGAUUUAACCUUUUAACGGAACGCAUCGAGCAAAUUGACGUGCAGUAUAAGGCACCGUCUGGGAAAAUAAUACGGGUCAAAUAUCUAGGGAAGCAUCCUUAAAAUCCCCCCAACAAUCAUAAGGCUAACUUUUCACUUGUCCUUAAAAUCCCCCCAAUAUCAAUCAUAUUUUUUUCAUUGAUGAAUGUCUACAUCAUCCCCAAAACUUGGAUGGGACAUGGGCUACGUCAUCCCCAAACAGAAUAAGACUGCUUAUGGGCAAGCAAAAAGACGCCCAAGUUACCAUGCAUUCAUCCUCUAUUUGUGUCCAAGAAUUGCAUCCAUAAUCCCUUCAUUCCUAUUCUUUUUCUUCUGGGCUGAUGAAGCUGUUUGGCGUGGAGAUGAUACCGCAUGUAAAAGGCAAGACAACAAAGAAGAGGAAGUCCAUAAGGCUAUUUGGAAAGGAUUUGGUGCCUCAGAGGAGAAAGAGCAGGAUAAAGAAAACCGGAAGCUCAUCAACUGCCUCCCCUCCAGAUUCGCUGCCUUUUGCAUUACUACAGACUGCUCAAGGCAUGGGGGGGCGUGAUUUUGUUUUCCUGACAAGAAAGAUAUUAGAAAGAUCCGACGUAGAUGUGCAUCUCAACCGCCUUUUCUUACCCAAGACUCUGGUGCUGUUAGGGGUGCUGUCGCCUGAGGAGAGGAGAGAGGUGGGAGGAGGAGGGGUGAAAGAUACAGUAUGAUGUUGAAGAAGUGGCCGAGUUUGGAUCAAAUUGUCUUUAAUCGUGGGUGGAGAAAGCUCGUUGAAAACAAUGGGUUGAGGGCAGAACUCGACACUAUCGAACUAUGGACUUUUCGGGCGGAUUUGAAGCUGUGUUUUGCUUUGAAUGUCAAGAGCGAGGGAGACCACCAUUAAUCAUUGAUCAUUUUUGAAGAUGAAGCUAAUAAUGAUGUUAAGUGCAGUUGUUUUAGUUACCUUGAUAUGGAGUUUUAAUUAUUGUUUUCUGUUAUUGUCGAGUCUCCUGUAGUUUGUUUUUUGCAUCUUUGUAGCAGUUGUGUUCGUGUUUGUUUUUGAAUUAUGGUUCAAUGGAUUUCAUGUGGCAUUUGAAUUCUUGUUUUUGUUCGUCUUUUUUUGUUUUUUUUUAUUUUUUUUUUAUUUUGAUGUAGUUUGGAUGGUAUAAGAAAAAACGUCAAUAUAAACAUAUGACAACCUUAGCUUGAAUAAUCACAUGCUAAUAUCAAUUUAUUUGAUCGGGAUUUAAUAUAUGAACUAUAUAUAUAUAUAUUUUUUAUUAUUUGUCGAGGCUCUCUAAUAUAUACAAGGGAAGAGUACUUAUGCUUUGCCUAUUAAAUUCCCUAAAAAACCUGGAAAUCACACUACCCUUCAAACCCUUGUUCACUAAAAACCCAUCUUGACUUAAAUCGCCAAGUUAAACCAAUCCAACCUCAAGGUUCUUCGGUUUGUUCUUCAAUUUAUCCAAAUUUGCAGCACAAGAAAGCCAUGGAAGCAAGAUCUAAACUUGCUAGGGUUCUGCAUAGGAGCUGUUUCGAGGAUGACGAUGAUAAGCUUCAGUGGCUGAAUUGGAAUUUUUGUGGGUUAGAAGGCUUUAAUAUCAAAGUAUUGUUGUAUAAAUUUAGGGGGCCUCCAGAUUGGGAUUAGUGAAUAGUAGAACUCCUUCUUCAUCUUUUGACCAUGGAAAAUAAUCUCUCUCCCUCUCUCUUCUUCUUCUUCUUGGAAUGAACUCCUUAACUCAGAAACAAACUAACACAAUGAUCUAAUUUCUUGGGAUAUUCAAACAGCCCAAAGAUGAAUUUGUCAUCCACAGCUAGCCUUUGAUGAUGGCAUGCUGAUAAGGAUAUCAAACACUGAUAAUAUACCCAUAUUACAAUGAAAGAUAUAGAAGCUUGUGGCAUUCAUACAUGCUGACUUGCGCUGGCUGUUCUUGUCCCCGCCUGUUCUAGGACACAAAAGAACACGGAAGAAAAUUUGGUGGCUAUAGGGACCCCUCCCCCUAGUGACACAUGACACACAUUUCCUGAUGACACGUGACACGCAUUCUUAUCCGGAUUAACCCCAUCCGGAUUCCCCCCAAGAGUACACGUGGCGUGCUUCUCCUAUCCGGACUCCCUCAGGGAGAGGCACACGACACUCACAAACAUAACAUCCGGACGACCGCCAUAUCACAUCCGGACGACCGACAUAUCCUAUCCAGAUAUGUUUGUCCGGAUCAUUGACAGAAGUAAGCAAGUCUUGCACGUCAUUACAACAGCCUGCCAUGGUCCACGUUCCGCCACCUGCAGAGUGAAAGGACAGGAAUGAAAUGAUGACAAGUCACCUCCAACGAUCUCUAACAACCGCGACGCCUCCCACGAUCUCUGUCAGCCGCCCGUAGGGUGAUGAUGACCCUGCCACUCCCUAGAGGCAUCAUGACAAGCCAAAAUAUCUCCCUACCAUUAAAGAGAGAGACAGAACUUCUGAUACUAUAUAUAUGGACCUUCACACAAGGAGGAAGGUAAGCUUGCUAUACUUAAUAAAAGGCCAAUUGAUUUAUCUCUCUAACCAUGGCUGACAAAACCAUCGGAGGGUGCGUUCGGACAGGGUGUCCGGACGCCUUUUGCAGGAACGACUGAACCAGGAAUCUAUAUUGGUUAAGAUCGUGCGUCCAUCCAUUUGGCAAUUACGUGGAUCACCAGGGACGCGAGGCCUCAACAUUGGCGCCGUCUGUGGGAAAAUCACUGAUUCAGUCACCGGUAAAGAUGACCACACUUUCCCGUAGCCGAUCAUCUGGUAGGGGAGAGGAAGAUAAUUCUGAAUGGCGCCAAGCCAUCGAAAGAAGAUAGUUGGCAAGCGAACGACAACUACAAGCUCUCCUCCAGGAGACAAUAAGAUUAAGAGAAGAAAACGUGGUGCUACGCAUCCAAGCUUCAUCGACGGGGCCUCCUCGUCGUCAGCAUUCAAGAGGCCAGGUAGCAAACUCAAGGCCAGACCUAGAGUCAAUAUACCCUGGGAUGGCAGGAGCCAUCCCAGAAACAGGCAACAUUAGACCGCAUGAGCCACACACGCCCAUGCACCGAGCUCCCCAUGAGGAAAGCUUGGAUUCUACUCAUUUUUCAACAAAAAGACAACACGAUAAAAAAUCCCAGUUGUCAGACUCAAUGCGCGCGAGGCUAGGUCUACAGGAGACUGGGAGACCAAAGCCACCAGUAGCCACAACCUGGGCAGCGCACCUUGACCCCAUGGUCACCCCUAGGAUGCAGAAUGUUCUCCCGCACCGUGACCCUAUGGUCACCCCUAUGGUGCAGAACGUUCAUCCGCACCUAGCGGUACGACAAGCUGGGAGAAACCUCCCAAACGAGCCACCCAUUGGCUCCAUCAGCAAAAUGCUGGACGACAUGUUCUCCAUGCCUUUUUGCUCUCAUAUCAUUCAUUACGAGCCCCCAAGGGGAUUCCUCGUGCCAAAAUUUUCCACAUAUGAUGGGUCCAGUGACCUCUUCGACCAUAUCAUGCAUUAUCGAUAGCUCAUGACUCUCGAUAUAGGCAAUGACGCGCUGCUAUGCAAAGUAUUCUUCGCCAGCCUACAAGGGCAGGCUCUCUCAUGGUUCCAUCGCCUACCUCCCAACUCUGUUGAUAAUUUCAGAGACCUAUCGGAAGCCUUCGUGGGACAAUACUUAUGCUCCGCUCGACAUAAACAGAAUAUCAGCACUUUGCAAAACAUAAAAAUGCAAGAUAACGAAUCCUUAAGGGAGUUCGUAAAACGGUUUGGUCAGGCCGUACUACAGGUAGAGGCUUACAGCAUGGAUGUUGUCUUGCAGAUCUUCAAGCGAAGCAUCUGUCCAGGCACCCCAUUUUUUGAAUCACUUGCUAAAAAGCCUCUUAUAAUGAUGGACGACUUGUUCUGACGUGCGAGUAGCCACCCAGCAAGUCUUGGUUGUUGGACAGGCAUCCAGAAAUGGCGCAGAAAGAAGUGCCAAACUUCCGGACCGGCCAAGGCCGUUCGAUCGAAGGCAGGAAGGGCCAAGUCGCCCGGAAAGGCCGCCCCUCACGCCCCUUUCCAUAUCCUAUGAGAAACUUCUCCCUAUGAUCCAAGACAUGUCUGACUUCAGGUGGCCUAGACCCCUCGGAACGGAUCCAUCCAAAAGAGAUCAUAAUAAAAAAUGUGUCUUCCACAAGGAACAUGGUCACACAACAGAGACAUGCAGGUGCCUCCAUUAUUUGGUCGAAAGGCUCAUAAGGGCGGGACAUUUAAAGCAAUACCUCCGCUCAGAGGUUGGAGGUAGAGACGCUUCUCGAAAUCACAACUCUGGAGCCCCUAGGGCCCAACCGCCCCCAAAGCCGUUAUAAACUAUAUUAACGGAGGCCCAUCUGACGAGGAGUACGACUCCAAACGAAAGAGACAAAAGUUGUUGCGGGCAGCAUCGGUGCGCGAGCGUGUCAACUCCAUCCGGCCUGGGAUAACUAGGGGAGGCCCUCGCCCCAUAGAUGGGACAAUCAUUUUCCCACCAGUAGACCCCACCCGGAUAUUGCAGCCGCACCGCGACGCCCUCAACCUAUCCCUAGAGAUAGGAGACUUCGACAUAAGACGCAUCCUGGUUGACCCGGGCAGCUUGGCCGAUCUUGUACAAGCGUCAGUCAUCAGCCACAUGGGACACAGUCUCACAGGCCUCGAAAACCCUGGGCGAAUCUUGUUCAGAUUCAACGGGGCAUCAACUACUUCCUUGGGAGAUAUUGUACUACCGGUCCAAGUUGGCCAAGUCACUCUCAACGUACAAUUUUCGAUGGUACAAGAUUUAUCACCCUUCACUGUUAUCUUGGGAUGCACAUGGCUGCACUACAUGAAAGUCAUCCCCUCUACAUAUCAUCAAAUGGUAAGCUUCCUUACCAAGGAUGAGUAAAUUGACCUAUAUGGCAGCCAGUUAGCCGCUCGCCAAUGCUACCAGAUAGCGCAAGAAGCAGAGACCAGUCAGGAGGAUGCAUCCCUCCCUGAGUCCAACCAUGCACGUGACCAAUAGCAAUUAUUGAGUUCGGCGGACAAAGAUCCCCCGGCAACGGAUCCCUUGCGGGCGAUCCAAAUUUCGGAAGAAGGUACUCACCUUACGAAUAUCAGUUCCCUCCUGACACCAAAAGAAACCCGGAACAUGCAGAACGCCCUCAGACAAAACCAUGACGUCUUCGCAUGGGCACAUUCUGAUAUGAAGGGAAUUCAUCCCUCCAUUACCUCUCAUAAGCUUAACGUCUUGCCAACAGCCAGACCCAUCCGGCAGAGGGUUAGGCAUUUUCACCCGGACAGGCAAAAAAUUAUCCUGGAUGAAAUAGACAAGUUGCUGGAAGCCGAAUUCAUCAGAGAAGUGGAGUACCCGGACUGGUUGGCAAAUGUAGUGGUGGUACCCAAAAAAGAAGGCAAAUGGCGGGUGUGCGUCGACUACACCAACCUCAAUAAUGCAUGCCCAAAAGAUAGUUUCCCUUUGCCGCGGAUAGAUCAAAUUAUGGAUUCCAUUGCUGGGUAGGGGAUGCUCUCCUUCUUGGACGCCUUCUCUGGAUACCACCAAAUCCCCAUGUCCCCGGCUGACGAGGAAAAAACAACCUUCAUAAUGCCACACAGUCUUUACUGCUACAAAGUCAUGUCAUUCGGACUCAAAAACGCUGGCGCCACUUAUCAGAGACUGAUGACAAAGAUCUUCAAACCUCUGGUCGGCCGCACAGUAGAGGUAUAUAUUGACGAUAUUGUGGUUAAAAGCAAAACCCGAAAAGAACAUGUCCUCCAUUUGCAAGAAGUCUUCCACCUCUUAAGGAAGUAUGACAUGAAGUUGAAUCCUUCUAAAUGCGCCUUUGGCGUAAGUGUUGGCAAAUUCCUGGGAUUUAUGGUCAGCCAAAGGGGGAUAGAGGUUAGCCCGGAUCAAGUCAAGGCAGUCAUAGAAACACCACCCCCCAGGAGCAAGAAGGAAUUACAGCGUCUCACAGGCAAGCUCGUCGCACUAGGGCGUUUUAUAACCCGCUUCACUGAUGAACUGCGUCCCUUCUUCUUGGCAAUACGAAAAGCUGGAGCAAACGAAUGGACAGACAGCUAUCAAAACGCUUUUGAAAAAAUCAAACACUGCCUCAUGCAACCGCCCAUCCUAAACAGUCCCCUCCCUGAAGAAAAAUUGUAUAUGUAUUUGGCUAUAUAGAAGUGGGCAAUUAGCGCUGUUCUAUUCCGCUGCCCAUCGCCCAAGGAGCAGAAACCUAUCUACUACAUCAGCAGAGCAUUAGCGAACGUAGAAACUAGAUAUUCAAAGAUGGAGCUAACGACCUUAGCUCUUCGAAGUGCCGCCCAGAAGCUCCGUCCUUACUUCCAAGCCCACCCGGUGGUCGUGCUAACUGACCAGCCCCUUCGCAACAUUCUACACAAGUCGGACCUAACCGGGAGAAUGCUUCAAUGGGCCAUAGAGUUGAGCGAAUAUGGAAUCGAGUUCCAACCCAGGUUAUUCAUGAAGGGCUAAGUGAUGGCUGACUUUGUGCUGGAAUACUCCCGAGAGCCUAUCCAACACAAAGAACCAAGUGAAAAAGAAUGGUGGACUUUGCGAGUUGAUGGAGCCUCCCGAUCAUCAGGAUCCGGGGUAGGGCUCCUGCUGCAAUCCCCAACAGGAGAACAUCUGGAGCAAGCCAUCCGACUGGGGUUCCCCGCCUCUAACAAUAAAGCGGAAUAUGAGACCAUCCUAUCCGGAUUGGACCUCGCCCUGGCUCUAUCCAUAUCCAAGCUCCAGGUCUAUAGUGAUUCCCAACUCGUGGUAAGACACGUCCACAAGGAAUACGAAGCUAAGAAUGUGCGCAUGGCGCGAUAUCUAACUAAAGUAAGGGACACCUUACAACGAUUCACCGAGUGGACGAUUGAGAAAAUUAGACGAACUGAAAAUGGGCGCGCUGACGCCUUGGCAGGCAUAGCUGCCUCCCUUCCCAUAAAAGAAGCCAUAUUGUUGCCUAUACAUGUGCAAGCCAACCCUUCCGUCGCAGAAGCUUCCACUUGCAAUACCAUUGAAGCAAAACAAGCAGACGACCAAGAAUGGACGAACGACAUUAUAAGGUACCUCUGGACAGACACUCUGCCCAAGGAUCCCAAGCAGGCACAUAAGAUCCGGGUGCAGGCCGCCCGUUUCACCUUGAUCGGGGGGCACUUGUACAAACGGUCCUUCACAGGUCCCUACCUUCGGUGUUUAAGCCAUUCAGAGGCCCUGUAUGUAUUAGCUGAAUUGCACGAGAGAGUAUGUGGAAAUCAUUCUGAAGGACGAUCUCUGGUGCAUAGGGCCCAUUCGCAAGGAUAUUACUGGCCCACGAUGAAGAAGGAUACGGCAGCCUACGUCAAAAAAUGCGACAAAUGUCAAAGGCAUGCCCCCAUACCACAUGUGCCGUCGGAGACAUUGAAACCAAUUUUAGGCCCCUGGCCCUUUGCACAGUGGGGCAUGGACAUAGUAGGACCCCUACCAGCCGCACCCGCCCAGAAGAAAUUCCUGCUCGUCGCCACGGAUUACUUCAGUUAAUGGGUGGAAGCUAAAGCAUACGCUAGCAUCAAAGACAAAGAUGUCACCAAGUUCGUGUGGAAGAACAUCAUCUGUCACUUUGGAAUCCCCCAAACCAUUAUAGCUGACAACGGUCCACAGUUUGAUAGCAUCGCUUUCUGGAAUUUCUGUUCGGAACUAAACAUCCGGAAUUCAUACUCCACACCGCGUUAUCCCCAAAGUAAUGGGCAAGCAGAGGCCACAAACAAGACUCUAAUCACUGCCUUAAAGAAAAAGCUCGAGCAAGCCAAAGGAAAAUGGGUGGAGGAGCUACCCGGCAUCUUAUGGGUUUAUCGAACCACACCCGGACGUCCGACAUGAAACACUCCCUUCGCCCUCGCAUACGGUAUGGACGCAAUCAUUCCUACUGAAAUAGGGUUACCCAUUAUCUGGACUGAGGUAGGAAGGCAGGACGAUGCAAAUGCAGAGUUAGGAAGAAACUUGGACUGGGCAGACGAAGUAAGAGAAACUGCAUCCAUCCGGAUGGCAGAUUAUCAAUAGAGGACAUCCGCUCACUACAAUCGCAAAGCGAGGCCCAGAAGCUUAAAAAAUGGUACGCUGGUCCUUAGAAAGGUUUUCGAAAAUACUGUUGAGAUAGGAGCAGGAAAGUUUCAAGCCAAUUGGGAAGACCCCUAUAUAAUAUCUAAGACAAAUGAAAGUGGAGCUUAUCAUUUACAAAAGCUAGACGAAACCCCAUUGCUCCGAUCAUGGAAUGUAUCUAAUCUAAAGCAGUAUUACCAAUGAAAGAGAAAUAGAAGUGCAAUUUGAAUAAGUAUGUUUUAUUAAUACUUGUCAAAAUUGUAUACAAAGAGUUCUCCGGACUACAAAAUACAGGGAAAGGAUAGCAGUAAAAAUUACAAAAAGAAAAGUUCUCAUUGGGCAGGCUUGCCGCGUAGCUUCUUCUCCUUACCUGGGGAAAUCGAAGAGACGUCCCGUUUGAUACCAUGUUUUUUCAUACAACAACGAUAGCCGAAGAAGUACAUUUCGUCUACCUGCUUCUGGUAGUCCGCUUCAAGUUCCUCCCUUUCCACAACAAACUCAGCCUCCAACUCUUCUUUUUGUGCUGAUAAAUGCGACUGUAAAUCCUCUCUCUGCUUUUUCUCGAUUGACACCUCUGUCCGGAGUUGCCUCACUUCUCCCCUCAGCUGGGCCAUCUCGCCCUUCGCCUCAUGCAGGCGGGCGUCUGUAGAUUCCUCCCGGAUCUUUGCCUCAGCAAGCUCUAUCCGGAGAGCCUCGUUGUCCUCUCGAGCAGCGGAUAAACUGGCUUCAACCUGCUCUAGUCUCAAGCGUAGCUCCUCUUCACUGUUUUUGCGCUGAGAGACGAAGGCCUUCGUAUAAUCAGCAGUCUGCAGCAGACUAGAAAAAAGAUCACGUUGUUGAGCCAUGCCACGAAUACCGCUCACCAGCUGCAGAAAAACCCACAAACAAGAAGUGCAAAAUUACAACCCAUAUGACAAACACAUUAGUAUGGCAAGAAAAAUCAAGAAGUAAACUAUACCAUUUCCGCCGCUUCAAACAUCUUUACUGAAGGCACAUCAACAUCUGAGCCGGAUGGAAUCCGUUUCAGCAUCUCUCCCAACUCAGCAUAGCUGAAAGGACUAGCGGAGAUGCAAACUGCAUCAUCAACGGGACUCCCCCAUGAUGAGGCAUUAGGGAGUGACUCCUCCCCCGGGUCCAGGGCCCCAUCAUUCUCGACUGGCUGGGUCUCUCCGGGUGAACCCCCAUCCGGGACCAGCACCGGGGCGGUUAGGUUCUCUUCUGCCAUCUCCGUCUCACUCCCCUCCGGAUGAUCCUCCUGGAUGGACGAGCAGCUGACUUCGAUAGUUUCCAGAAAACGUUCUUGAAGCCGCCCAAUGAGGCCAGACUUUAAGUCACGGGCUGGACGAGACCUCCUUGUAGCUGGCCCCUUCACCGGUGCAAAGGCAAGGGGGCUUGGCUCGCAAGGAGGCAAACCUUGACUUUCUGCCCCCGUUUCUUCCGUUGGGGGUGCCGUAGGAGGCAAUGCUUCAGCACGAGAGGCCCCGGCUACAUCCGCGUCCGGAUGGGGAGAGCCGGGCUGGUUCACUGAAGUCGCCUCCUCAAAUAGAAGGGUCAGCCGUCCAGCCACUGGCAUCGAAGGCCCCGAAUGGUUGAGACCCCCGAGACGUCCGGAGCCGCUUGAAACAUAAGACAAGAUGGGGAGAUCUGGCAUUCUUAUUAUUAUUCCUCCCCUUACGAAAGUUGGAGCUGGUAUUACAACUUCCUAUGGGGGAGUUGGGAGUUUUAUUUUUUUUCCCUUAUUUAGAACCAACUUCUUCUUCUUUUUUGCUGGAGCGCCAACAGGUGGAGAGGACGCGGGGCGUUUAUCACCAAGAGCCUUCCGCAAAAGUCAUUCUUGUCUUUUCUUCUCCCGUUUGUUGAGGCAGGCUUUGCGUGACCGGGCGUCUGUCUUCCGCACCGUCGCGUAGAAUGGGAGAUCUUUGAGAACGAAGUGCUCCCCAGCCACCACCUCUUUGGGCAGCCGCCUCGGAAGUAUGUUCAGCACGUACGGCUGGGGCUCCUGGGUGACCGAGCGGAGAUUCUGCACGGAGAGAAGCAUUUCACAACUCCGCUCGGCCGCCGCAAUCUCAAAAAGCCUGUUCAAACGGUCGAACGAGGCUUUCUCCACCCAUUCCACCAGCUUCCCCCUUUUAUCCUGGCCUGCACCCAAGAAAGCAAAGUAUGUCAGCCACCUAACAAUGCUGACCUAAACUCACAAACCACGGAAAGACAGGAAGUAAUUUAGUCAUACCUAGGACCUUAAACGACUGGUUGGGAGCGAACAGCCUAUCCGGAUGCGCCGCCAAACCCGCCCAUAGGCCCUUGACCAGCACAUGUCCCCUGGCGGCCCCCUUGGUUAAGUCCGGAAGGCUGGUCACCAACUAAAGCGAUGGAAGGCUCGCGACAAAGCUGAAGAUGUCAUUUUUCACCUCUUGAUCGAAUAAAUGAAGAGAACCUCCAGCAGUGAGAGAUCCAGAUUGAACAGCAUGACCAGAAUGCUGCACCCCAUCAACACCCGGACCAUGUUGGGAUGAAUAUAAGCCGGAGGAAUCUGGGUGAAGUGAAGAAACUCCUUGAACAACGACAGCAGGGGGAACCGGAGCCCAACAUUGAACUGCUCAUUGGUGAAGAAGAUAGCGUUGUCCUCAGUUUUCUCAGUCGACACGGCCUCUCCAUCCGUAAGUUCAACGAAUACGCCAUUUGGGAUGCAGAACCGUUCGCGAAACUCCUUCACAUUCAACUUAUCCACGGAUUUCUCAGCAUGAGCAUCUCCAGACGAGCUAGAUGAAGUAGCUUCCUUGUUCGCAGACAUUUUUUAGGUUGGGGCUGAAAUGGAAUCUGCAUGGAAGAAUGCCAACAGUCAAACACAGUAAUCCGACCCCACAACCUUAAACUCUACCCCAAAGAAGAAUCGAUGGCCCACAAAAGGCACAGGAGGGCAACAGAAACCCUAACCACACCCAAAACACGAUCAAAACCCCCCGAAAAAAGCUCUAGAAAACCAAUACCGACUCCCAAUCGCAAAGAAACUUGCCCAAACAAACCAAAAGCAAAACCACAAAGCAAACACAACGAAGAUAAGACAAGAAUAGCGAACGUACCGAGUGUAAACUGGAAAAAUGGGAUGAAAUCCGCAGUGCAGUCACCGUCACGACGCGAAUAUUGCAGGCAGAAAACCCUAGAGCUUCACUCGAAAACGAAGAUACGCAGAAGGUAGAAGAAAAAACACUAACAGGAAAAAACGCAGAAGGAAAAAUGCAAGAGGAGGCACAGUCUGCUAUUUAUAGUGAGACAACCCCUCGGUAUCCCAAACGCUCAGCCACACCAUCAUUGAAACGACACGCUGCCUAGGAAUACCUAGAGACGACGACUCAUCAUAAAUGUUCUUCCCUCUCUCUUCGCCCCCGCUCGCCACGUGGCCCAAUGAGCACCAAAAAGAAACCUCAGUUUCAAAAAACAAUUAUUUUUAACCCGCCCAUUCUGCUCAGGCAAAAUCGGCAAGUUAAAAAGGGGGGCAUUUUAGGGACCCCUCCUCCUAAUGACACAUGACACACAUUUCCUGAUGACACGUGACACGCAUUCUUAUCCGGAUUAACCCCAUCUGGAUUUCCCCCAAAAGUACACGUGGUGCGCUUCUCCUAUUCGGACUCUCUCAGGGAGAGGCACACGACACUCACAAACAUAACAUCCGGACGACCGACAUAUCCUAUCCGGAUAUGUUUGUCUGGAUCAUUGACAGAAGUAAGCAAGUCUUGCAUGUCAUUACAACAGUCUGCCAUGGUCCAUGUUUCGCCACCUGUAGAGUGAAAGGACAUGAAUGAAAUGAUGACAAGUCACCUCCAACGAUCUCUGACAACCGCGACGCCUCCCACGAUCUCUGUCAGCCGCUCGUAGGGUGAUGAUGACCCUGCUACCACUUAGAGGCAUCAUGACAAGCCAAAAUAUCUCCCUACCAUUAAAGAGAGAGACAGAACUUCUGAUACUAUAUAUAUGGACCUUCACACAAGGAGAAAGGUAAGCUUGCUAUACCUAAUAAAAGGCCAACUGAUUUAUCUCUCUAACCAUGGCUGACAAAACCAUCGAAGGGUGUGUCCGGACACCCUGUCCGGACGCCUUUUGCAGGAACUACUGAACUAGGAAUCUAUAUUGGUUGAGAUCGUGCGUCCAUCCAUUUGUCAAUUACGUGGAUCACCAGGGACGCGAUGCCUCAACAGUGGCCACCUAAAGCAAAUGCAAAGAGGAUGUCCCCCCAGUCUUGGAUGAAAAAAGACGAAACAAAAAGCAAGAAUUUAGAGAGAAUGAAAAGUUUUUUGGCAUGAGGCGUUGAGGCCAGACCAUAAAGCUUUGAUUAGAUAGUGUCAAGCGCGCUGACAGCGGUGUUACGUAUGUCACAUUGCUUUUAUUUUAUUUUUUUAAUUAUUAUUAUGAUAUUCGUUGAAAGAUUCUAGAGAUAUGAUGAUGUUAUUGGCUGCAUGUUAGUUAGUAGGGGAAUGCUGUUCUGGUUUGUCCUUUUGGGAAAAACAAAAACUAGAAUAGGACAAAAGAUGAUUCUUCUGGGAUGAGAAAGGACCAAGCAAAAAGCAAGAAUUUAGAGAGAAUGAAAAGUUUUUUAGCACGAGGCGUUGAGGCCAGCAGACAAACAGUGACUGUGUGGUGGGCCCGGGUGAUGAAUUCUCUUGUCUCGUGCUUGGAAGAAGGUAACGCGUGUGUGAUCGGCCUUAUCUAUCUUAUUUGUUCUAUUUUCUUCCAUUAAUUUCAUGUUUUAUGUUUUUUUUAAAAAUUAAAAUGUAUUUACAAAAUAUAUUUGAAACAUAAAUAUAUUUACAGCAAUCAACACUCUUCACUUUUUCCUCUUGAAAUUUUAUGUUUUAUGUACUUUUUUUUUCUUUUAAAAAAUGUGUGGGAUUCUCUUUCUUUGAAACGUGUGAGAAUAAUGAUGAAUAUGGACUUUAGAUGAUGUCAUACGAUGUUCUAAUAUAAAAAGCUGAUUGUUGGCACUUAAAUUUGUCCUUUUUCCUUUUCCUUCCCUCUUCAUUUGCAUAGAUUAAAAAAAGCUUAGAAAACAUUAUGAAGUGGAGUGAAAUCAGGCCUCACAGUAGUUGUAAUUCGUUGCACUGGUCUCUCCGAACGAUCUAGAAGAAGGGAACGCGUGUGCGGUUGGCCUUACCCAUCUUGUUGGUGCUAUUUUCUUGUUUUAUGUCAUUUAAAAAAAAAAUGUGUGGGAUACUCGUCUUUUGGCUAUAAAUCUCUGAAUCUUAGUUCUCGCAUGACUUUGGAGAUGUCACCUCCACUUUUUAAAUCAUUAUUGGCGUUCAGGUGAUGUUGGUCUAAGCGACACAAAAUCUUUUCUUCUGCCUUUAGUUCUCUCUCUUAUUUGUCUUCUCCUACAACUUUUGGUCUUUCAGAUCAGUUUUUCUGAACUUUUCAAGAAAGCAUCUCUAUAUCAAUUCAAAAUUAAUUGCAGUGAGAAAGUGGAUAUCCCUCUCCUUUUGGUGGCUGGUGAAAAGUUAUGAAAUCGAGGUAUAUUAUAAGUUUUUGACAUGAUUUCUCUCUCUCUCUCUCUUCUCGUUUUCCAACAAUGCAAUCUUCCACUCUUAAAAUUAAUUCAAGAAAAUGUGAAUUAAUCAUGCCAAAUAUUCAAAUAUGAAUGGGUAAUUUUAAUAAAAUAAAAAUUUCAUUGCCACCUUUAUUGAUAAAAAAAAUCAUUUUCUUUUCAAGGGAAAACAAAAUUAAAGAAUUUUAGGUCAAACAAGGAAAGAGGGACUCGGAUGAUCCGAGUAUGCUUUUAUAUAUAUAUAUAUAUAAUAAGGGGUCAUUAUCAGAAUGUCAUUAUCAGAGAGAGAGAGAGAGAGAGAGAUUUCCUCUAAAAAAGAAGGAGAAUUACCCCAAAAGAGUGGGUUAGAAAAACUAAUGACUAUAAAGGCUCACUCUUUUGGAGGACAAUUUUACGCUUUAAUAUGUUUUUUAUAUUAUUUAUAAAUAAAUUGAGAUUGUCAAUGAUGUGGGGCUCAUACAUGAUGAUAAGUACAUGUUGAUAGGCAAUCAACAGUACAUUUUUCAACUUAAAAAAAUUGUUAUCACUUUUGAACAAUUAACUAUUUAAAAAUUUGUUUUUUUUUUAAAUUGAGAUUUUUUAAAGAAUCUUGUAAAAAAAAUAUAAUUUUUAAUGUCUCAUAAAUAAAAACCAUAUCCUAAAGUUAUUAUAUCGUUUUAUAUAUAAAACAUACAAUUAAAAAACUUUGUUAUCAUAAUAUAAUAAAUAAUUCGUGAAAAAAUUAAAUAAAAAUAAAUUAAAUUAUGUUAUAAUAUAUUGUAAUGAUAGUGUAUUUAUAUUGUAAGUAUAAUGCAUUUAUAUCGUACCUAUAUUUCAUUAUAAAAGUAAUAAUUUUAAAAAUGUUUAUUCAUACCCUAUUGGUAUUAACAUAUCGUAUUAAUAUAUUAACAACAUUUAUUUAGUGUUUUGAAAUUAUUUAAUAAUUUUUGUAUAUAUAUAUACAAACUACGUGAAUUCAAAUUAGUAUUUCAUUUUAUUUCAGAAAUUAUUUAUGGUAUAGGUAUGUUGUGAAAUAUGGUAUGAUCAUACAAAAUUACCAUUUUUAUAAAAAAAUUCAUAAAUUUCUUAAUUAGGUUUUAUUGUAAUGUAUUGUAAUGUAAAUGUAUUUAUAUUGUAAUUAUAAUAUAUUUUUUUUGUGCUUGUAUUAUAUAAUAAAAGUAAUAAUCUUAAGGAUCACUUUUUGUACCUUAUUAAUAUUCAACAUAUCAAAUAUAUUAACAUUAUCCACUCGAUGCAUUGAGAAAAAAAAUUUAUAUGAAAAUUUAAAAAAAAAACACUAUGCAAAGGAAAAAAAAUUAUAUAAUUUUUUUAAAAUUAUUUUAUUAUAAAAAUAAAAAAUGAUUAAACAUUUUCUAUCAUUUUCUUAUUAUUUUUAGAGAAUCUGAAUGAAAAAUUAAAAAUUUUAUCUUCCUUAAAUUUAAUACAAAAACAUAAUUUAUCAAUUUAAAAUUAUAAUAUAUAUAUGAAAAAAUCAUCAUUUUUAUUAUAUAAUUAUAAAACUUAUUUUUUUCUUCAUAAAAUAAAAAAUUAGAAUAAAAAUAAAAUAAAAAAGUAAAAAAACAAUAAAUGAUAUUUUGAAAAUAUUUUUUAAAAGUAUUUUUGUUUUAAAUAGUAAAUUUAAAUAACAAAUUAUAUAUAAUUGUAAGGGUUAAACCCAAAAUUUUGAUUUAAAAUUUAAAUAUUAAUAAUUACAAUAAAUGUGGAACCCAUAUACCAUAAAUGUAUUGACAAAUCAAGUGAAGUGCUUUAAAUGCUUUGAAUUUUAAAAGUUUUAGUUAAAGGGCAGUUUUGGUAUAUUAAGCUUACUAAAGUCCUCCCCAAUAAUUAUUAAAAGAUACCACCCUUUCUAGUAAUUGUUUUACCUAGCCUACCCUUUUAGGUAAUUCUCCCAAAAAAAAUUAUGAGAUUGAAAAGACAGGUAGAGUAGGUCUAACUUCUUCUAUUGCUGUCCCUGCUAACACAUGGCUCUUUGCUGCCGCCUUUUUUUUACCAUGGAAAAUAAUCUCUCUUUCUCUCUUCUUCCUGGAAUUAACUCUUUCACAACUCAGAAACAAAUUUUCUUUUCAAGUUGAAAACAAUGUUCUAUUUUCUUGGGGUAUUCAAACAACUCAAAGAUGAAUUUGUCAAUAUGUCUUUGCAAUAUGUCACCCACAGUUAAGGCUAAAAUUGUUAGAUGGAGUUGGAGAACCUAGGGCAUUGGCUAAAGUAUUACCCUUUGAUGAUAGCAUGUUGAUAAGGAUAUCGACACUGAUAAGGAAGAUAAUGCUUGACAACUGCUAUCUUACCAUUAACCUUUUAACACAACUCUAGUAGGGAUUGACCGUUGAUUCCAGGACCUGUAUAAAAGUUUUCCUUUUUACCUCUCUUGUAUAUGUAUAUAGUAUAUACAAAAGCUUUUAUCAAUCCGCUGGCAUAGUCAUGUUGGGCUUUGUGGAGCCUAGUUUUGUUUGAUCUGGUUUAACGACCCGACCCGAAUAAUAUUGCAUGGCUUUUUAAUGGGAGAUUUAUUGAGGCCUAUUGGGCCCGUUUAGCCCAUCGUGGAACCACCUUUUGUAAUUAGGAUUUUUUAGUAUAGUGGGGUUGCCGUGUUAUAUAUAUAGAGAGAAUAUUAUAGCCGCUAUAUUGUACUAUGUAUUCUUCCUUGAUAAUAGUGAUAUCCCUGCAACUCCGUGGAUGUAGGCAAAUUGCCGAACCACGUAAAUACUGUCUUGUGCGUGUGAUUGUUUUUCUUUGGCAUGUGUUUUCUCUAAUUUUUUGUUUCUCACAGGUUGGGAAUUCGGUUUAAUUCCCUACAACUGGUAUCAGAGCCUAGGGUUAGGUUUGGGUGGGAGCAAUGGCAGAGGAAGCAGGAAAGACGUCUGGAAUAGAAAAGUUUGAUGGCACAGACUUUGCGUAUUGGAGGAUGCAUAUUGAAGAUUAUCUCUAUGGAAGGAAAUUGCAUCUGCCUUUUUUGGGGACAAAACCUGAGAGUAUGAAGGCUGAGGAAUGGGCGCUUCUUGACAGACAGGUUCUAGGAGUUAUUAGGUUAACUUUGUCUAGGUCUGUUGCACAUAAUGUUGUAAAGGAAAAGACCACAACAGAUUUGAUGAAGGCUUUGUCCAAUAUGUAUGAAAAGCCGUCCGCAAACAAUAAGGUGCAUCUGAUGAAGAAAUUGUUCAAUUUGAAGAUGGUAGAGAAUGCAUCAGUAGCACAACAUCUGAAUGAAUUUAAUACAAUCACAAAUCAAUUGUCGUCUGUAGAAAUUGAUUUUGAUGAUGAGAUUCGUGCUUUGAUCGUCUUGGCUUCUUUGCCAAAUAGUUGGGAGGCAAUGAGGAUGGCAGUAAGCAAUUCGACGGGAAAGGAAAAGCUCAAGUACAAUGACAUACGAGAUUUAAUUCUGGCUGAGGAGAUUCGCCGAAGAGAUGCAAGUGAAACCUCAGGAUCUGGUUCUGCCCUAAACCUUGAGACAAGAGGCAAAGGUAAUGACAGAAAUUCAAAUCGGGGUAGAUCAAAUUCCAGAAAUUCUAAUCGAAACAGAAGCAAAUCUAGAUCAGGCCAACAAGUACAAUGCUGGAAUUGUGGGAAAACAGGUCACUUUAAAAGGCAAUGCAAAAGCCCUAAGAAGAAGAAUAAAGAUGAUUCUGCUAAUGCUAUAACAGAAUAGGUACAGGAUGCAUUACUUCUUGCAGUAGAUAAUCCACUUGAUGAUUGGGUUUUGGAUUCAGGAGCUUCGUUUCAUACCACUCCACAUCGAGAAAUCAUACAGAAUUAUGUUGCAGGUAUUUUUGGUAAGGUGUAUUUGGCUGAUGGUUCAGCCUUGGAUGUUGUGGGUCUGGAAGACUUCCGGAUAUCGUUGCCCAAUGGGUCUGUUUGGUUACUGGAGAAGGUUCGACAUAUUCCUGACCUGAGGAGGAAUCUGAUUUCUGUUGGACAACUUGAUGAUGAAGGACAUGCAAUACUAUUUGUUGGUGGUACUUGGAAGGUUACAAAGGGAGUUAGGGUAUUGGCUAGUGGAAAGAAGACUGGUACUCUGUAUAUGACCUCAUGUCCAAGAGACACAAUUGCAGUUGCUGAUGCAAGUACUGAUACAAGCCUAUGGCACCGUAGACUUGGUCACAUGAGUGAGAAAGGGACGAAGACGUUGUUGUCAAAAGGAAAACUACCAGAAUUGAAGUCCAUUGAUUUUGACAUGUGUGAAAGUUGCAUCUUAGGAAAGCAAAAAAAGGUGAGCUUCUUGAAAACUGGCAAGACACCAAAGGCUGAAAAAUUGGAACUAGUACACACUGAUUUGUGGGUGCCUUCUUCAGUUGCAUCCCUUGGUGGUUCAAGGUACUACAUCACUUUUAUUGAUGACUCAAGCAGAAAGGUAUGGGUUUAUUUUCUAAAAAAUAAAUCUAAUGUAUUUGAAACUUUUAAGAAGUGGAAGGCCAUGGUUGAGACAGAAACGGGUUUGAAAGUAAAAUGUUUGAGGUCAGAUAAUGGAGGAGAAUACAUAGAUGGAGGGUUCAGUGAGUAUUGUGCUGCACAGGGAAUUAGGAUGGAGAAGACUAUUCCUAGGACACCACAACAGAAUGGUGUGGCUGAGUGCAUGAACAGAACUCUUAAUGAGCGUGCUAGAAGUAUGAGGUUGCAUGCUGGACUACCAAAAACUUUUUGGGUUGAUGCUGUUAGCACUGCAGCUUACCUGAUAAACCGAGGACCAUCAGUUCCCAUGGAGUUCAGACUUCCUGAAGAGGUUUGGAGCGGUAAAGAGGUGAAGUUUUCACAUUUAAAAGUUUUUGGUUGUGUUUCUUAUGUUCAUAUUGAUUAUGAUGCUCGUAGUAAACUUGAUGCAAAGUCAAAAAUAUGUUUUUUCAUUGGCUAUGGUGAUGAGAAAUUUGGCUAUAGGUUUUGGGAUGAACAAAAUAGGAAAAUCAUCAGAAGUAGAAAUGUGAUAUUUAAUGAACAGGUUAUGUACAAGGACAGGUCAUCUGUAGUGUCAGAUGUUACAGAGAUAGAUCAAAAGAAAUCUGAGUUUGUCAACUUAGAUGAAUUGACUGAAAGUACUGUCCAAAAAGGGGGUGAAGAAGAUAAGGAGAAUGUAAAUUCAUAGGUAGAUCUAAGUACACCUAUAGUUGAAGUUCGCAGAUCUUUUAGGAACAUUAGACCUCCGCAGCAUUAUUCACCUGUUUUAAAUUAUCUCUUGUUGACUGAUGGUGGUGAGCCAGAGUGUUAUGAUGAAGCCUUGCAAGAUGAGAAUUCAAGCAAGUGGGAGUUAACCAUGAAAGAUGAGAUGGAUUCCUUGUUGGGGAAUCAAACAUGGGAACUAACUGAAUUACCAGUAGGAAAGAAGGCUUUGCACAACAAGUGGGUAUACAGAAUAAAGAAUGAGCAUGAUGGUAGCAAACGUGACAAGGCCAUAUUAGUUGUUAAAGGGUUCCAGCAGAAGGAAGGCAUUAACUACACUGAGAUAUUUUCACCAAUUGUGAAAAUGUCAACAAUCAGACUUGUACUGGGAAUGGUGGCUGUAGAAAACUUACAUCUUGAGCAGUUAGAUGUGAAGACAGCAUUCCUUCAUGGUGACUUGGAGGAAGACCUUUACAUGAUUCAGCCAGAAGGGUUCAUUGUUCAGGGACAAGAGAAUCUAGUCUGCAAACUGAGAAAAAGUUUGUAUGGCCUUAAACAAGCUCCUAGACAGUGGUACAAGAAGUUUGACAGUUUUAUGCAUAGAAUUGGGUUCAAGAGAUGUGAAGCUGAUCAUUGUUGCUAUGUUAAGUCUUUUAACAAUUCUUACAUCAUAUUACUGUUGUAUGUGGAUGAUAUGCUUAUUGCAGGGUUUGACAUUGAGGAAAUUAAUAAUCUGAAAAAGCAAUUGUCCAAACAAUUUGCAAUGAAGGAUUUGGGAGCUGCAAAGCAAAUCCUUGGUAUGAGAAUCAUUAGAGACAAGGCUAAUGGUACAUUGAAGCUUUCACAGUCAGAGUAUGUGAAGAAAGUUCUCAACAGGUUCAACAUGAAUGAAGCUAAACCAGUGAGCACACCCUUGGGGAGUCAUUUCAAACUAAGCAAAGAAUAGUCACCAAAGACAGAAGAAGAAAGGGACCAUAUGAGCAAGGUGCCCUAUGCCUCAGCUAUUGGCAGCUUGAUGUAUGCUAUGGUGUGUACAAGGCCAGACAUUGCACAUGCAGUGGGAGUUGUGAGCCGAUUCAUGAGUAGGCCUGGAAAGCAGCAUUGGGAGGCAGUCAAGUGGAUUCUAAGAUAUCUGAAGGGUUCAUUAGAUACAUGUCUUUGCUUCACAGGUGCAAGUUUGAAAUUGCAGGGUUAUGUAGAUGUUGAUUUUGCUGGUGAUAUUAAUAGUAGAAAGAGUACUACUGGGUUUGUUUUUACUCUAGGUGGUACAACUAUAUCAUGGGCUUCAAAUCUACAGAAGAUUGUUACUUUGUCUACUACAGAAGCUGAGUAUGUUACAGCAACUGAAGCUGGAAAGGAGAUGAUUUGGCUACAUGGUUUCUUAGAUGAAUUGGGUAAGAAGCAGGAGAUGGGCAUUCUACACAGUGACAGUUAGAGUGCAAUUUUUCUUGCCAAAAAUUCGGCUUUUCAUUCAAAGUCGAAGCAUAUACAAACAAAAUACCACUUUAUCUGUUAUCUUGUUGAAGAUAAACUGGUAAUACUUGAGAAGAUUUGUGGAUCUAAGAACCUGGCAGACAUGUUGACUAAGGGUGUCACUAUUAAGAAGUUGAAGCUGUGCGCAGCUUCAAUUGGUCUUCUAGCUUGAGGACAGGAGAAUGAGUUGUAGGGAUGAGGGAUUGUUUCUUAGAGGAUAGCGGUUUGAUGUUGGUGAUUGGACUAGUCUCCAAGUGGGAGAUUUGUUGGGCUUUGUGGAGCCUAAUUUUGUUUGAUCUGGUUUGACGACCCGACCCGAAUAAUAUUGCAUGACUUUUUAAUGGGAGAUUUAUUGAGGCCUGUUGGGCCCGUUUAGCCCAUUAUGGAACCACCUUUUGUAAUUAGGGUUUUUUAGUAUGGUGGAGUUGUCGUGUUAUAUAUAUAGAGAGAAUAUUAUAGCCGCUAUGUUGUACUCUGUAUUCUUCCCUGAUAAUAGUGAUAUCCCUGCAACUCUGUGGAUGUAGGCAAAUUGCCGAACCACGUAAAUACUGUCUUGUGCGUGUGAUUGUUUUUCUUUGGCGUGUGUUUUUUCUAAUUUUUGUUUCUCACAGGUUGGGAAUUCGGUUUAAUUCCCUACAAGUCACACAUGCCCACUUGCGCUCACUCUUCUUGUCCAAAGUUCAUCGCACUCUUGCUCAUCUAAUUAGCUCAUAAUUUUCUUUUUACAUAAAUAAUUAAAUAGCUGACUGUUGUAAGAAGGACCUGAGUCAGAAUGCUGCUUGGACUCAAACCAUGCAUCUUUUUCAUGAUGACCGACGUCACUCCCACAUCUGAAUGGAAUUUGACACAUUAUCUGAAGGGAUAUUUGGUUAAAAGGGUUAAAAUAAUACUCAUAUUUGCAAAACUAAUCUAUCCCUUGAAAAACAUAAAAAACGAUCCUAUUAUGAUAAAAAUAUCCUUUUCUUUUGCCUCGCUCUAAAACUUAACUUUUCUUCUUCUAUUUAUUCUCUUUUAGAUGUAGAGAACGAAUUUCUCAUUCUUCACAAACCCUAGAGAAUAUCCUAUUUAUCAUUCUUAAACCUCGAAAAACUUCUUACCUCUCAUUCCUUUUUUCAAUUCAAAUCUUAGAAAACCCUAGAAAUUUUCUUGUCUAUCAUUCCAAAACCCUAAAAAAUUUCUUAUCUAUCAUUCCUAACCCUAGAAAACUUUUCACCUCUCAUCCCUAUUUCAUUUCCAAACCCCUAUUUUCUUCACAAAAAAUGAGUUCAUUGAAGACUGAUGAGCCAAAGAGGUUUAAAAUAGUGGUGAUAAAACAAAAAUCUUAAUUACGAAUGGAAGAAAAAAGUGAAGCUACUCAACAGAAAUCACAAUUGCCAACGGAAGAAGAAAGUAAAUCUAUUGAGCUCGUGAGUGUAGUUAUCACAUUUCAUAAAAUUUUGAAAUUUUUAGGGAUGUUAUACAAUAAUGUUUGAGUAGGGUUAGUUUUGUUACUUGAAGAAUUUAAAAUUUUGGGAACUUAGGAGAAUCGAUGACUUCGUAUUAAUAUGACUACGUAUUAAUAUUGCAGAUAAUGGUUACCAACCAUUUCAUGCAAUUACAUAUGAUUAAGGAUGAGUUUUUUAACGAAUUUAUGAAAUUUUAGGGCUUUUAGAAUUUUUAGGGAUAUUAUGUAACGGUGUUUGAGUAGGGUUAGGUUUGUUAAUGAAUGAUUUUACAAAUUUGGGAACUACAAAAGUGUGUUGAAAAUAAUAAAAUUGUAUAUUAAUAUAUUUUUUUAGUUUUUUAUAUUAUUAUUAUUCUUGUAUUUAGACUUAAUUAGAUAUAUUCAAUGUAGUGAUAUUUGAUUAGGGAUAAGUUUUCACAAAAUUUAUGAAAUUUUAUUGAUUUUAGGGAGAUUAUGCAAUGGUGUUUGAGUAGAGAUAAGUUUGUUACUUGAUGCUUUUAAAAUUUUGGGAACUAUUGAAGUGUAUUCAAAAUAGUAAAUUAUAUAUUUAUAAUUUUCUUAGUUCUCUAUUGUUGUCGGUUAUGUAUUUGGAGUGAAUAAAAUAUGUAAUAAUCCCAUGCAAUGACAUAUGAUUAAGGAUACAUUUUUAGAGAAUUUAUGAAAUUUUAGAGAUUUUUGGAAUUUUUAAGGAUGUUAUGCAAGGCUGUUUGAAUAGGGUAAGGUUUGUUAAUUGAUGUUUUUAAAUUUUUGGGAACUAUUGGAGUGUAUCCAAAAUAAAAAAUUUGGGAAUUAAAGAUGAAAAUGUGGUCAAGUUAACCUUAUUGUACUUUCUCGAGCAUGUUUUACUUGGGAAAGAAGGAAAAAAAUUAACAGACAUGCAAUGCGUUAGUUUUGUUGAUAGUUUGGAAGGUUUAAGUAAAUAUCCUAAGGUAGAGUUUUUGUAAAAGAAUAUUUUUUUGGGCAACAAUGGGCCUUGGAGAAUUGAGUGUUAAAAUAUCAAGGUAAGAAGAAACAAAGGGAAAUAUAGCACAAGAGGGCAAAAUGAGCCAUGUGUUUUACAUAAUACAAGAUUUUCAAAAUCUAGUAUAAAGGGAAAAGAUAUCAAUAUAAACUAUGAUUCACAAUAUGACAAGUUUGAGAGUGUCAUGGAAGACAAGGAGGAUGAGAAUCACGCUUGUAUGGAUGUGAAAACCAAUAAAAAAUAUAUAACAAAUAUUGUAGUUGCAGAAAAACACAUAAUAAGGAUAGGAAAGGAUGAUGACGUGAGUUUUGAUGCAGUUGUUGAUAUUGCCAAAAUAUUUGAUACCCUUAGUUUAGUGGGUAAUUUUUCAGUUUAUGUAUUUCCAAAGCAGUUGUCCUCCAUUAUAUUUAAGCAAACGCGCAAGUUAAAGAAGUCCUAUUUUUUGCAACCUCCUUUGAUAAACCAUACAAAGAUAAGGAAAAUAAAAAAUGAGGGAGAAACAUCAUCUGACUUUAAUAAUUUGUAAUCUAUUUUCGAGGAAGCCAGAAAAACCUUUAAUAAGUGGUUAAGUCUUCUACAAGGGUAAUUUAUUUUUAAUUCAAACUUGUAAAAAUUUGUUUUUGGCAAGUUUUUAGUUUGACCAUGGUUUUUUUUUAUAUCAAUACAAUAAGGUCUAUGGUUGAAAUCGAUUACUUGCAUGCGGACCAAGAAUGGUUUCAAUUACUAGUUCAACAUGGUGCAUGGCUUAAAGACACACAUUGUAAAUGUUCUUAUUGUCUUUGCUUUUACUUAUCAUUAUAUUGACAUUUCAAUCAAAUAGUAUAACUAAUGUAUUUUUGUAUAUAUUGUCUAGCAUAUUGAUAUUGCUUUCUACUUUUUCCCUAAGUAGGGAAUAGAAAAACCACAUGCAUUUUCUCAAAAUUUUACAACCGUAGACACCAUGUGUUGGGUAUGCAUAAUUUCUUAUUAUUAUUGAUCUUUAUAUUAUUAGAUAAAUUAUGUUAUUUUAACUAUUUUAACCUUUUUUAUAUAACAAAAUGUUAAAGCAAGGUGAGAGAAACAUGCUAAAAAAUGGAAUCAACUCUAAAUGCAAGCCAAUGAUGUUCUUGUUGACUAUGCUAAUAAGCUUCACCCAAUUCCUUCCACAAAACGGUCUAAGGUGGACAUUAUCUACAUCCUUAUUAAUAUUCAAAGUAUGCAUUGGAUAUUAGGAGUAGUUCAUCUUACUUAGAGGAAAAUUUUAUGUAUGACUCAUUGAUAGACAUUAAUAAUGAUAAUUGAUCGAAGGGUGCCAUCACAGUUUUAGCUAGAUUGUUAUGGCAUAUACUACAUGUCAUAGCAUAUUAUGAGGAGAAUUGUGAUCCUAAGGGUGACCAAUAGUGGGACAUUGAAUGGUUGCAUGAUGUUCCUCAACAAGAAUAUUAGUAAGUAAACAAAUAUCUAAACAUUCAUCUUAUCAUUUUACUUUUGUCUUAUACAAUAAAUUUUUUAUAAUGAUCUUAAAUUUGAUUCUUUGUGUUUCAUGCAACGGUAAUUAUGGAAUAUUCUUAAUAAAAUAUGUCAAGUACUUGAUGCAAAAUCAUCCAUUCAUCUCACAAACUGGUGCCUGUAUGGAUUGGUUUUGAGAGAAAAUGACAACUAAAUUAUUCUACUUCAAAAAUUUGCCUCUAUAGUGGGUUUGACUUUGACUAUGUAGUGGAUUUAUAUGUUGUUGAGGAUUGACUAUUAGUUUGGAUGAAUUUCACUUGGUGCUCCAAGUUAUAAUUUUUUUUUAAUGUAGCUUAUUAUGUUCUAAGCUUAUUUUGAACCAAAGUGGACAUUGUAAUUAUAAUAUUAUACAUUUUGUUAUUAUCACUUUAUGUGUCGUUGAGAGAUACAUAACCAAAAGUUAUGUGAAUUGUUUGAUUUACAAAACUUAAUUCAGUUGUUCUUUAUAAAUAAAUCUUAACUAUAGUUAAGUUCAUGUGAAAUUUUAGACCUCAAAACUUAACUGUAGUUAGGUUUAGGUGAACAUCUUGAUUUUGGGAAAAGAACUUAGCUAUGCAAUUUUUUUAAAAUGAAAAUCAUAAGGAGGUCAAAGUAAAGAUUUUAAUUCACAAUUUAAUAUAGGUAAAAUUAUCACAAUGAAAUACAAGUAAAGAUUUUUAAGUGACAAUUUAACCAUAUAGGUAAACAUUCUAAUUUUAGAUAACUUACCUAAUAGUUCCUUGCAAAUAAAACUUAUCCAAUUAAAGUGUAAGCUCUUUCUAAGAAAAAAUCAAUCAUAAGUUAAAAGGUUACAUAAACAUAUUUGUUAGAAAAAUUAGGCUAAUCCAACCUAUGGUAAUCACCUUAGAGGAAGGGGGGGGUGAAUAGGGUGAUGGCUUUUUUCUUUUGUAAAUUUAAAAUAUGUGAAUGGAAGAGACAAUUAUAUGCAAGUAUAUAAUAAAAAAAAUAUAAAGACAAUUGUAUAUAAAGUAAAAGAGUAGGGAAGAGAGAAUGCAAACACAAGAUUUUAUAGUGGUUUAGCGCAACCCGGCCUACAUCCACUCUCCUCUAGCUUCAAUCCCAAGCUUGAGGUUCCACUAAUUCAAGGCUUCCAAACCAAGCCUUCAAGCAAUACAAUUGGAUUAUAGUUCCAAGUCACCUUCUUGGACUUUUGGUUCCAAGCACCUUUACACUUCUCAAGAGAUACCUCACUCUUGAACAACCCCUCAAGUGAUAUCACACUCUUGAGAAACUUCCUCUCAAAGAUUUACAAAUAAAUGAUAUCACAAAAUCAUAGUACAAAAACUUUAAGCUCAAAUGAUACAAGAAAACUAGGAUUGAAAGGUGCACUAAUGAUAUGCAAGUUUUAGAACAAUGAUGCACAAAAAAAAAAAAAAAACACUCUUCCAAUGCUAAAAUAUAUUCAAGAAAGGUUUGGGAAGGUUAAGCUUAUGAAACAAUGAAGAUUGAAGCAUUUUUAUAGAAGAAAAAUACCAAACUAGCCAUUGGGGGUUCGGCCGGUAGAGUUGGGGGUUGACCUAUUGACUAGUCGUUAGCAUUUAAUGUUUGGCAGGUGACCGUUGGACCUCCACCACCCCUUGACCAGUUGAGGUAGGGGUCGACCGGUUGAACAACCGUUUUGGAAGAUAGAGAGUUUUUUGCACCCCUCGACCGGUUGAGCUGGGGGUCGACUCGAACUUUGAUCGGUUGAGCUGGGGGUCAACCUGUUCCUCGAUCGGUUCAACCGGUUGAGCCAUUUUUUUGGCUCAACAACCAUUCUUUUCAACUUAAAACCUUUUAAACAAGUUUGGAAAACAUUUGACACAGGGUUUUAGUUGAAAACAUGAAGUCAUCCAAUUUUUAAAAAAUAUUUAAAACAAAAUAACUCUUGGAUGAUUUUGGUGCAUAAGUAAAAAAUGUAAUGCAUGAAAAACCUAGUGCACCAACAACCUUACAAAGAGAUCUUAUGAAGCUUGGGUCUUGAAAAAUACUUCUCUUUGAGGUGGUCUUUUUCUUCAUGAUUUCUCCUUUACUUGAUUUGUCUUUGUGAUUGCCACUUUGGAAAUCAUCUUGCCUAUCACACUUGAAAUAUAAUUAUUAGUUCUAAACCUUAUUUUGUUAUCAUCAAAACCGAGAUUAACCAAACCUUGAUUUCACAAUUUUGAUUAACAACUUAAUUAGAGUGUAAGUACUCAGUUAAUGUAACUUAACCAUAGUUAAGUUCAGGUGAAAAUUGUGAUUGAGAACUUAACCCUACUUAAAUUCUUUGUUAAUGUAACUUAACCAUAGUUAAGUUCAGGUGAAUAUUAUGACUACAAACUUAAUCCUAGUUAAGUUUGUUGUUAUUGCCACUCAAUUAUAGUUAAGUUCAGGUGAAAAUUGUGACUGUAAACUUAACUAUAGUUAAGUUAUUUGUUAAUGCAACUCAACCAUAUAUAGUUAAGUUUAGGCAAAAAUUAUAACUGUGAAAUUAACCUUAAGUUCUUUAUAAAUGCAACUGAUUCGUCCCUAGCAACGGCAGUGGCAAUGGCACCAUUUGAUUCGGGGUUCGGUCCCCGGCAACGGCGCCAUUUGAUUCGUCCCUAGCAGCGACAGUGGCAAUGGCACCAUCUGAUUCGGGGUUCGAUCCCCGGCAACGGCGCCAUUUGAUUCGUGCCCAAUUGGUGUCUCAGCUGAUUCGUGUCUAGCUGGUGCUCCUUGAUUGAGGGAGUAAUCAACAAAAUUUAUAACCUAUUACACCAUAUACUAGGGUAGCAAAGACAAAGCUACUAUAGCAUAGUGGCUCUAGGAUCGUUCACUGGGAUGGGUUUUCACUUUGCAAAUGAUAUUAAUUCAAAGCUGAAUUGGUGCCUUUUCAUUUCAAGGUUAGCUUUAAAAGAAAACAUAAAGAUGUUUGAAUGAAAAAGGUUUAGAUUUAAACUAACCAAAAAUAGUAACUGAUUUUACUUACAAAGAAAAGUGUUUCUUGGAGUUUAGAUCACUAGGCUCAGGUUCCUCAUACAAAAAGGAGAGUUCCGGUCACUUGUUUCUUUUCCUCGCAUUAGAGAAUUAACAUAUAGUUCUUUCUCCAACCGGUGUUGUACAAAUGCUUCCCAUUAAUGGGUUCAAACACUAAAUCCCUCUCACUGAUGCACCUUGCAAUGGCGCAUGCCUCUCACCUAGCACUUGCCAUUCAAGAUGAUCUUUAACCUUGGAUUACCCGUCAAAAGCUCGCAAGAGAUAACUAAUGGAUGUCUCCUUGGAGUCCAAAAGCUUACCAAGUGUUGGCGAUUCUAGAAAAUCCUACCUUUAAACCACCUACCAAAGGCUCGCAAGGGGUAAACUAGUGCAUCUCUAUGGUUGGAGAUCACUUGCCUUACCAAGUGUUGGCCCAGGUGAUUUAAAGGCGUUUUAAGUUAACUAAAAAGAUAAAAACCAUUAACGGGUCACACUUUCUCUUCAUUAAAAACUAAAACAACAAAACUUCCAAAUUAUGCAUGUGGAAACUUACCCGGCUUUCCUCACUCCAAGAGACAAAGAAUCUAGCCUCUCAUCCUCUAAGGAAAAAUCCUCAGAGUUUGUUUGGCUAGCAAGAAAAAUAACGAGAAAACAAGAAUAUAUAUGAAAAACAGAGCAAGUGCUCUAUUCGUUGAUUCUAUAUAUGAUAUAUCUAUCUAUUUUACAUAUGAUGCUCUUACAGUGGAUGCAAGAGAAUAUAUAUAGAGACGUUUUUCCAACCUUCCUAACUAAGAAAUCUUAUGGUUGGUGGAUUACAAGGAGAAUAAUGGAAAUUCAUACAAAAAUAUCUGAAGAAAAAUAUCCCAAAGUGUCGGUAGCAAAUAUCGGGAGGCUUCAGGAACCAUUUCGCAAGAGAAAAUGGUGUCUGCGAGAUUUCGCAGACACUCAAGAGGGGCUGCGAAAUCACUUCGCAACAACAUGCUAAACUCGCAGGGCUGCGAAGUUGGCUCCCACCUUGAGGUUCCCAGCUUCCUUCUCGCGGUAUAUGUCGGGCAAAUUCAGAAGGAAAUACACCCUACUGUACAAAAAGGCUGCGAAAUCAUCUCGCAACAAAAGGGUGAUUUCGCAACACUUUGCAAAUUUCUUCCUUCAACUUAGAGUGAUCGACUUGCAGUGGCUGUAACUUCUUCUUUUCAACUCCAAAUUGCGCACUGUUUGAAGCAUUGGAUUGUUGACUUCCUGAGCUUUGAAAUGGUAUAUAGCAUGUACAAAAUGGACUUCGGGAAGUGCUCCAAAAGUGUGCAAGAAGACUGCAGCUGCUGUCCUCUGUUUUCUUCACUCUGUUUUUCCUCUCUCCUUUGUUCUUUCCUUGCAUACUUUGAACGACUAAGGCAAAGGAAUAUGAGGCUCCAAAGCUUGGUUCUUCAUGAAUUUGAGCUUCCAAAAGCUUUGUCAUAACUUGUCCAAGUAGCUCCUCCAUCAUUUGGCAUGCUUGAAUUGAUUCAUAAGCUGAUAAAAACAUGUAAACUUGCCAUAAAAUGGUUAAAACCAAAUACUAAGGACCUUAAUGAAUUAAUUGGGUUAAAUGAAUAUGAUUACUACUCAAAGGUGCUUAAAACCAUUAUAAUUAGGUCUACAAAAUAGCACUUUUUGGUAGUAAUCAGCAACCCAACUAUAGUUAAGUUCGAGUGAAAAUUAUGACAAUAAACUUAACCAUAGUUAAGUCUUUUGCAAAUGCAAUUGAACUAUACUUAAGACCAGGUGAAAAUAAGAUCAUUUUCUAUAUUCAUGAUGCUGUGAAUUUCUAGUAUCUAAGUUGUUUUACUACUUGAAUCCCUUGUCAUAUAAAUAAAGUUAAGCCUCCAUUAAUAUAGUUUAUAACGGCCUUGGGGGCGGCUGGGGCUCUGGGGGCUCCAGGGUUGUGAUGUUGGGAAGUGACUUUUCCUCCAGCAUCUGAGCAGAGGUAUUGCUUUAGAUGUCCUGCCUUGAUGAGCCUCUCGACCAGAUACUGGAGGCUUCUGCAUGUUUCUGUCGUAUGACCGUGUUCUUUGUGGAAGGCACAUCUCUUGCUAUGAUCCCUUGUGGAUGGGUCUGUUCCUUGGGGUCUGGGCCACUUGAAGUCGGAUAAGCCUUGGAUCAUAGGGAGAAGUUUUUCAUAUGAUAUGGAAAGAGGCGUGAGGGGCGGCCUAUCCUGGCGACUUGGUCCCUCCUGCCUCCGAUCGGACAACCUUGGCCGGUCCGGGGGUUUAGCAUUUCUUUCUGGGUCACCUCUAGACGCCCGUCCGGUAACCAAAACUUGCUGGGUGGCUGCACGCACAUCAUCUUCGAGCAUUGAAUAUUUGUUGGCACGUCUGAACAAGUCGUCCAUCAUUGUAGGAGGCUUUUUGGCUAACGAUUCGAAAAAUGGGGUGUCUGGACAGAUGCUUCGUUUGAAGAUCUGUAGGACAACAUCCAUGCUACAAGCCUCUACCUGAAGUACGGCUUGAUCAAAUCGCUUCACAAACUCCCUUAAGGAUUCAUUAUCUCGCAUUUUUAUGUUUUGCAGAGUGCUAAUGUUCUGCUUGUGUCGGGCGGAGCACAAGUAUUGUCCCACAAAAGCUUCGGACAGGUCCCUGAAAUUGCCAAUAGAGUUGGGAGGUAGGCGAUGAAACCAUGAGAGGGCCUGUCCUUGCAAGCUGGCGGGAAAUACUUUACACAGUAGUGCGUCGUUGCCAAUAUCGAGCGUCAUGAGCUGUCGAUAAUGCAUGAUAUGAUCGAAGGGAUCGUUGGUCCCGUCGUAUAUGGAAAAUUUUGGUACGAGGAAUCCCCUUGGGGGCUCGUAAUGAAUGAUAUGAGAGCAAAAAGGCGUGGAGAGCAUGUCAUCUAGCCUUUUGCUGAUGGAACCAAUGGGUGGCUCGUUUGGGAGGUUUCUCCCAUGUUGUUGUACCGCUAGGUGCGGGUGAACGUUCCGCAUCAUGGGGGUGAGCAUGGGGUCACGAUGCGGGAGCACGUUCUGCACCAUGGGGUUUAUCAUAGGGUCGGGGCGCGUUGCCCCAGUUGUGGCUACUGGUGGCCUUGGUCUCCCAGGCUCUUGUGGGCCUAGUCUUGCGCGCAUUGAAUUUGACAACUGAGAUCUUCUAUCGCGUUGUCUUUUCGCUGAAAAAUGAGUAGAGUCCGAGCUUUCCUCACGAAGAGCUCGAGGCAUAGGCGUGUGUGGCUCAUGAGGCCUCACGUUGCAUGCUCCUGGGAUAGCUCCUGCUGUUCCAGGAUAUAUAGACUUUGGCUCUGGCCCCGAGUUUGCUACUUGGCUUCUUGAACGCUGACGACGAGGGGGCCCUGAUGUUGAGACCUGGAUGCGUAAUACAACGUUUUCUUCUCUUAAUCUUUCUGUCUCCUGGAGGAGAACUUUCAGUUGUCGUUCGCUUGCCAACUAUCUUCUUUCGAUGGCUUGGCGCCAUUCAGAAUUAUCUUCUUCUCCCCUACCAGAUGAACGGCUUCGGGAAGGUGUGGCCAUCUUUACUGGUGACUGAAUCAGUGAAAAAAUUUCCCACAGACGGCGCCAAUGUUGAGGCCUCGCGUCCCUGGUGAUCCACGUAGUUGCCAAAUGGAUGGGCGCACGAUCUCAACCAAUAUAGGUUCUUGAUUCAGUCAUUCCAUCUGCAAAAGACGUCCGGACGGGGUGUCAGGACGCACCCUCCGAUGGUUUUGUCAGUCAUGGUUAGAGAGAGAGAUAAAUCAGUUGGCCUUUUACUAGGUAUAGCAAGCUUACCUUCCUCUUUGUGUGAAGGUUGAUAUCUAUAGUAUCAGAAGCUUUGGUUCUUCUUUAAUGGUGGGGAGAUAUUUUGUGUUGUCAUGAUGACACUAGGUGGUGACAGAGCCAUCAUCACCCUACGGGCGGUUUUGACAUAGAUCGUGGUAGGUGAUGCGGCUGUUAGAGAUCGAUGUAGGUGAUCAUGUGAAAUGAUCAUGGGAAGUGACUUGUUGUCACUUCAUCUUGUCCCUUCACUCUGUAGGUGGCGGAACGUGGGCCAUGGUAGGCUGUUGUGAUAACGUGUAAGACUUGCUUUACUUCAGUCAAUGACCCGGACAAUCAUAUCCGGAUGACCUAUGUUGGUCAUUCGGAUGUAUUGUGAAAGCCGUCCAGAUGUCUAUGUUUAUAAGUGUCGUUUGAACUUCCUUGAGUCAGUCCGGAUAUGAGGGGCGCAUCACAUGUAUCCGGAUGGGGGUGAUCCGGAUGGUAAUGCGUGCCAUGUGUCACCAUGAGGUGCGUGGCACGUGUUCUCAGGAGGAGGGGUCCCUACAGUUUACAUCCCUUAACAUCUUUUUGUGGCCAACAAUGAAGAAUAGAUGAAAGAAUAGUGAGAACUUAGGUUUUUCUUGGGCACGGAAACAAAAAGAAAAAGCAAAAUGAUGAUUGAAUAAAAAAGCAAAAAAAUGAUAUAUAAAAUAGAGAGAAAGUUGUGUUGGAGGAAACAACAAGAAGGGACAUUUUUGUCCUAUUCAAGUCAUUUUUUAUGUUUUUUGAGAGAUGGGUUAGUUUUACAAAUAUGAGUGUUAUUUUAACCCCUUUAACCAAAUAACCCUUAUCUAAAUGCCAAGAGGAUUGGGUCGAUUUUCAUUCACCCUAGCAAUGGCAUGAUGGUUCAAACUUCAAAGGACCUAACUAGUCUUUACAAAUCAACCACUCCUUCCAAGUUCACACAGCGUGUAGUUAAUGUUCCAUAUAAAUCAUAACUAACAUACAUCUAAAAUGUUAUUUUUAUUUUUUUAAUAUCAUAUCUUUUAUUUCUGGUAAAAGUGAAAACAAAUUAUGAAGUAUUUUGCACCUAAUUUUUUUGUAGAUUUAGCUUUACUAAAGUUUAAAAAUAUGUGUGGCUUUGGUCUAACUUCUUAUUAAAGUUUAAAAAUAAAAAACUAGCUAUCCCGGGACUUAUAACAUAAUCAAAAGGGGUCUUAAUUAACAAAAACUUUUUGUUCCACACAACCCUAAUUUAUAUUCCCAUAAUAAUUAAAAAAAUCAACUACUAAAUUAAUAAAAGUAAUAAAGAUUGUUUACAUAUAUUGAUAAUCAAAUCAACCUUCUCACUUUAGACAAAAAAACCCUAAGACGUCAUUCUGUUGAGUUGAUCAUCAAGAACUUAACACAGACACCACGCCAAGAAGUACUAAACACAAUUGAACUUUACACCAUUUUCAUCUUCUUCUUCAAAGAUUAAUUACUGGACUUGUCUCUUGACAUUCAAUGCAAAACACAGCACAACCUUACUUAAACUAACCCACUUCUUCAACCCCAUACUGUACUUCCCACCUCUUGGAUCCACUACCAUUGUUUCAACACCCUCUCCUCCUUCCACCUCCCUCUUCUCCUCCUCAGAUAGCACCCCCCAUAGCACCUCACUCUUUAGAAUGAAAAAUUAGUUCUGACUCGCAUCAGUGUUUGACCGUUCUAGUAUCUUUCUGGUAACAAAACCUGAUCCUUCCCCUCCAUGUUAUGAAUCACCUGCAGCAGUGGAAAAGGUAAUGAGGAGGGAGGUAAAGGUGGUGACGUCGGGUUUUCUUGAUUGCGCUCCUCCUCCUUUCAGGAACAAGGUCGUGUCCAAAUAUCCUCAUGGACUUUGUCUUCUUUGUUCUCUUGGCUUCUCGUUCCUUUUCAUGUGGCUCCAUUUCCGUUUCUGGUUUUUUUUCAUUCGGCUUACACUCCAUCUUCAUUUCUUGUUCUCUUGGAAUUCACAGCCACUAGUUGUUCAUCAAUGGAUUCAGGUGCAAAAAGAAGCAACUCUUAUAUACCUAAAUACGUUUGAAUGAACUUGUGAAGAGCUGGAUAUUAUUUCCCAGAACAUUUUGAGCAUGGACUUGAAUACUAAUGAGACCAAUGAAUGCACCACCAGCUGUUUUGGUUCAAUUCAGAUGCUCUUUUCACUUGUUCAAACGCAGUUCCUCAUUGCCCCUGACCUGAAUUUCCCAAACCAAACAUCAAAUAAUGGAGGUGGAUCAGAUAAGAUCCAAUAUCAAAUUGCUGCCAUGAAUCCCUAAAAGAAGAGAUCUAUUAGGUGUAGGGAAAAUGAAUAUCUUCUGCGACUGAUAGAGAGAGAACCAAAACUCAAAGAUCUGGAACAAGGUGAGACUCACCCCCUAAUCACCCAACUAGAUCGAUAUAUGUAUAUGGGGGAUGGUGGAAGAACAGAGAUAAAUUGGGUGGUUCUUAGCCGAGCCCUUCACUGUGUAGAUCAAUAUACUUGUCUUGUUCAAUUCUUGCAGCUAUUCCUAGGCCUAUAGUGCUACAAAAUCAAGAUAUUUUAUAGCCUGUUUAAAAAUUGUAUUAAAUCUCCAGAACUUCAAUUGAGAAUAACCUCAUGAAAAGAGAAAGAUCUUUCUCUCAAACUUUGCUAAAUCCAAUACAGACCCAAUGUCAUUAAAAGGUGAAUCCCUACUUCAGAGGUAAAGGAAAUGGCAAUAGUAGAAGUUAAGCAACUGACUUAAAUGGGAAAAUAUUGUAACAAGAUGUUUGUCUGCAAAGAAUUCAUCUCCAUCUCCCACAACCUGGAAAAAGAAGCUAUUAGUAAGGAGCAUGAGUCACAAAGAAUGGAACAAUAAGAGAAUGAUGAUAACCUGGUGCAGAUGACAAAUAAGGUCCAUAUCAUGCUUCUUUAAAGAUCCUGAAACUUUAUCUGGACCAAAGGUGCGUGAAACUCCCCUAUCAUUCAUUCGCCAACCCUUGCUAUCUCUACCGGGACGUGGCCAAAGUAAAUCACAAAGCAAACUAGAGUCUGGAACAUCAGUUGGACGGGAAAACUUCCUAAUUUGAUCCAAAUUUGUUAGUUCAGGGGAAAGACCACCAUGCAUGCACAAUAUCUUAUCUAUAAGAGCAGCCACAAGGAGACAAUUAAAACAAUCUGUGUAGUACGAGGGUUUCCAAAGUCUAACAUUGAACCAGGGUUAAUUGACUUAGUGAAAGAGAUACCAGAUUGGGAAGGAUUCCCAAAGCUUUUUUGUAGGAGAGAAGGUUCCAAAUUAGCGAAUAUAAACUAGCAGCAAAAAUACAACGAGGUAGGUCUUUAACAACUAGCCUAAAGUUCAUGCAAAAGAAUCUCGACCAAUUACACCCGUAGAUACCUUAGAGAACAACAUGUUCCAAGUUUUUAAACUCAAGAACUCAGCCAUAUUGAGUAUUGAUAGGAUAGGGAGUGAAGUAUCCACCAUAGGCUCCAGAAGCAGAGACGACGCCUGCGUAGACAUUCAUUUCAGAGACUGAGACUUUCACCCUAUUCAUCUCACAUCUCUUUUUUCCAAAAUUAAUGGACCAGAAACCUAUCCUCUCUCAUCAUCCCAUCACCAGUCAGAUUUUGUAAACAUUUCCAAAUUCAUCUUCAUUGAAGGAAAGAUAAGAGGUGAUAAGAAUCCAAGCACACAGUAAAUAGUAGAAGAAAGUUGUUUUAACUUCCCAUAAAUCUUUUCUACACAAUGUGUGAAAGUUUUAUUGUUUAUAUUAAUUUUCUUAAACAACAUCAUUCCAGAAGGUGAAAGAAGAAUAACACAGACCAUCCUCCUCAUCAUGGCAAAUGAGUAAUCAAUAAACAGUAAACACCCUCUCUUAUGAUAACUAAAAACUAAAUAAUAUAUCAGAAACAAAUCUUUGAUAGAUAAGACAAUGAAAGGCCAAUAUAUAAUAUUUCAUUACCUUCAAUUAUAAUCAAUAAUAACUUUGUGGCAGCAUUAAUAGAAACCAAGAAUUUGCCUGUGUGGUUACAAUGAAAAGAAUCAGAAAAAAUAUUUUCUACGUUAUGAUUUAAAGAGAGAAAGCACACCUUGUUUCUGAAGCAAGCAAGAAACAGUAGGAGCCUUGGUGUUCAUUUCCUACCUCCAUUACUGUGAGGGUGCAUGGGCAUUGCUUUAAAGGGUUUUACUGCAAAUCUAUUCAUACAAUACAAACAGCUUACUGGGAUUACAUAUACUAACUGCCAUUCAUCAUCUCAGUUUCCAGUUGCCACAAUGGAGAAGCUCUCAACUACCACAAACUUCUAAUAAAUGAGACAAAAUCUAGAAUAUUGAUGAAGGGCAUUGGAAAAAUGCUAGUCUUACAACCUUCUUUACCACUUGCUGAUGUGUGUGACAUUAAAUGUCACCAGAUUAAUUUACAUUUGAAUGUGCAUUAAUUAGUACAUUCAAAAAGAGACUCAAAUGAAUAUCUAUCAGUAAUUUAUAUUGUUUUUCUGGUUAACCAAUCAGUAUUGAUUAAAACAGAAACUAGAGCUACAGAAUCAAGGUUCAAGUUGUCCAUAUUGAAAUGGUAAACCGUUGAUCUCCUUCAUGAUCAAGUUAACAGUAGGUAAGUGUAAUGGCUAAACAGGUUCUUAACUUCUAGAAGCAUAAUCUUUAUUAAUUUCAGAUGGCAUAGGAAAGAGAAAAGACAAAAAGAAAAAGAAAAAUGACACCAAAAGGAUUUAAAACGGAGAAAAAAAAGAGAGGCAGCAAAUUCAGUUACCUUGUUGAUAAUAAGCUCUGCAUGUUUCACAAGCAGCAAUAGUGUGUCACCUGAAGCAGUACCAAUAGUGGCAGUGCAGUUCAUUUUUAUCAUACAAUAGAUUUCAAGACAUAAAUCAAUUAUCCACAUUAGACACAAGUACAACCAUGCUCAUGAAAGGUCAAAGACCACUUAUCCAUCAUCACAUGCAAUCAGAAUUAAUACCUGAGACUCAGCUAUUAAGCGAACCAUGGGCAGAACUAUUGGUUACAUCACAAAAUUUCGACGUUUCGUACAAACAGGUGGAAUUUGGAAGCGCCUCCAAAAGAAAUCAAUCGAGAGGUUGAGAAAAAUUAAAGAAAAAAAAAAGAAAGAAAGAAAUACAUGCAGGAAGCAGAGGAGGGCACAGUCUGGGGCUAUGCACUGAGGAUGGUUGUUCCUUGCUAGCACUGUAAUGAUCACUUCCAGUUCUUCCACAUGGACCUAUCAGAAACCCUAACCUCAAAAUUGAUGCGAACCUAGAAUUUGAACUGGAGUCAACUCUAAAUCGCUUGGGUAAUCUGGGUGAAUUCUCAUUCAAAAACAUGACCAAGCUAUUCAACUUAGCAUUAAUAAGAUACUGUGGUGCAUCAAGUUCUGCCCAUCGAAUCUUCAGACAUAGAGACUUCACGUAAGAGCACCCAUAUAUAAUUCUUCCCAUUAAAGACGAAUCCUUCUGCUGAAAUUUCUCCAGAAUGGUUACAUCUUCAGAACCACCAUAUUCAAGGUCUUGGUCCUUGUCUGGGUUGCUCCGUUCAGUGUCUCAUUUGAUCCAGUUCUGAAUCUAUUCAUGUCCACGGGUAUUUCCACCAGAUGCUUCAGCAGAUACAAGUGCGGAUACAGUGCUCUCAAUCACAAGAGAAUCACUCUGACGCCUUGCAUGUAGAAGGCCAAUCGUUGUCUCCAAUUUUCUUCAUUAUAGGUUCAGUGACGAGAUGACAUUUGAGAAUCUGGUACUGAUCAAACUUUUUCCUGGAAGGAGCAUUGAACGAGUCCUCUUCAUGGUCUGCAUUCCCGGCAGCUGUGGGCUUUGAAAAUGGCGCACCCAAAGGUGGCCAUGCACUCUUAUGCAGAAGUGGGGGCCCAUGGUGCUAUAGUUGAGCAUUGAAUAUGGACUUCAGGUCUUCUAAUCUUGGAUAGACUUCUGAUGCUUCAUUCAAGCACAUGACAUGGCAUCUCCUGCUUUAUUUCCCUUGUACAGGGCAGCCAUACCUGGGAGGAUUCCACCAUGGUCCUUUUGCCAUUGACGAAAAUCUCCAUGCAGCUGGUGAUACGACAUUCUUAUUCAGACUUCGACAAAUUGCUCACAGACAGUUUCCUUCAACUGAGAUAUCAUGUUGUCAUUGAUCUUCAGGUGUUCAGUUUCACAAAUAACUUUUUGUGCUUCAGACGUAUCAAAACACCCAGAAUCGAAAAUUAAUCCCCAAUCAAUUGGAUUCAACAACUUCUUUGCAUGUGUGAAGGCAAAAGAACAAGAAGCCUAAUGCUUUCUGGUUCUAAAAUAUCACAACCUACCGAAAAUUGCAAAUUCUGCAGGGCUAGAGAAACAUUAGGCGGAACCAUUUGCUUACAGUGGAGAUGAGGGUGGAAGGAAGGCAAGAAACAUGGAUGACUUGUUCUCCUUUGGCUUCUUGCUUAGUAACUCAUCAGUGAAUUCUAGCUCAACUGUUGUUUUCAUUGUGGGUGUCUUUGAUUCACUCCUCUGAUCCGAAGUGGGUAGCUGUCCUUGCUCCAGUAAAUCCGGAACCGAAAUUUGUCAAACAAUCUUGCAAUAGGAGCAGCUCCUUUUUCGGGGUCUUUAAGCUUCACACAGAGGCCUUGAAUGAGAGAGUCCCAUUUCUUCAGAAAAACCUCCAAAUAAAUCAGAAAAACCUCCAACCUUGAUAGCUUUUGCAUACACUGCUGCUGCAUCACUUUCUUCUCAUGUAAAGACUCGGCACCUUUGGCAAUGCCAUUGCACCAGAGCCACUAUACAGACCUCUGAAAAUGAAUGGUGAUCUAGCCAUACACCAUUAACGAGCUUCUCACCAAACUGCUACUUGUUGAAACUGUUCUUUGUCAUGUUAUGGCCAUGUCUAGCACCUUCCAUUCCAUGCAUGACCUGAUUAAGUCCUUCAAGUAAGUAUUCAGACCAUAGCUUAGCAAAAAGAGAGUCCCCUGGAAUCCCUUUAAGACCGGGUAUGCUGAAGUGAUUUGAGUGCCAUGAAGGACAGGUGAAGGACGGACAUUACACAAUUGGGAUCGCAGUACCUUCUCAGCCAUGGUAACACGAAGUCUACACAUAGUUCAUCAGUUGAAGCGUGCUCAUGCACAAGACUUGGGCACCACAGAUCUUGGAUUAUCAGCAUUUUGGUGACUGCUCAGAACCUAAACUUUAUAUCAUCAUCUAUGACUCCCAUUUCUGGAGACUUUUGGGGUUAGGUUUCUUCAUUGGCUACUCCAGAAAGGACCACAUAAAGCCUCUCUGGAAAUGGUUUUAGUUCUCCAUCUGAAAAUUCACUCUGGUUUGUUAGCAUCAAGGUAGGGACCUGUGCAAGGCUCCAUAUUCUUGUACCAAGCGUCUCUGCUUCUUCAGGCUGGCAAAAUGCAGCUCGAACAUCAUCUUGUUUGCCAUUUCAUGCAUCGACGUUCAUUCUCCCCUACCAAGUUGGGAUUUCACUUUGCUCAUACUUCUUUCCCCAACAAAGAUAUCUCAGACCCUGCUAGGAUCAAAGCUUGAAGCAGUGCCGUGAAAUAGAGGUCUAGUUUGUCCACACCUUCUCUCGGCAAUCUCAGUUUCCUUGAAAAUCUGGGGUGUGCCUUCCAGCAACUGCAUGAGCACCAGUGUACCGAACAAGCUUCAAAACUGCUCCCUGGCGAGCAGCAACAAUCUCCGUCUUACUAUCCACCAUUGUCUUAGGAAAAUUCUCCACAAUUAUGGUAUCCUUCAAAACUUUAUUGAAGCCUGAAGAAAUACCCUUUGUGAUCUGAUCCUUAGUGCAGGCUCUGGGGGUUCUGGAGAUAUCUCCUCUGCAGGUAAAUUAACUUCCCAUGCAAUCGCAACUUGAUUUUGAUCCUGCUAGUUCCAUUCUCGGAUUUUAUUGGAAGCACAGAGCCACGAACUGAUCCUUUCCUACAAACACUUGGUGAGAAAAUUCUAGUGUAGAAAUGAACCCAUGCUCUUUCCAUGGAACGAAACCCGAAAAUUGUAGAUUCAUCUAUCAAUCAUGCAAAGCAACACAAACACCAGAGAAACAUCUUCAUAGUGUGAGCCCACAAACAUCCAACCACAAACUGAGAACUCUCUUAAACGAAGACCACCUCUGCAUCUGACUAACCAUAAGCAGCCCCCAUUGUACCCAAUCUUCACAAAGUUUCCACCUCUCUCGAAAAUAUUCUUGUUAUUAUGAUCUCCAUAGCCAGGGCACCAAAGAAGGGAAGGGGAAGAAACACAGAUGCAGAAGCAUAGAGAUGAAAACCAAGAAAAACGGAGAAAAGGCAGACAAUGGGUGAGUAAUCAAACAAGCCACAUGUCAUUAUUUGUCAAUGGGCUUGGGCUGGUAGGAAGGACACUAGCAGAUUCCAAAUAAGAGAAAGACGGUCAAUAUCUUUAAAUAAUACACAAUGACAUAGGGCCUCACUGAGUUCAAACAAUGCUAAAAGAUAUAAAAUAAAAAAAAAAAAAAAAAACGAAUGAAACAAUAACAAGAAGCUUAUGAACAAAUAAAAAAUCAACAAAACUCACAUGUGGUCUGUGUCAUCCACAACCAAACAAGCAAACCAAACCCCAAACAGCAAAAAGAGAAGAUAAAUGACAUAGGAAAUGAAGGUGAACAAGAAAAUACCCAGUAAACUUCCCUGAGAAGUCCUCUAAGCAGCAGAGUUUGUUGAAUUUCUCAAUGCUCUCCCUCUAAUAGUCAUUCUUCCUUGAGCCCUUCUUCCUUUCCUUUCUGGUGUUCUUCUCUCUGCCUCUAACUCACUCCCUUACUGCCCAAACCUCCUCUCUAAAACCUCCUCAGGACUCCAAAACUCCUCAAAACCCAUUAGAAGAAAAGAAUCAAUCUCCCUACUAACAGCUCCCAAAAACCAUCAGCAACAGAGUGCUUUCCCCUAUAGCUCAGAACCCUCCCUCUGUUUUUUUUCUUCUCUCUACUCUAAAACCCAGAAAGUUCCAGCUCUCUUCUGCUUUUCGUUUUCUUAGCAGCUCCCUCACAUUUUCAUGUUCUCUCUCAUCUUCCUCUCAAAUUUCCACUCAACUCAUUCUCUACAACCUAGGAAAGUCAGUAGGCUCACCUCCUCUCUCCCAGCUCAGUCACCAAGUUCACCUCCUUUCCUUCUCUCAGCUCCCGCACCUGAAUAUCCUCUACCCGGAAUAUCCUCCUGACCACCACCAUGUCAGACAACAGUGUCCUUUGCUACGUGUCUCUUACAUCUCACUCCCCUGCAGAGAUUGUCCCCACUCUCUUUUCCAAAAACGUGCUCCAAAAGGGUGGGCCCCACAAAGGGCCAAAAAUGUUGAGUAAAGACGGAUGAAUAAAGAGUGAUGAAAAGGUGAGAAAUAAAAAAAUUAAAAAAAAAAGUCUUAAACACGCGCUAAAAAAGAAAAAGAAAAAAAAAAGGUAUAAUAAAAAUAAUAAUAAAAAUACAACAAAAUAGAGGAUAUACGAUAAUACAUCCCUAUAACAUGACAAAAGUGCUUUAUCUAUUAGAAUCAGAUCGAAUGGACCAAUUGAACUGGCUCGAUUGUCAGCAUUGAAACCAACAAUUUGGUUUCUUAAUCCAUCCAAUUUCCUCCAUUGGGUUUUUUGUGUUGCCAAAGUGAGCCUCUUAUUGCUGUUCAUUAGUCGCUGAUCGCAUUGCCCUUGAUGACCGAAAGGCCAGGUUGAUGAGGUUUAUAAACCUCUUUUCAUCCUCUUGAAUUUCUGAUAUGAGAUGAGAAGUAGCUUAUUUAAACAAAAUUUAAAGCAUGUGGAACAACCACUUUGUUGCUUACCAUGAUGUUAAAAAUUGUAAAACUAAAAAUAAAUUAUGUAUGUUAUUUCAAAUUCAAUAUAAGUAAAUAUAUAUAUAUAAAAGAUAAAAAAAGAUAUCAUUGAUUUGUAAUUAUAUAUAUACAUAUCAACCAAUGAAUCAUGAAUGGACAACUCUUAUGGAAUGAUCGGUUUUUAUUAGGUGUAUGUGCCAAAUACUCCAUCAAAAAAGUGCUAUGGGUUAAGAAUUUUAAAAUAUUUUAAUUUUUAGGGGUUUAACACUUGAUCCGAAAAGAUAUAGUCUUAUCUUUGUGCUAUAAAUAGGGAUAACAAUGAAAUAGGUUACUCUUAUCUCAACCUCGCUCAAUUUAUUCAAAAUAAUUUUCAUUAAAAAAAAUUAAACAAAUUAAACAGGUGGGGCAAGACGAAUAUGAGAAAUUCCUAUACUUAUCUUGCCCCACCUUGAACCUGUUCCAGGUUUUUUCUUUUAGAAAAAAUAUCAAAUCGUUUUAAACAUAUUAAUUUCAAAUUCAUCCUAUUAAAGACGAAACGAGCUUGUAAUAAAUAUAAAAAAAAAAACUCGGAUCAUUAACCUUAGCUUUAAAAGACAUAAGUACUAAAUAUUUUGAAGGGCCCAUAUGCACUUGGUAGGGGGUCUUGAAUGGAGCCUGAUGUUGGUCCUAUUUUCUAACUUUUAUACUAGUCUAAGAAGCAAGUCCUCUUGGGAGUGAGUUUUAUUUAAUUCAAGUGUCAACUUCAAUACUUGUCUUUCUCUAAGAAGUUUACGAGCUUCUUAAACAAACAAGAUGAAUGCCCAAGAUGAAACAAGUGUCAUAUCUCGUCAAACAAGAUGAAAGAUAGAGUAGUUGUGCCGAGGGAUGCAUGCUAGAUUGUUGUGUUAGAGAUGAAUGUUCAAUUUAAAAGGUUUUUCAUAAAUAUUAAUCUUUUCCUUUAUAGUUUCUUAAAAAUAAUUUUUGAAUUUGAAUAUAAAAUUAAAAUAAAAUAUUAAAUUUGAAUAUAAAAUCAAAAUGAAGUUAUGAACAUAUAAAUUUUUAUUAAGUCAAGUAAUUAAAACUUUAAAUUAAAUCUCUAAUAAAAUAGUUGAUGAAAUACAAAUCGGAAGCAAAUGAAAAUAUUAAAUUUUCAGUCACCUUUUAGGCUUAUAAGGACAAUGUUAUAAAUGACUUUUAUUAUAUUAAGUAAUUAAAAUCUUAUCUAAAUGAAAAGAUUAAAUUCUUAUUUAAGUUGAUGAUGAAUAUGAAAAAGAUAAAAUUUUAAAUUAUCUUUUAGGUUUGUGAUUUUAGUCUUUAUAAGGGUAUUUUUUGAAAUAAAAAGUGGAAAACAUAAAAAUAGCUUCUACUUUCAUUGGUAGGACUGUAGGAGACAUGACGGGAAUUUAAUUAUCUAAAACUCAUAUUUUUUUAGAUUUCUUUUUGCAUUUUUAAUAUGCUUUUUCUUUGUUUAACGGGAGAAUUUAAUUUUAUUUAUUUAUUAAAUUGUAACAAUUUUGAGAUUGUUUUCAAAUUUAUAAUACUUCGAUAUUAAAAAUAUUUUCAAAUUUAUAAUACUUUGAUAUUGAUUUUUUUUUUUUGAAAUUUACUAUAGUUUUGAUAAAAAUAUAGUUUUUAAAAAUAUUUAAUAAAAUAUAUAAGUUUUCAACUAUUUUCAAAUAAGAAACCUUUUUUAUGACAUUAAAAAGAAGUUGUGUUUUGAAUAAAUAGUUUUAGUUUAAAUAUAAAAGUUGACUUCUAAAAAAAUAAUUUCAAAAUUCAAUUGAAAUUGUUUCUAAUUUUUUAACCUUAAAGGGAUUGGUAAUUUAAAAAGAAUUAUGAUAUUUAAAAUUUUUUUUUUUAAAAAAAGUGCUUGUUUAAAAUAAAAUUAUGUAAAAGGGACACCGUUGGGGACCGUUGGGUAGACACCGUUGGGUACCUAGGGAGACAGGGACACGAAUCACUCCACUACUGGGGUUCACUUCACUCGCUCUACCCUUUUCCACCCCUAUAAAUUUGAGAGGGAAAAUAACAUGGCUCAAUUCAAGGCUUCCUUGUUAUUUCCUCGUUUAUAUCAACUCCUCUCUUCAUUCUAUCAAUUCCUUUUUCUCUGGUAAUUAAAUGACGACCUUCAAGCUCUUUGGUACUGAGAUAUCGGUGCCGAAGGAAAGAGAAAACAAGAUACCACCUCUCUCCCAACUGCCUUGUGCAAUCCUGCAUACUAAUAAAGGCAUGAAGGAGCGUGGCCGGGUUUUGGUGAUGAGAAAGACACUGACAACAUCCGAUGUGUCCGUGCAUCAGAGUCGGCUUUUCAUCACCAAUAGUAAGGUGCUGUGGAGCCAGUUAUUGGAGGAGGAGCAGAAGAAGGUGAAGGCAAAAGAGCACGUUGAAGUUGAGGUCGUGGAUCCCAAGGGGGGGAGGACUAGGAUGAAGUUGAGGCGGUGGCAGAGUUUGAAUAUACUUGUGCUGAAUUCCGGAUGGGUAAAGCUUGUGAAGGUUAACAAGCUGGAGGCGAAGGUGCAUUGUAUUGAGUUGUGGACUUUUAGGAUGGUGACAAGCUGUGCUUCGAUUUGAAUGUCGAAAGACAACGACAAUACCAUCCAUGAUGAUGAUAUAUCAUUCAUUCUGAAGAAUCUAAAUCUAGCUAUAAUGGUAUAAGUGUGUUUGGUCCGUCAUAUUUAUUGAUUUUGGUUUGCUUAAUUUGCUUUGUAUCUUGACUUGGAGUCGACCCUGUUGGUCUUUUUUUUUCCUUCGGUUUCCUUUGAAAUGUGCAUGUGUGAGUGAAAUAUGCGAGAAUGACGAUGAAGAUUGUAAGCUAUGGGCUUUAGUCAUGAUUUCCCCUCUUGUGUGAGUGGAAGUGUGAACACCUUUUCCAUGGGACUAUCACUAUUGUGGAGUAUACUCUCCAUGUAGAUUUUGCUUGUGAUAAUGAUCACUCUUGCCCCUUCAGCCAUGGAAAAUAAUAUCUCUCUCUCUUUCUCUCUUCUUUUGGUCCUCUUGAUUGCGCUCCUCCUCCUUUCGGGUCGCUUGGCUUCUUGUUCUUUAGGAGGCUCCAUCUUCAUUUCUUCUUCUAUUUUAUUCGGCGCCAUCUCCACUCCAAACAGUCCGAUGAUCUUCACUUCUUCUUCGUUGAGGCCUGACUCAAUCGGCAAGGGAUUGGUGUGGGAUGUGGGAACAGAAAAAAAAAAUUAUAUAUAUAUAUAUAUAUAUAUAUAUAUAUCUUUUGUUAAAGUUGCCAGCAUCUUUCAGAGGUUUUGUCCUUACUAAACUUGAACGUUGAAUUUUUAGGGGGAAAAGCCAAGAUGUUAGGACUGUGGGUCCAUGUCACGUGUGCUUGGUUUCGGCCUGAAGUUAUUUUCUAACACUACAAGAGAAUAUAUUUACGGCUGCAGCUAGAACCCCCAGCCAAGGGUAACAUAAGCGUGACUCUAAUAUACAGGUGCAGAUAUGGAAGACCGCAGCUAAGCGUCACCAUAGAUGGCGCAGAUAAAUCUUAUAAUUGCGGCCUCAUACAAUUGUGCGAAUAUAAUGUUCAAGUUAUAGCUGGACCAAUCUUUUUCCACUACCAAAUCGCUUAUAUAGCUGCUGCUCCUUGUAACCGCGGCCAUAAGGCUGCUACAACAUUGCCAGAGUGCCCUAUGGCACAAACAAAUACUGAUUCUAAUGCCCUAUCAUGUUCAAAUUUUGCUCCUUGGAUCUAUAUUCUGGAGCGUUUGGCAUGACAAGUUUUUCUAAUCUUUUUUUUUUUGACAUCCACAUCAUUUCUUAUGAUGUCAAUAUCCAUUGGAAAGAAAAUAUACUAUCUAUCACAAGAGUAUUUCAAUCUCAUUUUUCUCCAUAUAUAAAUAGAUUAUCGAGAUCUUAUCAUUAUCACCUACUUGUACCCUUUUAGGAGCGAAUUGUAAAAUAUAUACCUUUUCGGGGGUUAUUUGUUUAAACUAUACCUCUUUAGGGGUUUAUAUGCAAUUUCUUCAAAAGUGUCACUUUUUAUAUAUCUUUCCUUGUGUUUUCCUCUUCCACGGAAUGUGUUUGCCUCUUCAAGGUCUAUCACACUUCAAGUGUGCCUUAAACUUAUUAUUUAAUUGUCCUUCAGGGAUAUCAACUCAUUAUUUAAUUAUCUUUCAGAGACAUCAACUCAUUAUUUAAUCGUCUUUUAGGGACAUCAAUUCAUAUUGAAAUAUUCUCAAUUAGUGAUAAUGAUUGUGUCACUUUCCUUGCAUCAAUGAAAGCAUUUGGUAGUUAAUUUGCAAAUCCUUACAAAUGAAUAAUCUUUUGAACUUCUAGUUCACAUUAAUUAGUAUAAGGAUCAAGAUGAGUCAAAGUCAAUGCAUUUCAAAUAAUUUCACGUCAUUCUUUUGGAAUGGACUUUUCUCCCUUUAAAAGUGGGAAAAUUGUCUCAUUAAAAUGACAAUAUGCAUAACAUGACAUUAUACCUUUCAAGUGAAUAGGUAGACUAGUCACUAAAUAAAAACUUUUGGUUUUAUAAUAUACGUUUAUACGACUUUACAAAUAAUUAAUGCAUUAUCUUUUACCUCAAAGAACAAAGUUGAUCUUACAAGAUUCUUUUAUAUCUAACAUAUUAUAAAGUGUCAUUCAUAUGGAAUUAAAUACCAGUGACAUAGUAUAAACUCUUUUAGAACUUUUAAUAAGGUUUUUAUCACCUGAUAGUUUUAACAUUGUUUGUCAUCAAUGUUGUGCAAUUAAUGAGAUAAGAGUUUCAUCAAAAUAAUAAGUUAUAAAACAUGUCAUAAAGACCUCACCUUUAUAGAGUUAAAGAAAUAUUAUCAUAAAGGAAAAGUUAAAAUUAACAAGAAAAUAUUAAUCAUCGAUGAUGACUUAGCUUAAUAAGUUGUGUAAAAACAAUUAGAGCAUAUAUAAGACAACAAAACAAAUAUGAAAAAAAUAAUUUAAGUAAUAUACUUUUUAAAUAUCUAACACAUUUAAUUUUAUAAGUGUGGAGCAAGUUACACAUGAAAUAACUAAGAAGUAUUUUAAUAGUCAAACUAAUUGUAAUGAUUGAUCAAUAAUUUUAUUCAUAUAUCAUUAUGAUUUAAAUCAAUAUACAAAAAUUAAUUCAAAGGUCAAAAUUUCAAGUAAGCAUAUAAGGAUUUAAAGUAUCUUACAAUUUUUCCAUGUCUCAAAACUUUAAUUGAAACACUACAAAUCCAUCUAAAUAUAUAUGUAAAGAUAUAACAAAAUAUGUUAAAACCAGUAGUUCAACCUAUUGUAAUUUCAAAAUUAUUCUUGAAUAAUAAAAUUAUUGCAUUAAUAAAAAUACGAAUAAUACAUUCAAAUCCAAAUCAUAGAAAAUUAAGGACUUCAAUAAUUAAACUCUUGAAAAAAAAAUUCAUAUUUCAUAACUUUAGACUAUAAAAGUAUAUAAAAUUCUUAUACCUCUAGACUAUAGGGGAAACAACAAUGUUUAUAUUAUAAUACUUAUAAUAAUCUUUAUUUAUAUAUAACAUAUAUUUCGUUUCACAUAUAUGACUUUAGGUCACAAAUUUUCUAUAUAUUAUAGUCAUGAAAGAUUAUAAAAUUAAUUAUUCCACUUAGGUCUUAGUUAUAAGAAAUUAUAUAAUAUUAAUUUUAUUUUAUUUUUUGUAUAGCUUUUAGCUAUAAUAGGAUAUGAAAUGAUAAUCUCUAUAGUUUUCAUUUAUAGGAAAUACAUAUUUUCUUUCACAGGACUUCAAGAAUAAAUUUAUCAGAACUCCUAGUCCUAAUUUUAUUACGAUAAAAUGAAAAUUUUGCAUAAUAUCAAAUUAUAAAAUAUUCUCUCUAUAGCUUCUAGCUAUAAAAUUUCAUAAAAUUAUUAAUUGACAAUUUAAUUUGUAUAACUUCUCAUUAUACCAUAGCUAAAUUUUCUAUAUAACUUCUAGUUAUACACAAUUAAAAUACCAAUCUUUUCUUGUUUCUAUCUAAGUACAAAAAAAUAUGUUUUAUACAGCUUCUGGCUAUGAAAACAUUUUUUGUAUGGUUUCUACUAUACAUUCUAUUUUAUUGUACUAUAAAUUUAUAAAUUUAUACAUAACUUCAAGUUAUGAAAUAUUCAUUGUAUAGUUUUGGCAAUAAAAUUUUGUUUUGUAUAACUUUCGGCUACACAAUGUAAUUAAAAUAAAUUUAAAAGUUAAUAUCUUUCAUAACUUUAGGCUAUGAUUAUUUUGUCAGAACAAGAAAAUGUGUAAAUGUGUAAAUGUGUACAUAACUUCAGAUUAUGAACUAUUUUCAUGUAAAUUUGUACAUAACUUUAGGUUAUGAACUAUUUUUAUGUAAAUUUAUGCAUAGCUUUAAUUUAUGAACCAUCUUUUUAUGAAAAUUUGUGCACAACUUUAGGCUAUGAACUAUUCAUUAUAUAAUUUUGUACAUAACUUCAGAUUAUGAAUUAUUCACUGUAUAGAUUUAUACAUAACUUUAAGUUAUGAACUAAUUAUUUUUAUAACUUCUAGCUAUAAAAUUUUGUUUGGUAUAACUUUCAAUUAUAUCGUAUAAUUAAAAAUAAACAAUUAGGGAUCAUAUACAUAACUUCUAGUCAUGUAUUUAUAAUUUUGUAAUUUACCCUACAACUUUUGAUUACAAAAAUUGCACACAUUUUUCAUAACUUUUAGUUAUGAAUUUACUCCAUAAUUUUGUAAUUUACCUCAUAAUUUCUAGUUAUAGGGAUUACACAUAUUUUUUAGCUACAUACCUAUAAAAAAUUUUGUAGAUGAAUUCUUUUCUUUUUCUAUUUCGAGAUUCUUCUAUUUUUCUACAUACCUAGAGCGUCGUGCUGAUAAUGUGUUGUAAAAUAAAAGAAUGAAAAAAAGAAAAAAAAGAGAAAGAAAUUCUCAAAGAAAAGUAUAAUAAAAUAUAGGGAGAAAAUUGGAUCAUUUUUUAUUAGAGUCUAAUCCUUUUAUAGGGAGUUACAAAGAGAUAUACAUCAAUAUAGAUGAUUAUUACAAGUUACCAUUAUGCAUGGUACAAAGUCUCAUAAUUUAGAACAAGAAUGACUUUAUUGGAAGUCUUCUAUUUUUAGACCAAUAUAGAAUGUAACCAAGUAAAAUUAUAAAACUUGAGGUUGGUUUAUAAUUUACGCCUAAUUUAAAUUAAAAGGAAAGAGCUAGAUUGUGGUUUUUUUCCAUUUCUCAUUUAAUCUAGUGUAUUUAAUUUAGAGUAUGUAGAUUUUGUAUAUAUGGAUUUUGGGAAGUUAAAAAUAGCUAAUUUUAUUGGCUAAUUAUGAAGAUAUAAGUUAGAAAAUGAUCUAUAUAUCAUAUACAAAUCUUUGAUAGAUAAGACAAGGAAAGGCCAAUAUCUAAUAUUUCAUUAGCUUCAAUUAUAAUCAAUAAUAACAUUGGUGCAAGCAUUAGAAACCAGGAAUUUUCCAGUGUGGUUACAAUAAAGUGAAUCAAAAAAAAUAUUUUCUACAUUAUGAUUUAAAGAGAGAAAGCACACCUUGUCUCUGAAGCAAGAAAGAAACAGUAGGAGCUUGGUGUUAAUUUCCUGCCUCCAUUACUGAUGUGUUUUUUCAGCUUGGAAGGUGGGCAUUGCUUUAAAGGGUUUUAUUGCAAAUGAUUCAUAAAACACAAGCAACUUACUGGGAUUACAUGUACUAACUACCAUUCAUCAUCUCAAAUACUAUUAACUUCUAAUGAAUGAGACAAAAUCUUGAAUAUUGAUAAAGGGCAUUUGAAAAUGCUGGUCUUACAACCUUCUUUACCAUCUGCUGAUGUGUGUGACAUUAAAUGUCACCAGAAUAGUAAGUAGUAAUUUAUAUUUGAAUGUGCGCUAAUUAGACAUUCAAAGAGAGACUCGAAUCAAUAUCUAUCAGUAAUUUAUAUUAUUUUUCUGGUCAACCAAUUAGGGUUGAUUAAAACAUGUAGAAACUAGAGCUACAGAAUCAAGGUUCAAGUUGUCCAUUUUUGAAAUGGUAAACCGUUGAUCUCCUUCAUGAUCAAGUUAAUAAUAGGUAAGUGUAAUGGCCAAACAGGUUCUUAACUUCUAGAAGCAUAAUCUUUAUAAAUUUCAAAUGGCAUAGGAAAGAGAAAAGACAAAAAAAGAAAAAGAAAAAUGACACCAAAAAGAUUUAAAAUGGAGAAAAAAAAAAGGCAGCAAAUUCAGUUACCUUAUUGAUAAUAAGCUCUGCAUGUUUCACAAGCAGCAAUAGUGUGUCACCUAAAGCAGUACCAGUAGUGGCAGUGCAGCUCAUUUUUAUCAUACAAUAUAUUUCAAGACAUAAAUCAAUUAUCCCAUGCUCAUGAAAGGUCAAAGACCACUUACCCAUCAUCACAUGCAAUCAGAAUUAAUACCUGAGAGUCAGCUAUUAAGCGAACCAUGGGCAGAACUAUUGGUCACAUCACUAAAUUCCGACGUUUUGUACUGAUAAGCCAAGAAAAGAGGAGUUAGUUAUUGAUCUCACGAGAUGAAGCCCACUUGUUAUUUGUUAGCUUUAUUGUUAUUGGUUUGUUAUUUUACCAACUGUAUUUUAGUUGUACCAGUUGUUAUUACAGCUUGUCUCCAUCUAUUGUAACAGAGUUCUUUGAACAAUAUAUAUAUUCAAUUUCUCUCUCCUGCUUCAAAAACAAAGAGAGCAAAGUUUCAGUUGCAUCUUUUCUAUCUUGGUAUCAGAGCUCACGUUCAAGGUGUGAAUUUUUCUUCUCUUUCUCACUUUCUCUCUGUUUCUCUCUAUCCAAACAUGGCCUCUACUUCUACACAAUCUUCUUCUUCCUCUAGUUCGAUUGGAUCUGGACAAAGCUCAACAAUGGCGUCCAUUCCUUCCUAUCAGAUGCUUAAUCACACUCUGGCUAUGAAACUUGAUUAUACGAAUUACAUCCUGUGGAGAUCUCAGAUUGAUAAUGUCGUUUUUGCUAAUGGCUUUGAGGAUUUCAUUGAUGGAACCUCUAUCUGUUCGGAGAAAGAUCUGAGUCCAGGAGUGAUCAAUCCAGCUUUUGUUGCUUGGAGGAGACAAGAUCGAACAAUCCUCAACUGGAUCUACUCAUCGCUCACACCAGGUAUCAUGGCACAGAUCAUAGGCCAUAAUACUUCUCACUCUGCUUGGAAUGCCUUGGAAAGUAUUUUUUUUCAUCUUCUUCAAGAGCUAGGAUAAUGCAACUCAAACUCGAAUUACAAACCACAAAGAAAGGGUCAAUGUUGAUGAUAGACUACAUAAUGAAGAUCAAAGGAGCUGCUGAUAAUCUAGCUGCUAUUGGAGAACCUAUCUCAGAACAAGAUCAGGUUAUGAAUCUUCUUGGAGGUUUUGGAUCCGACUACAAUCCUGUUGUUACUGCUAUCAACAUUAGAGAUGAUAAGAUCUCUCUUGCAGCUAUACAUAGUAUGCUAUUAGCCUUUGAGCAUUGUCUUGAGCAACAAAGCUUGAUUGAACAAAUGUUUGCCAAUUAUGUCUCUUCCUCUAAUAACAGAGGUGGUGGAAGGAAGUUUAAUGGAGGUCGUGGACAAGGCUACGCUCCAAAUAACAAUAAUUACACCUACAGAGGUCGUGGAUGUGGAGGUAGAAAUGGACAAGGUGGAAGACAAAAUUCUAGUCCAAGUGAGAAACCUCAAUGUCAGUUAUGUGGUAAGUUUGGCCAUACUGCUCAGAUCUGUUAUCACAGGUUUGAUAUCUCUUUUCAAGGUGGUCAGAUUACUAUUUCUCUUUCUUUGAAUAAUGGGAAUCAAAACAAUAUACCUACUGUGGUUGCUUCUUCUUCUAAUAGUCUUGCAGAUGAGAGUUGGUAUUUGGAUUCUGGAGCAAGUCACCAUCUGACUUAGAGCCCGUUUGGCAGUGAUUUUUAAAAGUGUUUCUACCCUUAAAAACACUUUUAAGUGUUUUUGAGAUGAAAAUAAAGUGUUUGGCAAAUUUUAAAAAACACUUUUGAAAAUCUGGAAAAAACACUUGAAGUGAUUUUUAGAGAAUCACUUGACAGGUGUUUUUUUAAAAAAAACACUUCAAUUUUUUUGAAAUAUUCCAAAAAUGCCCCCAGUGAUAAAUCAAUUAGAAAAAUCUUUUUUUUUUAUAGAAAUUAAUAGGUGGUCAUAUAUUGUUUUACUUUUAAAAUUAUCUUUUAUUCAAUGUUCUUUUUUUUUUAUUAUUGAUUUAGAUGUUUUUUGUAAAUAUUUUUUAAAAUUUUAGUAUAGUGAUAAAAAAAUUAUUAUUUUUAAUUAGAAAAGUCUUUUUUUUUUUUAGAAAUUAAUAGGUAAUCAUAUAUUGUUUUUAUUUUAAAAUUAUCUUUUAUUCAAUGUUAUUUUUUUAGUGAUUUAGAUGUUUUUUCAUUAAUAAAAAGUUUUUUUUGUUUAUCAUACCAUUUUUUUAAUUAAAAUUGUAUGUCCUUUUUGGUAAUUUAUUAAUAUUAAAAGUGUUUUUAUAUUUAUACAAUAUAUUAUCAAAAACACUUUAGAAUCAUUUUUUCUAAUUAUCAUAAAAGUGUUUUUCACAGAAACACUAUAGCAGAAAACACUUCAAAUAAAAACACUUCCACUAGAAUCACUACCAAACGGGCUCUUAGAAUUUGGGAAAUCUAACCAAUACUUCACCAUACACGGGAACAGAUAGAGUCACUAUUGGUAAUGGUAAGCAUCUCUCUAUCUCCAAUAUUGGCUCUAAACAACUUCAUUCUCAUACACAUUCUUUUCAACUCAAGAAGGUGUUUCAUGUUCCCUUUAUCUUAGCUAAUUUGAUUAGUGUGGCUAAGUUCUGCUCAGAUAACAAUGCCUUGAUUGAGUUUCAUUCUAAUGUUUUCUUUGUGAAGGAUCGACAUACGAAGAUGGUUCUUGCUCAAGGCAAGCUUGAACAUGGGCUUUACAAGUUUCCUGUGUUCAACAACAAGAAACCUUAUAGUUGUAUUAAUAAUGCUUCUGCUUUUCAUUCCCAUUUUUCUAGUACUGUUGAAAAUAAAGCAGAGUUAUGGCACAAUAGACUAGGCCAUGCUGCUUCUGACAUUGUUUCAAAAGUCAUGAAUACUUGUAAUGUUGCUUCUGGGAAAUAUAAAUCUACUGUUUGUUCUGAUUGUUAGUUAGCUAAAAGUCAUAGACUACCCACUCACCUCUCAAAUUUUCGUGCAUCUAAACCUUUAGAACUUGUUUAUACUGAUAUUUGGGGACCUGCCUCUGUUAAACCUACAUCUGGAGUGAAAUAUUUCAUUCUUUUUAUAGAUGAUUAUUCCAGGUACACUUGGUUUUAUUCAUUACAAACAAAGGAUCAGGCCUUUCCCAUCUUUAAGCGAUUCAAGCUUCAAAUGGAGAAUCAGUUUGACACGAAAAUUAAGUGCUUACAGUUUGAUAAUGGUGGAGAAUUUCAAUCUUUUAUGUCUUUUCUUCAAGCAGUUGGUAUUGCCCAUCGAUUCUCCUGUCCAUACAACUCAACUCAACUCAAAAUGGUAAAGUUGAGUGGAAGCACAAACACGUAGUUGAGAUUGGGUUGGCUUUGCUAUCUCAUGCUUCCUUGCUAAUGAAGUACUGGCACUACGCUUUUCAAACAACAACUUUUCUUAUCAAUCAAAUGCUAAGCAAAGUUCUCGAGUAUGACUCUCCUUACUUCACUCUUUUUAGAAGGCAUCUUGAUUAUAAAUCUCUUUGUGUGUUUGGCUGUCUCUGUUAUCUUUUCAUUCGGCCAUACAACACUUAUAAAUUGCAGUACAAAUUUGUCCAAUGUCUUUUUCUUGGCUAUAGUUUGAAUCACAAGGGGUUUUUAUGUCUUGAUUAUGCAACUAGAAGAGUCUAUAUUACUCCCCACAUGGUCUUUGAUGAAUCAACUUUCCCACUUGCUCAGUCCAAGUCUUCCAUUUUGUCUAAUGAUACUUUAGCAGAAGGCUCUACUCCUGCCAUUAUAGCUCCUACUUUUUUUCCUACUUCAUGUCUUAUCCUAGAUUCAAAUAUCAGUCAUACUUCCAUAGAUUCUCAUUCUCUAUCCACAAGUGAAAGUCCUAUUCCUACAGACUCUUCUUCACCUCUGGACACAUCUAGUUUUUCUCCUGCUACAGAUUUGCCACCUGAAUCUGUUCCAGAACCUCAAGUCAUUGCUCCUGCUCUACGAAUGACAACAAGGUCUAUGAAGGUAUAACCAAGAAAAAGACCAUUCUUGAUCUCUCUGCCAUAAAGGUUUCAGAACCAUCUACUCUCAAACAGGCCUUCAAAGAUCCAAACUGGACUAAAGCUAUGGAAAUGGAGAUUGCUACUCUUCAUCGAAACCAUACUUGGGAUCUUGUUGAACAACCACCCGAUGUCAAUGUGAUUGGUUCUAAGUGGGUGUAUAAACUGAAACAUAAGCCAGAUGGGAGUAUAGAGAGGUAUACAGCCAGGCUUGUGGCAAAAGGAUAUAAUCAGACUCAUGAUCUGGACUAUUUUGAGACCUUUAGUCUAGUAGUUAAGGCUGCCACUAUUCGCAUCAUACUUACUGUUGCUCUCAGUUUUAAGUGGGAAAUUCGGCAGCUUGAUGUCCACAAUGCCUUCCUCAAUGGUGAGUUAGAAGAAUAAGUCUAUAUGUCUCAACCUCCUGGAUACUUCGACACUCAAUUCCUAAAUGGAGUGUGUAGAUUGAAGAAGCCUUUAUAUGGCUUGAAACAAGCCCCAUGAGCUUGGUUUCAAAGACUCAGCUCUGCUUUUCUUCAGUGGGGAUUCAGCUUGUCUCGGACUGAUAGUUCUAUGUUUCUACACUUUGGUCAGGCUACUACUUUGAUAGUUCUUGUCUAUGUUGAUGAUAUAAUCAUAACAGGCAGCUCCUCCACACAGAUUUUUUCUCUCAUAGCUAAACUUGAUUCAAUUUUUGCCUUACGAGACUUGGGUCAACUCUCAUUCUUUUUCGGUAUAGAGGUUUCUUACAAUGAAGGCUCUAUGAAUUUGAGCCAAACCAAAUGCAUUUCAGAUCUGCUUCAUAGAACUGAAAUGUUUGAUACCAAACCGGCAAAAACACCUGGUACUAUUAGGAAGAACUUGUCUAAAUUUGAUGGAGAUCCUAUGGUAGAUGUUACUCAUUAUCGAAGUGUAGUAGGGGCACUUCAGUACGUUACCUUGACAAGACCUGAUAUAGCCUUUGCUGUCAAUAAGGCAUGCCAAUUUAUGCAACAACCAACCACAACUCACUGGCUCUCAGUCAAACGAAUACUUCGGUAUCUAAGAGGAACAAUGCAAGAUGGGCUCUUGUUAAGUCCUUCAAGCAACUUGACAAUAGAGGGAUUCAUAGAUGUAGAUUGGGGUGCUCACCUUGAUGAUAAGCGCAACUCAAGUGGAUAUCCCGUUUAUCUAGGAGGUAACUUAGUCUCUUGGUCCUCUACCAAACAAAAAGUAGUGUCUCGUAGCAGUGCAGAGUCUGAGUAUCGUGGCCUUGUUUUCGCUACUGCUAAGAUUGUUUGGAUACAAGCCUUAUUUCAAGAGUUAUGUGUGCCAAUACCUGCAAUACCUCUACUUUGGUAUGAUAAUAUCAAUGCUUACCAUAUGGCAAAGAACCCUGUGUUUCAUGCUAGAACUAAACACAUAGAAAUAGACCUUCAUUUUAUACGAGAUCAAGUCAUGAGAGAAAAGAUACAACUGCACUUUGUUCCCACUGAAGAGUAGCCAGCAGAUUUAUUGACUAAGCAUCUCACAAGUUCAAGGUUCUUGUCCCUCAAAUCUCAGCUUUGUAUAGCUCUAAGACCCUUUCACUUGAGGGGGGAUGAUAAGCCAAGAAAAGAGGAGUUAGUUACUGAUCUCACGAGAUGAAGCCCACUUGUUAUUUGUUAGCUUUAUUGUUAUUGGUUUGUUAUUUUAUCAACUGUAUUUUAGUUGUACCAGCUGUUAUUACAACAUGUUUCCAUCUGUUGUAACAGAGUUCUUUGAACAAUAUAUAUAUUCAAUUUCUCUCUCUUACUUCAAAAACAAAGAGAGCAAAGUUUCAGUUUCAUCUUUUCUAUCUCGUACAAACAGGUGGAAUUUGGAAGCGCCUCCAAAAGAAAUCAAUCGAGGUUGAGAAAAAUUAAAGAAAAAAAGAAGAAAGAAAGAAAUACGACAGAUCAGGGAAAGGAUCAAAGAGCCUAAAACUCAGUUUUGAUUGUUCUACAUUUUCCGAUAAAUUGAUGAAGUGCAAGUCAAGUAAAGAGAACCAAACAAGUAGCGAAACUUAAAACUGAAAAACAUCCAAUUUUCAUUUCAUUUUCUUACAUUUUCUCAGAAACCAGAGGAGGUGAGCCACUCUGCAAUUCUUCCUUUUUUCAGUUCUCUUUAUUUUGAAUUAACGAAGCCGAAGCUAAGUAGAAAUCAAGAAAUAAGAAGCGAAAAGUCUUGAGAGUGAAAGUUCUUCGAUCUUGGCUCAAUUUUCCUCAUUUUUCUUGGCAACCAAACAGAGAAGAGACAUACUUGUUUCCACAAUCUAGAGCUUUCCACGGCUGGAGAAGACGACCACGGUAACAUUGACAUCGCAGAGAACAGAGAGCUGGCGAGGUUUCUUGAUCUAGCCAUUUCGCCUCUUGGAGAAGGUCACUUGGCGACUACUCGUCUUUGAUUCGCUUCAUCCCGACCAUAACUCUACUUCGAGCCAUAACUCAGAGAGAGAGAAAAGAAGACUUCCUACAAUUCCGAUCCCUCUUGCUCCGGUUAUGGGAUCCUUGCUCUUAACCCCCCUUUGAACAUGAGUGGAAACAAAGCUGUGGGCUGUGCAACGAGAAUUAAAUCAUCCUUCUAUUUUUUAUGUUCAGAAAAUAUAAAGCUAGAGAAAUAAAGUGAAAGAAAGUAAAAAAAAUAUAAUUAAAAUUCAUAAAUAAAUAUUUAAUAAUCUUAAUAACUUUUAAAUAAUAAGAAAAAUUUGUGAAGAAUAUUUUGAAAAGAAAAAAGUUUUCAAAAAGAACAUUUAGAAAAAAAAUAUUUAUUUUCCUUUUUAUAUAAAUAAAUAUAAAUGGAUUGAGAAGAAUUUAAAAUAAUUUUAAUGUAAAGUUAAUUUUAGAUCAUUUUAAUAAGUUGGUAUUAGAUUAAAGUAUUUUAUUUAAUUGAAUGUAUCCAAUUUAUAAUUUAUAGGUUUUCUACUAAUUUUAGAAAAUACAAAUCAUUGAGAAAAAAAUUUAUAUACUUUUACAAAAAUCUAAUUUUCAUAUUCUUACAUCACAUUUUAGGGUCGUAAAGAUAUUCUAGAAAAUAGAUCUUUUAUUGUAGUUUUAAAUUUUAGAAAUUAGUUUUGUAAGGUUUAAUUAUGAUUCAAUCACUUGAUCUCAAAGAAUAAAUAAUCAGGCAUGAUUAAGUAUUUUUUAAAUUCCACUAGCUAACGUGUCAAAAUCUUAUGGACACUGCAGCGAAUCGCAGUGCACCACCACGCAGAGGAUCCAGGUCCUUACCCAAACUUUUGAAUUAAUCUUACGUGUCGAAAUCUCAUGCACACUGUGGGAAAUUGCAGUGCACCGCAUCACAGAGGAUCCAGGCCCUCAUCCACACUUUUGAAUCCAAGCGUUUCCCGCGUCUAUAAAUAGCGAAGCAUGAACUUCUCAGAGCUCCGUUUGUGUUGUUUCUGAGGAGUGAGGAUUGAGAUUUGAAGAGGACAAAAUGGGGAAGCGAAUGAGAAGAGAGAAGUCCAUUUGCUGCUGCAACUCUCCUCUCGCUGGUUUCUCAUGGUGCUUGUACUCUCUUCAACUCUGCGAGUUUCUCUCUGAAAUCAGCUCGAAUUUCAUGAAAUUUUGAAUAUUUGGUUUGAAUUCAGCACAUUUAUCUGUAAAUCCAAACUCGAAUUUCCUGAAACUUUGAAUUUCGUAAAUAAUUUGAUGAAACUUCAUGAUAAUGUAAAAUAGUUCCAGGCAAUGAAUAUUUAGUUUGAAUUCUAUCAUAUUUGAUGUAGAAGAAGCUGUCUCUCUCUAUUCUUUCUCAAAAACUCUACCGAUUCCUCUUACAGAUCCACGGGAAUUUCAUGAAAAUUUGAAUGAUCAAUUUCAACCUUGAUACAUCUAUCAAUCGAACUCUCUUUCUGUAAUGUUUUCUUUGGAAAACAAUGCCACUCCAAAUAUGAUUUGAAGUUUGCUCGAGUUUUCAUGAAUAAGCAUAAUCAGAAAAAUGUAAACUAUUACCAGAAACUCUCUCUCCUUCAAGUUUGGUACAUUUAUGGACAACUAUCUCUCACUUCCGAUGCAAUUUGAUGCAAAAAAUCAAUGUGAAUAUGGAUAUCAUUUGAUAUUGUCUUGAACUGUUUUACAUUAUCAUAAUCAGAAGAAUAUGGAAGACUAAAGUCGAAUUUGGAUUUCCUAUACUUAUCCAUUAAUCUUAAUACAGAGAUAAUAUUAAUCUUCACUCAUUAGCACAAUCAGAAGAAUUGUCGAACACUACCAGCAGUUCUCUCUCCCUUGCUUGAGAACUCUAUGAAUUUCUCUGUCAAAUUGCUUGGAUUUUCAUGAAAUCUUGAAUGUUUAUUUUGAAUGCUGUACAUUUCAAAUAAUAAAGUUUAUACUAAUGAAAACAUUAUUUUUUUUCCUUUUUAAAAAAAAAUAUAUAUAUUUCACAGCCAUUGAAAGAAAUGAAUUUCUUUUCUGAUUUGGAUCUCUAUACCCUUUACUGUUUUAAUUUUUAUAAAAAUUAAUACUAUAUGAGUCCUAAAUUUAUUAAUACUCUAUGAGUCCUAAAUUUAUCCUUCUCUCAUCCAGAUUCCUUGCAACAAUACUGGUCAAAUGUUUCUUUUUUAUUUUGACCUUUUUAUGUGUAUUGCUUUGUAUUGCAUGCAAAAAGGUAUGAAGAAGACAUAUGGACAGAGAUUGCAAAGCACCUGGAUGGUAAAUCUCUGGUGAUGCUGGGAACAACAAAUAAGUGGUUCCACUGUCUGAUCAUGGAGGACAGUAUAUGGAAGUUUGCUUGUCUGCGUGAUCUCCAGCUACCAGAACCACAACACACAUUCCUCAAUUGGAUCAAGCUUUAUGCUUCUGCUUUCGGUAAUGAGCAGGGUGUUAAAUUUUCUCAAUAUUUCAGUUAUGUUAUGGUUCUUAUAGUGGAUUAGUAUCACCAUCUGCUUAAUGACUGCCUUGCAGAUGGAAGUCACUCUUUCAUGUUCCGUCAGCGGGAGAAACAUAUUGGUAAUUGCCCUUUCCUUUUUACUGUUAUCUGGAUUUUUUUGCCUUAGUUGCAAGAGACACCAAUUAGUUCUCAUGGUUGAAGCGGCUGCUUCCAUAGUCUUUGAAGACUGUUCUUAUGAACAAUUUUCAGUUAUUAAAUAACAGUGCACAUUGUUUAGGGAGGAGGCUAAUUCGAUGCAGUUAAGGUGACAAAUUGUUUGGAAAGCACAGACAAUAAUUGUAUACCAUCAAAGUAUUGUAACUUUUCUUACUGACGAGUCUUAAAAGAGUGAUGGAACUCAUUGUGCCACAUUAUGCCACUGCUUGUGCUUUAGCAGAGUAGAAAGGAUCAAUCCCAUGAGUCUCAAAAGAUUAGAUUAUUAUCUAGUUUUGGGUUCUGCCCUUGGAUAGGACUCAGGACGCAUCAAUUUUAAGUUUACCCUAUUUUUCAUCUACUUUUUUCUUAACAGGGAUAGACAAUUUGUAAAUUUUUUUCUCCUUAUCAUCAUUCUCACCAAACAUCAUGAAAUGCAGUUUUCAAAAUAUGAAUUCAAAGUCUAUCUCUAGAUUCAUAAUUUUUCACGCAUUUCUUUUUUUUUUUUUUCUUUUAAUGAAACCAAAUAGAUUGGAUGCGAAUCGAAUCCAAUUGCGCUCCUAGCUGAGAAGCUGAGUUGCCCCUUGAAAAUCCCACAAGGUGAAAACUUAGGGAAAACAUUGGAGUCAUGCGGCUUCUGCAUAUUGAACAAUAUCAAAACGGGGAUCUGGAUAGCUGGUACUUCUAAGCAUUGAAGGAUGUUGUGUUCAAUUACUCCGACUAGUGUCACUCCAGCUAAUUACAUAUUUUUCCUGGAUUUGUCUUUUCAGAUCUACAACUUGUUAGAUGCCCUGUCUGUGACCUCAACACAUGUGAUGGUAAGCAAGAACCCAUCUAUCAAUAAAUUUGAACUAUUAAAGAGACAUUUAUGUUAAUGCUGGUUGAAGAGUUUGAUUGUAACUUGACACACACUGGGGCUAUUUGAGCUAGUUAGCCUAAUAUAGACAAAAGGCCAAACUUUACAGAAUGUGGAACACUUCCCAUUUUUGCUGAAGUAGUUCAAGGGGUAGGCUGUUAAUAUGCUACGGGCUAGGCAUAGAGAUUCUCUAAGGAACAGAUCUUGCAGCUUGCUCUGUUGUAUUCAUUGGAGGAUCAUGCUUGGCAUUUUAUACGGAAGUGAUUGAUCCACAUUGUUUUGCUUUGUUAGUAAAACCAAACUGUAAAUUCUGAAGCUAGAGGGCAACCAGGAAUGCACCCUAAUUAGUUAUUUCUUGGUUUACAUGAGGCCAAAUUCAUUAGCCUUCCAACAAGUAGGAAACUUCACAGAGCAUGUUUUUUUGGUAUUUUUGAUUAGACAACCGUAUAUUCCACUUAAACUAGUCAUUACAGAGCAUGUUUUGGUAUUGUACUUUGGCGCACUAUUUACUGUCAUUAAAUUAUACAUAACUUUCUUUCCCUAUCAUAAAAAAAUAAAAUAAAAAAGAAAGAGAAACACUUGUUCUAUUUCUUUGUAAAUGCAAAAUACAGCAGAUGUAUAUGCAACAAUCACGAAAGGAACUACUGUUUUUUUUUUUUGGGUUCUAAAUUGGUCUUUUAUCUAAUGCUUCAUUCAACGGUCAAACCUUAAAAAUAAAUAUUCUUCUCUCUUUAAAAUCCCUUCAGAGUUUAAACAAACUAAAUACAUUAAAUAAAAUAAGAAAUGGAAGAAAAAUUGAAUUUUUAAUAUUUAACUGUUAAAUUUAAAUAAUUAAAUAAUUUUUUACUAAAAUUAAUUAAAACUAUUGGAUAAUAAAAUAAAGUCUAUUAAAAUUAUAUUAGAAAAUAUUUCCAAAACUUGUUUCUAUAAUAUAUCAAAUUCAUAAAACUUUAAAAUAAUAAUGAUGCCAAAUAUUGAAAUAUAAAUGGAAUAAUUUUAAUUAAAUACAAAUUUUGCUAAAAGGAUUUGUUUGAAUCCAUUUUAUUUUGAAAAAAAAAAAGUAUGUUUUGGGUAGAUCCCGUCAAAAACCCAAAUCCCGUCAAAAACGGUCCUCUUAUUUUCCCAUAUAUUCCCGGAAUCCCAAGAAUACGGUGAAACCUAACUCUAACCUCUUCUUGUUACAACUGGACGACGCAGAUCCAAGGGUGUGGGAUACCCAUCAUCAUCGGCUUCUUUACAUGUGCUUCAGUGGCACUGCACUUUCCAAGCUCCUUCCUUUCCAUCUCCCCUCGUCCUCUCUCUCUCUCUCUCUCUCUCUCUGAAUUGUGAUGGAGCAGCAGCACCGCCAGCAUUCUCAGUUUAAACCUUCUCGUCGAAGGACAACUGACUCUGCCUUUUUUGUUUUUUAUUUUUCUUUGCUCGUCCACAGGUAUGCUUUUGUUGCCUUUUGUCUUUUACCAUAGUAUCAAACAUGUCCAAAUCUGGGGUUCCCAUUUUGAUUUCUAGUUUUCUUCAUUUCUUCAAGCUAUUUGUGCUGUUUUCUUUUAGGGUUUUUUAUUUUUUUAUUUUUUUAUUUUAUGAAUUUAUGUUUUUUUUUGGUAUGUGUAUUUUUCUUCCAUUGCUGUGGAAAUCACAAUAUUGAGUUUUUGGUAUUAGGAUUUGGAUGUCAAAAUCACGAGAUUUUGGUGUUUGAUUAGGGUUAGGGUUUUUUAUGUUCAUGCCUAUUUUAGCACUUGUAUACGUAUGUUUAGAGAAUGUUGUUUAUUUAUGUAUUUUUCUGUACAUUUUUGUUAAGAAAUUCUUCUUUAUAUUGCGAUUCCUAUCGAAAUUUAAGGAAAAUAAAUUUUCAAUUUUACAGUUUCAUGCAUAAAUACUUGAAUUUGGUCACAUGGAGAUUGAGAUGGUAAAUAUGUAGUAUUUACAUUGAUGAAUCACAUGGAGAUUGUUUGAUUUUUACUUCUGUUUGUCUAAAUAGUUUAAGAAGACAUUUCCUUUUCAUAGCUUCUUCUUAUAUAAGCCCUUUGCUCAGCAUGAUCAGAAUUUAGCCUCUCUUUAUAUAGAUGUUGCCCUUAAAAUAUAUAUGUGCACUGCCACUAUAACCGUCGUGGUUUGGAUUGAUUCAGGAUUUGUUUUCUUCUUUCAGGGACUUGCCUAACCACAGAGGACUGCCUCUUUAAUAAAAAUAGGAACCCACAUUUGACUAAGGAGGAAAUAGAGGCUGAGCUUAAGUCCUAUCUUGGAGUCAAGAAAGUUAUUUGGUUGCCUCGCUGAUUAUUUGGUAAAUAUUUCUCCUUUGAUUGUUAAUUUCUGCCUUAGGUUUAGAACUAGUUGUAAUGAAGCACCCCACCCUAAAUAGGUCAUUCUUUUUUCUUAUAUGAAGGUCUACAUGACCCUUGUAUUUUGCUGGCAUGUUCAUGUUGAUUCAUACAAGACCACAGUCAUAGACCUUUGUUUGUCUUCCAUUUUUUAAAUAUAUUAUUAGCUUUCCGCCAAAUUGGUCUCAUGAACUCUAAUGAUAGAAAUGGAACUCUCCAUUUGAAGCUCUGAAUUCAUCUUACAAUUAUAGCUGGUUUUCUCAGUGCUUUGCAAUUAAUACCUUUUGCUAAUCUUUGUUCAACUUCUAGCAAGUAAAAUCCAAAAUUCGGUAGGGCAGUGAAGAAUUGACCACGCAAAAUUGUUUCAUUUCCUGAAAUGUAAUUAAAGUUCCAUAAUUUAACUAGUUUUUUACCUUUCAUAUUGAUCCUUUUUCUUUUCUUCUUUGUUUGGUUUUGAUUUCCUUCAUUAUGGAUCUUGUACUGCUGAAAUGGUAUUCUUCUGGGGCCACACACAUAUCAUUCAUGAGCAAUGCUUUUUUUGCUCAUAUUCUUUGAGCUUAUCACUUUUACCACUGUUCGUAAUUGGACAUCUGGUAGCCUUGCUGUAUGUGAGGCUGACCCAUAAUAACCAAACAAAACUGGUGGGCAUACAUUAUUUUUGCAUUUCAAAAUUGUAAAGAGUCAAGCUCUAGAACUAUUCAUUUUUGCCACAUUUUGGUUCUAUACAACUGCCUUCAUGGGCUUUGGUUCGGAAUGACAUUAUGGGAAGCAUCCGUGGUUUUAGACUAACUACUCAAACAUAGUACUUACUAAGAUACCAUUGCUUGAAAAACUUCACAUUCAUAUUUUCUAGAAAAUCAUUUCCUGUUUUUGAGGAUAAUGGAUCUUCGAAGCUGGUAUGGAGGAUUUAAUGUCAUUGGUCUGAAAAAAUUGUUCUCAUUAAGGGUUUUGUUUGGAUUUUAGAACCAGUACAGCUGGUGGGCACACCGUGAGGGAUUUAUAUGCUGGUGUAGUUAGCUUACAGGUAACACCAUGACCAAAAGGAAUUUUGUUUGAAAAUAUUGACAAGAGAAGCUGGCUUUUUGAGUCACAGAUGCUUCAAAUAUGAGAAAUGCAAAAAAAAAAAAAAUUUCGCUUGGUUUAUGGCAUUUUUCUAGUCUUAUUUGCAGAAAGUCAUCUUCUCUUUAAUAUUUUUUGUAAUCUUAGUCUUUGGGAUUUUUCUAAUUUUGAUGUUAUAAUCACCCAGAGGAGCACGUAAGUGAAGAAAUUUUUUUAAAUCGUCCAACUGCUGGCACACUCUUCAUGGAGGGACAGAUGCAAGCAAGGGAUCAAGAUAACAGUGGGGAAAUGCAUGACUUCAAUUUAACUACUAUAUUGACUGCUAUGAACCGCUUCUCUGAUGCCAAUAAGCUUGGAGAGGGAGGUUCUGGGCCUGUUUACAAGGUCAAGAAAGAACUUAAUUUCCUUAGAGAAAAAGGGUUCUAAGAGAUGCUACACGAUAUAUGCACAUUAAACUCUGUGAAUCUUACUUUCAUGACAUACAACAAUGCUUGGCCACUACUUGUUUGAUCGAGUUUGAAAUGCCUUCAGGUUAAGCUGCAUAAUGGGAAGAGAUAGCGGUUAAAAGGCUUUCGAGGAAAUCAGGGCAAGGUCUUGAAGGGUUCAAGAAUGAAGUUAUGUUAAUUGUUAAACUUCAACACAAGAAUCUUGUGAGGCUGCUGGGUUGCUGCAUAGGGAGAGAGGAAAAGCUCCUUGUCUAUGAGGACAUGGCCAACACUAGUCUUGAUGCCUUUCUAUUUGGUUUGCUCUCUCUUUCUCUUCUUCUCUCUCUCUCUCUCCCACACACAUGUAGCGUCAUCUUCUUAAUACUUUGCUCUUCCAGUAUCAUGAAAAACCUUCACAAGAAUGGUCUAAACCUCAAAAUUAUUAUGAGAUUUUCCCCUGAAUUUUUUUUUCUUAUGUUCUUACAAAAAGCAGGCAACUAGACUGGGCCAAGCUUGCUGCCAUUGUUGGGGGAAUAACAAGAGGGAUUCUGUAUCUGCAUGACGACUCUCGGCUCAAAAUCAUCCAUAGGGAUUUGAAAGCAAGCAACAUUUUGUUGGAUGAAGAGAUGAACCCAAGGAUCUGAGACUUUGGAACUGCUAGGAUUUUUGGUAGUAAUCAGCUUGAUGCUAACACAAACAAAGUUGGUGGUACAUUGUAAGUCAUCUCCUUCUCUUGCCAUGCUGUGUUUAACUGUUAAGCCCAAAAGAAAAAAGGAAAAACUGCACAUACAUAUUCUCUUUCUAUUAAAAAAAUAUUCCUUAUUCUAUAAUAAUAAAGAUAUUCUUUAUCAUCUAACUUGUCUAGCAUGAGACACGCGCAAUCUUAAGUCCAAGAAAGUACUACUAUUCCUAUCAAUCAAACAUCUCUCUACUAGUUUUAUGUGAAAAUAGCCGUUUUAUAGAAAAAUAUAUAUAUAAAGUUUAGUCCCUUUGUAAAACUUAUGGUCAAACUAGUCUCUUUAUUACCAAGUCUAUGUCAUAAUUUUUUUUCUUUUCAAAAUUUAAGUUAAUUGAAACUACAAUUAACAAUUGAGAUUUUAUUUUUGAACCAAAACUUUAAUUACUAAUUGAACUUCAUUAAUUUUUUUUACUUUAAAAUUUAAUUAAAAAAAUAUUAAAUUAUGUUGGAAUUAAAAAUAUAUAAUUUAAUAAUAAUAAAUUUAUAUAUUUAAAUUUAAUGAUCUAAUAUUAUUUUAAUAAAGAUAAAUUGAUAAAUAUAAUAAUAAAUGAAUAUUUUAUUUAUUAAUAAAUUAAUAAUCUUAAAAUAAUAAAAUUAUAUGAUACAUAUAUAAGAUAUAAAAUUAUAUAAUUUAUUAAUUUAAGAUAUUUAAUUUAUUUUGUUUUUAAGAUAUAAAAGUAUAUGUACUUGCUACAACUAGAAAGGGGUUUUUGGUUUUUUUUUUCAUUAUCUAAAUGUUUAGUGGAUAUUUUUUUGUAACUUUGAUGAAACUAUUGAAAAUGAUAUUUUAUAGUAGACUUUUUCUAAGUAAUUUCAUUAACUAAUUUCAAAACGUAUCUUCAAGGCAUAUAUGUUAUGUGUACAAAUAAUAGUAUUUUUUUUUUUAUGUAAAAUUAUAAACAAAUGUUUUAAAAUAAUAAAAAAAUCUAUAUAUGGAAACUUAAGAAUAUACUAUUAUUUAAAUAAAGAUAAAUUUGUCAAAAUACAAAUAAAUUAAUAUCUUAAAAAUAUAAUAAAUUAAAUAACUUAAAUUAAUAAAUUAUAUAAUUUUAUAUCUUAUUUAUGUAUCAUAUAAUUUUAUUAUUUUAAGAUUAUUAAUUUAAUAAUAAAUAAAAUAUUUAUUUAUUAUUAUAUUUAUCAAUUUAUCUUUAUUGAAAUAAUAUUAGAUCUUUAAAUUUGAACAUAUAAAUUUUUUUAUCGUUAAAUUAUACAUUUUUAAUUUCAACAAUAACUUGUAAUUUAAUAUAUUUAUUAGACCACAAAAUUUGUCCCAAUUUUAUCUUUACAUUAAUUUUGAGUCCAGUUUUGAAUUCCAAUUACAUAUAUUUUUUGGUCAACUUACCAUUUAAUAGCUUUUAUUAUUUUGUAUAUCAUUUUAUUUUAUUUUAUUACUAAUACUUUUAUUUUAUUAUUAUUAUUACUAUUAUUUUAUUAUUAUUAUUAUUAUUAUUAUAUCUUUUUUAUUUUAUUUUUUCUCUUUCUUUUCUCUCUCCUCCCUCCUCUCUCUUUCCUACCCCAACCACCCCACCCUCUUCUUCUCUCUCUUCCCAUUCUUCCCACACGGCUGCCCCCCUUUCCCCCCAUUUUUGUUUUUCUCCCCAUUUUGUUCCCUGUCUUUUCCUCCCAAUUCCCAAGAUUUUCCCCCCAUUUUUUUUCCUCUUCUCUUCUCUAUCCUUUUUCCUCUUUUUCCCUCAUCGAAACACGUCGGACCCUCCAACUCUGAUUUUUUUGAUUUAUUUUUUUCCCUUUUUGGCCGCAACCGGCCAUUGAAGAGUUUUGGCGGGGGGUGUUUUUUUCUCUUUUUUUUUGCUGCUAAGACGGGGAAUGGACCCGUUUUUUUUUUUUUUUUUUCUUUUCUUCCUCCAUUCCUCUUCUUCUUCCCACAGCCAACCCCCAUUUUUUUUCUUCCCUUUCUCCAUUUUUUUUUUCUUUUUUUAGUUUUUCUCCUCCUGUUUUCCCAAGAGAGUCGACCCCCAUUUUUAUUUUAUUUUUUUAUUUUUUCCUUUUUCUUCUUCCCCCAAAAGCACCCAACAACCAGCUCCCCCAUUCCUCUUCCAUUUUUAUUUUUUAUUUUAUUAUUUUUAUUUCAAUUUAUUUUAUUUUAUUUUAUUUGUGAUUCCUAAAAAAAAUCAUCCACUACUGCUGACAAGACCGUCGACGAGCCACCGUCGGUCGACGACCCCUUUCCCAUCUCAUCUGUUCCCGUUAUUAUUAUUAUUAUUAUUAUUAUUAUUAUUAUUAUUAUUAUUAUUGUUAUUAUUAUUAUUGUUAUUGUUAUUAUUAUUAUUGUUAUUGUUAUUGUUGUUAUUGUUAUUGUUGUUAUUUUAAUUUAUUUUAGUAGUAAUUUUUGUUUAUGAAAUUUGGAUUGUUGAAUUAAUAUGAAAUUUGGGGUUAAUUUGUUGUUGGUAGAUUAAUACAUAAUUUGAUUUAAUUUAUUGUUAGUGAAUUAAUUUGAAAUUUGUUAAUUUGGGUUUGUGGGUAUAUUGUAUUGGGUGAUUAAUUUGAGGAUAUUUAGAUUAUAUCAAUUGCAUAUUGUUUAUUUGGACUUGGGCCUAUUGUUAAAUUGUUAUUUGUUUGGGCUUAUUGAAUUGGGCUUGAAAUAUUGUUUCUCUUGACCAUGUGUUUUUUUUUAUGUGGGCUUGUUAAUUGAUGUGAAUUUUGGGGUACAUAAUGUGGAUGAGAUUUGUUGGAUUAUUUGAAUAUUUGAUAUGAGUUUGACCAAUUUAAAUUAUUUAAUUUGGACAUAGGACAAUUGUGGUGUAUAUUAAACUAGGCUUAGAUUAUAAAAUAUUAAGUUUAGGUCUAGUAGAAUUUAUUUUAAUUUAUCCAAUUUUAGGUUUGGUUGAUUGUAUUUGUAUUUUUGGUUAUUAAUUUGGAUGUUCUGGGUUAAGACCUAUAGUAAUUUGGGCUCAUUUUAAAUUGACAAAAUUUAUGGGACUAAUUUGAAAUUGGGAUUUGGGUUUCAAUAUUUGUUUGAGAUUUUAUACAUCUCUGGAUAUUUACAUUUGCGCUGUUUUUGUUUUUGCAUGAACUCAUUCUGCAAUCUUGUUGGCUUGAGUACGAAUUGAUGACACGUGAAGUUUGUUGUAAGUUUAUUUGGGUACAUAUUUUAUUUACCACUUUUAUGUGGUUUUAUUUUAAUUAAAUCUUGUAAAUAUUUGUUCGUUUAUAUUUAUUGAGUGUAUACAAAAUUGAACAUCAAACAAAUUAAAAUUUUUGUUUAAAUGAGAGGAAGAAUUCAGUAAAUAUGUUCUAAUAAAAUACUAAUUUCAAAAUAUCCUUUUUAAUAAAAGAAAGUUUUUUUAUUUUUAUUUUUUAUUUUUAUUUAUUUAUUAAUUUUUUUUUAUCUAUUUAUGAAAAUUCAAAAAAAUGCAUUUAGAAAAUCCAAAAAAAAAAAAUUGUUUUUAAUAGAAUUCGAAAAAUUGUUUUUAAUGACAUUGUUCAAAAAUUUAUUUGUUUAAUAAAAAUUGCCCAAAAAUUAUUUUGUAAAUAAAGUUGUCCCAAAACUAAAUUUUUAGUAAAAUUGUCUAAAAAUAUUUUUUUAAACGAAUUCUUUUUCUUCCUUAAUUAAAACGAAAUUAAAAGUGUUUUUCAAAAAUAGAGAAUUUAAAUAUUUGUUUUUCCUUUUAAUUAAAAUUUCUCUUGCAAACAAAGUUGUGUCAUUUUAAAUAAUUUAUAAAAAUCACUCUUUUAAAUGAAAAUGAAUUUAAAUACUUUUGUAAAUAAAAUUGUAAAAAUUUAUUAUUUUCUAGUAAAAGCAAGUAAAAAUAAUUUUUGUACUCAAAUUGAAAUUUUGUAAUAAAUUCUUUUAAUACAAUAAGUGUAAAUAGUUUUUUUGAAAAUUGAAUAUAAUUGAAAUUGAGAAAAUAAAUUGAUUUUUUUUAUAAGUAAAUAAAUGGAAAUCACUAAUUCAAGAUCAUUUUUAAUAGAAUCCUUUGAAAUUUCUUUAAUUUUUUUUUAAAUAUCUUUUAUUUAUUUAAUUCAAUAAAUCAUUUUGCAUAAUCCUCUUAUUAUUUAUUUUGUGUAUUUUUGGAAUUAGAUUUUAUCAUCGUUUUUGUGCAUAUUAAUUUUCACCAUGACUUGUAUAUUGAUUAUUUUUCUUGGUAUCUAUAAUUAAUUAAUUAAUUGUCACAAUUUCCUCAAUUUGUUUAGUAGAAGCCAUACGUAUACGGGCUUAGAGGGGUGCUACGGCUUACCACCGUACCUUCCCAAUGAGUAAUCUAACCCUCGGACCCAGAUUCAGUUUUUCACAGACUCGUUUUUUCCUUCAGGAGUCACACUUAGGGUUUUUCUUUCUUAUUUUGUUUUUCCCUUUAAAAAUAAAACAAAAAUAAGUGGCGACUCAAAGUCUUUUUCUAAAAAUCAAAUUUUCACCAAAUAAAAAGGGAGUUUCGCCAUCGAGUGGGAACACAUCGAGAAAAUGCAGGGUCCACAAAAUGGCGACUCCACUGGGGAUUUUUAGAGGGUCAAACUUGAACUUGAGUUGAGGGGAAUGUGGCGUUUGAUCGGUUAAUUAAUGGAUACCCCUCUCUAUGUGUCUUGGUAUGAUUGGUUGUUGAUUACACAUUGAGAGCUUUGAUAUGUUUGUCUGCAAUAUAUGUUUGGUUGUUAUGUUCAUUUGUGAUGUUGAUAUGUUGAUUACAUCGAUUGAUUUUCUUACCGACUUUAGCAUAGUGACUCUUCUUGUUGUAUGUUUAUCUUGCUUUUCUAGACAUGUAUAUUCUCAUUUUUAUAUCUUAUUCAUCUUGGCAUGAUUGAUUCUAUUUGUUAUAUAUUAUCUUGUUUAUCUUGACAUAUUGUCUAUUCUUGUUAUAUUCCUAUCUUGCUUAUCAUAUUCUUGCCUAGCUUGUGUGUAGAUAUGAGUUAUAUACCUGUUAUUUGCAUGACUGCUUUGGUGUAUGACUGCUAUUCUUUUAUGUGAUGCAUGUAUUGCUUGUCUGUGUGGGACACACAUCUAUCCCCUUACCUUCAACUCCCUAGACUCGGUCGACCUUGUUUCACUUGAUCUCAUAUUCGAUAUGAGACUUGUUACUUUGUUUGCUCUUCGACCGAGUUAGGGGUUAGGAGUAGGGUCUAGCGACGGGCUAUACCGAUGUUUGGGAGCAUUCUGGAGGAAAACGACACUUUGAUGUCGAUUAGAGUCUGAUCAUUGAAGACCUGUAUAGCCUGAAGCUAGGUUUCAUGGAUAUUUGUGUAAUCAGUGUGUUUCUUUUUCUAUUUUAGCUUUGUAGGGUUUUUCGGAUGCGCCCGCACCAUCACUGCGCACUCUAGCUGACCAUUGAGAGUCGAGAGUUUUGAGAGGUUUCACCAUAGGAAACCCCCUGGGAUGUCGAGGUAGUGCAUGUGUAGAGGUGAUGACCACCUUGCAUGGAAGCACCCCGCCUCUAAGGAGGCGUGCAGAGGGUUGCGUACCGCUGGAGGGUAUGAUCGCUUCUACUAAGGGAUCUUUUAAAGUCCACCUUUAUCCUUUUAGAGCCACCUUGACCUCAUAGGUUGAGCCGUAGAUCCUUCAAUUAGGACUCCCUCCCUACACGUGGGUGCAUCUGAAGGCCUUCAGAGCCUCUUUGAUCAUAGUUGGGAUUCAGUAUUCCCUCUAUUUAGUGUCUAGUGAGAGUGCACUGAGAUUAGUACGAGUUUGGGUACGGUCAGACGGUCCGUCUUUGUUUUUGAUGCCUUGCUCAUUCCAAUUCAGACUAGCAUUUCUUCCACGUUUUCCCUGUGCCUACCAUAUCUCAUGUUUCAUGCUCUUCAGGAUUGUUUCUUCAUUCUCAGUGUGGAUUUACCAUCUUGGGUUAGAGUACAGGGGAGCUUAGUUCGAUUUUUCGAGAGGUCAAGCAUAGAUCAGUAGACUGUCACAAUUGGCUAGUUCACAGACGCCAUGGAUUCUAUUAAGGUAUCUUGUGCUUCAUGCUCUUCAGGAUUGGUUUUUCAUUCUCAGUGUGGAUUUGUCAUCUUGGGUCAGAGUAGAGGGGAUAUUAGUUCGCUUUUCCGAGAGAUCAGACAUGGAUCAGUCGGUUGUCACAGUUGGCUAGUUCAUAGACGCCAUGGAUUCUAUUAAGGUAUCUUGUGCUUCAUGCUCUUCAGGAUUGGUUUUUCAUUCUCUGUGUGGAUUUGUCAUCUUGGGUCAGAGUAGAGGGGAUAUUAGUUCGCUUUUCCGAGAGAUCAGACAUGGAUCAGCCGGUUGUCACAGUUGGCUAGUUCACAGACGCCAUGGAUUCUAUUAAGGUAUCUUGUGCUUCAUGCUCUUCAGGAUUGGUUUUUCAUUCUCUGUGUGGAUUUGUCAUCUUGGGUCAGAGUAGAGGGGAUAUUAGUUCGCUUUUCCGAGAGAUCAGACAUGGAUCAGCCGGUUGUCACAGUUGGCUAGUUCACAGACGCCAUGGAUUCUAUUAAGGUAUCUUGUGCUUCAUGCUCUUCAGGAUUGGUUUUUCAUUCUCUGUGUGGAUUUGUCAUCUUGGGUCAGAGUAGAGGGGAUAUUAGUUCGCUUUUCCGAGAGAUCAGACAUGGAUCAGCGGGUUGUCACAUUGAUCAGUUCACGGCCGCCAUGGCUUCUAUUUAGGAGGCCUUGGCCAGUCUCAGGCAGGAGAUAGACAAUCAGCAGAGUAGACAGUCCUUGAGGAUACUCAUUCAUGUAUGGAUCGUAUUGAGUAGCGUAUCAAGUAGUUGAGAGUAUCUGACAGUUCAUCGACUUGGGAUGAUCUUGAUAGUAUACCAGUAGCCAGUCUACCAGCUAAGUUCAGGAUGCCUGACAUUGAGAGGUACACGGGCGUUGGUUGUCCAUGUAUUCAUCUUCGACUCUACAAUACUGUGAUGAGGGUCCAUAGGUUAUACGAGUCACAGAUGAUCACCAUGUUUCUUCUAUCUUUGAGUGGCGCAACCCAGCAUUAGUUCGCAUCUUUGGAGUCCUCGCGACGCAGGACAUGGGAUGACCUAGCUUAGGAGUUUCUGUGACAGUUUUGAUUUAGUAUUGUCGUAGAUGUGUCGAGGAGAGAGCUUGAGGGUUUCAGACAGAGAUCAGAUGAGUCCAUUUCUUUCUUCAUCUCCCGUUAGUGGGGGAAGAUAGCAGAGAUUGUUGAUUGACCAUUAUAGAGAGGUGACUUAGUCUUGAGGUUCAUAAGAGGAUUGAUUAGAGAUCCUAGAGGGAAGUUCGGACCCAGUUGGAGCGGACUUUAUUUCAUCAGGGAGUUGACCCUAGAGGGCGCUGCAUGGUUGAUGGAUCUAGAUGGAAAUCGAUUCUCAGAGCCGACCAAUGUGGAUCAGCUAAAGAGGAACUAUGUUUGAGACUGUGGUCGCAGGAUGGGUGGCCAUCAUUUCGGUUAGCCAUAUACCCUUUCACCCUUUUGAUACAUAGACCGUUGCUAGCCCAUUGAGCCUCACAUGUGCAUUAUAACCUUUCUUUCUUAUCGCCUUGCACACAUUUUUACACCGGGAUAAGGGCCCUUUAGUAUAUGCAUGCAUUGUUUGGGAGCCUCAUGAGUCUUGGACCUACAAGUGCAUAUUUCUCUCAUCAUUUUUUCCUACCAUUACAUUACUGCAUUCCAUCGUAUCUCAGUGGUUGUCCUUCAUCUUUUCUUCUUUGUUCUAUCUACUGCUUGUUUUGUUUCCUAUUCUCUCCACCUUGAGUGGUGAUCCUCCUCAGUUCAUUACAUGGAGGAUAGUCACAUCAUUUUCACUAUUUAUUCUAUGGACACUGGUUCAGAGAUUCUUAGUUUGAGAAGGUCAUUUUGUCAGAGAGAGUUUUUGUUACCUUAGUUUUGAGAGUGUCUAUCCAUCGUUCAUAUCAUCUUUGGGGCUUAUUUUGUUCAUGUUCAGGGUGUGUACAUUUGUAUAUAUGUAAAAAAAAAAAAAAUAAUAAUAAAAAAAAAAAUUGAAAAGAAAAAAAAAAAAAGAAUGAAAAAAAAACGCAGGUGUGUAUUAUUUUUUAUCAUUGAGUGUGUAUAUUGAUGUUCGAGGGUCACUUGAUUAAGUAUAUUUGUUGAUGGGAGUUCGUAUGUGAGCUUUCCGAGGCCCUCCAUGCUUUGUAUUCAUUUUUAUUGUAUAUUUCGAGAGUGAGAUGAGUGACCUUCUCCUAGGAGCUCUGGGUCAUUGUCCCUUCCAUCAUUACGUUCAUUGUUGAUGUGACUUCACUUCAUGUCUGAUUUGAGUUGAUCACUACUCCUAUUUGUGUUAUUUGUUCCAUCAUCAUCCUCGUUUUCGCUUCUGAUUCAUCAUUUUCACUUCACGUCUUAUUCUUUUCUUAUACCAACCCAUCUCGGGUUUGAUACUCUCUUCGCAUCAUCAUUACACAUAUCACAUCACUAUCAGUUCAUUUUGCUUCAUUUGUCUCCUUAUCGACAUCAUAUUCACAUUAGGCAUCCUUAGGUCCAUGGCUCACGGGAUUCACUAUACAUGUUGCAUUUCAUAUAUGAGGGCAUGAGUUUUUUAUCAUUGGGUAUUUGAGCCUAGUUUUCUUUCAUUUCUAUCACCCUAUCACCUUGACCUACGUUACGUCCUGUGUCUUAAGACCACCCUGAGGCCAUGAGAUCAGAUGUCGUCUUCGACAGCCUCUACUUGGACAGGUGUUUGAGAUCUGGUUGAUAUUUAGAUAUUAUCAUGCUUCUUCUUCUGGGAGUCGUCUCUUUGAUGUUUAGAUCUGAUUUAGCUGUGUUUGGGUUAUCGGGAUCAUGCGCUUGACGAUGGAUGAUUUGAUGUCACUUGAUUUUUCUAAUUUAUCACAUAUUCGAUGUAAUACUGGGGCAUAUUUCGUUUCGAGCGAGAUCUAUAGAUCUUCAGGGAAUUGCAUGCUUAUCCCCACUUGCGAGAUGUACGUUGAGAUGAUUGAUUGGUUCGUUAUUUUAUGAUGAUCCCUCAGUGGAGCCUCUGUGGAGCCAUUCAGUCAGGCCCACAUUUCUCAGCAUUUGGUUGUCGCCAUGCUUCUUAUCCUGGGAGACAUUUCCUAGUUGUUUGAACUUGAUUUGGAUCACGGAGGUCACAUGUUCGAUGAUAGAUGAUUCCAUGUCACCUGGUUUUUGACCUACCUUACAUUCGAUGCCAUACUGGGGCAUAUUUCCGACCUGGACGAGAUUUAUACAUCUUCACGGAGUUACAUGAUCACUCCCACUUGUGGGAUGCACACCGAGACGAUGACGUGUUUGUUAUCUUAUCAUGAUCUCCCAAGAAAGCCUCUCUUGAGUGAUUCAGUCAAGCGCACACUUUUGACAUUUAGAUGUCCUCAUGCUUCUUCUUUUGAGAUACGCCUUUUGAUAUGUGGGUUGGAUUCAACUAUGGAUUUGGAUGAUUGGGAUCACACAUUUGAUGAUAGAUUAUUUGAUGUUGUCCGAUUUCUGGCUUAUUCCACAUCUGAUUCCAUAUUAGGGCAUGUUUUCAUUUUGAUUGAGAUUUAUAGAUCUUCAUGGAGCUACAUGAUCACUUCCACUUGCGGGAUGCACACCGAGACGAGGACGUGUUCGUUAUUUUAUCAUGGUCCCUCGGUGGAGCCUCUCUUGAGCCAUCUAGUCAGACCCGUAUUUUUUGGCAUUUGUAUGUCAUCAUGCUUCUUAUUCCGAGAGACAUUUCCUUGAUGUUUGGGUUCGAUUUGGAUUACGAAGAUCGCACAUUUGACGAUUGAUGGUUUCAUGUCACUCGAUUUUUGACUUACCAUACAUCUGAUGCCAUACUGGGGCAUAUUUCCGUUUCGAUUAAGAUUUACAGAUCUUCAUGGAGUUGCAUGCUCAUCCCCACUUACGAGAUACACAUUGAGACGAUGACGCUCCAAUAGAGUCUCUCUAGAGCUAUCCAAUUAGGUCUGCACCUUUUGGCACUUAUAUGUCAUCAUGCUUCCUCCCAGGAUACGCCUCUUUGACUUGUGGGUCUGAUUCAGUUAUAGAUUCGGGUGACUAGGAUUGCAUAGUUGAUGAUUGAUGAUUUGAUGUCAGUUGAUCUUUUCGACCUAUCGCACAUUCGAUGCCAUAAUGGAACAUAUUUGUCAUCUCGAUCGAGAUCUGUAGAUCUCCAUGGAUUUGCAUGAUCUUCCCCAGUUAUGAGAUACAUGUCAGGUUGAUGAUUCGAUUUCAUUUGUCCUGAUUCUUUGGUGGAGCCUUUAUUGAGCCUUUCAGUCAGACUCAUAUUUUCUGAUAUUAUCAUGAUUCUCGAGUGGAGUUACUCCAGGCUCAUAGGUUUCCACAUCACCAUUUCAGUGGAGUACACGUCAGAUCUUUUAUGCAUCCCCAUGGAGUUAUUCUUGAGUUAUUAGGGUAGAUCGGGUACAUUUGAUGCCAUGUUGGGGCAUAUUCCUUCCUUUAGCUAUGGAGAUGAUUGUUCUCUCAUAGAUCUGUUACAGUUUUCAUCACUCGGCCAAGGGAUACCGUAUUUGCUUUACUGGUCACUAUUCUUAUGAUUUUCAUUGAGAUGAGCUUUCGGUAGAGCAUGACAUUCAGGUUGUGAUUGUCUCGCUAUCUAUGACCCCACAGUAGAUUGUUUUGAUGAGAUCGUGGUAGUUACCCUGACGGAUUAUUCUCUUGAGGCUCUCUAGUGGAUUACCCAUUUGAGAUGACAAUGGAUUCCUCCAACAGAGCAUUUCAAGAUAGAGACGUCUAACUUAUUGUGACAUCUCGUCAGGCCUCGUGAUCCAGAUUGAUGGAUUGCGAGACUAUGUUUAUAGUCGAUUUGAUCAUUUCGACUCGCUAACAGAAUAUCUUUUGAGGCUCAUGGAGUCUCUUUUAUACAUUCUCAGAGGAUAAAGAGUUGUGGAGGCACGCUACACUAGGGCAUAUUUUCCCCUAUCAUCGUUUCCUUGUCGUUUGGCAUUCAGAGUCGCCAUCCAUUCUCAGAUACAACGUACAGAGUCAUCCAUUUUUAGCUUGGCGUUCAGAGCCACCAUUUCUUCGCAGUUUGGCGUUCAGAGCCACAUGUUCAUUUUGACGUUCAGAGUCGUCGUUCAUUUUCUGUUUGGCAUAUAGAGCCGCUUUUUUACCUUGGCGUUCAGAGCCACGUUUUCAGUUUGACAGAGUCACAUUUUCAGUUUCGGUACUCAGAGCCACUAUUGUCGCUUCUCAGUUGCGACAUUCAGAGCCAUCAUCAUCACAUUUUCAGUUUGACGUUCAGAGUCGCAUUUUCAGUUUUGGCAUUCAGAGCCAUCAUCAUCGCAUUUUUUGUUUCGGCAUUCAAAGCCAUCAUCAUCACAUUUUCAGCUUGGCGUUCAAAGCCAUCAUCAUCACUUCUCAGUUUCGGCAUUCAGAGCCAUCAUCAUCGCAUUUUUGGUUUCGGCGUUCAUGAGUCAUCAUUAUCGCUUCUCAGUUUUCGGCAUUCAGAGCCAUCAUCGUCACAUUUUCAGCUCGAUGUUCAGAGUCACAUUUUCAGUUUCGGCGUUCAGAGCCAUCAUUAUCGCUUCUCAGUUUUCAUCAUUCAGAGCCAUCAUCAUCGCAUUUUUGGUUUCGGCACUCAUGAGCCAUCAUCAUCACUUCUCAAUUUUGGAGUUCAGGGCCAUCAUCAUCGCAUUUUCAGUUUGGCGUUCAGAACCACCAUUUUUUUCAGUUCGGCGUUCGGAGCCACUAUCUCUUCUCAAUUUUAGGUGUUCAGGGAGUCGUCGUUCUCACAUUCAGGUGUUCAGAGUCAUCAUCUCUCCACAGUUUGACAUUCAGAACCAUCAUCUCCUCUCGGUUUGGGUAUUCAGAGCCACCAUUCUUUCUUAGCUUGACAUUUAGAGUCAUCAUCCUAUCAUGAUCGGACGUUUGUCGCCACCUUUUUGGCGUUCAGAGUCAUCGUCCACACUUAGGCGUUCAGAGCCAUCGUUCAUAUUCAGGCGUUCAGAGUCAUCGUUCACAUUCAGGUAUUCAAAGUCGUCAUUCACAUUCAGACGUUCAGAGUCAUCAUCUACAUUCAGGCGUUUAGAGCCACAUUACUAGCAUUUAGGAUUGUCGUCUUAUUUUAGAUUAGCAUUCGAAGUCAUUCUUAUUGUUCAGAGCCGCAUCUCCAGUUUCAGCAUUCAGAGUCACAAUUUCUGCCCAGUUUGACGUUCGGAGUCACCAUUCCUUUCCAGUUUGGCAUUUAGAGCCACCUUCUUUUUUUGAUUCAGCGUUCAGAGCUGCAUCGUCGCCUUGGCAUUCAGAGUCGUAUCUUCAGUUUAGCGUUCAAAGCCGUUGUUUUUCUUUAGCUCGAUAUCUAGAGUCGUGUUCUCAGUUUCGGCUUUCGAAACCAGAAUCAUUUCUUAGUUUGACGUUUAGAGUCACAUUCUCAAUUUUGGCGUUUAGAGCCAUCAUCGGUUUUCAGUUUGACGUUUAGAGUCGCAUUUUUUAGUUUCGGGGUUCAGAGUCACCAUCAUCGGUUUUCAGUUCAGCGGUCAGAGCCAUCACUUCUCAAUAUUGGCAUUCAAAGCCAUCCUCAUCGCAUUCUCAGUUUUGGCGUUUAGAGUCGCAUUCUGAGUUUCGACGUUCAGAUGUCGCAUUCUUAAUUUUGACGUUCGGAGCCAUCAUCAGUUUCCAGCUUGACGUUCAGAGUCACAUAUUUAGUUUGGCAUUCAGAGUCGUCAUGAUUUAUCCACAAUUCAGGCAUUCAGAGCCAUCGUCCACAUUAAGGCGUACAGAGUCAUCAUUUCUCCACAGUUUGACAUUCAAAGCUGCCAUGAUUUAUUCAUAGUUUAGGCGUUUAGAGCCGUCAUGAUUUAUCCACGGUUCAGGCAUUCGGAGCCAUUGUCUACAUUUAGGCGUACGAAGUCAUCAUUUCUCCAUAGUUUGGUAUUUAGAACCCAUCGCUCACAGUUUGGCAUUCAAAUCCAUUGUUCACAGUCAGGCAUACACCAUUUCCCAACAGUUUGGCUUUUAGAGUCAUUGUAUCCUUAGAUUGGCAUUCAGAGCCACCAUUUCUUCAUAGUUUAGCAUUUAGAACUAUCGUUCAUGGUCAGGCAUUUAGAGCCAUCAUAUCUUCAGUAUUUAGAGCAGUUAGCUUGGCAUUUAGAGCCAUUAGUCAACUUAGCAUUUAGUGCCUUGAGCUCACGACCUCGAGUCAUUCUUCUUAUUCACGGCCCAGAGUCAUUCUUAGCAUUUAGAGCCUUGAGCUCAUGACCCAGAGUCGUUUUCACCAUUUAGGUGUUCAGAGCCACUACUUUCUUUCAUGGGUGUUUAGAAUUGUAGGCCUUCAGAUCUCUCUUUGGCAUUCAGAGCCACAAUUUUUAUUCAUAAGCGUUCAAAGUCAUUCAUUUUAUCAGUUUUAGGCAUUCAGAGUCGUGUCUUCAUUUUGGCAUUCAGAGUCAUUGUCUAGCUUGGCAUUUAAUGUCAUAUUCUUCCUUUAGUUUUGGCGUUCAGAGUUGUCGUGCAUACUCAUUCAGGCACCUAGAGUCACCAUCUUUCCUCAUUUUGGCAUUCAGAGUCAUUUUUCCCUAGCCUUAUCAUUCGAGAGAGCCCAUGUCAUACUAGGACAAAUUUGGCGGUCUUUCUUGUUCUUCGGCAAAGUUCACUUCGUUUCGUUCGUGUAUACACUCACUUUACUCGUGAACUCUACCGAAUAGGGGCAUAUUUGUAGACCCCAAAAUUUGUCUCAAUUUUAUUUUUUAUAUUAAUUUCGAGCCCGGUUUUGAAUUCCAAUUACAUAUAUUUUUUGGCUCACUCACCAUUUAAUAGUUUUUAUUAUUUUGUAUAUCAUUUUAUUUUAUUUUAUUACUAAUACGUUUAUUUUAUUAUUAUUAUUACUAUUAUUAUUAUUAUAUCUAUUUUAUUUUUUUUAUUUUUUAUUUCUUUCUCUCCUCUUUCCUCUCUCUUUCCUACUCCCCAACUACUCCACCCUCUUCUUCUCUCUCUUCCCAUUCUUCCCACAUGGCCGCCCCACCCCCACUUUCCUUUCCCCCCAUUUUUGUUUUUCUCCUCAUUUUGCCCCCCGUCUUUUCCCCCCCAAUUUCCAAGAUUUUCCCCCCAUUUUUUUUUCCUCUUCUCUUCUCUCAUUUUUCCUCUUUUUCCCUCAUCGAAACACGCCAGACCCCCUGAUUCUGAUUUAUUUAUUUAUUUUUUUCCCUUUUUGGCUGCAGUCGGCCAUUGAAGAGUUUUGGGGGAGGGGGGAGGUUUUUUUUCUUUCUUUUUUUUUGGCUGCUACUCCCUCUGGAGACGGGGAACAUAUCGUUUUUUUUUCUUUUCUUCCUCCAUUCCUCUUCUUCUUACCACAGCCAGGCCCCAUUUUUUUCUUCCAUUUCUCUAUUUUUUUUUUUUAGUUUUUCUCCUCCUGUUUUCCCAAGAAAGUCAACCCCCAUUUUUAUUUAUUUUUAUUUUUUUCCUUUUUCUUCUUCCCCCAAAAGCACCCAAGAGCUAGCUCCCCCAUUCCUCUUCCAUUUUAAUUUUUAAUUUAUUAUUUUUAUUUCAGUUUAUUUUAUUUUAUUUUAUUUGUGAUUCCUAAAAAAAUCAUCCACUACUGCCAGUAAGACCGCCGGCCGGCGACCCCUUUCCUAUCUCAUCCGUUCCUAUUAUUAUUAUUAUUAUUAUUAUUGUUAUUAUUAUUAUUGUUAUUUUAGUAGUAAUUGUUGUUUAUGAAAUUUGGAUUGUUGAAUUAAUAUGAAAUUUGAGAUUAAUUUGUUAUUGGUAGAUUAAUACAUAAUUUGAUUUAAUUUAUUGUUAGUGAAUUAAUUUGAAAUUUGUUCAUUUGGGUUUGUGGACAUAUUGUAUUGGGUGAUUAAUUUGAGGAUAUUUAGAUUAUAUCAAUUACAUAUUGUUUAUUUGGACUUAGGCCUAUUUUUAAAUUGUUAUUUGUUUGGGCUUAUUGAAUUGGGCUUGAAAUAUUGUCUCUUGACCAUGUGGUUUUUUUUUUUAUUUUUUUUUUAUGUGGGCUUGUUAAUUGAUGUGAAUUUUGGGGCCCACGAUAUGGGUGAGAUUUUGUUGGAUUAUUUGAAUAUUUGAUAUGAGCUUGACCAAUUUAAAUUGUUUAAUUUGAACAUAGGACAAUUGUGGUGUAUAUUAUACUAAGCUUAGAUUAUAAAAUAUUAAGUUUAGGUCUAGUAUAAUUUAUUUUAAUUUAUCCAAUUUUAAUUUUAGGUUUGGUUGAUUGUGUUUGUAUUUUUUGUUAUUAAUUUGGAUGUUCUAGGUUAAGACCUAUAGUAAUUAAUUGACAAAAUUUAUGAGACUAAUUUGAAAUUGGGAUUUGGGUUUGAAUAUGAGAUGUAUAUUUACAUUUGCGCUGUUUUUGUUUUUGCAUGGACCCAUUCUGCAAUCUUAUUGGCUGAGUACGAAUUGAUGACACGUGGAGCUUGUUGUAAGUUUAUUUGGGUACAUAUUUUAUUUACCAUUUUUAUUUGGUUUUAUUUUAAUUAACUCUUGUAAAUAUUUGUUCGUUUAUAUUUAUUGAGUGUGUACAGAAUUGAACAUCGAACAAAUUAGAAAUUUUGUUUAAAUGAGAGGAAGAAUUCAGUAAAUAUGUUCUAAUAAAAUACUAAUUUCAAAAUAUCAUUUUUAAUAAAAGAAAGUUUUUUUAUAUUUAUUUUAUUUUUAUUUUUUAUUUUUUAUAUUUAUUAUUAUUAUUAUUAUUUUUAUCUAUUUAUGAAAAUUUAGAAAAAUGCAUUUAGAAAAAUUAAAAAAAAAAAUUUCUUUGUUUAAUAAAAAUUGCCCAAAAAUUGUUUUGUAAAUAAAGUUGUCCCAAAAAUUAAUUUUUAGUAAAAUUGUCUAAUGAAAUCUUUUUCUUGCUUAAUUAUCCUGGCAAACCUUGCUCUGCCGGCUCCAUACGGGGGGAACGGGUUGUUAGGAAUUUUUCGAUUGAAAAAAGAACAAAAUUUGAUUUUCGCAUAGCAAACUCCACUUUAGUAAACUCUAUACCUUAGGGAGUAAGGAAUAAGGCCUCUCAAGCAGGGCAUUAAUUAAACUCUGGCAAGUCAGGAAGCAAUAGAAAAUAGAAUAAGGGAGUGGAAAAGUCAAAGCCAUCAUACACAUAGACGUUGAUUGGUGGUGGAAAAAUAAGAAUAUCUGGAGACAUUCUGUUAUAUGAGAGCUAAUUCGUACUGAUACUGAAUCGAAUGAUCUGAUACAAGAAGUUGGGCUAUUAUUAUAAUUUGGUGUGAACAUAGAUAAUGUCAUGUAUCUACGAUUCUGGCCCUUCUAGAUCUUUUGUGGUUUCACUUUUGAUGAUAUACUUUCUCUUUCUAUUUUUUUAAUAUAAUAUGCAAAAGAAAAUGUUAUUGCCUUUAUUUAAAACGCCUUAUCCAUCACCCCCAUUCCUACAAAUUCUGGUUUCUUGCUUUCUAUCGAUUCCUUGUCUCUCUGGUAAUUAAGAUGAGGACCUUCCAGCUACUUGGUACUAAGACAUUGGUGCUGGAUGAAGGAGAAGCAAUGCGGCAUACCCUUGAACGCAUGGGGGGGCAUGACCUGGCUUGGGCGAUGAGCAAGACAAUCACAGCAUCCGAUACGAAGAAGGGUCAGAGUAGGCUUCUCAUCCCCAAAGAGAAGGGGCUGUGGGACCAGUUGUCGGAGGAGGAGCAGAUGGAGCUGCGGAGAAGAGGCUACGUUGAAGUUGAAGUGGUGGAUCCGAGAGGGAACAGGCAUGAGAUGAAGUUGAGUCAAUGGCCUGCUGGGCGUAAUCUUGUGUUGAAUUCUGGAUGGAACGACCUUGUGAGGGAUAAUAAACUGGAAGCGGGGAUCCAUUGUACGCUGUGGAGUUUUAGAGUGGGUUUGAGGCUUUGCUUUGCAUUGUGUGUCUAGCUAUAAUGCUACAAGACUAUAAUUGCAGUUCUGUUUGGUCCUUUCGGUUUGCUUAAGUUGCUUUGAUGUGGAGUCGCUCCUGUUGGGUUUUUUUUUCUUCGGUUUCCUUUGUAAGCUAUGGGCUUUAGGUAUGAUUUUUUCCUAUGGUUGCCGUUGGGACUUCUUCCAAACGAUCUGGAAGAUUAUCUAUCUUAUUUGUUCUAUUUUCUUCCAUUAAUUUCAUGUUUAAUUUUUUUUUUUUAAAAAAAUUUAAAUGUAUGGGGGGUACUCUUCUUCUGUGUCACUGAAUCCUUUGCGUGGCAAAGUGGCCGAGGGCAUGAUUGCUCGAGGCCACGUGCGGUCCCUUUUAGACCCAGCUCCUGGGAACAGACACGGAUGCAAACUUUUAUCCUAUUCUACCUUUCCCCAAAAAGAUUACGGGGGAAAGCAGGUUGAACCCAUAAGUUUUUUAAUGGGAGAACUGUGUUUUAAAAAUUAAUAAAAAAUCCUUCAAACACCUAUAAUUGAUUGUAAGGAUAUAAGAUUGGAAUAAACAAAAAUACCCCUUUUUACUUACACCCAUCAUUUUGUCUUUAUACCACCACUCUUUACAUGCCCCAUCCAUAAAAUUCUCCUUUAUUUAAUCAUUUUUUUAUUUUUUAUUAUUUUUUAAACUCCUUUAAAAAUAAUUGAAAAAUCAACAUUAUUUUCUAUUUUUAAAUUAAUUUAAAUGAAUAAAAAUUAUUUUUUACAUUUUACAAGUAAAUAAUUUAAUGAUUAAAACACUAUUUAAAAUAAAUAUAUUUACUAUUUUUUUUCUUUUAUACUAAAAAGUAUUUUAAAGUUUAUUUUUUUUAUUAUUAUAAAAUAAAAAGUUUAAAGUUUUUUUUUUAAUCUUUUUCUUUCCAUAGUUUAAUAAUUUUUUGAACAUAGACUUUUGUAAUAAGUUAUAUGAAUGUUCCAAAUUUGUUUAUUAAGGAAUUUUUUUAAUGAUUUGAAUUAAUUGAAAAUUUAUUGAAAUGAGAAAAAAGAAAAAGAGAGAAAGAGGAUAGAUAGUUUUUAUUAUUUUUUUAUUUUUAAAAAUUAUUUUUAUUUUCUAUAUUGUCUCUUUUUGAAAAUACAUUUAAUUAAAAAAAUGAAAAAUAUUUUUAAAAAUGAAAAUUGAAGACCUUGUUUAAUACUAAGAUAAUAAAAAGAAUUAAAUUUCAUUUGUUAAUUAUUCUUUUUUAUUUUUAAAAUAUAAUAUGUUCACAAUUAAAUAAAGGAAUUAGUCAAUCGUAUAUUUUUUUUUCACAAAAAUGUAAUAUGUUCAUAAAAAAAUUGGAUUGAAGUUUUUCAUCAUUUUUUUAAUCAAACUACUAGAAUCAUGUUUAAUACAAAUAUAGGCAUAUAUGCACUACGGGAAUAUGAAAUUUGUGUCACUAUAUAAGAGUAUUUACUAACUGUAUAAGGGAAAUGUACUAAGUGUACAAGCAGUGUAUAAGAUUACCAUUUAUAAAAGAUUUCAAUCUAUUUUGAACCACUCCUUUAUUUUCCUUGUCACCCACAAAUUGCAUACUCAUGUCAUGCACUUUAUUUAACUCCUAUAUGGAAAUUCCGAUACUUUCCCCAAUAAUGAUGUUUGGGAAAAAAAAAAAACUAACCCUAAUUCAUCCAUCCUUUUAUUAGUUAAACCAUUAGAAAUAUGGUUAACAUACCUACAUGGACAUAUUAAUUAGGAUAGAUAUAUUGUACAAUGGUAUUACACUAAUUGUACAAGGGAAAUGUACUAAGUGUACAAGGAAAAUAUACUAAGUGUACAAGGGUGUACAAGACUACCAUCUAUAAAAAAAUUUAAUCGAUUUUGAAUCACUUUUUCAUUUUCCUUGUCACCCAUAGAUUGCAUACCUAUGUCAUGCAAUUUAUUUAACUUUCACAUGGAAAUUUCGAUACUUUUCUUAGUAAUAAUGUUUGGGGAAAAAAAAUUUAAUCCUAAUUCAUCCACCAUUUUGUUAGCCAAACCAUUAGAAAUAAGAUUAAUAUACCUACAUGGACACACAACUUAAGAGGGAUAUAUUACACCAUUCUACAAUGAUGUUACACUAACUGUACAAGGGAAAUGUACUAAAUGUACAAGGGAAAUAUACUAAGUGUACAAGGGUGUACAAGGUUACCAUUUGUGAAAGAUUUUAGUUAAUUUUGAAUCAUUUCUUUAUUUUCUUUGUUACCCAUAAAUUAUUUAUGAAAUUUGCACUAUUGUAUAAGGGUGUUACACUAACUAUAAAAGAGUAUUCCAAAAUUAAAGUGUUUAUUACAAGUAAACCGAAUAAAAUAUAUAUUUUUACUAUUUUGCCUUUAUAAACAUAAUGUUAGUAGAUAUUAAAAAAAUCAUAUUUAAAUAGAAUUAAAAAGGAUAAAAAAUUAUCUUUGUAACAUUUGUAAUUUUUUUUAUAAAAAAUCAUUAAUUUAAAUUAUCAAGUUAAUUUAAAAUAUUUUUUUUGUUGUAAUUAUAGUUUUGAAGAUUCUACGAUUUUUAUAUUAUUACUUUUAAUUUAUUUUCUUUGAUUUUUUAUUUUAAAUUUCAUCUAAACUUGUUUUUUCUUACAUUUAUAUGUUUUCUAUUAUAUCCUUAUUUAAAGUGAUUUUCAUCUAAUUUGUGUUCCAUUAUAUUCUCUUUUCAAUUUUAAUGUGUUGUUAUGCCUCUUUACAUAACAAAAGAUUUUGUUAUUUUUCAUCUACAAAACUUUAUACAAAAGAUAUCAUGUACGAGGAAAAAAAAAUAAAAAAAAAGAGAAAAUUAUGAUAUAAUUUACAUACACAUCUCUUAAUAUGAUACAUUUGCUUAACUUAAUGACAUCAUGCUUUAAUAAUUUAAACCAUGUCAAGUCCACAUCUAUUUUAGAUUUAAAAGGGCAUUUGAAUAUUUUUCAAAUUAUUAAGUUAUAAUAAAUUAUUCAAUUAAAAAUUAAUUAUCACCAUUAGUUAAAAAAUAAUCAUGUUACAAAAUAAUAUAUUAAGAUAAUAUCAAUGUAUUGUCCAAAAAAUAGAGAAAAUAUUCAAAUAAUUGUCUACAACCUUAAAGAUAUUUAUAUAUAUAUUGGAUAAAAAAGAAUAAUAAUAUUUUUUAAGGUGUUUAAAAAAUAUUUAUUAUAUAUUUUGUAAGUUUUAAAAAAAAAAAUAUGAGGUAUUUAAAAAAUAUUUACUUUAAAAAUAUAGUAAUAAUCAUUUUCAACCAUUGAUUUCCAAUAUUUAAUUUAUUAGGCAUGGUUUUUGGGAGAAAAAUAAAUGAUGAAAAUAGUAACACUUUUCUAUAAAAGAAUUAAUUUACAUGUCCCACCAAUUAAUAUGUGAGAGAAAAAGACAAGGUGAAUGAUGAAAGAGAGGGAAAAAAGAAUGAAAGAGAGUAGAAAAUUAGUUGUUUUCUUUUUCUUUUUGACAAUAAAGGGCAUUUUUGGAAAAUUGAAUGUUUCAUAUCCUUCUUUUCAAUUUGUAAACUUUCUUUAUGUGUUGGGCUUAAAUAUGGAACUUAUGAGGAUCUUUUAUUAAUUUUUGGGCCCAACUGGGCCCAAAACACAAUUCUCCCUUUUUUAAUUAAGAGAUAAAAGUAUACGCAACAUAGAAUCUACCAUUUACAAAAUAUAUUUGAAACAUAAAUAUACUUACAGCAAUCAACACUCUUCACUUUUUCCUCUUGAAAUUUUAUGUUUUAUGUACUUUUUUUUUUCUUUUAAAAAAUGUGUGGGAUUCUCAAAGAUGGAAAGAUGUGAUCUGUCUUGAUGUUGAGAUCCCAUGUUUAUAAGUUAUAGAAAGAUGGGAUGUGUCCCAAAAAUAUCUUUAAAUAGUAGAUUCUAUGUUACAUGUUGUCACGCCCCAAGACCCACUUCAAAGGCGUAACAGUCAUUUCACACUUCAAACCCGAAUGCUUACAGUGUAACCUGACCCAAAUACUUAUCUUGUAAUCGGAAGUUACCAAUUACCAAGUACCUAUUCAGAGUAGCGGAACAAAUCUAAAAUCCUCAAUAUUCAAUUUCAAAACUAAAACAUCCACUAUCCAAAAUCCAUUGUCCAAAUAUUUGCAAACUUAAACAAUUCAAGUACUAGAACAAAUUUCAAAAUCUCCAAAACUCAACUUUGAUCUAAUAUAAAAUUUGAAGGAUCAAUAUCCAAAUAACUUCUAAAUACCAAAAGAUCCAAAUGAACACAACUAACAGUUAAAAAAUCCAAUAUAAAAUCCUAAGUCAAAUUCUAAUGAUGACCAUUCCUCAGCCUAGCCAUUACUCCUCACCCGAACAAAGGGUACCUGAAAAGUAGUCAACAAAUGGGAAUGAGCUCACAGCCCAAUAAGGAACAUUAAUGCAGUCCAUGGAUCAAACAUUUCAAACUCACUUGCAAAAUAGGAGAUAUUGUAAUCAAUCAUUUUCAUAAAGCUGUGAGCAAAUUUUUUUUUUUUUUUUUGCCAAUACAUUCAAAAUUUCUAACUAUAUGCAUUUAUUUCUAAUUCAAACAAUUUCAUAUCAAAUUUAGUCAAAACAUUCCAAUAAUUUAUUUACUCUGGUCAUCAAACAUUAAAGGGUGCUCAGUUAGGUGAGACUUUUCAAAUGGGUGGCUAGCCUCAAAUUGUUCCUUUAAGGUGGACGGAAUCAAACACUACUAGUACUAGUAACAUCUAACCGAAACCCCUAGAGGCUGGGGUUCAAAUCAAUUACAUUUCCCACCAAGAAAUGUAAAGGUCAAUUAUUAUAUCACAUUGACAAAGGCCAAAAGUCAACUAUUAUAUCCCGUUGACAAGGGCUAAAUAAACCAGAGUCAAAUAUUUAUUUCAUUUAUUCAAAUUUACAACAUAUAAUAUCUCCACAUUUAUUUGUCAAAAACAUAAUAUAAAAUUCUAACAUACUUUUCAUGCAAAACAGGUUUGAUCCAUGCAUAAAACGGAAUAUACCUCAAACAUUUUCAAAUAAUGUAUAUAUAUAUAUAAAUUGUUUUAAAAAAAAAGAAUUUAACAACUGCAUUAAUUUCCCUUACCUCAAAAGAAGUCCUUAAAAACUUUGGAGAAAAAUAAUCCUGAAAAUCUACUCUUCACCUAACAAAACAUAAGAGAAACAAUUAUUACUAUUUAUCUAAAAUUAUAGGUUUGACAAUCCUAAAAUUUUAGGUAUUCAAAUUAUUAUUAUUAUUAUUAUUAUUAUAUAUUUAUGAAAGGUAAUUUAAUCUAUUCAUAUUUUAAAAAUUAAUAAAUUUCUAAUUCAUAUAAAAUUGAAUUUAUUUAUUUAUUUUAAAAUUUAUUUCUUGGGACACAACUUAAUUAAACUAUAAUUUAUUUCAAUAAUUAAUUUCUAUGUUAUUUAUUAACUUACGCUCAUAAUUAUAAUAUCAAAAACUUUACUUUCUUUUAUUUAAAACUUCUAUUUUCUCGUUUUUUUUUUCAAACAUAAACUUUAUCCAUUAUUGUCAAUAUAAUAAUAUAUAUACAUAUAUAUACAUUAACUACCAAACACCAUCCAUCCCUCCAUCCGUACACACACCCACACCCCAUAUAUAUAUAUAUAUAUAUAUAUAUAUAUAUAUAUAUAUAUAUAUAUUACAUAUAUAUUUUUUUUCAUUCUCCAAGUGUGCACAUGCGUUCUCUAUUUUUUAUUUUUUAUUUUUUAUUUUUAUCCUUAAGCCAUUCUCCAAUUCCAUAGUGUGCACACGCGUCUUCCAGUUUUUUUUUUUCUAAAAGCUUAAGAAUUUCCGAUUUCCAACAAUAAAUCAAAAUCUUAAAUUUUCACUAUUUUGAUAUUAAAACGAAAUAAUAAUAAUAAUAAUAAUAAUAAUAAACUAACCCUAAUCUAAAUCGAAAUCUUCACAGGAAUCUUUUGUUUUUUUCUAAUAAAAAAAAAACUUAAGAUCUCCCCAAUUCCAAUAAUAAAUCAAAAUCUUAAAUUUUCACUAUUUGAUAUUAAAACGAAUUAAAAAAAUAAUCUAACCCUAAUCUAGAUUUGGGGUUUUCCAAAAAAAAUAUAUCUAAUGUGCUUGAAAUUAACUAAUGAAUCUAAAAUAAUAAUCUAGGGGUUAGAAACUUACCUAUAGAGGUUUGUUCUUCAAACCUUGAAAUCUAACCUCAACUUCAUGUUCUUUGGAAACUCUCUGCGAAUAGGAAUACGAUUAAAAAAAAGAACAGGAAGAAGAGAAUUUUCUAUUUAUACCUAGGGUAUUAUUCGUAAAAUUACCUUUUCACCCCUCUUCCAUUUUAUUAAAUUAAUUAAUUAAUUAAUUUAAUAUCAUUAUUAAGAAUUUCCUAAAUUACCCUUUAAAAAGAAAACUUGGGCGUUACACAUGUACUUUUAUCUCUUAACUAAACAAUUUAUAGUUUGUCAUGACGUGCAAUCACCCAUAAUCAGUGCCACUGAAUGCCUGAUCCCAUUCCCUCCUUCCAUGCUCUUGUAAUCUGUAUAUAUCACACAUGAGUGACAGGAAAAUAUAUAAGUUCAAUUCCUCAUAAAAAAAAAGUCGUACUUGUCAGUAGUACCCUUCUUUCUUUUUUGGGAAAAGGUAGAAUAGGAUAAAAGUUUGCACCCCGUCUGUUCCGGGAUGAAAAAGGCACUACAAAAAAAUCUGAGCGCCUACAACCGAGAAACAUUGGCUGGUGUUGUAGGCUUGGGAGCUGGGGCCCAAAAAGGACCUCACGUGGCUGCAAUAAACUGAUCGGAACAAUCUUGCCCUCAGACAUUGUCCGUUUUAGCCCAAGGGCCUCACGAUUUUAAAAUUGGGAAAGUUUUGUUUUCAUGGGCCAAUAUGGUAAUAAUAUUGUUUUUGGAACCCAGGUUUGUGAAAUAUGAAAAACAUCUGUUAAUGUGGAAAGUUAUAUCAUUUUCAUGCACUCUGAGUCGGUUGUAUUUUUUCUACCGAAAUUGCCCCUCUAGGUAUCCAGGUCAGCAGCCCAUCUCAGCACGGGCUGAAAUUGAACCGGUUGUCUUGUGCAAAAUCAAAUAUUGAGCUUCCCACAAAAACACCCUGGGCGACCGACCGUUCAUCCUCCAUUUCUCUCAUUUGGUACCCAUUCCUCUCAUCUUUAUACAGUCCGUCACCAAGGCGAAGCAGAGGUUCCCACAAGAAAACCCUAUCUGAUCGACCAUUCUUUCUUCCCUCUCUCUCAUUUUGGCACCCAUUCCUCUCACCUGUCUUCACUCGGUCACCAAGGAGAAGCAGAAAAUCCCAUAAAAAUAGUGUAGCCGAGGGUUCUUUCUUCCCUCUCUCUCAUUUGAUACCCAUUCCUCUCAUAUUUCUUCAUUCCGUCACUGAGGCGAAACAGAUUUCAAUUGAGAAGGCCUUAAUCUGAUUUGUCACAUCUUAGAUUUUCUCUGUCAAGGUAAGCCAUUCGUUCCAUGUUUUGCAUUCACAUUCUCAUUCAUGAAAAUCUGCUGUUUGUGUGGGUUUUUUUUGAACCAGGUGUGGCUCAAAUGUUGGCAUUUAGGAGUUGGUAUUGAAAUUUUAAAUCUGUUGGUAAUGAAUCAUCAUCGUCUUUUUCAAAUCUGAUUUUGUACUGUUUUAUUUGGAUUGGCAAAUUAUCGCAACUCUGUUGUUUUGAUAUAAAGUGAAGGCAAGAAUAUGGGUUGGGAAUUGUUUCGUUGAAAAAGGCAUUUGUUUUGGUUUUGGUUUGGAACUGAGAAAAACAUAUUUUGAAUUGAUUAGCGAAAAAGGAAUUUUUUUUCCCAGUGGUGUUUUUGGGUAUUGGGAAACAAUGCAUUUUUAGUGAAACCCAUUUAUUGGAUUGUGUUUUUGGAUUGAACUAUGCAGUGGAUGACCAAAAGGGAACAUUUUUUCGGGAUGAAGUUUUCAUUUUGAGAGCGAAAAAAGUUCUUAAGAAAUGGUGAUUUUUAGAAAGAUGAGGACCUUCCAGCUACUUGGUACUAACAUAUUGGUGCUGGAGCAAGGAGAAGCAAUGCGGCAUACUAUUGAAGGCAUGGGGGGGCGUGCCCUGGUUUUUGUGAUGAGAAAGACACUGACACGAUCCGAUGUGGCUGUGCAUCAGGGUCGGCUUUUCAUCACCAACGAUAAGGUGCUUCGGGGCCAGUUAUCCGAGGAGGAGCAGACGGAGCUGAAGACAUCAGAAGGGUACGUUAAUGUUGAAGUGGUGGAUCCGAGAGGGGAGGGGUAUGAGAUGAAGUUGAAGGAAUGGAAGAGUCUCAAGAUGUUUGUGUUAACUUCUGGAUGGAACAGGCUUGUCAACGAUAAUGAGCUGGAGGCGGAGAUACAUUGUAUUGAGCUGUGGAGUUUUAGGGUGGGUUUGAAGCUGUGCUUUGCUUUCGGUUUGCUUAAUUUGCUUUGUAUUUUGAUGUGGAGUCGCUCCUGUUGGGGUUUUUUUUUUUCCUUCGGUUUCCUUUGAAAUAUGCAUGUGUGAGUGAAAUAUGCAGAAUAACGAUGAAGAUUGUAAGCUAUGGGCUUUAGUCAUGAUUUCCGUUUUUAUGUUAUAAAUAAUUAAAUAGAUGAUUGCUGCAACGUUAAUUUGAUUCGUUGGGACUUCUUCUUCUGUCUAUAUCUCACUGAAUCGUUUAUUUUGUCCUCACAUGACUUCGCCUCACCUCACCCCUUUUUCUUAGUGAUUGAAGAUUGGACCAAGAUGUUCCCUAUACGGUGGAGACCAAUUGGCUUCACUUUUCAGAUGGAUUUUCUUUGUAUCAAAAAGGAAAGAGAGACAUGGAUAGAUUUCCCAUGGAUAUUAUCCAAAAACCCAAACAGUACGUUCACUACCUCUACAGCGAUUUUAAACCCUGUGUUCUACCCUUUCCAAAGCUUCAAUAUUUCACUGACUGAUGGGGCCAAGGGAUCAUUCUUUUGAUGCAACAGAUGCUUGAGUUUGUACAAAGUAAUUUCUUAUACCCAAAAAGGAGACUUACUAUUUUGGUCAAAAUCUCUUCCUAUAUUUUUUCCUAAUUAUAAAGGAAUAUAGAAAAUAAAGUGUAUAAUUGUCAAAGAUACAUUUUCCUAAAAAAGCUAGGAUAUUACACUUUCAAUAAUAUCUUAUAUUAGGAAACUAUCAAUAUCUUUUCAAAUCGACUCAAAAUACAAUUUAAGACACUUUCCAACAAUCUCCACAUUGGCUCAAAUUCCUAAGAUUUAAGCAAACUUGAAAGUCUUUCAAGUUACUUCGCUCUCACACCCCAUAAGGGCCUUCAGAUACUACUAACACCAAUUAAGUUCAAGCAAUGCUUGAACUUAAUCAUAGGAAUGGAUUUAGUCAUCAUAUUUGUGGGAUUGUCCACCAUAGGGAUUUUUUUCAGUACAAUAGCACCCUAUGCAAUCACAUCCCUAAUAAAAUGCAUUCUGACAUCAACAUGUUUGGUCUUCUCAUAGAACAUCUGAUUUUUAGUUAAAUGUAUGACACUUUGGCUAUUAAAAUACACAAUAGUCAACACUUGUUGUAAGCCUAAAUCACCAACCAAACCCUUAAGCCAAAUAGAUUUUUUCAUUGCUUCUAUGGUUGCCAUGUAUUCCGCUUCAGUGGUUGACAAAGCAACUAUAAAUUGCAGAGUUACUUUCCAACUAAUAACACUACCACAUAAAGUAAAUACAUACCUUGUUAGAGAUUUUUUUUUUGUCCAAAUCUCCGGCAUGAUCAUAAUCAACAUAACUAACAAUUUCUCCAAAGAUGUCAAUAUUUUUAUCAUAUACUAAGCCAACAUGUGAUGUUCCUCUCAAACAUCAAAGUAUCCAUUUCAUUGCUUGCCAAUGGAUUUUUUCAAGGCGAUCCAUAUAUCUACUCACCACACUAACUGCAUAUGAAAUAUUUGGCCUAGUGCAUACCAUGACAUACAUAAUGCUCCCAAUUGCACUAGCAUAAGGAACAUGUGACAUGUGCUCCCCUUCUUCUUCAAUCUGUGGUGAUAAAGCACUAGAAAGUUUGAAGUGAGUUGCUAACAGAGUACUUGCUAGUUUUGACCCUUGCUUUAACACUCUCUCAAUGUACUUUUUCUAUGAUAAGUACAAUUUCCCUGCUUUUCGGUCUCUAUGAAUCUCCAUACCCAAUAUUUUCUUUGCAGCUCCAAGGUUUUUCAUUUCAAACUCUCAUUGAAGUUGAGUUUUCAACAUGUUGAUCUCAAACAUAUUCUUGCAGGCAAUUAACAUGUCAUCAUCAUAUAACAAUAAAUAAAUGAAAUAACCAUCAAACAAUUUCUCAUGAUAAACACAAUUAUCAUACUCACUCCUAUGGUAGCCAUUACCAAUCAUAAAGGUAUCAAACCUUUUAUACCAUUGCCUAGGAGAUUGCUUCAAACCAUAAAAAAAUUUCUUCAAUAAACAAACAUGGUAUUCCUUCCCAAAAUAAUAAAUCCCUUGGGUUGAUGCAUAUAAAUUUAUUCUUCCAACUCACCAUGUAGAAAAACAAUCUUAACAUGAAGUUACUCUAAUUGUAAAUCAAAUAAAGCAACCAUAGCAAGUAAUACCCUGAUUGAGCUACGUCUCACCAUGGGAGAAAAUACUUCAUUGAAAUCCACACCCUCUUUUUGUGUGUAGCCCUUUGUCACCAAGUGUGCUUUGAACCUAGCAUCCUCCAUUCCUAGAAUUCUUUCAUUUCUUUUGAAGAGCCAUUCGUAAUCAACAAUCUUUUGAUUUUUAGGUUUCUUAACUAGUUGUCAAGUGUGGUUCUUUUGAAGAGAUUCAAUCUCCUCAUUCAUAGCAACAAUUCACUAUGUAGACUCUCUACUAGUGAUGGCUUUAUGAUAAGUUUGAGGUUCCUCAUUUUCAAUGCUCUUUGCCACACUAAGUGCAUAAGCAUACCUUUGUAGUGUUUUAAUAUGCCUACUUGUUCUAUCUCUAGCCAAACUAUAUUGUUGCUCUUGUGGUGCAUUUUCUUUAUCAUAAAGAAGUUGCACUUCUUCCUCCUUUAGCUUUAUUGAAAUUGUUUUUUCUAUGGUUUCUGAAGCUUUAGUCACAAAAUCCACUUUUUCUCUCACACCGAGGUUGUUUUCUGUAUGAAGUUGUUCCUUCCUAGGACUCAACAUUGUAGACUCAUUAAAAGUCACAUCCCUACUAAUAAGAAAUUUGGAGAAUUUUGAAUUUGGGUUCCGUAUCUUGUACCCUUUCACUCCAUCAACAUAUCCUAAGAAUAUGCACUUCCUUGCCCUUGGUUCCAACUUACUUUCAUUCACGUGAGCAUAAGCAAGACAACAAAAAAUUCUUAAAUUAGCAUAAUUAGAAAGGGAACCAUACCAUACCUCUUCAGGAGUCUUACAAUUAAUAGGAAUUGAAGGAGAUCUAUUCACAAGAUAACAAGCUGAAUUUACAGCUUCAACCCAAAAUUCCUUUGACAACCCUCAUUCGAAAGUAUGCAUCAUGCUUUCUCUAAAAGAGUUCUAUUCAUUUGUUUUGCAACACCAUUUUGCUCUGGAGUAUGCCUAACUAUGCGGUGUCUCACAAUACCUUCAUUCUUGCAAAACUCAUUGAAUUCUUUCCCACAAAAUUCCAUGUCAUUGCCAGUUCCCAAGCACUCGAUCUGUUUUCUAGUCUACUUCUUAAUCAUGGCUUUCCAUUGCUUGAACUUCCCAAAUACAUCAUUCUUAUGUUUCAAGAUAUAUACCCAAACCUUUCUAGAGUAAUCAUCAAUAAAAGUCAACAUAUAUCUUCCACCACCAUGUGAUACAACUUGAGAAGGCCCCCAAAGAUCCGAAUGGAUAUAAUCCAAAGUACAUUUAGUUAUAUGAACACCUUUAUUGAAUUUUACCCUGCAUUGUUUCCCGAAUACAUAAUGCUCACAAAAAUCUUGUUAUGUAUUUUCUAUCCAUCAAGCAAACCUAGUUUGCUCAAAAUUGUCAACCCCCUGUCACUCAUACGCCUAAGCCACAUAUGCCAUAAUCUAAUAGUCUCUAUAAUUAAUUCUAAGGUUGAAACUGUAGUUGCACUUGUAACCGUGCCACCUUCAAAUGUAUAAAGACCAUUAAUUUCCUUUCCUUUCAUCACAACAAGAGCAUCAUUUAAAAUCCUUAAAACUCCACCUCUAGUUUUAUAUGUGCAUCUGUUGGAGUCAAGUAUCCCUAAAGAAAUCAAAAUUUUCUUCAAUUCUGGAACAUGCCUUACAUCAAUUAAUGUCCUUAUAAUGCCAUCAUGCAUCUUAAUUUGAAUUGUGCAUAUCCCAACAACCUUAUAGGCAACAUUGUUUCUCAUUAGAACCUUCCCACCGUGUAUGGGUUGGUAGGUAUUGAACCAAGCCCUAUUGGGAGACAUAUGAUAAGAGCACCCUAAAUCAAGAAUCCACUCAUCAACUAAGUUUAUAAUAGUAACUGAAAAAACACCUGUAGUAUCUGAAUUUUCUUUUGAGACAAUGUCUGCAUAGGCAUUCAUUUUAGAGACGGAGACUUUCACCCCAUUCAUCUCACAUCUCUUUUUUCCAAAAUUAAUGAACUAGAAACCUAUCCUCUCUCAUCAUCCCAUCACCAGUCAGAUUUUGUAAACAUUUCCAAAUUCAUCUUCAUUAAAGGAAAGAUAAAACAGAAGCCAUAUAUGACUCUCCAUAACUAGAGGUGAGAAUCCAAGCACACAGUAAAUAGUCGAAGAAAGUUGUUUAAACUUCCAUAAAUCUUUUUUACACAAUGUGUGAUAAUCUUUAUAAUUUUAUUGUUUAUGUUAAUUUUCUUAAACAACAUCAUUCCAAAAGGUGAAAGAAUCACACAGACCAUCCUCAUCAUGGGCAAAUGAGUAAUCAAUAUACAAGAAACACCCUCUUUUAUGAUAAUUAAAAACUGAAUAAUAUAUCAUAUACAAAUCUUUGAUAUAUAAGACAAUAAAAGGCCUAUAAAUAAUAUUUCAUUACCUUCAAUUAUAAUCAAUAAUAACAUUGUGGCAGCAUUACAAACCAGGAAUUUGCUAGUGUGGUUACAAUAAAAAGAAUCAGAAAAAAUAUUUUUUACAUUAUGAUUUAGAGAGAGAAAGCACACCUUGUCUCUGAAGCAAGUAAGGAAUAGUAGGAGCCUUGGUGUUCAUUUCCUACCUCCAUUACUGAUGUGCCUUUUCAGCUUGGAGGGUGGGCAUUGCUUUAAAGGGUUUUAUUGCAAGUGAUUCAUACAAUACAAGCAGCUUACUGGGAUUACAUGUACAAACUGCCAUUCAUCAUCUCAUUUUCUAGUUGCCACAAGGGAAAAGUUCUCAACUACUACUAACUUCAAAUGAGUGAGACACAAUCUUGAAUAUUGAUAAAGGGCAUUCGAAAAUGCUAGUCUAACAACCUUCUUUACCACCUGCUGAUGUGUGUGACAUUCAAUGUCACCAGAAUAGUAAGUAGUAAUUUAUAUUUGAAAGUGCGUUAAUUAGUACACUAAAAUCAAUAUCUAUCAGUAAUUUGUAUUAUUUUUCUACAUAACCAAUCAGUGUUGAUUAAAACAGAAACUAGAGCUACAGAAUCAAGGUUCAAGUUGUCCAUUUUGAAAUGGUAAACCUUUAAUCUCCUUCAUUAUCAAGUUAACAAUAGGUAAGUGUAAUGGCCAAACAGGUUCUUAACUUCUAGAAGCAUAAUCAUUAUCAAGUUAACAAUAGAUAAUAAGCUCUGCAUGUUUCACAAGUAGAAAUAUUGUCUCACCUGAAGCAGUACGCAUAGUGGCAGUGCAGCUCAUUUUUAUCAUACAAUAUAUUUCAAGGCAUAAAUCAAUUAUCCCAUGCUCAUGAAAGGUCAAAGACCACUUAUCCAUCAUCACAUGCAAUCAGAAUUAGUAACUGAGACUCAGGCAUUGAGAGAACCAUGGGCAGAACUAUUGGUUACUGUUCAAAUUGAUAAAUGAUAGUUUUUUCAUUCAUAUUUUCAUUCGUUCAUGUACAGAGUAUAUAUAGAGGGUAUCGCCAUUCUAAGAAUGGGAAAGAAUGAUACAAGGAAAAAAUGACAUAAGGAAAUAACAAUUAAUAUCCUAAUAUCUCAACUUUCCUAAUAUCUCAAUAUUCCUAAUAUCUCAAUAUUCAUAAUAUCUCAACUUUCCUAAUAUCUAAACAUUCCUAAUAUCUCAACACUAAAUGAUAUAAGGAAAUAAUGAUAUAAGGAAAGCAUUCCUAAUAUCUCAACACUCCUCCUCAAGUUGGUGCAUAGAUGUCACACAUGCCCAACUUGUCUAAAAAUUUUGAGAACACUUGACUUGAAACAGCUUUGGUAAGGAUAUCAGCCAAUUGAUCUUCUGAUCAAAUCUUAUGCAAUUCCACAAUCUUAUCAUCCAACUUUUCCUUAAUGAAGAAUCUAUCCACCUCGACAUGCUUUGUACGAUUAUGUUGUACUGGAUUAUGAGCAAUGUCACACGCGGCUUUAUUGUCACAAAACAAUCGGAUUGGUUGCCUAGAUAGGUAACCUAAAUCCUGUAAGAGGAGUCUUAGCCAUAAUGCCUCACAAAGUCCUAGAGUCAUACCUCUAAAUUCCGCUUCUGCACUUGAACGAGCGACGACAUUUUGCUUCUUACCUUUCCAUGUUACAAGAUUACCACCUACAAAGGUAAAGUAACCAGAUGUAGAUCACCUAUCAUCCACUACACCAGCCCAAUCAGCAUUAGUAUAUACUUUUAUACUUUGAUGAUCAACAUUUUUAGCGAACAAAAUUCCCUUCCCAGGAGCAUUCUUCAAAUACCUCAAAAUACGCAUGACUGCAUUCAUAUGUUGCUCUCCAGGAUUAUGCAUGUAUUGACUCACUACACUCAAUGUAUAAGCAAGAUCUGGUCUUGUAUGAGCUAAGUACAUUAAUCUCCCCACAAGUCUCUGGUAUCUUCCCUUAUCGGUUGAUACUUGAUUAGGCUCAACACACAAUUUCAGACCACCUUCUUCUAUUGGUGUAUUAACAGGUUGACAUCCCGACAUUCCAGUCUCCUGUAAAAGAUCUAAGGCAUACUUUCUUUGAGAUAGAAAAAUUCUUUCACUUGAUCGAGAAACUGCAAUCCCAAGAAAGUAUUUUAGAGGACCUAGAUCUUUCAUUUCGAAUUCUCUAGAUAGAUAAUUUUGUAGAGCUUUUCUUUCUUCGGGAUCAUUUCCUGUAACUACCAUGUUAUCCACAUAUAUGAUGAGUGUCGUAAUCUUACCAUGUUGCUUUUUCAGGAACAAAGUGUGAUCUGAAUUACUUUGACGAUAGCCAAAAGCUCUCAUUAACUUUGUGAACCUUCCAAACCAUGCUUCGGGGAUUGCUUCAACCCAUACAAUGACUUCUUCAAUUUGCACACCUUCUGACAUUGCUUUUCUGACACCAUGCAUCCUGGUGGAAGAUCCAUAUAUACUUCUUCAGAUAACUCGCCAUGUAGAAAGACAUUUUUCACAUCAAAUUGUUGUAAUGGUCAAUCUAGGUUUGCAGCUAAAGACAGUAAUACUCGAACUGUGUUGAUCUUAGCUACAGGUGCAAAUGUCUCUGUGUAGUCAAUUCCAUAAGUUUGAGUGUACCCUUUUGCUACCAGUCUUGCUUUAAAUCGUUCAAUACUACCAUCUGCCUUGUACUUCACAGUAUAGAUCCAACGACACCCAACUGGCUUCUUUCCUGGUGGACAUUCUACGAGUUCCCAUGUUUCAUUCUUCUACAAUGAUUUCAUCUCUUCAUUCAUGGCUGUUUUCCACCUUGGAUCAGCUAAGGCAUCCUACACACUGUUAGGAAUAGCUACAGUAGAUAAUUGAUUUACAAAUGACUUGUUUGAUUCAGACAAACGAUGGUUAGACACAUAGUUGCUCAUGGGAUAUUUGAAUUUGGUAGACAAUUCAGGUUCAUAUGUGGGUUUAGGAAUACCUCUAUUAUGACGGUGUGGUAACCGUUUCAUGAAUGGAUCAAGUUCCAAAUUAAGAACACCCUCAACAGAAGACGAUUGGUUUGGUAUUUCAGUGAAGACAUCUUCGGACCCAAAUUAUUGACCACUCAUAUCCAACUCACCCAAUUUUUGGUUCACUAGUUCAGAUUGUCCAGAUUCAUCUUCCUUAGAUAUAUGAUAAUCAUAAUCGAGAGUCUGAAUUUCCUUAUGGUACUCCCCCUGAAGUUCAGACUCAGAUGAAAAAUACAUCGAAUCUUCAUGAAACACCACAUCCAUUGUAAUAUACAUUUGUCGAGUUGGAGGAUGGUAACAUCGAUAUCCCUUUUUGUGCAAUGCAUAUCCAACAAACACACAUUUUAAUGCAUGAGAAGUUAACUUGGUGCGUUGGUGCUUGUGUAGAUGCACAAAUGCCACGCAACCAAAAACACGAGGAGGUAGAUGUGGGACGAUUGGGGCAAUUACGGCAUUAGUAAGAGCUUGGAGUGGUGUUUGAAAGUUAAUUGAGCUAGAAGGUACCCGAUUGAUCAAGUAUGCGGCAGAUGUGAUUGCUUCUCCCCAAUAAGAUAUCGGUGUUUUUGCUGCUAUCAAGGAAACACGAACAACCUCUAACAAGUGCCGAUUUUUUCGUUCAGUGACUCCAUUUUGCUGGGGUGUAUUGGAACAAGUAGUUUGAUGAAUGAUGCCAUGUCCUUCCAAAUACUUUUGAAGAUCAGAACUUUGAUAUUCUCCACCAUUAUCACUACGCAGAACCCGAACCUUUGCAUUGUACUGAGUUUCAAUCACUUUAUGAAAAUUUUGAAACAACAAGUUCACUUCAUCUUUGGUCUUCAUCAAGCAUAACCAUGUCAUUCUGGUACAAUCAUCAAUAAAAGUAACAAACUAACGUGAGCCACUCAAAGUUGGGACUUUGGAUGGGCCCCAAACAUCAGAAUGUAUAACCAUAAAAGGAAACGAACUUUUAUUUAAAAUUAACGGAAACGAAGCACGAUGACUUUUAGCCAAUUCACAAAUAUCACAACGGAAACCAGAAAUAUCACUCUUUGCAAACAAACUAGGAAACAAUUUUUUUAAAUAACCAAAGGAAGCAUGUCCCAAACAUCGAUGCCACAACCAAAUUUCAGAUUUUUUCUUCUCUCCCUCAGAUUCAUCUACCAUCAAGGCUUGUUGCAACUUAUUUGAAUCCUUUGACUGCAAGUCCAAGUAAUAGAGUUUUCCCCGCUUAAUACCACAACCAAUCGUCUAUUUUGUUUGGAUGUCCUUAAUCACACAAAAUUCAGGCCAAAAAAUGAUAAUACAAGAUAAGGCUGCAGUGAUUUGAGAAACUGACAAAAGAUUGUAAUCUAAAGAUGGAACAACUAAAACAGAAUCCAAAUUCAAAGUAUCAGUAACAGUUAAGGAUCCUUCCCCAAUGACUAGGGUUGUGUUACCAUUGGUUGUGGAAACAAUUUUUUGUGAGGAAGGUCUAAGGGUUGAAACCUGUCUAGAAUCAAAAGUCAUAUGAUCUGUAGUACCAGAAUCAAUUAUCCAUGCACUAUUAAUAACAGGUGUAAAAUUAUUUAAAAACUUACCACCAUGAUCUGUAGUGGCUACCAAUGCAGAGGCUUUCUCAACAACAUUAGCCUCUGUUUUUAUUUCGGUAAUAGUUGCAGUCGAGGUUUUCUUGGAAUCCUUCUUCCGUUGAUCACGAUUAUUAUCAUUAAUAACAAAGUGUUGAUAACCUAAACAUGAUUUAAAGGUCCAUGGUUCAAACCCUUGAUUCCCCAUUUUUUUUCUUGAUCAUACCAAGAGUCGUUGCUUUGAAAUUGUGGGAUAUCCAGACUGGUGGGAUCAUUCUUAUUGCAGUGAGUGCAUUUGAAGGUUGACUUAUCAAUAUUAGGGCUUGUCUUAGGAUGGUUAAUCGCUGUCGGACUACCAUAGCGACAAAAUAUCCAGGAUUUCAGUUUCAUGGCUCUGAUACCAUGUUCAAAUUGAUAAAUGAUAGUUUUUUCAUUCAUAUUUUCAUUCGUUCAUGUACAGAGUAUAUAUAGAGGGUAUCGCCAUUCUAAGAAUGAGAAAGAAUGAUACAAGGAAAGAAUGACAUAAGGAAAUAACAAUUAAUAUCCUAAUAUCUCAACUUUCCUAAUAUCUCAAUAUUCCUAAUAUCUCAAUAUUCAUAAUAUCUCAACUUUCCUAACAUCUAAACAUUCCUAAUACCUCAACACUAAAUGAUAUAAGAAAAUAAUGAUAUAAGAAAAGCAUUCCUAAUAUCUCAACAGUUAUAUCACUAAAUUCUGAAGUUUCGUACAAACAGGUGGAAUUUGGAAGCGCCUCUAAAAGACAUCAAUUGAGAGGUUGAGCAUAAUUAAAGAAAGGGAAAAUAAAUAAAUAAAUAAGAAAAGAAAAAUGACAGAGGGAAAGGAUCGAUGAGCCUAAGACUUAGUUUUGACAGUUUUACAUAUUCCGAUAAAUUGAUGAAGUGCAAGUCGAGUAAAGAGAACUAAACAAGUAGCGAAACUUAAAACUGAAAAACAUCUGAUUUUCAUCUAAUUUUCUUACAUUUUCUCAUAAACUAGAGGAGGUGAACCGCUCUGCAAUUCUUCAUUUUUCCAAUUCUCUCUAUUUUGAAUUACCGAAGCCGAAGCUAAGUAGAAGUCAGGAAAUAAGAAGCGAAAAGUCUUGAGAGUGAAAGUUCUCCGAUUUUGGCUCAAUUUUCUCCAUUUUCUUGGCAACCAAACAGAGAAUAGACAUACUUGUUUCCACAAGCUAGAGCUUUCCACAGCUGGAGAAGACGACGACGGUAACAUUGACAUCGUAGAGAGCAAAAAGCUGAUGAGGUUUCUUGAUCAAACCAUUUCGCCUCUUGGAGAAGGUCACUUGGCGACUGCUCGUCUUUGACUUGUUUUUGAAAUUCCGCUAGCUAACGUGUCGAAAUCUUAUGCACACUACAUCGAAUCGCAGUGCACCACUACGCAGAUGUCCAGAUCCUAACCCAGACUUUUGAUUUAAUCUUACGUGUCAAAAUCUCAUGCACAUCGUAGAAAAUUGCAGUGCACUGCAUCGUAGAGGAUCCAAUCCCUCAUCCACACUUUUGAAUCCAAGCCUGUCCUAGCGAAGCAUGAACUUCUCAGAGCUCCGUUUGUGUUGUUUCUGAGGAGUGAGGAUUGAGAUUUGAAGAGGAGAAAAUGGGGAAGCGAAUGAGAAGAGAGAAGUCCAUUUGCUGCUACAACUCUCCUCUCGCUGAUUUCUCCUAGUACUUUCUCUCUGCAUUCUGCGAGUUUCGCUCGAAAAUCAGCUCGAAUUUCAUGAAAUUUUGAAUAUUUAGUUUGAAUUCUGCACAUUUAUCUGUAAAUCUAAACUCGAAUUUCCUGAAACUAUGAAUUUCAUAUAUAAUUUGAUAAAACUUCAUGCUAUUGUAAAACGGUUCCAGGCAAUGAAUAUUUAGUUUGAAUUCUGCAAUAUUUGAUGUAGAAAUCUAAGGAAACUAGAAGAAGUUGUCUCUCUCUACUCUCUUUCAAAAACUCUACGGAUUCCUCUUACAGAUCCAUGCGAAUUUCAUGAAAAUUUGAGCGGUCAUUUUAAACCUUGAUACAUCUAUCAAUCGAAUUCUCUUUCUCUAAUGUUUGCUUUAGAAAACAAUGGCACUGCAAAUAUGAUUUGAAAUUUGCUUGAGUUUUCAUGAAUAGGCAUAAUCAGAAAUAUGUAAACUAUUACCAGAAACUCUCUUUCUCUCUGUGAAAAAAAAAAAUUGGCUUUUGGACAUUUAUUAUCAUAACAGAUUUUACAGUAGGUCAGUACGAUUUUUUCCUUCCCAUUUUCUGUUUCGAAAAUAGUAAAUAGGGGAUUUAUUUCCUUAUGGUUGAUUGGGUAACUAAUUAGUCAAAAUUAGUUUUGGGAAACAAUAUGGAAUAAGAAAGAAGGUCUAAAUCAAUUGGGUAACUAGGUUUGUUGCCUACAAUUAAGGGUGGCAGAACACAAAGAGAAAAAUCAGGCAAGUGAGUUUGUGAUUUUGGGCUUGUAAUUUGGGGUUUACCUUGGGAAAAGUGUUCUGGUAUGUUUUUCGCCUUGUAUCAUUGACUGUGAAAUAGUGAAAUUGCUGCUACAAUCCCUAGAUGUAACUCAGUUUUGACUCUUCUGUGUUACGUGGGUAGUUUUGCAGCUGCAAGGAGUUUGUGCAUUGAAUUUUAAUAAGUUGGUUGAUUAUUUCUUUUUCAUAUUCCCACACUCUCCUUCACUUCAAGUUUGGUACAUUUAUGGAUAACUAUCUCUCACUUCCUGUGCAAUUUGAUGUGAAAGUGAAUAUAAUUUGAUGUUGUCUUGAACUGUUUUACAUUAUCAUAAUCAGAAGAAUGUGGAAGACUAGUGUUGAAUUUGAAUUCCCUACACUUAUCCAUUAAUCUUAAUACAGAGGUAGCAUUAGUUAAAGGUACUUGAAUCCUCACACAUUAGCAUAAUCAGAAGAAUUGUAGAACACCAGCAGCAGUUCUCUCUGCCUUGCUUGAGAACCCUAUGGAUUUCUCUGCCAAAUUGCUUGGAUUUUCAUGAAACCUUGAAUGUUUAUUUUGAAUGUUGUACAUUUCAAAUGGUAAAGUUUCUAAUAAUGAAAACAUUAUCUUUUUUCCUAAAAAAAAUUAUUUUCAGGGCCAUUGAAAGGAGUGGAUUUUUUUUUCUGAUUUGGAUCUCUAUACCUUUUACUGUUUUAAUUUUUAUAAAAAUUAAUAUUAUAUGAAUCCUAAAUUUAUCCUUCUCUCAUCCAAAUUCCUUGCAACAAAAUUGGUCAAAUGUUUCUUUUUUAUUUUGACCUUUUCUGUUUAUUGCUUUUAUAUUGCAUGCAAACAAGUAUGAAGAAGACAUAGGGACAGAGAUUGCAAAGCACUUGGAUGGUAAAUCUCUGGUGAUGUUGGGAACAACAAAUAAGUGGUUCCACUGUCUGAUCAUGGAGGACAGUAUGUGGAAGUUUGCUUGUCUGCGUGAUCUCCAGCUACUAGAACCAUGACACACAUUCCUCAAUCGGAUCAAGCUUUAUGCUUAUGCAUUUGGUAAUGAGCAGGGUGUUAAAUUUUCUCCAUAUUCAGUUAUGUUAUGGUUCUUAUAGUGAAUUAGUAUCAACAUCUGCUUAAUGGUUGUCCUACAAAUGGAAGUCACUCUUUCAUGUUCCGUCAACAGAAGAAACAUAUUGGUAAUUAUCCUUCCCUUUUUACUAUUAUCUAGAUUUUUUUGCCUUAGUUGCAAGAGAAACCAAUUAGUUCUCUUGGUUAAAGUAGCUACUUCCCUACUCUCUGGAGACUGUUUGAUUACUACUCAAAAAGAGCAUAUUUUAAAUAAUAAUGUUCAUAAGUUUCACAUCUUUUGAGUUGUAAUAAUGCCUAAAACACUCAAUUAACAUGUUGUUGCCCUUGCAAGAGUUACUAGCAAGUUUUAUGAAGUUUUGGAAUCAUUUUAAGAUAUGAUUUUGAUAAAUUGGUGACAAAAGAGAUAAAUCAAAUUGAAAUGAACAAAUAAAGUUGAUGAAGAUCCAAAUGCAUAAUGAUAGAAGUAAUGUAAUUGGUUUGAAUCGGGAUUUGGAGUUGAUUUGGAGGUGGUUGAGGUGGAUUCAAAGGAAAGAAAUGACAAAAAGGAGUUGAAAAAUAAAGUCAUGCAAAAUGGACCAAAAGGCAUUUAUACUGCAAACCAAAGGGAAAUCUCAAAGCUAAUUUUGCAUGACCAUGCGAAAAUUUUGCACAGUCAUGUGAAAUGCUCCAAGAAGGUGAAAAUUGGUGUUGAUGCAUUUUUUACUUUGCACAAUCAUGUGAAAUUGCUGGAUCUCGUGCGAAAUGGUCAUUUUAUUACUAAACUCUAGAUUUCUUGGUGAAAAAGCCUUCAGAAGACCUCUUAAAUGAUGCCAAGUAUCCACUUAACCUUGACCUAUAAAUAGAAACUUGAUUUUCUCAUUUAAAGGACUUUUAGCCAUUUCUAAUUGGAGAAUUUCCCAGAUUUUCUCUCUUUCUAUAGAAUUCUCUACUUUCUCUCAUUUUCUCACUAGCCAAAUAUGCCUUGUGAGACCAAAUCUCCAAGCAUGAGUGGCUAAAUCUCGUUUUUCUAGGAGGAGUGAGGAUCUAGAGGUAAGAUCUAUGGUGAAUUAGAGAAAUGAGCUUGAAUUGCAAAGGUAAUUUGAUCCAAGUGAUUAAUUAAUUGAAUUUUGGGGAUUUUUCUCUUCAAAUUGUCUUGGAUGAUUACUACAAUGCAAACUAGGUAGAUUCAUUAAAUUCUUAUAGUUAAAUUUGAUGAGAUUGAAUAGUUGCAUUGUGUGAAUCAUUGGAAAAUAAUUUAAGAUUAAUUGAAUAUAUGAUUUGAAUUGAUCUCUUGGAUUAAAUGACCUAAUUUGAACAGAAAUUAGAUCUAGAUCUAAAGCUAAAUAAAAAAAUUGCUUUAGAUGAAAAUUUAUAUUUUCAAUCUAACUUGAUGAAAAUUAGAUUUUAACAUCUAUUCACCAUGGAAAUUGUUUUCUAGAAAAUCCUAACUCCAAGAAUUUCAUUUUCUAUUAAUUUUCUUCUGUUUCACAUUUCAUUUUUCUUCUCAAUUUGAGACCAUUGUUAAAUUGAUUUUUUUUACCAUGAAUUUUCAAAUCAAUUUCACUUGAUUACAAUAAUUUCUUAUCCUCUCAUUCAAGCCUUAAUUACCAAGGAUAAUCCAUCCUAGUGGACGACGCCUAAAAACCACUAUACUACGGUAGUUUGUACUAAAACCAUUUUUGAUCGAGUACAAGCUACUCUAGAAUAGUGAAUUAGGUUAUAAAUUUUGUUUUGAUGCAAUAAAUGACGAAAAAUCAAGUGAUCACUGUUCUUAUGAACAAUUUUCAGUUAUUCAAUAAUAAUGCACAUUGUUUAGGGAGAAGGCUAAUUCAGUGCAGUUAAGGUGAGAAAUUGUUUGGAAAUCAUAAACAAUAAUUAUAUGCCAUUAAAGUAUUGUAAUUUUUCGUAUUGACUAGUCUUAAAAGAGUGAGAUGACUCAUUGUGCCACAUUAUGCCACUGCUUGUGCUUUAGCAGAGUAGGAAUGAUCAAUCUCAUGAGUCUCAAAAGAUAAGUUAGAUCAUUAUUUAGUUUUGGGUUCUGUCGUAGGGCAGGACUCAGGAAGCACUGAUUUUAAAUUUACCCUAUUUUUCAUCUACUCAGGGACAGACAAUUUGUAAAAAAAUUUCUUCUUAUCAUCAUUCUCACCAAAUAUCAUGAAAUGCAGUUUUUAAAAUAUGGAUUCAAAAUCUUAUCUCUAGAUUCAUAAUUUUUCAUGUAUUUUUUUUAAUGAAACCAAAUAGAUUGGAUGCGAAUCGAUGUUCUUUUAUUUUUCAUGCAUUCUUUCAUUACUCCUUUUAAGUAAACAAGUCUAAAGAAAAUAAAUAUUUUGAAUAUAUUUUAAGUAAAAAAAUUUAUUGUUCUUCAUUAUUGGAUUCCAAACGGAUAAUUAGAAUUAUUAAGGUAAUGUUUAAAUAUAUUUUUUAUUUUUAAAUAAAAUUAGUAAUAAAUGUCUUAUAUAAAAAGUAGCAAUUUAUAUGUUAUAUUGUUAAAAAUCUUUAAGUUGAUGAUGAAUUUGAAAAAGAUAAAAUUUUAAGUUAUCUUUUAGUUUGUGAUUUUAAGUAUUCACAAGGGUAUUUUUGGAAAUAAAAAGUGAAAAACACAAACAGCUUCUACGCUAUACUUUCAUUGCUAUGCGCGCAUUGCACCACUUUUUGCUUUGUCGUUCAAAGUUUGGAAAUUAAAGGUGAACUUGUUGGGUCCUGGGAAACCCACCAGCACUUUCCACCUCCAUAGCAUGGCACAACUCAAGGCUUCUUCGUUCUCUCAUCUUUUCUAUCAACUCCUCUCUUCUUUCUAUGAAUUCUUUUUGUCUCUGGUAAUUACAUGACGACCUUCAAGCUCUUUGGUACUGAGAUAUCGGUGUUGAAGGAAAGAGAAGACGAGAUACCACCAAUCCCAUCACCUCUCUCCCAAUUGCCUUGUCCAAUCUUGACUACUAUUGAAGGCAUGAAGGGGCGUGGAUUGGUUUCGGUGAUGAGAAAGACACUGACAACAUCCGAUGUGUUUGUGCAUCAGAGUCGGCUUUUCAUCACCAAGUGUAAGGUGUUGUGGAGCCAGUUAUUGGAGGAGAAGCAGAAGAAGGUGAGGGCAAAAGAGCACGUUGAAGUUGAGGUCGUGGAUCCCAAGGGGGGGGAGGACUGGGAUGAAGUUGAGGCUGUGGAAGAGUUUGAAGAUGCUUGUGUUGAAUUCCGGAUGGGUAAAGUGACAAAAGUUGUGGAAUAAAGGCUGAAAAUUUCUUAUUCUCCAGAAUGUGAAACACAUAUAACUUAUAUAGGAAGAGAGGUGGAUAUUUACAUAAAGAGUCCUACUCCCAGUUUAACUAAAAGGACAAACAUUCCUACUCCUAGUUUAACUAAAAAGAUAAACAUUAUAACUGAUAAACGUUUACAACAGAUGGACAUUAUCACUUAGUGGCUAAGUAUUAUAUUUUCUGUUACUCCCCCUCAAGUUGGUGCAUGAAGAUCUCGAACGCCCAACUUGCUUGAUAAGAAAAGAAAUUGUUGUCUUCCAAGUGCUUUGGUGAACAUGUCUGCUACUUGCAGCUUUGAAGGAAGAUAUGUUGUCACUAUCUCACCUGAUUGCACUUUCUCUCGAACAAAAUGACAGUUUAUUUCGAUGUGUUUGGUCCUCUCAUGGAAUACGGGAUUUGUUGCAAUGUGUAAAGCAGCCUUAUCAUCACAGUAUAAUUUCAUUGGCUUAUCAUGAAGCACCCCUAAUGAUGCAAGAAGUGAUUUUAGCCACGUUAACUCGCUUGCUGCCAUUGCCAUGGAACGGUACUUUGCUUCUACUGAAAAUCUUGAUAUAGUUCCUUGUUUUUUGCACUUCCACGAAAUUGGUGAUGUCCCAAGUUUAAUGCAACAUCCGCUAAUUGAUCAUCUUGUUAAUGGACAACUUGCCCAGUCCGAAUCUGAAUAAAAAUAAAGUUGAAGAUCAUUUUCUGCUUUCAAAACUAUUCCUUGACCUGGUCCUUUCUUCAUAUAUCGAACGACUCUAUAAGCUGCAUCUAGGUGUUCUUCCCGUGGGCUUUGCAUGAAUUGUGACAAAACAUGAACAACAUACGUCAGGUCUAGCCUUGUUACAGUCAAGUAUAUCAAUCGUCCCAUAAGUCGCAUGUACAUUCCUGGGUCAUUUAGCAAUCUCCCAUUAGCAAGUGCUAGUUUGUGGUUUUCUUCCAUUGGAAAUUCCACUAGUCUCGCUCUUAACAGCCCAUAUUCCUCUAUAAUGUUUAAAGCAUAUUUUCGUUGUGAUAAAAAUAAUCCAUCCUUGCCUCUUGCCACCUCGAUUCCAAGAAUGUAUUUCAAUUGUCCCAGAUUCUUGAUUUCAAAUUUUCUGUCAAGAAAGUUUUUGAAAGCUUCGCAUACUUUGUUGUCAUUCCCAGCCAAUAUUAAAUCAUCCACAUUAACCAAUAGGUUCAUCACUAUGUUUCCACGUCGAUAAGUAAAGAGUGAAUAAUCAGCCAAUGAUUGUUGAAAACCAUAUUAUUUCAAAGUUGUCGUGAGUUUCGCAAACUAUUGUCUCGAUGCCUGUUUCAAUCCAUACAACAAUUUUUGUAACUUGCAAACUUUGUUCUUUCCAGUGGCCUUGAACCCUUGUGACAACUUCAUAUACACUUCUUCUUCAAGGUCUCCAUGUAGAAAUGCGUUGUCCAUUUGGUGUAAUUCCCAUCUUUUCACCACUGCUACAGCUAGAAAGCACCUUACACUUGUCAUUUUUGCCACUGGAGCAAACGUCUCUUGAUAGUCUAUUCCUUCAAUCUGUGUAAAUCCCUGCGCCACUAACCUCGCUUUAUACCGCUCAAUUGAUCCAUCUACGUUGUAUUUUAUUUUGUAUAUCCACUUGCAUCCUAUUGCUUUCUUUUCUGGCGGUAUGUCAACUACUUUCCAUGUUUGAUUAGUCUCUAAUGCUUCAAUUUCCUUUGCCAUGGCUUCUCUCCAUCUGUUGUCUAUAACCACUUCUUUGUAAGUUCUUGGUUCCUUUUCAAUAUUUAUUGCUGCAAGAAAAGCUCGAUGGCCAACAUAAAAUUUUGUAUAAGUCACAUAAUUCGCAAUAGGAUAAGGCUCACCUGAGGGUACCUUUUGGAUUGAGCUUGCCUUGGAACAAAGUGUACUUAAGCUUCUAGCUGAAUAACAUAUAUAAUUUUGGAGAUGUCUCGGUUCUUUGUGUUGUCUAUGUCCCCUACCAAGCAUCUCCCCCUUGCUUUGAUCCUCUCAUGUCUCCAUAUUUUCUUUCCCUUUCUCCCUUUCACUAUUUUUUUCACUCUCUCUUUCACAUGUUUUCUUUACUAUGACAUCAUCAUCUUCAAUGUAAGAUUCUAUGUUCCCAUUGUUCUGGAAUUUUUGUUCUUUAUCUCCCUUGCUGCUUUGACAAAAAGGAAAAAUUGUUUCAUGAAAUAUUACAUCCCUACUCUCAAACUGUUCUUUGGUUUCUAGAUCGUGAAGUUUCCAUCAUUUCUUUCCAUAGGGAUAACCUACAAAUACGCAUCGUCGGCUUCUAGCAUCAAACUUAUCAUUAUUACGUGACUUUUUAUGGGCAUAACACAAACUACCAAAGACUCUCAAGUGCUCAUAAUUCGGUUUCUCGCCAAAUAAUAUUUCAUAAGGCGUCUUUCCAUCUAAUAUAGGUGUGAGGGUUCGAUUUAUCAAGUAUGCUACCGUUAAAACACAUUCUCCCCAAAAAUCUAUUGGUAGACAAGCUUGAAAUCGCAAUGUCCUAGCAAUAUUUAAUAUGUGUUGGUGUUUUCUCUCCACUCUCCCAUUUUGUUGUGGGGUGUUUACCAGGCUACUCUCCCUUAAUAUUCCUUCUCUCUUAUAAAAACUCAUCAUUUGUCCUGAGCAAAAUUCUAAUCCAUUAUCACCUCUGAUGCAUUUAACCGGUUUAUCAAAUUGCGUUUUGGUCAUAAAACAAAAAUUUUGUAAAAUAUCUUUGGUUUCGCUCUUUUCUUUCAUGAGAUAUAUCCACACCCCUCUACUAUGAUCAUCUACAAUGGUAAGAAAAUAAUGUGCCCCUGAAGUAGUGGGAGUUCGAUAUGGACCCCAUAUAUCUACAUGUAUGAGAUUAAAAACUUCAGAUGCUCUUUUAUUACUCAAUUGAAAAGAAUUUCGUACUUGUUUUCCACGACAACAUGAAUUACAAACAUAGUCCUCAAUUCCUUUCAUCACAUUAUUUCCUAAACUAUGAAUGAAAGCUAAAACACGAUCUGAAGGAUGCCCUAACCUCCUGUGCCACAAUUCAUACUUUUCUUCUACUUUCACUGCGUUCACCUUCUCUUCUUGUAAUGGCUUGUAGUAGUACACUCCAUUCCUCAACUCACCCACUCUAAUCGGAUUCCUCGAAGUGCGGUCCUGUAUCACACAAAACGAAUUAGUAAAUAUGACUGUAUAAACUUUUUCUUUUAAUAAUUGGCCUAUAGAGAUUAAAUUGCAUUUCAAGGUAGGGACGUAUAGAACAUUUUUUAAGCAUAAAUCUUUAGAGAGCUUCACAUAUCCCAUUUCAUUUGUUAUGGCUUUUGUUCCAUCAAGCAGUCCCACAUAUGCUGUCUCCCCUUUACGUAGUCAAUCGAACAAAUCUCUCAUUUCUGUCAUAUGCAUGGAUGUACCACUAUCCAAUAUCCAUUCUUCCAUAAUUUUAUUCUUAUCAGUCAGUUUUUCUGCAUUACUGCUUCCAUUUCUGAGUAGAGUCAUGAGUUUUUGGAAGUUGUCAUCAUUCAGUCCUGGGAUUAUACUAUGUUCCACAUCAUGUCCAACGCAUUGUCCUUUUUCUUGCGUAUAUGCUUCAGCAACUGCAUUUGCAUAAUGAACACGUCCUGAAGUUGCUCAUCUUCCAGCAUAACUGUUGCGGCCAUGUCCACGUCCCCUUCCUCAUUCCAUUUGGCAUGUUGGCCACCAGUCGGGAUAUCCUUUUAGUUGAAAGCAAUCUGCAACAUCAUGUCUCGUCUUUCCGCAAUGUGUACAGCUCCCACUUUUAUUUGUUUGUCCCUCAAGUUUCUCUGUCUUAGCUGCAAAAACUGUUAUUUUAGCACGAUCAGCUCCUCUGCCUAUGCUACGAUGGCGUUCUUCUUGUGUAACCAUUGCAUAUAUUUUUCCCAAAGUAGGUAAGGGAUCAAGGGCUAAGAUAGAUGAUCUCACGGUCCCGAAUGUAGUGUCAUCUAGACCCAUGAGAAACUGAUGUGCCUUCUCAUCUUCUCUGCUUUUCACUAUUGCUUGAGUUGUUCCACGAGUGCACUCAGGUAUCUCGAUGUAUUGAUUUAAUUCAUCUCACAUGCCUUUUAUUUUGGCAUAAUAUGCAGCAACUGUCAUUCAUUCUUGUUUCAAGUUCACGAUUUCACUUCUGAGUUGAUGAACCCUCAAAGCAUUUCCAACAACAUAUCUUUCUUUGAGAUCCUCCCACAUGUCUUUUGUAGUCUGCGCAUAGGCUACACUCAAAUGUAAACUCUUGUCGAUCACAUUAAACAUCCAUGAUAUAAUCAUCGAGUUACAUGCUUCCCAUGCAUUCAAUUCGUUUCCAUUUUCUCCUUUUGGUUUGUUUACUGUCCCAUCAAUGAUCUCAAGCUUGUUUUUCGCUCUCAAUGCAUUUCUAACAACCUUCUCCCACAUAUCAUAAUUUUCACCAUUGAACACACAUGUCGUGAUGGUUGCCCCUGGAUUAUCAAAUGGAUGUAGGUAAAGAGGUGAAGAUGGUUCUAUCAUCUUUGUGUGAGUCGAAGGUUUUUCUACCAUGAUACAUUUUCUUCAGGUAUCUGGCUCUGAUACCAUGACAAAAAUUGUGGAAUAAAGGCUGAAAAUUUCUUAUUUUCCAGAAUGUGAAACACAUACAACUUAUAUAGGAAGAGAGGUAGAUAUUUACAUAAAGAGUACUACUCCCAGUUUAACUAAAAGAAUAAAGAUUAUAACUGAUAAACGUUUACAACAGAUGGACAUUAUCACUUAGUGGCUAAGCAUUAUCUAUUCUGUUAUAAAUCUUGUGAAGGUUAACAAGCUGGAGGCGAAGGUGCAUUGUAUUGAGUUGUAGACUUUUAGGAUGAGUGACAAGUUGUUCUUCGCUUUGAAUGUCGAAAGACAACGACAAUACCAUCCAUGAUGAUGAUAUAUCAUUCAUUCUGAAGAAUCUAAAUCUAGCUAUAAUGGUAUAAGUGUGUUUGGUCCUUCAUAUUUGUGGAUUUUGGUUUGCUUAAUUUGCUUUGUAUCUUGAUUUGGAGUCGACCCUAUUGGUUUUUUUUUUUUCCUCCGAUUUCCUUUGAAAUAUGCAUGUGUGAGUGAAAUAUGCAAGAAUGACGACAAAGAUUGUAAGCUAUGGGCUUUAGUCAUGAUUUCCGGUUUUAUGUUAUAAAUAAUUAAAUAGAUGUUUGCUGUAACAUUAAUUGUAAGUCGAUCAUUCCCCAAGGCAGAUUUCCUUGUGGAUGAUGGAUUUUGUUACUUCAUUAUUAAUGUUCUUUUCAUGAUAUUCCUAAUCCUUAAAUUUCAACUAACGAACAUGUUGCUACAGCUGUUUAUUAUCAAUGAGCAACAACAGGGCCAAUAUCCAUUCAGUAGAAAGAAAAAAAAAAAUUGAAAAGUUGAAGUGCUCACACAUGCCGCCUUCUUGGUGGCACUCCCCCCUUGUGUGAGUGGAAGUGUGAACACCUUUCCAUGGGACUAUCACUGUUGUGGAGUAUACUCUCCAUGUAGAUUUUGCUUGUGAUAAUGAUCACUCUUGCCCUUUUAGCCAUGGAAAAUAAUAUCUUUCUCUCUUUCUCUCUUCUUCUUUUGGUCCUCUUGAUUGCGCUCCUCCUCAUUUUAGGUCGCUUGGCUUCUUGUUCUUUAGGAAGCUCCAUCUUCAUUUCUUCUUCUAUUUUAUUCGGCGACAUCUCCACUCCAAACUGUCUGAUGAUCUUCACUUAUUCUUCGUCGAGGCCUGACUCAAUCCGUAAGGGAUUGGUGUGGGAUGUGGAAAUAGAAAAUAUAUAUAUAUAUAUAUAUAUAUAUAUAUAUAUAUAUAUAUAUAUAUAUAUAUAUAUAUAUAUCUUUUGUCAAAGUUGCCUGCAACUUUCAAAGGUUUUUUUGUCCUUACUAAAUGUAGCCGAUGAAUUUUUAAGGGGAAAAGCCAAGAUGUUAGGACUAUGGGUCCAUGUCACGUGUGUUUGGUUUCGGCCUGAAGUUGUUUUCUUACACUACAAUAUACAGGUGCAGAUAUGGAAGACCGCAACUAAGUGUCACCAUAGAUGGCGCAGAUAAAUCUUAUAAUUGCGGCCUCAUACAAUUGUGCAAAUAUAAUGUUCAAGUUAUAGCUGGGCCAAUCUUUUUCCACCACCAAAUCGCUUAUAUAGCUGCUGCUCCUUGUAACCGCUACCAUAAGGCUGCUACAACAUUGCCAGAGUGCUCUAUGGCACAAACAAUUACUGAUUCUAAUGCCCUAUCAUGUUCAAAUUUUGCUCCUUGGAUCUAGAUUCCGAAGUGUUUGACCAUAUGACAAGUUUUUCUAAUCUUUUUUUUGACAUCCUUAUCAUUUCUUAUGAUGUCAAUAUCCACUUGGAAAGAAAAUAUACUAUCUAUGACAAGUGUAUUUCAAUCUCAUUUUUCUCCAUAUAUAAAUAGAUAAUUGAGAUCUUAUCAUUAUCAUCUACUUAUACCCUUUUAAGAGCUAAUUGUAAAAUAUAUACCUCUCCAAGGGCUAUUUGUUUAAACUAUAUCUCUUCAGGGGUUAUUUGUUUAAAUUGUACCUCUUCAAAGGUUGCUUGAAAAUGAUUAGUCCUUUUAUAUGCAACUUCUUCAAGAGUGUCACUUUUUUUUUAUAUAUUUCCUUGUGUUUUCCUCUUCCACGAAAUGUGUUUGCCUCUUCAAUGUCUACCACGUUUUAGGUGUGCCUUAAACUUAUUAUUUAAUUGUUUUUCAAGGAUAUCAACUCAUUAUUUAAUCGUCUUUUAGGAACAUCAAUUCAUAUUAGAAUAUUCUCAAUUAGUGAUAAUGAUUGUGUCACUUUCCUUGCAUCAAUGAAAGCAUUUGGUGGUUAAUUUGCAAGUCCUUGCAAACGAAUAAUCUUUUGAACUUCUAGUUCACAUUAAUUAGUAUAAGGAUCAAGAUGAGUCAAAGUCAAUGCAUUUCAAAUAAUUUCACGUCGUUAUUUUGGAAUUGGUUUUUCUCCCUUUAAAAGUGGGAAAAUUGUCUUAUUAAAAUGAUAAUCUGCAUAACAUGUCAUUAUACCUUUCAAGUGAAUAGGUAGACUAGUCACUAAAUAAAAACUUUUGGUUUUAUAAUGUAUGUUCAUACGACUUUACAAAGAAUUAAUGCAUUAUCUUUUACCUUAGGGGACAAAGUUGAUCUUACAAGAUUCUUCUGGAUCUAACAUAUUAUAAAGUGUCAUUCACAUGGAAUCAAAUACCAGUGACAUAGUAUAAGCUCUUCUAAAACUUUUAAUAAGGUUUCUAUCACUUGAUAGUUUUAACAUUGUUUGUCAUCAAUGUUGUGCAAUUAAUGAGUCAAGAGUUUCAUCAAAAUAAUAAGUUAUAAAACAUGUCAUAAAGACCUCACCUUUAUAGAGUUAAAGAAAUAUUAUCAUAAAGGAAGAGUUAAAAUUAACAAGAAAAUAUUAAUCAUCGAUGAUGACUUAGCUUAAUAAGUUGUGUAAAAUCAAUUAGAGCAUAUAUAAGACAACAAAACAAAUAUGAAAAAGAUAAUUUAAGUCAUAUACUUUUUAAAUAUCUAAUAGAUUUAAUUUUAUAAGUGUGGAGCAAGUUACACAUGAAAUAACUAAGAAGUAUUUCAAUAGUCAAACUAAUUGUAAUGAUUGAUCAAUAAUUUUAUUCAAAUAUUAUUAUGAUUUAAAUCAAUGUGCAAAAUUUAAUUCAGAGGUCAAAUUUUCAAGUGAGCAUAUAAGGAUUUAAAGUAUCUUGCAAUUUUUCCAUGUCUCAAAACUUUAAUUGAUACACUAGAAAUCCAUCUAAAUAUAUAUAUAAAGAUAAAACAAAAUAUAUUAAAACCAAUAGUUGAACUUAUUGUAAUUUCAAAAUUAUUCUUGAAUAAUAAAAUUAUUGCAUUAAUAAAAAUAUGAAUGAUACAUUCAAAUCCAAAUCAUAGAAAAUUAAGGACUUCAAUAAUUAAACUCUUGAAAACAAAAACAAAAAUUCAUAUUUUAUAACUUCAGACUAUAAAAAUAUUUAAAAUUCUUAUACCUCUAAACUAUAGGUGAAACAACAAUGUUUAUAUUAUAAUACUUAUAAUAAUCUUUAUUUAUAUAUAACAUAUAUUUUGUUUCACAUAUACGACUUUAGGUCACAAAUUUUCUAUAUAUUAUAGUCAUGAAAGAUUAUUAAAUUAAUUAUUCCACUUAGGUCUUAGUUAUAAGAAAUUAUAUAAUAUUAAUUUUAUUUUAUUUUAUUUUUUAUAUAGCUUUUAGCUAUAAUAGCAUAUGAAAUGAAAAUCUCUAUAGUUUUCAUUUAUAGGAAAUACAUAUUUUCUUUCACAGGACUUCAAGAAUAAAUUUAUGAGAACUCCUAGUCAUAAUUUUAUUACGAUAAAAUGAAAAUUUUGCAUAAUAUCAAAUUAGAAAAUAUUCUUUGUAUAGCUUCUAGCUAUAAAAUUUCAUAAAAUUAUUAAUUGACAAUUUAGUUUGUAUAACUUCUAGCUAUACAAAAUUAAAAUGCCAAUAUUUUCAUGUUUCUAUUUGAAGUACAAAAAAAUAUGUCUUAUAUAGCUUCUGGCUAUGAAAACAUUUUUUGUAUGGUUUCUAUUAUACAUUCUAUUUUAUUGUACUAUAAAUUUAUAAAUUUAUACAUAACUUCAAGUUAUGAAAUAUUCAUUGUAUAGUUUUGGCUAUAAAAUUUUGUUUUGUAUAACUUUCGGCUACACAAUGUAAUUAAAAUAAAUUUAAAAGUUAAUAUCUUUCAUAACUUUAGGCUAUGUGUGGACCCCGCAUUUCGGCUCAUGCGUUUCCCACUUGAUGACGAGCUCGAUUUUUGUUUGAAAAAUUGAUUUUUAUUUAUUGUUUGAAAAUGACUUGGAGUCGCCACUUAUUUUUGUUUUAUUUUAAAAGGGCAAACAAAAUAAGAAAGAAAACCCUAAGUGCGACUCCUUAUUUUGAAAAAGGUGAUCUACGAAAAACCGGAUCGGCUUCGAGGGUCAGGUUACUUAUCGGGAAGGUACGGUAAAGACCGUAGCACCCCUUUAAGUCCCUAAAGUCGGGCCUCUACUAAUGAGAUGAAGCAAUUAUGACAUCUAAUAAGGAAAUCAAUGAAAACUCGAAUCAAUCAUGCACGUAUUGAGAAUUAAAACAAGUAUAAGGAGUGACCAUGAUGUGAGAAAAUACGUACCUGGGUGGCGAACCGAUAUGCGCUAUCAAGAGGGGGGUUAGUAAAUCAAUUUAUUGGAUGAAUAUAUACGUAUCACAAAGCAGAACAAAUCAAUCACGCCCAACAAUUAAAUCAAUCAAUCAAUUAGUCAAUUAUAAAAUCAUAUAUGUCGGGCCCCCACCAAAGCCCGUUUAUUUUUGCAUGAAUUAAUUCCGUAAAUUCCAUCACUCGGAAUUACAGAAUUUAAAUUCAUGUUUAUUUUAAAAUAUUUUAAAAUUAUGAAAAAUUCGAAGGUGGCUCGCCGAAAAGAAAAUGGCGGCCAAAUUUUAUUAAAAAUGGGAUUUUUGAUACCUAAGAAUUCUAAAGGAUGGCAAUUUUUAAGACUUGAAAGUAUUUUAAAACCAGAACUUGGAAAAUCAUUUAUAAAACGAGGUUUGAAAAAAUCAUUUUCAAGAUCAAAAUGGGAAAGUAGGGGAUGACAUGUGGCUUAAAAAGAAAAGUUGCAUGCCAAAGGUGGCCAUGCAACUAGAAGUAUGCAACUGUAGGCCCAGGGAAGAAUGAUUUUUGAAGUGGGCUUUAGUAGUAGGCUGAUUUGAAUAAUGAGACAUGGUUUGGAUCAAGAGGCUGGCCCACAUUGACCGCAUUUACCAGUGCUUUCACAGUCAAAUCGCCUUUAUUUGAGAAGGUUUCUUUCUUAAGAACUGAUUCGUUCCCACUUGGUGUAUCAGCUGAUUCAUUUCCAGCUGGUGCUCCUUGAUUGAGGUAGUAAUCAACAAAAUUUAUAACCUAUUAUACCAUGAACUAGGGUAGCAAAGACAAAGCUACUAUAGCAUAGUGGCUCUAGGAUCGUUCACUGGGAAGGGUUUUCAACUCACAACUGAUACCAAUUCAAAGCUGAGUUGGUGCCUUUUCAUUUCAAGGUUAGCUUUAAAAGAAACCAUAAAGAUGUUUGAGUGAAAAGGGUUUGGUCUUAAACUAACCAAAAAGAAAGUAAUGGAAAUUACUUAUGAAGAAAAACAUUCCUUGGAGGUUUAGGUUCAUAGGGGAGGUUCCUUAUGCAAAAACAGAGCUCUGGUCAUUUGGUUCAUUUCCUCGCAUUAGAGAAUUAACAUAUAGUCAAUUCUCUAACCGGUGUGGUAUAGCUGCUUCCCUUUAAUGGGUUAAAACACUAAAUCCCUCUCACUGAUGCAACUUGCAAUGGCUCGUGCCUCUCACCUAGCAUUUGUCAUUCAAGGUGAUCUUUAACCUUGGACUUCCCUUCUCAAGCUCGCAAGAGAUAACUAAUGGAUGUCUCCUUGGAGUCCAAAAGCUUACCAAGUGUUGGCAAUUCUAGAAAAUCCUACCUCCAAGUCACUUCCCAAAAGCUCGCAAGAGAUAAACAAGUGCAUCUCCAUGGACGGAGAUCACGUGCCUUACCAAGUGUUGGCUCAAGUGACUUGAAGGUGUUUUAAGUUAACUAAAAACAUAGAAAUCAUUAAAGAAUCACACUUUCUCUUCAUUAAUGACUGAAACCACAAAGCUACUAAUUCUUGCACUUGGAACCUUUCCCGGCAACCUUAACUCCAAGGAACUAAAAGUCUAGCCACUCAUUCUCUGAGGAAACUUCUUUAAAGCUUGUUUGGCUAGUAAGAAAACUAACGAGAAAACAAUUAUAUGAAGGAAAAACAGAGCAAGUGCUCUGUGAAAUAUAUUUCUUUCUUCCGUCGAUUACAUAAUAAAUAUAUUUGUAAAGAAAAUUACAAACUAUAUAUAUGAGGUUAUUCACCUUUUGUACUUACUUAAAGACUAAGGAAUCCUAUGAUAGGUGGGUUACAAGGAGACUUUGGGGAUUUAGACAACAAAUAUCUAAAGCAAAAUAUCUCAAAACGUCGGUCGGAAAUAUCAGGAAGCUUCAGGAGAACACCGCUGCACAGUAUACUGAGAGAAAAACUCUGUGGGUAAGCGUUAUCAGAAAGUCCGGAUAUGUCUAUCCGGAGAAGUUGAAACGUCCUCAUUUCCCAUCCGACUGUGAGAUAUCCGGAUGUAAAAUGUCGGCGCACGGAAUUCCGGAUGUGAAAUGUCCCACACCGCUAAGAUAUCCGGAUCAAUUCCAUCCAGAUUCCCCAAGCGGAAAGGCGGCGCAAUGCUAUCCGGACUCUCUCAGGGAGAAGCACACGGCACUCGUGAACAUCACACCCGGACAAUAGCAUAUCCUAUCCGGAUAUGUUGUCCGGAUGGAAAACAUUGACUAAAGCGAGCAAGCCUUGCUACAGCCUACGUUCCGCCGCUCUCCAAUGGUGUGUCCGGACGCCUUGUCCGGACAUCUUUGCCAAGGAUUCCAAAGAACUCUCCUCAAUAUCUUAUUGCUUUGGUGAUAAAAAAGCUAUCAAAACACCAAAACUUAACACAAUUUUAUUAGAAUUGAUUGCAAGGGUCCUUAAUAUGUUAAUUGGGUUAAAAGGUGAUAACUACUACUCAAAAGCAUUUAAAAGAGUUAAUUAUUGGCUAUCAAAUAGCACUUUUUGAGUAGUAAUCAAGAACGAACUCUUCUUCAUCUUCUUCCUCCUCUCCCCUGGGUUUCUUUAGCUGAAGCUGGCUGUAUCAUCUCCAUGAAGCUCUAGUUCUUUUGCCCAGAUGGCUGAGAGGAUGAGAGAGAGCCGAAGCUGCUACGAUGGUUGGAAAGGGAUUGAGAUGGCCGCUUCGAUGUCUAUUGCUCCAAUUUCACCACCGACUUUAUUCUAAUGAAUUUUUCUACUACAUUCUUCUUCCCUGCCUUUCCUUUCUUUACUGUAGUUUCUUCCCACAAGGUAAAGCCAUUUCCAUAUAUGAUCAAGUAUGUACUCAUCUAUAUUUGUAUCAAAUCCAGAAAAUUGGCGACUGCUCCCCGGAACAAAGUUUCCCAUUGUGUCCAUGGUGGUUGUCAUUGAAAUAGAUAAGGCUUGCCCUUGGUCUCCUGAUGCUGAACUGAUGGUAUGCUGAGCUGUAACCAUGUGAUUAGUACAUCCCGCCUCCAUCAGACCUUGUUUCAGUUGGAGGAAAUUGAAUUUCUCUAGCACAAACAGGUGACCUUUUCGGGACUUUGUAGGGAUAUCCAACUCAACUUCUGAAUUUCUAAGCAAACCAUGUAUUAAAGACCCACUCCAACAGCCAGUUGCCACAAUAACAGCUUUCUAAGCUAUCUCCUUGCCAUAGCUGCAAUCUUUGCCUUCAUGUCUAUGCCGUCAUUCAAAAUAUACAUCUCACCCUUAGCAUUAGGUUCAGACUUCAUUCUUCCCAUAUCUCUAGCAUUUGGUUCAGCCCAUUCUCUUGAAACUUUAGCCACAUAACUCAUGAAGUUCAUGGCUUCCUCUGCUAUCUCGUAUUCAACAUGGCAUGCACAACUAGCAAUUUAUGAAUUAAAAACAGAGAAAACAAAAGAAAACAAAAGAAAAACAAUUCUAAAAAAAAAUUAAGGUAAACUAAAAAUUUAAUAAAAGGUAUACUAAAAUAUGAACAAAGGAAAAUAAACAAAUAAAAAGAGUUAGUAAAAGGAAAAGAAAAGUCACCAAACUUGUGAUGAAGAUCACAAGUACUUUGGAAAGGUGAUAUCACUGUAAAGUGGCACCAUCCCCGGCAACGACGCCAUUUGAUUCGUUCCCAAUUGGUGUCUCAGCUGAUUCAUGUCCUCUCAAUGGUCCCUGACAGUGGUACCAUUUGAUUCGUGUCCAACUGGUGUCCCUUGAUUGUGGUCCUCAGAAAGGAGUAAUCAACAAAAUUUAUAACCUAUUACACCAUGUACUAGGAUAGCCUUAGCUAGCAUAGCAUAGUGGCUCUAGGGUCGUUCACUGGGAUGGGUUUUCACUCUACAAUUAAUAUUAAUUCAAAGCUGAAUUGGUGCCUUUUCAUUUCAAGGUUAGCUUUAAAAGAAAACAUAAAAAUGUUUGAAUGAAAAAGGUUUGGUUUUAAACUAACCAAAAAUAGUAACUGAUUUUACUUACAAAGAAAAUUGUUUCUUGGAGUUUAGAUCACUAGGCUCAGGUUCCUCAUACAAAAAGGAGAGUUUUGGUCACUUGUUUCUUUUCCUCGCAUUAGAGAAUUAACAUAUAGUUAAUUCUCUAACCGAUGUGGUACAAAUGAUUCCCCUUAAUGGGUUCAAACACUAAAUCCCUCUCACUGAUGCAUCUUGCAAUGGCUCAUGCCUCUCACCUAGCAUUUACCAUUCAAGGUGAUCUUUAACCUUGGAUUACCCGUCAAAAGCUUGCAAGAGAUAACUAAUGGAUGUCUCCUUAGAGUCCAAAAUCUUACCAAGUGUUGGCUAUUCUAGAAAAUCCUACAUUCAAACCACCUCCCAAAGGCUCGCAAGAGAUAAACUAGUGUAUCUCAAUGGACGGAGACCACUUACCUUAUCAAGUGUUGGCCCAGGUGAUUUAAAGGCGUUUUAAGUUAACUAAAAAGAUAAAAACCAUUAACGGGUCACACUUUCUCUUCAUUAAAAACUAAAAUAACAAAAAUUCCAAUUUAUGCAUGAGGAAACUUACCCGGCUUUCUUCACUCCAAGAGACGAAGAGCCUAGCCGCUCAUCCUCUGAGAAAACAUCCUCAGAGUUUGUUUGGCUAGAAAGAAAACUAACGAGAAAACAAAAAUAUGAAGGAAAACUAGAGCAAGUGCUCUGUAAAAUAUAUAUCUUCCUCCCGUCGGAUUACAUGAUGAUAUGAGAACAACCUCCCGACUCCUCUCUUAUAAAGAAAAUUACAACUAUAUAUAAGAGGUUAUUCACCCCCUUUGUUCUUGCUUAAAGACUAAGGAAUCCUAUGAUAGGUGGGUUACAAGGAGAGUUUGGGGAUUUAGACAUCAAAUAUCUAAAGCAAAAAAUCUCAAAAUGUCGGUCACACAUAUCGGGAAGCUUUAGGAGAACACCGCGGCAUUGUGCAAAAUGGCUGCGAAAUUUUUGCAGCAAAAGGACAACAUUUUCGCAGCUAAAGGCUGAUUUCAUAGUCGUGCACCAUUUUGCCUUCAACUUGGAGUGAUCUUCUUACAAUGGUUGUAACUCCUUCAUUUCAACUCCGAAUUGUGCACCGUUUAAAGCAUUGGAUUUUUGACUUCCUGAUCUUCGAAACAACAUAUAGAAUGCAUAAAUUGGACUUCAGUAAGUGCUCCAAAAGUGGCUGACAUGACUGUCAUCAAGAAUGCUUCAUGUUAGAUUUCUCUUUGCUUCCCCUCCUUGCAUUCCGGAUUUCCUUAUGGCAAAGGACUUUAAAGCUUUGGUUCUUCAUGUUUUUGAGCUUUCCAUUGCUUUGCCAUGGAUUCCAAAGAACUCUCCUCAAUCUUGGAUUGCUUUGGUGAUUAAAAAUCUAUCAAAACACCAAAACUUAACACAAUUUGAUUAGAAUUGAUUGCAAGGGUCCUUAACAUGCCAAUUGAGUUAAAAGGUAAUAACUACUACUCAAAAGUGUUUAAAAGAGUUAAUUACAAGCUAUUAAAUAGCACUUUUUGAGUAGUAAUCACUCCCCCCAACCGACAUAUUGAUCUAACUCUCAACAUCAUGCUAAUCAAAAAACAAUUUUCAAGUGGCAUAAUGAUCUAACUCUCACAUGGAACAUUAAAGAAAUAAAACUCAAACUUUAACAAGAGUUAUCAAAUAACUUGUCUAAUCACAAUUCUUAAAGAGAAGACAUUAUGCAAAUUUAAGCUUUAAAAGAGUUUCCACUCCCAAAGGGUCAAACCUUACUCUUCCACAAAAAUCUAAGUGUUACUUAUUAGUUUCCGAAUAUAGUAUGUUGAACUAAUCUCUCCCCCCAACCUAGUUCUUUUUCAAAGCUUAGUAAACUGAUCAACCUCCAAUAGGUUAAGAACGCACCUCUUUUUUCACAAUUUUUUUUCAUUGUAGGAGUACAAGGCUAAAGUUAUUCUUUUCUAAAUUUUCCAUGUAAUGGGGGUCCAUCAAUGACUCCCAACCAAUUAAGGUUUAGGGCAUCAAGCUUUAAGGAUCUUUCAACCACUAACUCCUCGGAUUUUACCCCGGACUUUUGAGAAUGAAUUUUUAAUACCUAAGCACCUAUAGUAUGUUAAACUCCACCUAUUCACCCUUGUAACGAGCAUUGAGGUCGGUGACUCCCAACCAAUGAAGGCUUAGGGCACUAGGUUUUAAAGAUUUUCACCAUAUACCCCUCAGACCUUGCUCGAGUUUCAAGGCAAGCAAACAUUUUUCUUUCUUUCUUUUUUUUUCAAAAGCUCAUUGGCCUUUUAUAAGGUGUCCCAACACUAUUAAAUGAAGUCAAAGGUACCAAGUCUAAAAUUUUCCUAAGUCAAGAGGGAAAUAGUUUUUCAUCUUAUAAUCGGAACCUAUUGUACACAGUGUGUGAAUGGCUUAAAGUGGAAGAACUGAGGUUGAUUUCAAUAGAAGUUUCAACAAUUCAUCAACUUUAGUAAGCAUAAUACAAACUCUAAGUCAAGUAAAAAGAGAAAAAUUCAAUUUCUCCCUUUUCAUUUUGAAAAUUUUUCCUUAAUAACCAUGGCGAGUAGAAUAAAAAACUUUAAAAAUUUUAAAAUUUAAGCAAAAAGCAACUAAAUUACCAAAAUAACUUAGCAUUAUUAAUAAUACUUACUUUCUCAACUCUCCCCCCAACCAAGCUGAACAUUGUCCUCAAUGUGACAAAAGCGAUUGAAAAAUAGGGAGGAAGUGGUACCUCCUGAGUGACAUGGAGUCUAAGUCAUAUAGGAGAAACCACAUGUUUCAAAAAAAAACAAAAGAGUUAGUGAGUAGAGGAAAUAGAAAAAUGCCAAGUUGAAACAAAAAAUGAUGUCUAUAUAUGAUGCAUCAUCAGUAAUACAUCCAAUCCCAGAAUAUAAGACAUCAAAACAUGGAAUUAUGUAUACUAAUAUGUAAAUACAAAAAAUGAAGAGAUGAUCAAGUAAUGGUAGAGUCCUGUGGAGCUGAUGCAUCUGUGGUGGCCUCUUGAGUGGGUUGGAUCAGGACUUUAGCCUCUGUUCUAGUAGUCUCCUUAGAUGGCAUAGUCUCCUUAGCUGGAGCUCUCAGUUAGAGCUAUGGGCUUUUGAUGGUUUUAGGAGGUAAGAAAUGGAAUGAGAGGCUUUGUGUGUGAUCUCAGUGAGAGGGCUCUCCUCUUUAGAUGCAUGGUUAUGUGGCUCUAUUGGCAUUUUUACAAAUUCCUUUGGCUUUGCUAGGUGUUUUUGCAAACCUCUCUUCAUUUUGGAAGUCAUUUUUAUAGCUUGGAGGUUAAUUCGUAGCUUAGAGAUCAUCUUGCAGUCAAAAGGAAAAAAGAAAAACAUUUUCCACAACCCAAGGGGAAUUUCACAGGGGGAAAGUGGAAUUUUGCAGCCCAUUUUGAUGCCAAAUGCCAUUUUGGCAGCCAAUGGAAAAAAUAGAAACAUUUUAGCAGCCCCUUUUGAAGCUUGGAAAUCAUUUCGUAGCCAUUUUGAAGCUUGGAGGCCAUUUUUGCUGUGGGAGGAGGAUUUCGUAGAGAAGGGGGAUUUUCGCAGCCUAUUUCAAAGUUUGGAAAUCAUUUUGCAUCCAUUUUGAAGCUUGGAGAUCAUUUUGUAGCCAUUUCGAAGCCAAAGGGGAAAAAAGAAACAUAAAAAAGAAGAUCGCAUCCCAUUUUUGAAGCUUGGAGAUCGUUUUCGCAGCGGGAAAAGGAUUUUGUAGAGGAGGGGAUUUUCGUAGCCCAUUUCGCAGCUGUGAAAUGGGCGUACGGCGCUGCGAAGUGGUACUCGUGUGCCAAAGGGUGGUUUCGCAGCUGCGAAACACCCUUCGAAAUGGGGGCUUGGCUGCGAAAUUCCCGCCCAACUUUGCGCGCUCAUCUUCAAACGGCCAUAUCUUUUUCGUUUCAACUCCAAAUCAUGUAUCGUUUGAAGUAUUAGACUUCUGACUUCCCAAGAUUCGAAUCGACAUAUGGUAUGCAUAAUUUGAGCUCCAUGAAGUGCUCCAAAAAUGUGUCCAACAGUAGCGAAAUGGGGUACGGCUGCAACAUUUCCGUUCAACUUUGCACAGUCAUCUUCAAAUGGCCAUAACUUCUUCAUUUCACCUUCAAAUCAAGCACCGUUUGAAGCUCUGGACUCCUGACUUCCCAAUAUUUGAAACAAGAUAUAGUAUACAUAAUUUGAGCUCCAGGAAGUGCUUCAAAAAUGUAUCCAACAGUAGCGAAAUGGGGUGCGGAUGCGACAUUUCAGCUCAUUGUUUGCACAGUCUUCAAACGGUCAUAACUUCUUUGUUUCAACUCCAAAUCAAGCACCGUUUGAAGCUAUGGACUCUUGACUUCUCAAUAUUUGAAGCGAGAUAUAGUAUGAAUAAUUUGAGCUCUAGGAAUUGCUUCAAAAAUGUGUCCAAUAGUAGCAAAAUGGGGGUGCGAAUGCGACAUUUCAGCUCAAUUUUGCACAGUCGUCUUCAAACGGUCAUAACUUCUUCAUUUCACGUCCAAAUCGAGCACCAUUUGAAGCUAUGGACUCCUGACUUCCCAAGAUUUUAAAUGAGAUAUGGUAUGCAUGAAAUGAACUUUGGGAAGUGAUUGAAAUAUGUCCAGCAGUUGCCUAAAUGGGGGUGCGGCUUCAUGGUGUGCGCGCUGAAGGAUUUUAAGGCAUGGAGGAUUUUGCAACCAUUUCGCAGCUGCGAAAUGAGUGUACAGGGCUACAAAAUGGCACUCGUGUGCCAAAGGGUGGUUUCGCAGCUGCGAAACACCUUUCCAAAUGGCUCAUCGACUGCGAAACGGAGGAUCUCAAGGCGUGGAAAGCUCGCAGCCAUUUCACAGCUGCGAAACGGGUGUACUUGGCUGUGAAAUGGCACUCGUGUGCCAAGGGGCCUCUUCACAGCUACAAAAAGUUUCGUAGAGGGCGCUUGGAGGCUGCGAAAUCAUUUCACAGCGAGGGCGCGAUUUUCGCAGCGGCUCACUUUUGCUGCGAAAUUUCGCAGCCCAUGCUUUCUCCUUACUUUUUGAGCUCCUCUUGAUUCCCAACUUCCUUCUUUCACCUUUUUUGACAUUCCUCUUGAUAUUGAUCAUCCAAAAACCUAUAUUACAUCAAAACAAAUGAGAAUUAAAGCAUUGAAAUCAAAAUUAAAUCAUUGAAAUCAAAAUUAAAACAAGUAAUAAGCAAAACAAAAAGAUAUGGACUAGCUAGUCUUUAGAAAGACUAAGUCCAUCAAAAAAUUUGAUCCUGAUUUAGCUUGCCCGGAUCUCAUAUGAAGUUUGCAUCCCUCACUUGAGACUUGCUUUGUAUGAUUUUCCCAUACAAAGCUUGGAUGAAAGGUGGAGGCAUGUGUUUCAUCAUUUCUUCCUUGAUGACUACCCUUUGUGGUUCUCCUUCUAUAUUAACAUCAUAGCCAUCUUUCUCUAUGCUUUUCCCCUUUCUCUUUCCUUUGAUUUCCUCCCUCUUUUCUUUAUCUGUUUCACUCUCUUCCUUAUGCUCUAGCUUGGAUGUGGGCAAAUCAACCUCUUUAUCUCCCUCCUUAGCCUCCAUUUCAUGGAUACCCUUUUGAUUUUGAUGAGGUUGAGAAGGAGAGUUUUCUUUCUCUUGCACUGUGUUGAGGUUGGCAAACCUUGAGAUAGAAUAUUGGAGAGUAUCUAUCUUCUGAGAUAGAUCAUUUUGCACUUCAUCCAUCUUUUUGUUCAAUGAACUCUCUACACUGUCAAUUCUUUGACUGAUAUGAGCAUUGAUGGAUUUCUGAGCUCCAACAAAGUCUCCCAUAACCUUGCUAAGAUUCACCAUAGCUUAAUCAAGGUUUGAGGCUUGCGGAAGUGCUUGAGCGGGUUGCUUAUGCUGAGGUGGCUGUGGUUUCCAAGAGAAAUUUGGAUGGUCUCUCCAAUUGGAAUUGUAGGUGUUGCAAUCACCAAACAUUUCCUCACGGCUGGAAUGGUAGGACACUCUUCCACCAAGUGCUCAUAAGAUAGACAAAUGGCACAAGGCAUAGCUUGCAAUGGUGUUUGAGAGAUGGCUUGCACUUCUUGCAUCUUCUUCAUUUCUAGCUCUUCCAAUCUCCUUGCCAUAGCUGCAAUCUUUGCAUUCAUGUCUAUGCCGUCAUUCAAAAUAUACAUCUCACCCUUAGCAUUAGGUUGAGACUUCAUUCUUCCCAUAUCUCUAGCAUUUGGUUCAUCCCAUCCUCUUGAAACUUCAGCCACAUAACUCAUGAAGUUCAUGGCUUCCUCUGCUAUCUCGUAUUCAACAUGGCAUGCACAACUAGCAAUUUGUGAAUUAAAAACAGAGAAAACAAAAGAAAAAAAAAGAAAAACAAUUCUAAAAAAAAAUUAAGGUAAACUAAAAACUUAAUAAAAGGUAUACUAAAAUAUGAACAAAGAAAAAUAAACAAAUAAAAAGAGUUAGUAAAAGGAAAAGAAAAGUCACCAAACUUGUGAUGAAGAUCACAAGUACUUUGGAAAGGUGAUAUCACUGUAAAGUGGCACCAUCCCCGGCAACGGCGCCAUUUGAUUCGUUCCCAAUUGGUGUCUCAGCUGAUUCAUGUCCUCUCAAUGGUCCCUGACAGUGGUACCAUUUGAUUCGUGUCCAGCUGGUGUCCCUUGAUUGUGGUCCUCAGAAGGGAGUAAUCAACAAAAUUUAUAACCUAUUACACCAUGUACUAGGAUAGCCUUAGCUAGCAUAGCAUAGUGGCUCUAGGGUCGUUCACUGGGAUGGGUUUUCACUCCACAAUUAAUAUUAAUUCAAAGCUGAAUUGGUGUCUUUUCAUUUCAAGGUUAGCUUUAAAAGAAAACAUAAAGAUGUUUGAAUGAAAAAGGUUUGGUUUUAAACUAACCAAAAAUAGUAACUGAUUUUACUUACAAAGAAAAGUGUUUCUUGGAGUUUAGAUCACUAGGCUCAGGUUCCUCAUACAAAAAGGAGAGUUUCGGUCACUUGUUUCUUUUCCUCGCAUUAGAGAAUUAACAUAUAGUUAAUUCUCUAACCGAUGUGGUACAAAUGUUUCCCCUUAAUGGGUUUAAACACUAAAUCCUUCUCACUGAUGCAUCUUGCAAUGGCUCAUGCCUCUUACCUAGCAUUUACCAUUCAAGGUGAUCUUUAACCUUGGAUUACCCGUCAAAAGCUUGCAAGAGAUAACUAAUGGAUGUCUCCUUAGAGUCUAAAAGCUUACCAAGUGUUGGCUAUUCUAGAAAAUCCUACCUUCAAACCACCUCCCAAAUGCUCGCAAGAGAUAAACUAGUGUAUCUCAAUGGAUGGAGACCACUUGCCUUAUCAAGUGUUGGCCCAGGUGAUUUAAAGGUGUUUUAAGUUAACUAAAAAGAUAAAAACCAUUAACGGGUCACACUAGCCGCUCAUCCUCUGAGAAAACAUCCUCAGAGUUUGUUUGGCUAGAAAGAAAACUAACGAGAAAACAAAAAUAUGAAGGAAAAACAUAGCAAAUGCUCUGUAAAAUAUAUAUCUUCCUCCCGUCGGAUUACAUGAUGAUAUGAGAACAAGCUCCCGACUCCUCUCUUAUAAAGAAAAUUACAACUAUAUAUAAGAGGUUAUUCACCCCCUUUGUUCUUGCUAAAAGACUAAGGAAUCCUAUGAUAGGUGGGUUACAAGGAGAGUUUGGGGAUUUAUACAUCAAAUAUCUAAAGCAAAAAAUCUCAAAAUGUCGGUCGUACAUAUCGGGAAGCUUCAAGAGAACACCGUGGCACUGUGUAAAAUGGUUGCGAAAUUUUCGCAGCAAAAGGACAACAUUUUCGCAGCCAAAGGCUGAUUUCGCAGCCGUGCACCAUUCUGCCUUCAACUUGGAGUGAUCUUCUUGCAAUGGCUAUAACUCCUUCAUUUCAACUCCGAAUUGCGUACCAUCUGAAGCAUUGGAUUGUUGACUUCCUAAGCUUCAAAACGAAAUAUAGCAUGCAUAAAUUGGACUUCAAGAAGUACUCCAAAAGUGGCUGACAUGAUUGUCAUCAAGAAUGCUUCAUGUUAGAUUUCUCUUUGCUUCCCCUUCUUGCAUUCCGGAUUUGCUUAUGACAAAGGACUUUAAAGCUUUGGUUCUUCAUGUUUCUGAGCUUUCCAUUGCUUUUCCAUGGAUUCCAAAGAAGUCUCCUCAAUCUUGGAUUGCUUUGGUGAUCAAAAAGCUAUCAAAACAUCAAAACUUAACACAAUUUGAUUAGAAUUGAUUGCAAGGGUUCUUAACAUGCCAAUUGAGUUAAAAGGUAAUAACUACUACUCAAAAGUGUUUAAAAGAGUUAAUUACAAGCUAUCAAAUAGCACUUUUUGAGUAGUAAUCACUUGGAGAUAGACUACAACGAGGCAUUUGAAAAACUUGUGCGCUUCAAUGACAACCUCGGUAAAUGGGUUGCGGAAAACAAUCCGGAACAUUGGGCAAUGUCAAAGUUUCUAAAAAAACAAUGGGAUAAAAUGACAAGUAACAUUGUAGAUUCCUUCAAUGCGUGGUUAAGAGAUGAGCGUCACAAAACAAUUUAUACGUUAUUGUUAAUGCACAUGGAUAAGCUUGUAGCCAUGUUGGACACCCAUAUGCGUGGUACAGAAAAGUGGAAGAGCAUGGUUGGACCGAAAACUGAAAAGAAGCUAAUGUCAAAUAUCAUGAGGUCUGGUCCGAUUAGUGUGUUGCCAUAUUUGGGGGGGGGGGGGGACGUUUAAGGUGUUUAUCGGGGAGGUUUAUUUGGUUGUCGAUAUCAAUCAACGUACGUGUACUUGCAUGACAUGGCAAAUGUCCGGCUUGCCGUGUUCACACGUAUGUGCUGUCAUCCGCACACUCAGACACGACGUGUAUGACUAUAUUGACCCAUGUUUUAAUGUCUCCAUCCAACAUUUGAUUUACUCUGGUCAGUUUCAACCAUUUCCAACACACAAUAUGCUGAAAGUUUGUGAGGAUGGGAGUCUGCAAGAUUGCGCCGAUAACUUAUUUUUUGCUCUCCAACCCCCUCAUGUCAGACAUCCUCCAGGAAGGCCCCGCCAAAGACGCAUUGAGUCACAGUUUACUCAUAAGAGAGCAAUUCAUUGCUCUCGAUGCAAUGGCAUAGGUCACAACCGCUCUAAAUGUAAUAAUCCGUUGCCAUGACAUGUGGCUUGUAUGUGCUUGUACGAUUCUCAUACUUUGUAUCAACCCAUACAUUCUAUUGUAGGGUAUAUGGUACGGUAUUGUUGUUUUUCAUUCAUAUGUAUUGGCCUGGUUAUAGCCACGAUGCACUAUCUUGUUAUUUUCAUGAUUUAUAGUUGCUUUGUUUAACCUACUUAAUUAAAAGUGCAAUUUGAAUGUGGUUUCUUUUAAGUUGUUAUUUAAUUCCAUCAAUGUGUCUACAUUAUCAAGCAUUUGUGGUUCUACCUACUAAAAAAUGUCUUUCUAUUUGUCUUAAAUGAGAUAUACUUGUUUCACACGUUGUAAGCAUUGCAGUUAUUAUCUUGUAAUUUAUAUGAUCUGUUGGCAGUAGCAUAGUACUUCACUCACAUGUUUGCACCCAAACUGUUAGCGCUUUCCUCAAAUGGUUUUUUUUUAUUUUUUUUAUUUAUUUUUACCUUAUACAUCUGAAUAUGGUAUAGCCUUACGAAAUUUAUCCAACUGAUUAAUGGUACGAUAGUGAAAUGACCUUUCCCUUUAUUAUUAGUCUCUCCAGCUCAUCGAUAACUACUAUAGUACCCUUUGGAAGUUACCGAUUAUUCUAAGGUUCAAACCUCCAACAAUAAAUUCAUUCUUCAAUGGCCACUGUGGAGGUAUUGCAUUAUUUCUUCGUUAUUAUUUUUCAUUACUUAUUUUGGAUACUUGAUAUUUUAACCUACUUAACACAAUUACUUGUUAUGGGUCUUACAUAUUCAUUAUCAGAUAAACAUCGAGUUGUAAAUUAUUCAUCCACAUUAUUUUGUUUGUUAGUUCAUUCAAUUGUAUUUCUUUUUGCACCACGUUUAUGUAUUCAUAUUAUCUUUUUUAUUUUUAUGUUGAUUACUAAAAUGCAUGUGUAAGAUACUAAUUAUGUCCUUCACUUUUAAUGCAGCCCACAAGAUUGUUCACACGUUGUUCAUCUUCGAGAUUCUUAAAACUAUGCAACAGGCUGCCAGUUGAUAAAUUAGAAGUUGUUCGAGACCUUCAGUUUGGAGGUCUUCUCAACUUAAAUUGUAAGGAGAUACGCCAUAAUAUAUGUCUAUGGUUGAUCGACCAUUUUAACGUUGGCUUCAGAUGCAUAGACAUAUCAUCCAACAAAAGCUAUGAUCUGACUGCUACAAAUGUUGGCCUUGUAUUUGGCCUCCCGAAAAGUGGACGGAUUUUACAAAUUGCAUCAACCCCAUCUGAGCAUCCAUUCGGUACACUCAACACUUGUGAGGAGAGACUCCUCAACUUACCUGUCGGGGAGGAGUUCCGUAGAUGCUUCCUUUACUACGCAUGUACGACGAUAUUGGCGCCAAUGUCAAGGAUAGAUGGAUGCCGAAACUUAUGGCAUACCAUCCAUGAAGAUGGUUUUCGAAACGAUGUCAACUGGGGCCAAUUUGUUGUUGACCAGCUGGUUGAGGGUAUUAGACGAUUUAAACAACGGAAGAGUGUUUGGGUACAUGGUUGCAUCCUCUUCCUCCAGGUAUUGCCCUUCUUUUACAUUGAUAACUUGGUCACUUUUACAUUGUUCACAUCACUACCAUCAAGUAACGAAUCCACAUAUGUUUAUUUCCAUUGUGCAGUUCCACUACGUAAUUAAAUUCAAGAUUCCUUCAGUUCAUGUUCCCGUGACAGUGUCCCUUCUCUCUGCAUGGUCAGAUGAGUUGAUAAAUGAGCGCUUAGCUGCUAAGAUAAGUCAAUUUGGUAGUUUCGGACAUGGCAAGGUAGCCAUUUACUCUACAUUCAUUUUGUUAUGAAAUUUGAUGACAUCGAAAUUGAAUACCUUGAAGGUUUAUACGUUCUUAAUUUGCGUCAUGAAAUCAAUUGUAGGGGUUUGAUAAUUCGUCACCGCCUCGUACACAUGUGGAGUCUGAUAGUGGCCCAACAAGUAGUCAUGUACGGAUAUUGUUUGUUACUUUAUGAAUUAACUCUGUCUGAAUGCCAUUACAAUUAGGUUUACUGACUCAAUUGUUUUAAAUCAUUGGUUAUAAAUAUUUUCUUCAAUAUUUUUAUAGUAAUUUAUGUGCAAGCUAUUCAUUAACAUGUCACAGGAACUACUUGAACAAUACUAUGGAGCAGAACAUGCAAUAAAUCAAUAUCAAAAUGGCAUUCAGCACCAGCUAGGCGUCUUGCAUGGUCUAAUGCAUACAUUGGAUGGCCGAAAAGAACGAAGUCGACCUUCGCUUGCCGCUGGUGACUUAAGCUAUGCAGCCCAUGAAUUUUCGGAGCCCGAACCGCAUUCAGACUAUGGCGGAGAUGACAUGGCAUCCCAUGGCACUACAGACGUACCUGACACACCAAUUCGGCAUCCAUCAGUUAUUGGUAACAGUAUGUGGGACAUUCAUUACUGCAUGAAUGUGUACAUAAUAACUCAUAUUAUAUUACUCUACAUUACGAAUUAAUUGUUGUUACUCCAAACUAAUAGCCGAUGAAAAAGUAGUCAUCCUUGAACAGUUGCCUUUGUGUUCUAUGGUUGUGGUUCCAUCUUAUAAGAGUGGGAGGCGACGAAGAGUGCAUCGGUUGGCUCCCAAUCUAUUGUCGCCAUUCAUAGCACAACCACAAACCCGUCAGUCUACCAUCAAGAUGGACCUCAAACAAGCAGCUGCAAUUGUUUUUUAUGGGGCCUUGGACCCGAGGUUUGACUUAGCAUAUAAUACUCCACUUUCAAAUGUAUUCACCUCCACAUAUUUGGUAUUACCCUAACGUUGAUGGUUUUUUUGACAGUGAGGAACUUGUUUCAAUGCAUGACACGAGUUUAAGCAGAGGCAACCUCGCCUCUUUCCAAGGAGACAGCUAGAUUGGCAAUCAUGUUAAUAUAUCAAUUUCUCCAUUACUUUGCAAUAUUUUUAAUUUAAUAUUCAUGUACCAUCUUGUCAUUAGUGGCUCUGAAUAUUGCUUACAUAUUAAUCACUUCUUGUCUUAGGUCGUGGAUACGUAUUGUAGAAUGUUGCAAUUCAACGAUGUAUCAAGGACCAAACUCUUUCUUUCGCCAUACAUAGCUGUAAUGGAGGGCUUUGAUGGACACUACAAUUCAAUGUUUUGUUGUUAUAACAUGUCAACAAGUUUCCUUACCCUUUAAAGCUUAAACUUUUUUCAUAUCAUAUGCAGAAAAUGGUCAUGCAUUCCAACGCCAAACAUUUGACGCACGAUGCAGUAAUUGGCCGUUUUGAGCCAUAUUUGUAUCCCUUAGAUGUUUCCUAUCAGAAUGUUAAUGAGGUUAGCUUAAAUGCAUUGUUCGAGGUUUCUACACUUGUCAUCUCCUUCACCCAAUAUAUGUUGUAAUCCAUUCUGAGUGGCAUCAUGCAGGUCUACUUACCGGUUCUUCUCAAAAACCAUUGGACGCUUUAUGUUUAUGACUUGCAUAACAAACGAAUCCAGCUCUUGGAUUCUCGACUAGGAAGGAGAAGGAGUUGUAUGAGUGGGAUACAACAAAAUUUGGUAAAGUAGUUAUUAGUUCCAUAAUAUUUUUUGCUUCCAUUGUACCUAAGAUGGGAAGUUUUAAUGCAUCUACAUUCUUUAUUUAAGGCCAAGGUUGUUCUAUGGCUUGUUGCCUACAAGAAACAAAUGGUGGAUGUAGACUUGAAGAUGUUCCGUUUUGUCAUGCCAGAUGUAUCAAGUCAACCAAAUGAGUUAGUGUUUACUUUGCAGUCUGUGACUAGAUUUAAAUUUUAUUGCAAGUCAAUUUAUGUAUAUUAUCGUUGCCAUGUCACGCCUAAUAAGUAAUUACCCGUUACGUUGUGUUUUAGCAAUGACUGCGGAGUAUUUGUUAUGAAAUUCAUGGACAAUUGGUUAAAUGGAGGACUCUCCAAAUCCAUCGAUGUGGUAUGUCCGUACACAAUUUUAAUAUACCAUGAUUAUAUCAAAGUUGCAUUCCAUGGCCAAAAUAUUUACCAUUUCCUAAUAUGCCUUUUAAACAUUAAUGAAUGCAGGGCAAGAUUAAGAAGUAUAGAUUGAAGAUAUUGGGGAGAUUGUUGCUUUCAUCACAUAAUGCACAUCGACAUCGCUUUCUCGUGGAUUGAGGGACACUAUUCAAUUGGCUGUGCCAAGGAUAUUUUCAAUUGAUUGUACAUUAUUUUGUGAAACCUAACUAUUUUCAAUGUAUUGCAUAUAGAAGUUAGUGAUGAAUGCAUAGCUAAGGUUAACAACAGUACGAUUCAUGUUUAAACCAAACAAGUUAAGCGUUGAAAAGCCUUUGGCUUCAAAAGUAUUCACAAAUGAAAUUGGGAUCGCUACUUCAAAUGUAUACAUUAUACAAAAUUGCGUCGGAAUAAGAGUCGUACUUUAAUUGGUCAUUGCAUGGAUCACACAUUGCUACUUCAGUUUACAUUUUUUACUUAAAUCACAUCUUAUUUCGCACACAUUUUUAUGGUAUAGGGAUCGUCGUCGGAGAUCGACCGGUUCUCGACCUAAUGCCCUUUUUAAACUUUAAGACCAAGAUCAGUCCCUAUCUACAAUAGAAAAGAAAAGAAAAGAAAAGGAAAAAAAAAACCAGGAUGUAAAGGGUCAUCUUAACUUAGGCUUCUUUUUGUCUUUUUUUUUUUUUUUUUGGUAGUCAGUACAAAUUGAAUCUUUUUCUCCUAUCAAAAACUUAAAAGAAUAUACUCAAGGGAGCUAAAAGAGAAAUAAAAAAAAAUGAAAAUAUUAUCUAGGGCCGAGAACAGUUUUCUCUUAUUUAAAAAUAGGAAAACACGUGUAAUGAUUAAAAACUGUUUUUUAUAAGUGCUUUUAGACAACAUCUUUUUUUAUGACUGUUUAAAAAAAUAAUUAUACAGAAUAUAUAAAAUGAUUAAAAAUAAAAUAUUAGAUAUAAAAACUAUUUUUAAAACAUAUUUAAAAAUAUUAAAAAUAAAUUUAAAAUAUUUUAAAAUUUCAAAUAAACUUUUAUUUUAUGAAAUAUUAGAUAAUAAUUCAAAAAGACUUUUAUUAAAAACUAUUUUCAAAAACUUUUACCAAAUAUACCCCUAAUUUCCAUUUUCAUAAAAUUGAAGAAUAAAGCUUAUUCUCAUCAAAAUUUGGAUUUACAUCAUGGGUUAUCUUUCAUUUUAUUUUUAUUUUUUUAUUUUUUUAUUCUUGUUUGCAUGAGACAAACACACUCCAUAUGGGUGUUUAUAUUCUAUGGUGAAAAAAGAGAGGAGAUAAAGGUGGGGUCAGUGUCUACCCUCAAAGUUGAAUAUCGAAUGUUCAAACAUUUCAGCUAUGCCUAGACCUUUUUGACUAAUAGUCCCUCUUGUUGGUUUGAUCUUCUUUCUCAAGACCCAUGGUAUCUUAAGCAGGAGUUGAUGGACUACUUCUCUUGAAAUUGAAUUUGUAAUACAUAUCUUAACUUCCCAGGUCGGCCAGUCGUUUUUGUGAUAGGCCUCACCAAGGAAGGAGUAUUAAUUAAUUAAUUAAAAAGAUAUUGGCAAGAUUUUCAACCGUUGGUAACACUUUCUUUCUCAAGACCCAUGGUAUCUUAAGCAGGAGUUGAUGGACUACUUCUCUUGAAAUUGAAUUUGUAAUACAUAUCUUAACUUCCCAGGUCGGCCAGUCGUUUUUGUGAUAGGCCUCACCAAGGAAGGAGUAUUAAUUAAUUAAUUAAAAAGAUAUUGGCAAGAUUUUCAACCGUCGGUAACACACUUUUUAAAAAAGAUCUUUUAAAAGGGCUUAUAAAAAAAUUGAGCUCAAGUCAUCAUUAGGAAGUCCUUAUUAUUAUUGGUCAAGGCUUCAACGAUUCAAGUCGAUAGAGCUUUUCAAACAUCAAAAGUAAUAUUUAAUGGUUAAAUAUAAUUUUUAAGAAUGUUCAAAUGAAAUUCUGAAUCAUGGAUCUUAUACUUCUAAAUGUAAUUUAUCGGGUUUUAAAGAAGUUUAGAAACCUAUGCUUCCUCUAUGAGGUGGGAGAAGCUUGUUUUUAUUUGAUUAAAAAUUUUUAAAAUAUCAUAAUUAUCUUUGUAUUUAACAAAAAUAUUUUAAAGAUAGUCUUUUAAAAGUAUAAAAUUUAAUCACGGCAAAGUACUAAUUAUUUGUAUUUCUACUUAUUUUAUUAUUAAAAAUUAAAUUUUAUCAGAGAUAAAAACGAGCUUAGAAGUCUAAAAUCAAAAUAUUAUUAAUAUGGUUUGAUAUGGCAUUAUGGUAAGUUUAUUCAAAGCUAUAUUGAUUCCGAAAUCAAAUGAUAAUUUAACAUAUUAUAUUCAUUGAAUUCAAAGUUAGAUGAUAACUAUCCAUAUGUUGUAUUUUAAAUUUUUUAUUAUCCGCUCAAUUAUUUUAUUUGUCACGGACCAAAAAUUAUUAACAUGAUGAAAACAUUAAGACAUGUCUCAUUGUCUUAUUUGUAACACUAAGUUUAACCUAACAAUAGUGUUUGACAUAUAUGAUUCUUGUUUGAUAAUUUUAAUCAAACUUUGUUAAACAAUGAAUAAAAUUUAUUUCCUAUCCCAUGAUAACAUGGGGUUUUGUCCUUUAUAUCACAUGGUCCUCGACCAAUUAAUUGGAAGCGAGGCCAUGUGAUUGAUUAGGGUUCAUUAAUCCGUAAGUAAGUUGAUUACUAAUCCUAAAGAAGGGAAACCCAUUUUUUUUAUGAUAUUGAUAAGAAGUUUUUUUUUUUUGAAUAAAUAAUUUUAAUUUAAAUAUGAAAAUUGUCUUUUAAGAAGAUAAUUUCAAAAUUCUAAUGAAAUUGUUUCUAUUUUUUUUUUUUAACCUUUAACGGAUUGCAAAUUUAAAAAAAAAAAUUGAAUUAUGAUAUUUUAAAAAUUAUUUUUAUUUUUAAAUUAGUGUAUAUUUUUUUAAAUGCUUGAAUUCCGCAUGUUUUACAGAGAGAAGAUGCCAUCGUCUUUAUUCUUCAGCACAGCAAUGUGAAUUCUACUUGUUCUAGAGAGAGAAGCUGUUGUUCUUCACUUUUUUCCACAGAGAAGCUCACGUCCUCUUACUUUAGAGGGAAAGCAAAAUCUGAGAUGGAUGCAGCUACACUCAAGAACCUAAAAUACCUCAACCGAAAGCCCUAUAAAAACCAGUCUCUCCGUCCGCUUGAACUCCACCACCAAUCAUGUCUUAUAGGAAGAUUUUAUGGGCUGCGAUUAUUAUAAUCUAACAUCUAUUUCUUUUUUUUUAUUUUACCAUCCAUAAAAUGAAGUUAGAAAAGAGUGCAUAAAAACAAUAAUAUUUUUUCUUUUUGACAAUCAAAUCUCCCAAAGAAAAAAGUGCAUAAAAAUAAUAAUAUUUUUUCUUUUUGACAGCCAAAUCUCAUAUUCUAACCAAUUUGAAACAUCUCAUAUUCUAACCAAUUUGAAACAUGAAGUUCCCAACUUUUAUCCUAUUGGACCUUUUCCCAAAAAAAAGAUGGUACGUAUUCACUUGUACGUCACUCGCCAACUCACUAACAAACUAUUUAUGAGGAAUUGAAAUUGUUUCCUUUUAUUCUUCACAAUCAAUUAAAUGAAAUUUAAAAAGAAAAUAAUUAAAGUUAAUUUAUUUUAUUAUCUUGUUUUUCUCACAGAUUUUUACGUAGAUGCUUAUUAAAAUUAAUUUAAUUAAAGCUAAAUCGUAAAAAUAAUAAUAUGUAAUACAUUCCUACAACAGCACAAAAGAUCCGGAAUAUCGCCCACGUUUGUUUUCUUCAGUGCUUGUACUCUAGUUUGAAUAUGUCGAUUCUAUUUCAAAUAGUCCACCAAGACUGCUAUGGGACCAGAAUGACAGAUUUCGGUACCACGACGUGGUACGAGAGAGAUCACGGUGACAGUUGACCAUGAACUGAUGUUUCUUCCAUCCAACUCCACACACUCUCUAUAUAAUCCGCCUAGGCCAGAAGAUGCCAGCCAUCAAACUCUUCAUUCCUCUAUUUGUUUCUGUCUUUUAUUCUUUUUCUUCUGGGGAGAUGAAGCUGUUUGGCGUGGAGAUGAUACCGCAUGAAAAAGGCAAGACAACAAAGAAGAGGAAGUCCAUAAGGCUAUUUGGAAAGGAUUUGGUGCCUCAGAGGAGAAAGAGCAGGAUAAAGAAAACCGGAAGCUCAUCAACUGCCUCCCCUCCAGAUUCGCUGCCUUUUGCAUUACUACAGACUGCUCAAGGCAUGGGGGGGGNNNNNNNNNNNNNNNNNNNNNNNNNNNNNNNNNNNNNNNNNNNNNNNNNNNNNNNNNNNNNNNNNNNNNNNNNNNNNNNNNNNNNNNNNNNNNNNNNNNNGGGGGGGGGGGCGUGAUUUUGUUUUCCUGACAAGAAAGAUAUUAGAAAGAUCCGACGUAGAUGUGCAUCUCAACCGCCUUUUCUUACCCAAGACUCUGGUGCUGUUAGGGGUGCUGUCGCCUGAGGAGAGGAGAGAGGUGGGAGGAGGAGGGGGUGUUGAAGUUGGGGUGGUUGAUAUGAGGGUGAAAGAUACAGUAUGAUGUUGAAGAAGUGGCCGAGUUUGGAUCAAAUUAUCUUUAAUCGUGGGUGAAGAAAGCUCGUCGAAAACAAUGGGUUGAGGGCAGAACUCGACACUAUCGAACUAUGGACUUUUCGGGCGGAUUUGAAGCUGUGUUUUGCUUUGAAUGUCAAGAGCGAGGGAGACCACCAUUAAUCAUUGAUCAUCUUUGAAGAUGAAGCUAAUAAUGAUGUUAAGUGCAGUUGUUUUAGUUACCUUGAUAUGGAGUUUUAAUUAUUGUUUUCUGUUAUUGUCGAGUCUCCUGUAGUUUGUUUUUUGCAUCUUUGUAGCAGUUGUGUUCGUGUUUGUUUUUGAAUUAUUGUUCAAUCGAUUUCAUGUGGCAUUUGAAUUCUUGUUUUUGUUCGUCUUUUUUUGUUUUUUUUUUAUUUUUUUUAUUUUGAUGUAGUUUGGAUGGUAUAAGAAAAAACGUCAAUAUAAACAUAUGACAACCUUAGCUUGAAUAAUCAAAUGCUAAUAUCAAUUUAUUUGAUCGGGAUUUAAUAUAUGAACUAUAUAUAUAUAUUUUUUAUUAUUUGUCAAGGCUCUCUAAUAUAUACAAGGGAAGACUUAUGCUUUGCCUAUUAAAUUCCCUAAAAAACCUGGAAAUCACACUACCCUUCAAACCCUUGUUCACUAAAAACCCAUCUUGACUUAAAUCGCCAAGUUAAACCAAUCCAACCUCAAGGUUCUUCGGUUUGUUCUUCAAUUUAUCCAAAUUUGCAGCACAAGAAAGCCAUGGAAGCAAGAUCUAACCUUGCUAGGGUUCUGCAUAGGAGCUGUUUCGAGGAUGACGAUGAUAAGCUUCAGUGGCUGAGUUGGAAUUUUUGUGGGUUAGAAGGUUUUAAUAUCAGCGUAUUGUUGUAUAAAUUUAGGGGGCCUCCAGAUUGGGAAUAGUGAAUAGUAGAACUCCUUCAUCUUUUGACCAUGGAAAAUAAUCUCUCUCCCUCUCUCUUCUUCUUCUUCUUGAAAUGAACUCCUUAACUCAGAAACAAACUAACACAAUGAUCUAAUUUCUUGGGAUAUUCAAACAGCCCAAAGAUGAAUUUGUCAUCCACAGCUAGCCUUUGAUGAUGGCAUGCUGAUAAGGAAAAUAAUGCUCCAUAGCUGUUAUCAAACACUGAUAAUAUACCCAUAUUACAAUGAAAGAUACAGAAGCUUGUGGCAUUCAUACAUGCUCACUUGCGCUGGCUGUUCUUGUCCCCGCCUGUUCUGGGACACAAAAGAACACGGCAGAAAAUCUGGUGGCCACCUAAAGCGAAUGCAAAGAGGCUAGUAAAAGGAGGGCCAAGGAAACCACGGGGCUAUGGAAGUGGAAGAAAGGAAACUUUUUUUAUUGAUAUCAAGGUGAGUUUGACAGGCUCACUGUUAGUAGCCAGUAAUACUAGACUAUAAUAGGUGGCUAUCACUAUCAGUUGGGCAUCCCAGCCUUUUUUUUUUCUUUUCUUUUUUUUAAUCACUAUCGAAAAUAGUAAGAGAAGAAAAAUAAGAGGGAGAGAAUCAAAAGAAGAAAAUUAGAGAGAGAACCAAAAGAAAAAGAAAAGAUCGUGCGUGUUGCUUGGGCUGACAUCUCCUGGAUGUCAAUAAUGAUUUAAAAAAAGAAAAGAAAAAAAGUCUAGGUAACAUCUUUGAGAGAAUUCACAUCCUCUUGUUGAGCAAGAGGAUGUCCCCCCAGUGUUCUGGGAUGAAAAAGGACCAAACAAAAAGCAAGAAUUUAGAGAGAAUGAAAAGUUUUUUGGCACGAGGCGUUGAGGCCAGACCAUAAAGCUUUGAUUAGAUAGUGUCAAGCGCGCUGACAGCGGCGUUACGUAUGCCGCAUCGGUUUUAUUUUUUUAUUUUUUUAUUAUUAUGAUAUUCGUUGAAGGCUUUUAGAGAUAUGAUGAUGUUGUUCGCUUGCUUGUUAGUUAGUAGGGGAAUGCCAUACCGGUCUGUCCUUUUGGGAAAAACUAGAAUAGGACAAAAGGUAUCCCCUAUUCUUCUGGGAUGAGAAAGGACCAAGCAAAAAGCAAGAAUUUAGAGAGAAUGAAAAGUUUUUUAGCACGAGGCGUUGACGCCGGCCGACAAACAGUGACUGUGUGGUGGGCCCGGGAGCUGGAUUCUCUUGUCUCGUGCUUUCUAUUAAUUCACAAUUUGCAUCCAUACUUCACAAUUGUGUGCAGUGUAGCUCAUGUGCUUAUUCUCUCGUCUCUUGCUUUCUAUCGAUUCCUUGUUCUCUCUGGUAAUUAAGAUGAGGACCUUCUAGCAACUUGGUACUAUUUUCAAUUUUAUACUACUUUGAUAUUAAAAAUAUGGUUUUUAAAAAUAUUUAAUAAAAUAUAUUAAUUUUUAACUAUUUUCAAAUAUAAAACAUUUUUUUAUGAUAUUAAUAAGAAGUUUUUUUUUGAAUAAAUAAUUUUAAUUUAAAUAUGAAAAUUGUCUUUUAAGAAGAUGAUUUCAAAAUCGUAACUAAUUUUUUUUAACCUUUAACGGAUUGCAAAUUUAAAAAUAUUUUUGAAUUAUGAUAUUUUAAAAAUUAUUAUUAUUUUUAAAUUAGUGUAUAUUUUUUGAGCUUGAAUUCCGCAUGUUUUACAGAGAGAAUAUGACAUCGUCUUUAUUUUCCAGCACAACAAUGUGAAUUCUACUUGUUCUAGAAGAGAGAAGCUGUUGUUUUUCACUUUUUUAGAUUAUUUUAGUAUCUAUUGAUCUCUUAAUUAAUUGUCACGUUUGUUUCACCUUAUUUAAUAGAAACUCGGUGCUUUCGGUAUUUUUUACCGUAUCUUCUUAAUAAGUAACUUGACUCUUGAGUCCAUACUCGAUUUUUCACAGACAUAUUUUUUUUCUUUAAUAUUUUUAUUUCUUAUUUUGUAUUUCUCUUAAAAAAUAAAAUAAAAGUAAGUGACAAUUUUAAGUCUUUUUCAAAAAAUCAUAUUUUUCACAAAAUAAAUAAAAAAGAGAAUUUGUCAUCGGGUCAGGAAUGCAUCGAGCAAAAUGCAGGAUCCACAAUUGGGUUUUGAAAUGUCUAUUAUUUUGGGAUUAACAGCUCAUAAUGUAUUUUCCCAUAAAUUUUUAAUUUUAUAAAAAAAUAAAAAUAUGGGCCUUAUUAUCUUCAACAAUUCUAAAACAGAAAUCAAUAACAAAUUUUUUUUAAAAGAGCUAAAAGUAUUUUCUUUUCCAUAUUAUAUUAAAAAAAUAUAAAGAGAAAAUGAUUGAUGUGUAUACUUUAUACUCUUUUUUUUUAUAACUAAUAUCAUGUAUCCAUUCAAGUCUCUCUUACUUUUAUUUUUUUGGUAAAUAUAUUUAUCUAAAAUUCUUUAAUUUUGCUUUACAUUUUUUUUUUUAUGUAAUUUAAUACGUGACCCCAUCGUCAAAAAUUAAAGCAAAAGAUAUUCAAAAUAUUUUAACAUAAUUAUAUAAUCUAGGAAUCUUUUAAGAGGUAGGAAGUCGGCAUUGACGUGCACUACGGGAGAUAAGGUCGCAUUCAUUCCCGACACACAUGAUGCAUAACGACGUAUACCUUUCUGCAGGCGUUUUCCUGACAGAACAAUCAUAAGGCUAACAUAAAAUCUCGUGUUUUCCUGUACACCUUUUGUCGCAUUCAUUCCCUACGUGAAAGUACUAUUAUUCCUAUCAAGCAAACAUCUCUUUCUACUAGUUUUAAAAAUUAUAAUUAUAUGCUUUAAAAUAAUAAAAAAAAUCUAUAUAUGGAAAGUUAAAAAUAUAUUAUUAUUAAAUAAAGAUAAAUUUAUCAUAAUAUAAAUAAAUUAAUAUCUUAAAAAUAUAAUAAAUUAAAUAUUUUAAAUUAAUAAAUUAUAUAAUUUUAUAUCUUAUUUAUAUAUCAUAUAAUUUUAUUAUUUUAAGAUUAUUGAUUUAAUGACUUUUAUUGUUAAAAUAUAUAUUUUUAAUUUUAAUAAUAAUUUUUAAUUUAAUAUAUUUAUUAAAAUGUCAUGGUUUUGACACUAUUUCCAAAUUUAUACUACUUUGAUAUUAAAAAUAUGGUUUUUAAAAAAUAUUUAAUAAAAUAUAUCAAUUUUUAACUAUUUUCAAAUAUAAAACAUUUUUUUAUGAUAUUAAUAAGAAGGUUUUUUUUUUGAAUAAAUAAUUUUAAUUUAAAUAUGAAAAUUGUCUUUUAAGAAAUAAUUUCAAAAUUCUAAUGAAAUUGUUUCUAAUUUUUUUUUUAACCUUUAACGGAUUGCAAAUUUUUAAAAAAAAUUUGAAUUAUGAUAUUUUAAAAAUUAUUUUUAUUUUAAAAUUAGUGUAUAUUUUUUGAAAUGCUUGAAUUCCGCAUGUUUUACAGAGAGAAGAUGCCAUCGUCUUUAUUCUUCAGCACAGCAAUGUGAAUUCUACUUGUUCUAGAGAGAGAAGCUGCUGUUCUUCACUUUUUUCCACAGAGAAGCUCACGUCCUCUAAAAUCUGAGAUGGAUGCAGCUCCACUCAAGACAAAAGUUAAUAACCUGUGCUUGUGUUGAAGUGGUGGACCCGAGAGGGAACAGGAAUGAGAUGAAGUUGAGGUUCUGGAAUGGCAAGAAUGGCAAGCCUGUGUUUGUGUUGAAUUCGGGCUGGCUCCAGCUUGUGAGGGAUAAUAACCUGGAAGCGGGGGUCGAUUGUAUGCUGUGGAGUUUUAGAAUGGGUUCGAAGCUGUGCUUUGCUUUGGAUGUCGAGAGACAAAACAAUCCGUGAGAUUAAUUUUGAAGAAUCCAGCUAUAAUGGUACAAGACUAUCUCCGUCAUAUGGCUUUCGGUUUGCUUAAUUUGCUUUGUAUUUUGAUGUGGACCUGUUGGGUUUUUUUUCUUCGGUUUCCUUUGAAAUAGGUAACGCGUGUGUGAUCGGCCUUAUCUAUCUUAUUUGUUCUAUUUUCUUCCAUUAAUUUCAUGUUUUAUGUUUUGUUUGUUUUUUUUAAAUUAAAAUGUAUGGGGGUACUCUUCUUCUGUCUCACCGAAUCUUUUAUUUUCUCCUCACAUGACUUCGCUUCACCUCACCCUUUUUUCUUAUUGAUUGAAGAUUGGACCAGGAUAUCAUGAUUCCCUGUACGGUGGAGACCAGGAUAUCACGAUUCUUUACAUCGAUAGAUUUGCCUCACCUCAGUACCUUACACAUUAUUUUAUUUUUUUGACAAAUAAAUAAAAAAUUAUCUACAUAAAAUCAUAUGGACCAAUGGGAGAUGAUUAAUCCACCCUCUGCCUUAUUAAUUUUAAUUUUAAUAGAAAAAAAUGUAAAUCCUAAAACAUCAAAUCUAAAAACUAUUAUAUUUCUAUAAAAUCUAUUAGAAAGAAGUCUAAAGAAGACAGGAUUAAAAAUUAUAUAAUUAUGUUAAAAUAUUUUGAAUAUCUUUUGCUUUAAUCUUUUAUGUACCAUGAGUUUACAGAUUAAAUUACAUAAAAAAAAUGUAAAACAAAUUAAAGUGGUCAGUAAUACUAGGCUACUAUCAGUUGGGCAUCCCAGCGUUUUUUUUUUUUUUUGUAUUUUUUUUUUGUUUUUGUAAAUCAAUAGCGGAAAUCUUAAGAGAAGAAAAAUAAGAGGUCAAUAAUGAUUUUUUUUUUUAAAAAAAAGUCUAGGUAACAUUUUCAAAUUCAGAGUUUUUGAUCAAAGUAAUCUAAUAAUUUUAAAAAUAUCUAGAAAUAUCUACCAAAGUAGUGCAAUCCUGUACUAUUAAGUUUCACUUCAUUAAUUUUUAUUUUAUUUUUCUUUUUAAAAUAACAAUUGAUUACUCUGGUUUUAAUUUUAAAUUUAAAACCACAAUCACCAAUUAUAAUUUAAAAAAAGUUGAAGUGGCAUAUUCAAAUUCAGAGUUUUUGAUCAAAGUAAUCUAAUUUUUUAAAAAUAUUCUAAAAAUAUUUAUCAAAGUAGUACAUUCCUAUAUCAUUAAAUUUCACUUUUUCAUUUUGUUAUUUUAAAAUCAUAGUUAGUAAUUGCAUCAAUGAUAAUUUUUCACAUUAAAAAAAAAAGUCAUAUGAAUGAUUACGUGACGGUAAAGACUAGAUUAAUAAAUAUUUUAGACAAAGAGUUAUUUUCAUUGCUUUUUUUUUCUUUAAAAACACUAUUUUGGCCCAAAAAAAGAGUAUCUUGUAAAAGUUGCUUGGUAACUCCCCAAGUUAUAUGUGAGGACAAAGAUUCAGAUAUUUACAAUGAAAGAAAAGUAUCCUCACAUUUUUUAAAAUUUUUUUACAUAAAAUAUGAAAUUAAUAGGAGAAAAUAGCACCAACAAUGGUCCAACGAAUUACAAUUAAUGUUAGGCUUGAUUCCACUCCACUAAAAAAAGGACAAACAACCAACUUUUUGUAUCAGAAAAUCAUCCUAUUCCACUCCCCUACAUAAUGUUUUCUAAACUUUUCUUAUCUAAGCAAGAGGGAAGGAAAAGACAAAAAGAAAAAGAACAAAAAAAGGGGGACAAACAACCAACCUUUUUUAUCAGAUCAAAAUCAUCCUAUUCCACUCCCCUACGUAAUGUUUUCCAAACUUUUCUUAUCUAAGUAAGGAGGAAGGAAAAGAGAAAAAGAAAAAGAAAAAGAAAAAGAAAAAGAAAAAGAAAAAAACAAAAGGGGGCCCCGGGACAAACAACCAGCCGUUUUUUAUCAGAACCAUCGUACUGCAUCAUCCAAAGUCCUACCAUCUUCAUCAUUAUUCUCACACGUUUCCAAGGAAGAGUAUCCCCACGUUUUAUUUAAAGAAAAAAAUGCAUAAAACAUAAAUAUAUCAGGGGCUCGAUCGAUUUCUGUCAAACUUUCAGCGUUCUCAAGCGUGCAUGCCGACAGAUGAAAGACCCUAGACGCCAAGUGAAGUCAUCCAAGAAAGGUUUGCUGGCAUCAAUCAACGUUACUCUUAUCUAAUAUGUUUGACUUUUUCAACGACAACUCUAAGGCCUCCAAACCAUACCAUUAUAAGGUACAGAAGAGAUUCUUGAUUGAAAGGGAUGGUAGUACUUCCUUGGACUUAAGAUCGUGUGUGCCACAUGCUAGAUAAGUUAUAGAAAGAUGAGUCACAUCCUCAAAGAUGGAAGAUGUGAUCUGUCUUGAUGUUGACAUCCCAUCUUUAUAAGUUAUAGAAAGAUGGGAUGUGUCCCAGAAUAUCUUUAAAUAGUAGAUUCUAUGUUACAUGUAUUUUUAUCUCUUAACUAAACAAUUUAUAGUUUGUCAUGACGUGCAAUCACCCAUAAUCAGUGCCACUGAAUGCCUGAUCCCACUCCCUCCUUCCAUGCUCUUGUAAUCUCUAUAUAUCACACAUGAGUGACAGGAAAAUAUAUAAGUUCAAUUCCUCAUAAAAAAAAAAAAGCCGUACUUGUCAGUAGUACCCUUCUUUCUUUUUUGGGAAAAGGUAGAAUAGGAUAAAAGUUUGCACCCCGUCUGUUCCGGGAUGAAAAAGGCACCACAAAAAUAUCUGAGCGCCUACAACCGAGAAACAUUGGCUGGUGUUGUGGGCCUGGGAGCUGGGGCCCAAAAAGGACCUCACGUGGCUGCAAUAAACUGAUCGGAACAAUCUUGCCCUCAGACAUUGUCCGUUUGAGGCCCAAGGGCCUCAAGAUUUUAAAAUUUCAUGUAAUUUAUCCAAAAAAAAAAUUGGGUUUGAUUUCUAUAUGUUUUCUGUCUUUUAUUAUCAAUAACAAGAAUGAGAUGUCUUAAAAUAACAUUUUUAGUUAUUUUUUAUUAUUAUUUUAAAAAGUAAUUACAUAUGUCAUUUUCAAUUAUCUUUUUAGAAUUAUUUAAAGGCCAAACCUUUAAAUUUUAUCUUUUGAUCCAAAAUUUGAAUAACAUAUUUAUUCGAAUCUGUCAAGUUCAGUCGAUGAAUCCACCCUCAGUGGGAUUUUCUCAAUCCAAAGUGGACUUUUGAGUCAAAUCGCCAAUAAUGUAAGGAGAAACGAUUUAUGAGAAAAUCAUGUAGUUUCCUUUUAGACUUAUAUUGGCACGUGCCAUUUUUGUGAAUUAGGGCAUUUCCUCCGCAUAAUCAUAAUUAGUUAAUACCUCAUAUACUGCUUUCCCUUCUCAAUGGAAAUAAAAGAUAGAAUAAAAAUAUGAAUACAUCAAUAAGAUAAGAAUUGCGACUACCCAAGGCUUGGUUUAGCGAAAGAUGGGAUUCGCUACUGAUUAAUCUCCCUACGCUAUUAUUUUAUUGAGAAUGUCUUCCUUUGGAUUCAUAAAUUGAACUUGAUAGGUUCGGACAAAUGUGUUAUUCAAAUUUUGGGUCAAAAAUAAAAUUUUAAGGUUUGACGUUUUAUAUUUAGGUAAAAUAUUGAAAAAUAAAACCUAAAUGAAUAGAUCAUGCUAAAGUAUUUGAAAUGCAUUAAGACUUCACACUUCCAAAAAUAAGUAGGUCUUAGAUUUUAAUAACAAUAGGAAAUAUUUUUAUUGUGUAAUAAUUAAAACAUUGACAGGGCUUUAAGAAGUCAUUGUUAUUUGUAGAGUUAUGUGAGGAAUUCAAUAUAAAUAUUUAUUAAAAUGUCACGAUUUUGAGACCAUUUUCAAAUUUAUACUACUUUGAUAUUAAAAAUAUGGUUUUUAAAAAUAUUUAAUAAAAUAUAUCAACUUUUAACUAUUUUCAAAUAUAAAAACAUUUUUUAUGAUAUUAAUAAGAAGUUUUUUUUUAAUAAAUAAUUUUAAUUUAAACAGGAAAAUUGUCCUUUGAGAAGAUAAUUUCAAAAUUCUAAUGAAAUUGUUUCUAUUUUUUUUAACCUUUAACGGAUUGCAAAUUUAAAAAUAUUUUUUAAUUAUGAUAUUUUAAAAAUUAUUAUUAUUUUUAAGUUAGUGUAUGAAAUCCUUGAAUUCCGCAUGUUUUACAGAGAGAAGAUGCCAUCGUCUUUAUUCUUCAGCACAGCAGUGUGAAUUCCACUUGUUCUAGAGAGAGAAGCUGCUGUUCUUCACUUUUUUCCACAAAGAAGCUCACGUCCUCUUGCUUUAGAGGGAAUGCAAAAUCUGAGAUGGAUGCAGCUACUCUCUUUGAAAAACUCUACGGAUUCCUCUUACAGAUCCAUGCGAAUUUCAUGAAAAUUUGAGCGGUCAUUUUAAGCCUUGAUACAUCUAUCAAUCGAACUCUCUUUCUCUAAUGUUUGCUUUAGAAAACAAUGGCACUGCAAAUAUGAUUUGAAAUUUGCUUGAGUUUUCAUGAAUAGGCAUAAUCAGAAAUAUGUAAACUAUUACCAGAAACUCUCUUUCUCUCUGUGAAAAAAAAAAAAAUCGUAACAGAUUUUACAGUAGGUCAGGACGAUUUUUUCCUUCCCAUUUUCUGUUUCGAAAAUAGUAAAUAGGGGAUUUAUUUCCUUAUGGUUGAUUGGGUAACUAAUUAGUCAAAAUUAGUUUUGGGAAACAAUAUGGAAUAAGAAACAAGGUCUAAAUCAAUUGGGUAACUAGGUUUGUUGCCUGCAAUUAAGGGUGGCAGAACACGAAGAGAAAAAUCAGGCAAGUGAGUUUGUGAUUUUGGGCUUGAAUCCUCGCACAUUAGCAUAAUCAGAAGAAUUGUAGAACACCAGCAGCAGUUCUCUCUGCCUUGCUUGAGAACCCUAUGGAUUUCUCUGCCAAAUUGCUUGGAUUUUCAUGAAACCUUGAAUGUUUAUUUUGAAUGCUGUACAUUUCAAAUAGUAAAGUUUCUAAUAAUGAAAACAUUAUCUUUUUUCCUAAAAAAAAAAUUAUUUUCACGGCCAUUGAAAGGAGUGGAUUUCUUUUUCUGAUUUGGAUCUCUAUACCUUUUACUGUUUUAAUUUUAAUAAAAAUUAAUAUUAUAUGAAUCCUAAAUUUAUCCUUCUCUCAUCCAAAUUCCUUGCAACAAAAUUGGUCAAAUGUUUCUUUUUUAUUUUGACCUUUUCUGUUUAUUGCUUUAUAUUGCAUGCAAACAAGUAUGAAGAAGACAUAGGGACAAAGACUGCAAAGCACUUGGAUGGUAAAUCUCUGGUGAUGCUGGGAACAACAAAUAAGUGGUUCCACUGUCUGAUCAUGGAGGACAGUAUGUGGAAGUUUGCUUGUCUGCGUGAUCUCCAGCUACCAGAACCAUGACACACAUUCCUCAAUUGGAUCAAGCUUUAUGCUUAUGCAUUUGGUAAUGAGCAGGGUGUUAAAUUUUCUCCAUAUUCAGUUAUGUUAUGGUUCUUAUAGUGAAUUAGUAUCAACAUCUGCUUAAUGGCUGCCCUGCAAAUGGAAGUCACUCUUUCAUGUUCCGUCAACAGAAGAAACAUAUUGGUAAUUAUCCUUCCCUUUUUACUAUUAUCUAGAUUUUUUUGCCUUAGUUGCAAGAGAAACCAAUUAGUUCUCUUGGUUAAAGUAGCUACUUCCCUGCUCUUUGGAGACUGUUUGAUUACUACUUAAAAAGAGCAUAUUUUAAAUAAUAAUGCUCAUGAAUUUCACAUCUUUUGAGUAGUAAUAAUGUCUAAAACAUCCAAUUAACAUGUUAUUGCCCUUGCAAGAGUUACUAACAAGUUUUAUGAAGUUUUGGAAUCAUUUUAAGAUAUGAUUUUGAUAAAUUGGUGACAAAAGAGAUGAAUCAAAUUGAAAUGAACAAAUAAAGUUGAUGAAGAUCCAAAUACAUAAUGAUAGAAGUAAUGUAAUUGGGUUGAAUCGGGAUUUGGAGUUGAUUUGGAGGUGCAUGGUUGAGGUGGAUUCAAAGGAAAGAAAUGACAAAAAGGAGUUGAAAAAUAAAGUCAUGCGAAAUGGACCAGAAGGCAUUUGUAUUGCAAACCAAAGAGAAAUCUCAAAGCUAAUUUUGCAUGACCAUGCGAAAAUUUCACACAGUCAUGUGAAAUGCUCCAGGAAGGCAAAAAUUGGUGCUGAUGCAUUUUUUACUUUGCACAAUCAUGUGAAAUUGCUGGAUCUCGUGUGAAAUGGUCAUUUUAUUACUAAACUCUAGAUUUCUUGGUGAAAAAGCCUUCGGAAGACCUCUUAAAUGAUGUCAAGUAUCCACUUAACCUUGGCCUAUAAAUAGAAACUUGAUUUUCUUAUUUAAAGGACUUUUAGACAUUUCUAAUUGGAGAAUUUCCUAGAUUUUCUCUCUUUCUAUAGAAUUCUUUACUUUCUCUCAUUUUCUCAUUAGCCAAAUAUGCCUUGUGAGACCAAAUCUCCAAACAUGAGUGGCUAAAUCUCAUUUUUCUAGGAGGAGGGAGAAUCUAGAGGUAAGAUCUAUGGUGAAUUAGAUAAAUGAGCUUGAAUUGCAAAGAUAAUUUGAUCCAAGUGAUUAAUUAAUUGAAUUUUGAAUAUUUUUCUCUUCAAAUUGACUUGGAUAAUUACUACAAUGCAAACUAGGUAGAUUCAUUAAAUUCUUAAAGUUAAAUUUGAUGAGAUUGAAUAGUUGCAUUAUGUGAAUCAUUUGAAAAUAAUUUAAGAUGAAUUGAAUAUAUGAUUUGAAUUGAUCUCUUGGAUUAAAUUACCUAAUUUGAAGAGAAAUUAGAUCUAGAUUUAAAGCUAAAUAAAAAAUUGGUUUAGAUAAAAAUUUAGAUUUUCAAUCUAACUUGAUGAAAAUUAGACUUUAACAUCUAUUCACCAUGGAAAUUGUUUUUUAGAAAAUCCUAACUUCGAGAAUUUCAUUUUCUAUUAAUUUUCUUCUAUUUCACAUUUCAUUUUUCUUCUCAAUUUGAGACCAUUGUUAAAUUGAUUUCUUUUUUACCAUGAAUUUUCAAAUCAAUUUCACUUGAUUACAAUAAUUUCUUAUCAUCUCAUUCACGCCUUAAUUACCGAGAAUAAUCCAUCCUAAUGGACGACACCUAAAAACCACUAUACUACGGUAGUUUGUAUUAAAACUAUUUUUGAUCGGGUAUAAGCUAUUCUAAAAAUAAUGAAUUAGGUUAUAAAUUUUGUUUUGAUGCAAUAAAUGACGAAAAAUCAAGUGAUCACUGUUCUUAUGAACAAUUUUCAGUUAUUAAAUAACAAUGCACAUUGUUUAGGGAGGAGGCUAAUUCGUUAAGGUGAGAAAUUGUUUGGAAAUCACAGACAAUAAUUAUAUGCCAUUAAAGUAUUGUAACUUUUCGUAUUGACUAGUCUUUAAAGAGUGAGAGGACUCAUUGUGCCACAUUAUGCCACUACUUGUCCUUUAGCAGAGUAGGAAGGAUCAAUCUCAUGAGUCUCAAAAGAUAAGUUAGAUCAUUAUUUAGUUUUGGGUUCUGUCGUAGGGCAGGACUCAGGAAGCACCAAUUUUAAAUUUACCCUAUUUUUCAUCUACUCAGGGACAGACAAUUUGUAAAAAAAUUUCUCCUUGUCAUCAUUCUCACCAAAUAUCAUGAAAUGCAUUUUUUAAAAUAUGGAUUCACAAUCUUAUCUUUAGAUUCAUAAUUUUUCAUGUAUUUUUUAUAAUGAAACUAAAUAGAUUGGAUGCGAAUCGGUGUUCUUUUAUUUUUCAUGCAUUCUUUCAUUAAUCCUUUUAAGUAAACAAGUCUAAAGAAAAUAGGUAUUUUGAAUAUAUUUUAAGUAGACAAAUUUAUUGUUCUUCAUUAUUGGAUUCCAAACGGAUAAUUAGAAUUAUUAAGGUAAUGUUUAAAUAUAUAUUUAUUUUUAAAUAAAAUUAGUAAUAAAUGUCUUAUAUAAAAAGUAGCAAUUUAUAUGUUAUAUUGUUAAAAAUCUUUAAGUUGAUGAUGAAUUUGAAAAAGAUAAAAUUUUAAGUUAUCUUUCAGUUUGUGAUUUUAAGUAUUCACAAGGGUAUUUUGGAAAUAAAAAUUGAAACACAAACAGCUUCUAAACACUACUUUCAUUGCUAUGCGCGCAUUACACCACUCUUCACUCCGAAGUUCAAAGUUUUGAAAUUAAAGGUCAACCUUUUGGCUCCUGGAAACCCACCAGCACUUUCCAACUCCAUAUAUAUAUAGCAUGGCUCGACUCAAGGCUUCUUCGUUCUCUCCUCUUUUCUAUCAACUCCUCUCUUCUUUCUGUGAAUUCCUUUGUCUCUGGUAAUUACAUGACGACCUUCAAGCUCUUUGGUGUUGAGAUAUCGGCGCCGAAGGAAAGAGAAGACGAGAUACCACCUCUCUCCCAACUGCCUUGUGCAAUCCUGCAUACUAAUAAAGGCAUGAAGGAGCGUGGCCGGGUUUUGGUGAUGGGAAAGACACUGACAAGAUCCGAUGUGUCCGUGCAUCAGAGUCGGCUUUUCAUCACCAAUAGUAAGGUGCUGUGGAGCCAGUUAUUGGAGGAGGAGCAGUUGAAGUUGCUGGCAAAAGAGCACGUUGAAGUUGAGGUCGCGGAUCCCAAGGAGGGGAGGACUAGGAUGAAGUUGAGGCUGUGGCAGAGUUUGAAUAUACUUGUGCUGAAUUCCGGAUGGGUAAAGCUUGUGAAGGUUAACAAGCUGGAGGCGAAGGUGCAUCGUAUUGAGUUGUGGACUUUUAGGAUGGGUGACAAGCUGUGCUUCGAUUUGAAUGUCGAAAGACAACGACAAUACCAUCCAUGAUGAUGAUAUAUCAUUCAUUCUGAAGAAUUUGAAUCUAGCUAUAAUGGUAUAAGUGUGUUUGGUCCGUCAUAUUUAUGGAUUUUGGUUUGCUUAAUUUGCUCUGUAUCUUGAUUUGGAGUCGGCCCCGUCGGUCUUUUUUUUUCCUCCGGUUUCCUUUGAAAUAUGCAUGUGUGAGUGAAAUAUGAGAGAAUAACGAUGAAGAUUGUAAGCUAUGGGCUUUAGUCAUGAUUUCCUUUGAAAUAAUUAAAUAGAUGAUUAUUAUCAAUGAGCAUGUUGGUUAUUAUCAAUGAGCAUGUUGGUUAUUAUCAAUGAGCAACUAAUGAACAUGUUGUCUACAGUUGUUUAUAUCUUCAUUUCUUCUUCGUUGAGGCCUGACUCAAUCGGCAAGGGAUUGGUGUGGGAUGUGGGAAAAAAAAAUUAUAUAUAUAUAUAUCUUUUGUUAAAGUUGCCAGCAUCUUUCAGAGGUUUUUAAUUUCCUUACUGAACUUGAACGUUGAAUUUUUAAGGGGAAAAGCCAAGAUGUUAGGACUGUGGGUCCAUGUCACGUGUGCUUGGUUUCGGCCUUGAGUUGUUUUCUUACACUACAAGAGAAUAUAUUUACGGCUGCGGCUAGAACCCGCAGCCAAGGGUAACAUAAGCGUGACUCUAAUAUACAGGUGCAGAUAUGGAAGACUGCAGCUAAGCGUCACCAUAGAUGGCGCAGAUAAAUCUUACAAUUGCGGCCUCAUACAAUUGUGCGAAUAUAAUGUUCAAGUUAUAGCUGGGCCAAUCUUUUUCCACCACCAAAUCGCUUAUAUAGCUGCUGCUCCUUGUAACUGCGACCAUAAGGCUGCUACAACAUUGCCAGAGUGCCCUAUGGCACAAACAAAUACUGAUUCUAAUGCCCUAUCAUGUUCAAAUUUUGCUCCUUGGAUCUAUAUUCUGGAGCGUUUGGCAUGACAAGUUUUUCUAAUCUUUUUUUUGACAUCCUCGUCAUUUCUUAUGAUGUCAAUACCCAUUGGAAAGAAAAUAUACUAUCUAUCACAAGAGUAUUUCAAUCUCAUUUUUCUCCGUAUAUAAAUAGAUAAUCGAGAUCUUAUCAUUAUCACCUACUUGUACCCUUUUAGGAGCUAAUUGUAAAUAUAUACCUCUUCGGGGGCUAUUUGUUUAAACUAUACCUCUUUAGGGGUUUAUAUGCCACUUCUUCAAAAGUGUCACUUUUUAUAUAUCUUUCCUUGUGUUUUCCUCUUCCACGGAAUGUGUUUGCCUCUUCAAGGUCUAUCACACUUCAAGUGUGCCUUAAACUUAUUAUUUAAUUGUCCUUCAAGGAUAUCAACUCAUUAUUUAAUUAUCUUUCAGAGACAUCAACACAUUAUUUAAUCGUCUUUUAGGGACAUCAAUUCAUAUUAGAAGAUUCUCAAUUAGUGAUAAUGAUUGUGUCACUUUCCUUGCAUCAAUGAAAGCAUUUGGUAGUUAAUUUGCAAGUUCUUACAAAUGAAUAAUCUUUUGAACUUCUAGUUCACAUUAAUUAGUAUGAGGAUCAAGAUGAGUCAAAGUCAAUGCAUUUCAAAUAAUUUCACGUCAUUCUUUUGGAAUGGACUUUUCUCCCUUUAAAAGUGGGAAAAUUGUCUCAUUAAAAUGACAAUAUGCAUAACAUGACAUUAUACCUUUCAAGUGAAUAGGUAGACUAGUCACUAAAUAAAAACUUUUGAUUUUAUAAUAUACGUUUAUAUGACUUUACAAAUAAUUAAUGCAUGAUCUUUUACCUCAAAGGACAAAGUUGAUCUUACAAGAUUCUUCUAAAUCUAACAUAUUAUAAAGUGUCAUUCACAUGAAAUCAAAUACUAGUGACAUAGUAUAAGCUCUUCUAGAACUUUUAAUAAGGUUUUUAUCACCUGAUAGUUUUCUCAUUGUUUGUCAUCAAUGUUGUGCAAUUAAUGAUACAAGAGUUUCAUCAAAAUAAUAAGUUACAAAACAUGUCAUAAAGACCUCACCUUUAUAGAGUUAAAGAGAUAUUAUCAUAAAGGAAAAGUUAAAAUUAACAAGAAAAUAUUAAUCAUCAAUGAUGACUUAGCUUAAUAAGUUGUGUAAAAACAAUUAGAGCAUAUAUAAGACAACAAAACAAAUAUGAAAAAAAUCAUUUAAGUCAUAUACUUUUUAAAUAUCUAACACAUUUAAUUUUAUAAGUGUGGAGCAAGUUACACAUGAAAUAACUAAGAAGUAUUUUAAUAGUCAAACUAACUAUAAUGAUUGAUCAAUAAUUUUAUUCAUAUAUUAUUAUGAUUUAAAUCAAUGUGCAAAAAUUAAUUCAAAGGUCAAAAUUUCAAGUAAGCAUAUAAGGAUUUAAAGUAUCUUACAAUUUUUCCAUGUCUCAAAACUUUAAUUGAAACACUACAAAUCCAUCUAAAUAUAUAUGUAAAGAUAUAACAAAAUAUGUUAAAAAGUUUAACCUAUUGUAAUUUCAAAAUUAUUCUUGAAUAAUAAAAUUAUUGCAUUAAUAAAAAUAUGAAUGAUACAUUCAAAUCCAAAUCAUAGAAAAUUAAGGACUUCAAUAAUUAAACUCUUGAAAAAAAAAAUUCAUAUUUCAUAACUUUAGACUAUAAAAGUAUAUAAAAUUCUUAUACCUCUAGACUGUAGGGGAAACAACAAUGUUUAUAUUAUAAUACUUAAUUAUAAUAAUCUUUAUUUAUAUAUAACAUAUAUUUCGUUUCACAUAUAUGACUUUAGGUCACAAAUUUUCUAUAUAUUAUAGUCAUGAAAGAUUAUAAAAUUAAUUAUUCCACUUAGGUCUUAGUUAUAAGAAAUUAUAUAAUAUUAAUUUUAUUUUAUUUUUUGUAUAGCUUUUAGCUAUAAUAGGAUAUGAAAUGAUAAUCUCUAUUGUUUUCAUUUAUAGGAAAUACAUAUUUUCUUUCACAGGACUUCAAGAAUAAAUUUAUCAGAACUCUUAGUCAUAAUUUUAUUACGAUAAAAUGAAAAUUUUGCAUAAUAUCAAAUUAUAAAAUAUUCUCUCUAUAGCUUCUAGCUAUAAAAUUUCAUAAAAUUAUUAAUUGACAAUUUAGUCUGUAUAACUUCUCAUUAUACCAUAGCUAAAAUUUUCUAUAUAACUUCUAGUUAUACAAAAUUAAAAUACCAAUAUUUUCAUGUUUCUAUCUAAGUACAAAAAAAUAUGUUUUAUAUAGCUUCUGGCUAUGAAAACAUUUUUUGUAUGGUUUCUACUAUACAUUCUAUUUUAUUGUACUAUAAAUUUAUAAAUUUAUAUAUAACUUCAAGUUAUGAAAUAUUCAUUGUAUAGUUUUGGCAAUAAAAUUUUGUUUUGUAUAACUUUCGGCUACACAAUGUAAUUAAAAUAAAUUUAAAAGUUAAUUUCUUUCAUAACUUUAGGCUAUGAUUAUUUUGUCAGAACAAGAAAAUGUGUAAAUGUGUACAUAACUUCAGAUUAUGAACUAUUUUCAUGUAAAUUUGUACAUAACUUUAGGUUAUGAACUAUUUUUAUGUAAAUUUAUGCAUAGCUUUAAUUUAUGAACCAUCUUUUUAUGUAAAUUUGUGCACAACUUUAGGCUAUGAACUAUUCAUUAUAUAAUUUUGUACAUAACUUCAGGUUAUGAAUUAUUCAUUGUAUAGAUUUAUACAUAAUUUUAAGCUAUGAACUAAUCAUUUUUAUAACUUCUAGCUAUAAAAUUUUGUUUGGUAUAACUUUCAAUUAUAUUGUAUAAUUAAAAAUAAACAAUUAGGGAUCAUAUACAUAACUUCUAGUCAUGUAUUUAUAAUUUUGUAAUUUACCCUACAACUUCUAAUUACAAAAAUUGCACACAUUUUUCAUAACUUUUAGUUAUGAAUUUACUCCAUAAUUUUGUAAUUUACCCCAUAAUUUCUAGUUAUAGGCAUUACACAUAUUUUUUAGCUACAUACCUAUAAAAAAAUUUGUAAUGAAUUCUUUUCUUUUUCUAUUUCGAGAUUCUUCUAUUUUUCUACAUACUCAGAGCAUCGUGCUGAUAAUGUGUUGUAAAAUAAAAGAAUGAAAAAAAGAAAAAAAAGAGAAAGAAAUUCUCAAAGAAAAGUAUAAUAAAAUAUAGGGAGAAAAUUGGAUCAUUUUUUAUUAGAGUUUCAUCCUUUUAUAGGGAGUCACAAAGAGAUAUACAUCAAUAUAGAUAAUCAUUACAAGUUACCAUUAUGGUACAAAAUCUCAUAAUUUAGAACAAGAAUGACUUUAUUGGAAGUCUUCUAUUUUUAGACCAAUAUAGAAUGUAACCAAGUAAAAUUAUAAAACUUGAGAUUGGUUUAUAAUUUACGCCUAAUUUAAAUUAAAAGGAAAUAACUAGAUUGUGGUUUUUUCCAUUUCUCAUUUAAUCUAGUGUAUUUAAUUUAGAGGAUGUAGAUUUUGUAUAUAUGGAUUUUGGGAAGUUAAAAAUAGCUAAUUUUAUUGGCUAAUUAUGAAGAUAUAAGUUAGAAAAUGAUCUAUAUAUCAUAUACAAAUCUUUGAUAGAUAAGACAAGGAAAUGCCAAUAUCUAAUAUUUCAUUACCUUCAAUUAUAAUCAAUAAUAACAUUGGUGCAAGCAUUAGAAACUAGGAAUUUUCCAGUGUCGUUACAAUGAAGAGAAUCAGAAAAAAUGUUUUCUACAUUAUGAUUUAAAGAGAGAAAGCACACCUUGUCUCUGAAGCAAGAAAGAAACAGUAGGAGCUUGGUGUUAAUUUCCUGCCUCCAUUACUGAUGUGUUUUUUCAGCUUGGAGGGUGGGCAUUGCUUUAAAGGGUUUUAUUGCAAAUGAUUCAUAAAACACAAGCAGCUUACUGGGAUUACAUGUACUAACUGCCAUUCAUCAUCUCAAAUACUAUUAACUUCUAAUGAAUGAGACAAAAUCUUGAAUAUUGAUAAAGGGCAUUUGAAAAUGCUGGUCUUACAACCUUCUUUACCAUCUAUUGAUGUGUGUGACAUUAAAUGUCACCAAAAUAGUAAGUAGUAAUUUAUAUUUGAAUGUGUGUUAAUUAGACAUUCAAAGAUAGACUCAAAUCAAUAUCUAUCAGUAAUUUAUAUUAUUUUUCUGGUCUACCAAUCAGGGUUGAUUCAAACAUGUAGAAACUAGAGCUACAGAAUCAAGGUUCAAGUUGUCCAUUUUUGAAAUGGUAAACCGUUGAUGUCCUUCAUGAUCAAGUUAACAAUAGGUAAGUGUAAUGGCCAAACAGGUUCUUAACUUCUAGAAGCAUAAUCUUUAUAAAUUUCAGAUGGCAUAGGAAAGAGAAAAGACAAAAAAAGAAAAAGAAAAAUGACACCAAAAAGAUUUAAAAUGGAGGAAAAAAAAAAGAGGCAGCAAAUCCAGUUACCUUAUUGAUAAUAAGCUCUGCAUGUUUCACAAGCAGCAAUAGUGUGUCACCUGAAGUAGUACCAAUAGUGGCAGUGCAGCUCAUUUUUAUCAUACAAUAUAUUUCAAGACAUAAAUCAAUUAUCCCAUGCUCAUGAAAGGUCAAAGACCACUUACCCAUCAUCACAUGCAAUCAGAAUUAAUACCUGAGAGUCAACUAUUAAGCGAACCAUGGGCAGAACUAUUAGUCACAUCACUAAAUUUCGACGUUUUGUACUGAUAAGCCAAGAAAAGAGGAGUUAGUUAUUGAUCUCACGAGAUGAAGCCCACUUGUUAUUUGUUAGCUUUAUUGUUAUUGGUUUGUUAUUUUACCAACUGUAUUUUAGUUGUACCAGUUGUUAUUACAGCCUGUCUCCAUCUGUUGUAACAGAGUUCUUUGAACAAUAUAUAUAUUCAAUUUCUCUCUCUUGCUUCAAAAACAAAGAGAGCAGAGUUUCAGUUUCAUCUUUUCUAUCUUGUUAUCAGAGCUCAUGUUCCAGAUGUGAUUUUUCUUUUCUUUCUCACUUUCUCUCUGUUUCUCUCUAUCCAAACAUGGCCUCUACUUCGACACAAUCUUCUUCUUCCUCUAGUUCGAUCAGAUCUGGACAAAGCUCAACAAUGACGUCCAUUCCUUCCUAUCAGAUGCUUAAUCACACUCUGGCUGUGAAACUUGAUUAGACGAAUUACAUCCUAUGGAGAUCUCAGAUUGAUAAUGUCGUUUUUGCUAAUGGCUUUGAGGAUUUCAUUGAUGGAACCUCUAUCUGUCCGGAGAAAGAUCUGAGUCUAGGAGUGACCAAUCCAGCUUUUGAUGCUUGGAGGAGACAAGAUUGAACAAUCCUCAGCUGGAUUUACUCAUCACUCACACCAAGUAUCAUGGCAUAGAUCAUAGGCCAUAAUACUUCUCACUCUGCUUGGAAUGCCUUGGAAAUUAUUAUUUUUCAUCUUCUUCAAGAGCUAUGAUAAUGCAACUCAAACUCGAAUUACAAUCCACAAAGAAAGGAUCAAUGUUGAUGAUAGACUACAUAAUGAAGAUCAAAGGAGCUGCUGAUAAUCUAGCUGCUAUUGGAGAACCUAGCUCAAAACAAGAUCAGGUUAUGAAUCUUCUUGGAGGUCUUGGAUCCGACUACAAUGCUGUUGUUACUGCUAUCAACAUUAGAGAUGAUAAGAUCUCUCUUGAAGCUAUACAUAGUAUGCUAUUAGCCUUUGAGCAUCGUCUUGAGCAACAAAGCUCGAUUGAACAAAUGUCUGCCAAUUAUGUCUCUUCCUCUAAUAACAGAGGUGGUGGAAGGAAGUUUAAUGGAGGUCGUGGACAAGGCUACGCUCCAAAUAACAAUAAUUACACCUACAGAGGUCGUGGACGUGGAGGUAGAAAUAGACAAGGUGGAAGACAAAAUUCCAGUCUAAAUGAGAAACCUCAAUGUCAGUUAUGUGGUAAGUUUGGCCACACUGCUCAGAUCUGUUAUCACAGGUUUGAUAUCUCUUUUCAAGGUGGUCAGAUUACUACUUCUCCUUCUUUGAAUAAUGGGAAUCAAAACAAUAUACCUGCUAUGGUUGCUUCUUUUUCUAAUAGUCCUGUAGAUGAGAGUUGGUAUUUGGAUUCUGGAGCAAGUCACCAUCUGACUCAGAAUUUGGGAAAUCUAACCAGUACUUCACCAUACAUAGGAACAGAUAGAGUCACUAUUGGUAAUGGUAAGCAUCUUUCCAUAUCCAAUAUUGGCUCUAAACAACUUCAUUCUCAUACACAUUCUUUUCAACUCGAGAAGGUGUUUCAUGUUCCCUUUAUCUCAGCUAAUUUGAUUAGUGUAGCUAAGUUCUGCUCAGAUAAUAAUGCCUUGAUUGAGUUUCAUUCUAAUGUUUUCUUUGUGAAGGAUCGACAUACGAAGAUGGUUCUUGCUUAAGGCAAGCUUGAACAUGGGCUUUACAAGUUUCUUGUGUUCAGCAACAAGAAACCUUAUAGUAGUAUUAAUAAUGCUUCUGCUUUUCAUUCCCAUUUUUCUAGUACUGUUGAAAAUAAAGCAGAGUUAUGGCACAAUAGACUAGGUCAUGCUGCUUCUGACAUUGUUUCAAAAGUCAUGAAUACUUGUAAUGUUGCUUCUGGGAAAUAUAAAUCUACUGUUUGUUCUGAUUGUUAGUUAGCUAAAAGUCAUACACUAUUGUAGACCCUCAAUUUUGUCCCUUUAACACAUGUCUUUAAAAUUCGUUUUCAAUGCUUCACAAUAGUUCCUUGGUGGCCCAUAGCUACUCAUACCACUUACCCUUUUUUGAGCCACCUCGGAGAUUUUGGUUGAGGGAUUAUUUGAUCCCUUAUUGUGACCCUUGGCAGCCCUAAUUUAGACUUAGACUUUUCUUAUUUUUUUAGGAUAGCUUUUAGAUACACUUGGCCCUUUAGGCACCACCUUAGGCCUACUUAGUCUCACCUUAGGCCCGUUUAGGUAUACUGGGUCUAUUAAGAUUUUUUUUUUAGCGUGACUUAUAUGACUUGCAUGUUUGCAUGGCUCAUAGGGCCCAUUUUUUGUUAAUUUGUUUAUUUUUAUUUUAUUUUAUUUUAUUUUCCUCUUUAUAUUAUUUUCCCUAACUUAUUUAUUUAUUUAUUAUUUUUACCAUUUUCUAAUUUAUUUACUUAUUUAUCUAUUCAUGCAAUUAUUUAACUUCUAAAAUUUCAUGUUUUUUUGCAAGGAAACUUACCAUUGGAGUUUAAGGAAAGUGGGACUCUCCUUGGAAGGUUUUGGAGGAGAAUUUGAAGUUAGGAAGAUUGCUUUUGAAUUGAAAGAUUUAAAAAAGGAUAAGGAGAAAAGAAGAGAGAAAAUAGGAGAUUUGGCCUUUUUUUUUAGGGAGAUUUAGGUUUUAGGGAAGGAGAUAUAUAUACGUGAGAGAGGAAAAAAAAAAGGGAGGAGGGGAAAAGCUUUUUUUUAUUGAGGGAGGAGAUUCUUCUUGGAGCAGCACACAUUGGAGGAUUCUUGGCGGAACAGCACACAAGAACGAGAAAAUGGUGAUUGCAGCCAAGAUUGUCCAGGUACGCUUCUAGUUACUCUCGAUGUUUUUAUCCAUAUUCAAUCUCUCCAUUUGGUUGUUUAUGAAAAUUCAAUGUAUUGUUGAUUGGUGUGGACGAAAAGGGCGACAAUUUGUUUUGUUGAGAUUGGUUGCUUGCUUGUUUGCCUUGUUUAAUUUUUGGUGUCAUUGAUGUCUUCGGAAGUAUAUAACUCUAUGCUUGAAUGUGAUCACGUUCUGUUUUUCGACUGAAUUGUUUUGCAUUUUUUUUCCUCUGUUCUUAGCCCAUGGAUUAACACAUGAAGUGGGGGCUAUCUAUGUUUAUGGAUCAACACUUUCGGUUUUGGUUUUUUUUUUUAAUUUUUUAAGUUUUACUUCAAUUUUAUUUUAUCUAUAUUCUUUUUCCCGCAUUGGUGUUCGAACCCUUGCUUUUGUAUUUGGGAGUAGGUUGAGGAAUGAAUGAUGUGAGUGUUGAUACGCAGGAUGAAUCGUGUAGUAAUCCCACUCGAAUAUUUGAUAACUGAUUCUGAGAAUCUCAGUUCCCGGAGUUAUCUGCAAGCGUAUCUCCCAAACGUUUCUGUCCGCAAGAAUAGUGGUCUCAGAGAAAACAGUUUGACUUGUAGAGCAGAGGCAAAGAGGCUUACUGCAUCUUGUCGGUUCCCACUAUAAAGAACAGAGUAGUUGAAUAGCUUCAAUUCCUUGGAGAAAAUUCAACCCAUCUAUCAGGCCACCCAGAUUCGUCAUGCCAAUUUGCUACUAGAAUUGUGUCGGACGCAUGAAAAGCUGAAGAUUGAAAUUCGAAACCCUAGCCUCACCCGAGCCAUUCUGCAAACCAUCGUAUUGCGGAUUUGGGGCUGAGGCGGUUGAAGCCGGAUGUAGGUGUCAAUGGCGGCAGUGGAAUUAAUGCAAAUAAGGGAGAUGUGAUUUUUGAGGAAACGGGGUUCGUGUGUUUGAGGAAUGUAGCUUCAGAAUCUCCAGAUAUUUUGAUGCUCUGUGUUGGAAUAUUCAGAGGUAGUUUCAAUGGAUCAAAAAUCUGAUACAGGUAUAGCAAUUACUUUGAGAAACGAAUAGAAGGGAGAAUUCUCUUCUUCUUGGACUGUUGAAUUUCCUGAACAAGCACCCCUUUUGCAGUACUUGAUGUCUCCAAGUCCAUCUGAUCGUCCAAUUUUGAGCCUUUCAUGUGAUGAUCCCGGUUCAUAGAACAAGGAAAAUUCUGAAACUUGCUGAUUAUUUGUGGAAAAAUCAGGGAUUGAAGUUCCACUCAAGCUAUUGCCAUGACUUAACCUCACCCAGUUUUCUGCAGUAAUGUCUAUUGUUCUACAUAAUAUCUUGGUCUAUAGAAGGCUUCACUCAACAUCAGCCUGCCCCGCCAGUCAUUAGUAUUGCGAAGAACUGGACAGUUUCACAUUUGUACAUGGUUAUAUUGAGCCUGUGAUGAUAAUUUUUCAUGAGAGGGAGUUUACUUGAGUUGGGCUGUCUCAUGAAAGCAUCAUACUUGCAUGAUUCCUGCGCUUAGUAUUAGUACAACUUUGGAGCAGCAUCCUCUCAUAUGGUUUGCUAUUAAUCUCCCACAUAAUGCUUACAAGCUUCUUCCAGUGCCUCCUCCAAUUGAUAGCAGCCAAGAGAUACCCAAGUCAAAUUUUUAGUGUGGAGCUUGAUGAUGCCAAUGCAACUUGGUUAUCAAAUGAUAUGGCUAUGCUGUAAACGAAAACAGGAGAGUUACCUUUUUGCUGACACUGGUUUGUGAUGGACGGGUUGUUUACAGACUCGGUCCUUUAAAGUCUAGGGCAUCAGUGUUUACUUCGGGAAUUGCUGCUAUUGGAAGUUCAUUAUCUUUUCUAGGCAGUCAGUUGGGAGAUAGUUUGCUUGUGCAAUUUACUUCCAUACCGUCUUCUAGUGUGGAGAAAAAGGUUGGAAAUAUUGAAGGUGAUGUGCCUUCAGCAAAGCGAUCGCGCAGGUCCUCUUCUGAUGCUUUGCAAGAUAUGGUCAAUGGUGAUAAGCUGCCAUUGUAUGGUUUGGCUCCAAAUAGCACAGAAACAUCACAGAAGACAUUUUCAUUUUCAGUGAGUGAUUCACUCAUCAAUGUUGGUCCGUUGAAAGACUUCUAUGGUCUCCGAAUUAAUGCUGACCUAAAAGCAACUGGCAUUGUUAAACAAAGUAAUUAUGAACUGAUGUGUUGCUCGGGUCAUGGAAAGAAUGGUGCUCUCUGUAUUCUGCAACAAUCAAUUCGUCCAGAAGGGAUCACUGAGGUUGAACUUCCUGGUUGCAAAAGAAUUUGGACAGUUUAUCACAAAAACACACGUGGUCAUAAGGCUGAUUCUACCAAGAUGGUUACUAAGGAUGAUGAGUAUUGUGCGUACUUGAUUAUAAGCCCGGAAUCUAGAACGAUGGUACUAGAAACAGUUGAACUUCUUGAUGAAAAUGACUUUGCUCUGUCUGUGGCAAUGGAUCUAGCUGCAAGUGUUUCUGCCAUAGAACAGACUUCUAGGGCCGCUUCUGUUAGUUUCAUGCGUAAAUUUCUGUAUAAAAUAUCUGGGCAGGAAUUAGCAAUAAUGGGCAUUUUGAAAAUGCUGAGAUCGCUAGAAUGCGCUGUUUAGUAGCACUUGGUAAACUGGUCAAACAAGGAUCAGAGCACUGCCUUAGAUCUGAAAAUGGAAUUCAUCACCUUAGAAAAGCUCUUCACAUGUUCCUUAAACAAUGUUUUGAUGAGGAAUCUUCUCGGUUAUUCUUUACUAUUCUCUCACAAAGGGGAAGAUGCUCAUAAUGCUAGUAGAUGCUGUAUUGUAGACCCCUCCCAUUCUCCCAAUAAAGAGAGUUCAAAAUCAGCAUUUAAGAUCCUUGGUGCUAGAGCAGUUGUUUAUUUUGCCAGUGGCAGUGAGCAACCAGAAAUUCUCUUUCCCAACAUGCAAAUACUGGUGCAUGAGUAGACCAGAGGCAAUACCACAGCUACAGAAGUGUUUACAUAGAGAGUCUUGGAACCAUAAUGCGCGUUACUUGUUGAUACUUAAUUUUCUACAGAAGGCACAUGAAGAGGGAUUUCUAAGACAUUUUUGUAUUGUAAUUGGACAGCUAAAUUUUGUGGUUAAUCCCAAUCACUUAUAUUUAAAGAAUGAUACAUGUUGCCAACAUCGAAAAUUCCAGUUGCUACUUUGUGCCUCGGAAAUCAGCUCGCAAGGUGGUGAUUGUCAUAGCUAUGUCAACCAUGCUAAAAAUGCUUACUAGCACAAAUACCGAGGACAUCCCACCAAACUGCUUUGAUAAAUUCAGUGUAGAAAUGAAUGAGAAACAUAAUGUGAAUUUUCUGAAGCUUGAUGGUCUAGUGCAGGGAAGAAAGUUGUUUCUUGCCAGCUUGUAGCUUAUCAAACGAAUCCUUCUCAAGUACUUUUGACCGUUUCCUCCUAAGACCGAGGUUCCAGAUGUGCCCUGUUCGCGAAGUUACUUCUCAAGCAUUCAGUCUCAUAUGGAUUUAGAGGAGAAAUAAUUGUCGUAUUCUUGGUAUGCAUUUUAUCGUGUUUCUGAAAUAGACUUGCUGAAUAUAAAGGGUUACCAUAUACUCCUUGAAGGAAUUGGGGAAAAUAUUGGGUGGAGGUUCUCACUCUGAUGCAGGGAAUUCUUGUAAUCAUUCACAAAGAAUCAGUGGUCAAAUUAUGAGUGACUCAUAUGAAGAAGUGGACUCCUAAUGAUUCCGAGAAAUUGGAUUUUGAUAACCAGCUUCAGAAACCAUAAAAUAUAUAUGAUGUUGGGUCAAGUGUUGACAAAGAAACUUCCAUUGGAUUCAAUAUCCUUAGAAUAGAGAGAAUAGAGAGCUUUUGGGCAUAGGAUGUCACCACUGUGGCCGUUACGAGAGCCACAUUCUACAGACGGGCUGAGGCAUUCAGGCAUCAGUACAUUUAUUUCAGAUCAUUCAGAAGGGUACCCUACUGUCAGUAGGUUGUCAGCAAAUGCAAGUUCUUCUCUGGCCGGGACAGGCUUUAGACCACUGAUGGGGUCAUCUCAUGCUGGAGCAUCAGAUUUUGGGCUUUUGACAAAUGCUAGUUCAGGGUCUACUACUGGUACUGCUGGACAACAAUGGCUUGUAGGAGCUGCAUCACUAUCUAAACAGUCACCAAUGCACCAGCCAGAACAUCUACAAGUUCAUUCUUUGCCGCUCCCGAUAUAAAAGCCUUUCAAUAUAUUCAAGACAGUUCAACGUAAGGUCUCAUACAAAGAAAGGCACAUCCCCAGAAACUCUUUCUGCCCACUCAGUUUCCAUUUUGGGUACAAUUUCAAAGAGUGUAAGAUCAUGAUUCAAGCAGCAGACUCAAAUGGCGAUGAAGCCAAGAAAGCUCUACAGGAAUCUCAUAAAAUAGUACAUGGUGCUCUCUAUGUUAUUUGGAAGAGAGAAAGGGGACCGGGGUUCUUUAAGAAAUUGCAAGCUUAGAUCCUGAAAACCAUACUAAGCCCAGCAUUUCUUUUGAUGAUCAAGAAGAAAAUUGCAGCAGGCAUUUGAGUACUAAUACUUGCAGCCUCCCCCAACUAAGCAAGAGCUGGAAUUGUCACUUCCUUUUAGUUUCCACUGCCACCCAUGAUUAAAUAGAGCCCUCAAGCUCUCUUCUAGAAGUGUCUUUGAUAUCAAAUGCCCACCAGAAUCCCCAUUCAGUAACUGCUUUAAUGUGACCUCAUGGAUCAAAGAAGGGAUUGAAUGCAAUGGGAAGCCCUGAUGCCACUAUUUGAUUUGUUGGAAACAUGGACGAGACAGCUGUAUCAGAAUCAACUACAGGGAAAGAUGUCAUGGACUCUGCUGUCAUUGCUCGCCUUAUUGAAAUUUUAAAGACCCCAUCCCCAAAUUUGCAGAGAAAAGCAUCUUCUAUCCUUGAGUUCCUGACAAUUAUUGAGCAACACUUGAACACAAUCCUCUCAGCAGACAUUGAAUCUGGUUUGGAAGCUGUUUUCCAACAGAAGAUUUUGGACGAUACAGAAUCUGAUAUGGAUGAUCUGGAGCUUACAUUCAGGAGUGGGAAAACUUGUGGUUAAGGUUUGUAUAGGAUUUAGUCUGGUAAUAUAAGAACAAGAGGAAAGCAAUCCAGCGGAUCAUCGAACAUUUGGUGACUCAUUGAAACUGACAUGCAUGGAGCAUGUCUUUAGAUUAGAAAAGACUGCAGAGUUUUGGCUCUCCAUGACUCCAUCUUCAUCAUUGGAAACCAGUCCAUAAGAAAGAGAAAAGCAGAUCAGAACUCCAGCUUUCCAGUGUGUAGAAAAGGACAGAAUGGCAGAUGCAGUCGCUGAAGAAAUGUUGAUUCAAAUUGAAUUCUGCUUAAUACAGGAUCGGGCAGCCCACUGUCAAUCCCAUGAAAAACUGGUAUGUAUCCUUAAGAAAUAAGCCACGCAUUGGGGAAAGUGGGGGGUGCAAGUUUGAUUCCAAAAAGGUGCAGCCGCACCAUGGAAUUGCAUAUAGACAUAGCAAGCUCUACUCCCUCUUGGCCACCUUGCCACACAUCAUACUCCCAAUGAUUCUUCUUCUUUUUUGUGAUCUUAUACACUUUAAAUUUGGAUUUCAAAAUCCUUUUCAUUAAAACAAUUUCAGUUUUCUUCAAAUUCCAUCCUUAGGGAUUUUUAGGCAUAAAAUUUAGAUUUCAAUGAUCUUUUGCUACCACUUUCCUUCAGGCAUGCAUUUUCAUUAUUUUCUUUUAUUUUUCAUGGUUUUCUCGAUUUUCAACAAGCAUGAAUAAACUUCAUAAUUCCAAAUCAUGGAAUUUAUGCAAUCAACUCAUGCGAAAUUAGUUAGGGCUUUGGUGGGGGCCCGACAUUUAUGAUAUUAUCUUCAAUAUUGUUUGCUUGAUAUCUGAUUGAUUUUUUAUUCUUCUUGAUGAAAUACUUGAAUUCACUUAAUAUUUAUUGUUGAGAUGCUCUUGUUUCCCAUAGAGGAAUACUAGCUUGCUAUCCAGGUACGCUCUCUUCUCAUCUAUUUUUUUAGAACUCUAUGGACUUGUAUGUCAUUAAUGACCAUUUCCAUAUUUGACGUGAUUCUUGAAUGUCUUGAUAUAUGCCUGAUUUGCUUGAAUAAAACAAAUGUUGUGUGAUGUAUCUCCAAACUAAUCUCUUAUGUUUUAUGAUAGUGCUUGGGAAGCCGUCCAGGUACGCAUUUUUAACUCUCUUUAAUUGUGAUUUGAUCUUGUUUGAUAUGUUAUGUUUUUGGAAUCACCUAGCCUACUUAGGUAUCCAUGAUCGACCAUUUAAUUGCCACGCUUCCCUUAACUUAGUCAGUAGAGAUCUCUUUAGGGCUUAGAGGGGUGCUACCUCCUAGAGGUACCUUCCCAAUUAGUAACCUGAUCCCCGGACCUAGACUCGGGUUUCUCAAAGACAUGCUUUUUUCCAAAACUAUGGAGUCACUUUUUAGGGUUUUUCUUUCUUGUUUUAUUUUCCCUUUAAAAUAAAAAUAAAAUAGGUGGCGACUCCAACUUUUUUUUAAAAUUAAUUUUUCACAAAUAAAAAGCGAGUCUCGCCGAUCGAGUGGGGACGCACAUGAAAAAUGCGGGUCCACAACUACCCACCCAGUUCUCAAAUUUUCGUGCAUCUAAACCUUUAGAACUUGUUUAUACUGAUAUUUGAGGACUUGCCUCAGUUAAAUCUACAUCUGGAGCGAAAUAUUUCAUUCUUUUUGUAGAUGAUUAUUCCAGGCACACUUGGUUUUAUUCAUUACAAACAAAGGAUCAGGCCUUUCCUAUCUUUAAGCGAUUCAAGCUUCAAAUGGAGAAUCAGUUUGACACGAAAAUCAAGUGCUUAUAGUUUGAUAAUGGUGGAGAAUUUUGAUCUUUUAUGUCUUUUCUUCAAGUAGUUGGUAUUGCCCAUCGAUUCUCCUGUCCAUACAACUCAACUCAAAAUGGUAAAGUUGAGUGGAAGCACAAACACGUAGUUGAGACUGGGUUGGCUUUGUUAUCUCAUGCUUCCUUGCCAAUGAAGUACUGGCACUACGUUUUUUCAAACAGUAACUUUUCUUAUCAAUCAAAUGCUAAGCAAAGUUCUCGAGUAUGAUUCUCCUUACUUCACUCUUUUUAGAAGGCAUCCUGAUUAUAAAUCUCUUCGUGUGUUUGGCUGCCUCUGUUAUCCUUUCAUUCGGCCAUACAACACUCAUAAAUUACAGUAUAGAUUUGUCCAAUGUCUUUUGCUUGGCUAUAGUUUGAAUCACAAGGGGUUUUUAUGUCUUGAUUAUGCAACUGGAAGAGUCUAUAUUACUCCCCACGUGGUCUUUGAUGAAUCAACUUUCCCACUUGCUCAGUCCAAGUCUUCCAUUUUGUCUAAUGAUACUUCAGCAGAAGGCUUUACCCUUGCCAUUAUAGCUCUUACUUUUUUUCCUACUUCAUGUCUUCUCCUAGAUUCAAAUAUCAGUCAUAGUUCCAUAGAUUCUCAUUCUCUAUCCACAAGUGAAAGUCCUAUUCCUACAGACUCUUCUUCACUUCUGGACACAUCUAGUUUUUCUCCUGCUACAGAUUUGCCACCUGAAUCUGUUCCAGAACCUCAAGUCACUACUCCUGCUCUACGAAUGACAACAAGGUCCAUGAAGGUAUAACCAAGAAAAAGACCAUUCUUGAUCUCUCUGCCAUAAAGGUUUCAGAACCAUCUACUCUCAAACAGGCCUUCAAAGAUCCAAAUUGGACUAAAGCUAUGGAAAUGGAGAUUGCUGCUCUUCAUCGAAACCAUACUUGGGAUCUUGUUAAACAACCACCCGAUGUCAAUGUGAUUGGUUCUAAGUGGGCGUAUAAACUGAAACAUAAGCCAGAUGGGAGUAUAGAGAGGUAUAAAGCCAGGCUUGUGGCAAAAGGAUAUAAUCAGACUCAUUGUCUAGACUAUUUUGAGACCUUUAGUCUAGUAGUUAAGGCUAUCACUAUUCGCAUCAUACUUAUUGUUGCUCUCAGUUUUAAGUGGGAAAUUCGGCAACUUGAUGUCCACAAUGCCUUCCUCAAUGAUGAGUUAGAAGAACAAAUCUAUAUGUCUCAACCUCUUGGAUACUUCGACACUCAAUUCCCAAAUAGAGUGUGUAGAUUGAAGAAGGCUUUAUAUGGCUUGAAACAAGCCCCAUGAGCUUGGUUUCAAAGACUCAGCUCAGCUCUUCUUUAGUGGGGAUUCAGUUUGUCUCGGAUUGAUAGUUCUAUGUUUCUACACUGUGGUCAGGCCACUACUUUGAUAGUUCUUGUCUAUGUUGAUGAUAUAAUCAUAACAGGCAGCUCCUCCACACAGAUUUCUUCUCUCAUAGCUAAACUUGAUUCAAUUUUUGCCUUACGAGACUUGGGUCAACUCUCAUUCUUUCUCGGUAUAAAGGUUUCUUACAAUGAAGGCUCUAUGAAUUUGAGCCAAACCAAAUACAUUUCAGAUCUGCUUCAUAAAGUUGAAAUGUUUGAUACCAAACCGGCAAAAACACCCAGUACUGUUGGGAAGAACUUGUCUAAAUUUGAUGGAGAUCCUAUGGCAGAUGUUACUCAUUAUUGAAGUGUAGUAGGGGCACUUCAGUAUGUUACCUUGACAAGACCUGAUAUAGCCUUUGUUGUCAAUAAGGCAUGCCAAGUUAUGCAACAACCAACCACAGCUCACUGGCUCUCAGUCAAACGAAUACUUCGGUAUCUAAGAGGAACAAUGCAAGAUGGGCUCUUGUUAAGUCCUUCAAGCAACUUGACAACAGAGGGAUUCACAGAUGCAGAUUGGGGUGCUCACCUUGAUGAUAGGCGCAGCUCAAGUGGAUAUCUCAUUUAUCUAGGAGGUAACUUAGUCUCUUAGUCCUCUACCAAACAAAAAGUAGUGUCUCACAGCAGUGCAGAGUCUGAGUAUCGUGGCCUUGUUUUUGCUACUGCUAAGAUUGUUUAGAUGCAAGCCUUAUUUCAAGAGCUAUGUGUGCCAAAACCUACAAUACCUCUACUUUGGUAUGAUAAUAUCAAUGCUUACCAUAUGGCAAAGAACCCUGUGUUUCAUGCUAGAACUAAACACACAGAAAUAGACCUUCAUUUUAUAUGAGAUCAAGUCAUGAGAGGAAAGAUACAACUGCACUUUGUUCCCACUGAAGAGCAGCCAGUAGAUUUAUUGACUAAGCAUCUCACAAGUUCAAGGUUUUUGUCCCUCAAAUCUCAACUUUGUAUAGCUCCAAGACCUUUUCACUUGAGGGGGGAUGAUAAGCCAAGAAAAGAGGAAUUAGUUACUGAUCUCACGAGAUGAAGCCCACUUGUUAUUUGUUAGCUUUAUUGUUAUUGGUUUGUUAUUUUAUCAACUGUAUUUUAGUUGUACCAGCUGUUAUUACAACAUGUCUCCAUCUGUUGUAACAAAGUUCUUUGAACAAUAUAUAUAUUCAAUUUCUCUCUCUUGCUUCAAAAACAAAGAGAGCAGAGUUUCAGUUUCAUCUUUUCUAUCUCGUAUAAACAGGUGGAAUUUGGAAGCGCCUUCAAAAGAAAUCAAUCGAGAGGUUGAGAAAAAUUAAAGAAAAAAAAAGAAAGAAAGAAAUACGACAGAUCAGGGAAAGGAUCGAAGAGCCUAAAACUCAGUUUUGAUUGUUCUACAUUUUCCGAUAAAUUGAUGAAGUGCAAGUCAAGUAAAGAGAACCGAACAAGUAGCGAAACUUAAAACUGAAAAACAUCCAAUUUUCAUUUCAUUUUCUUACAUUUUCUCAUAAACCAGAGGAGGUGAGCCACUAUGCAAUUCUUCCUUUUUUCAAUUCUCUUUAUUUUGAAUUAACGAAGCCGAAGCUAAGUAGAAAUCAAGAAAUAAGAAGCGAAAAGUCUUGAGAGUGAAAGUUCUUCGAUCUUGGCUCAAUUUUCCUCAUUUUUCUUGGCAACCAAACAGAGAAGAGACAUACUUGUUUCCACAAUCUAGAGCUUUCCACGGCUGGAGAAGACGACCACGAUAACAUUGACAUUGCAGAGAACAGAGAGCUGACGAGGAUUCUUGAUCUAGCCAUUUCGCCUCUUGGAGAAGGUCACUUGGCGACUGCUCGUCUUCGAUUCGCUUCAUCCCGACCAUAACUCAAAGAGAGAGAGAAAAGAAGACUUCCUACAAUUCUGAUCCCUCUUGCUCCAGUUGUGGGAUCCUUGCUCUUAACCCCCUUUUGAACAUGAGUGGAAACAAAGCUGUGGGCUGUGCAACGAGAAUUAAAUCAUCCUUCUAUUUUUUAUGUUCAAAAAAUAUAAAGCUAGAGAAAUAAAGUGAAAGAAAGUAAAAAAUAAUAAUAAUUAAAAUUCAUAAAUAAAUAUUUAAUAAUCUUAAUAACUUUGAAAUAAUAAGAAAAAUUUGUGAAGAAUAUUUUGAAAAGAAAAAAGUUUUCAAAAAGAACAUUUAGAAAAAAUAUUUAUUUUCCUUUUUUAUAUAAAUAAAUAUAAAUGGAUUGAGAAGAACUUAAAAUAAUUUUAAUGUAAAGUUAAUUUUAGAUCAUUUUAAUAAGUUGGUAUUAGAUUAAAGUAUUUUAUUUAAUUGAAUGUAUCCAAUUUAUAAUUUAUAGGUUUUCUACUAAUUUUAGAAAAUACAAAUCAUUGAGAAAAAAAUUUAUAUACUUUUACAAAAAUAUAAUUUUCAUAUUCUUACAUCACAUUUUGGGGGUCGUAAAGAUAUUCUAGAAAAUAGAUCUUUUAUUGUAGUUUUAAGUUUUAGAAAUUAGUUUUGUAAGGUUUAAUUAUGAUUCAAUCACUUGAUCUCAAAGAAUAAAUAAUCAGGCAUGAUUAAGUAUUUUUCAAAUUCCGCUAGCUAACGUGUCAAAAUCUUAUGGACACUGCAGCGAAUCGCAGUGCACCACCAUGCAGAGGAUCCAGGUCCUUACCCAAACUUUUGAAUUAAUCUUACGUGUCAAAAUCUCAUGCACACUGUGGGAAAUUGCAGUGCACCGCAUCACAGAGGAUCCAGGCCCUCAUCCACACUUUUGAAUCCAAGCGUUUCCCGCGUCUAUAAAUAGCGAAGCAUGAACUUCUCAGAGCUCCGUUUGUGUUGUUUCUGAGGAGUGAGGAUUGAGAUUUGAAGAGGACAAAAUGGGGAAGCGAAUGAGAAGAGAGAAGUCCAUUUGCUGCUGCAAGUCUCCUCUCGCUGGUUUCUCCUGGUACUUGUACUCUCUUCAACUCUGCGAGUUUCUCUCUGAAAUCAGCUCGAAUUUCAUGAAAUUUUGAAUAUUUGGUUUGAAUUCGGCACAUUUAUCUGUAAAUCCAAACUCGAAUUUCCUAGAGCUUUGAAUUCGUAAAUAAUUUGAUGAAACUUCAUGAUAAUGUAAAAUAGUUCCAGGCAAUGAAUAUUUAGUUUGAAUUCUAUCAUAUUUGAUGUAGAAGAAGCUGUCUCUCUCUAUUCUUUCUCAAAAACUCUACCGAUUCCUCUUACAGAUCCACGAGAAUUUCUGUUGGGUUGGGUUAUUUCCUUCUUGUGGAGGAAAGCCCAAAACCCAAACAUUUAAGGCUUCUUAGGCCUUAAUGUAUAAAAGGGAAGAAGAAAUCCUUUUCUCUUUUUCAUCUUCAUCUUUGCAGCCCUAGGAGGAGGAGAGUAAGAAGAAAAAAAAAGAGAAAGUUAGAGAGAAAAAGAAAAAGAGCCACUGAAUUUUUGAAGUUAGAGAGAAGAACAACGCUGAUUUCUUUUCUUUUCUUUACUGUCCAGAUUUCAUCAAACGGUCGAUCCCGCUUCGUGUGUGGUCCGAUCGACCUAAAAUUUGAGGGAGAGAUUUUCAACUCAUUGAUCUCUAAUCUGAACGGUGGAGAUCGGAUUUGGAGUUCCGAAAGGUUGUUGUUUCAGUCCGUGAACAGUGCGUCUUUGUCGCUGAUUUCUUCUCACCCGGGCAGUUCUGAUCUUCAGCUUGAUCGAGAUUAAUCCGUGGUCUGAUCGAGAUGAUUUUUGGUUAGCACGUUCUUAACUCAUUGAUCUUCAUUUUGAACGGUGGAGAUUGGAUUUGGAGUUUGGAACAGUGGUGAUUUAUGUCCGGGAACAUUGACUCUAUUUUGGUGAGAUCUCUCUAUUGUUUUAUGCAAGUUGUUUUGUAUUUGCCAAGACUAAUUGUCUUGAGAUAUGGCUGAUGUAAACCUCUAGUUUCAUCUAGAGAGAAUUGUGUAACCCAUUGAUUAUAUUAGUGGAGGGUUUAAGUGGCCUAAGGGUCCCAUGGUUUUUACUUCUCACAUUUGGGAAGGUUUUCCACGUUAAAAAUUGUUGGUGUUCAUAUUCUUGUUGCAUUGGGUGAAUUGUUGCUACUCUAUUAAAUUGAUUCCUAUUAGGUUCUCACAAGAGGGGAUAAAAUCUGGUUGUGCAUUGUUUGCGUUUAUCCCAUCAAAGUGGUAUCAGAGCUUUGGUUCAAGAUAAUUUGUGCCUUGUGUAGAACAAUGGAAAGCAAUACAAGUAGAAUGAUCACUCUGAAUGGUUCCAAUUAUCAUGUUUGGAAAGGAAAAAUGGAAGACUUAUUGUAUGUGAAGGAUUAUUAUUUGCCUGUGUUUGCUUCUGAAAGGCCAGAAAAUAAAACUGAUGCAGAAUGGAAUUUACUUCAUCGACAGGUUUGCGGUUAUAUCAGACAGUGGGUAGAUGAUAAUGUUCUCAAUCAUGUUAGUGAAGAGAAACAUGCAAAGAGUCUAUGGAAUAAGCUCAAACAGUUAUAUGCUCGAAAGACUGACAAUAAUAAAUUGUUUCUAAUCAAGAAGAUGAUGAGUUUGAAUUAUCAAGAUAGAACUCCUAUGACAGAUCAUUUGAAUACAUUCCAAGGUAUUAUUAAUCAGUUGGCUGGAAUGAAUAUCAAGUUUGAGGAAGAGGUGCAAGGGUUGUGGCUUCUUGGUACAUUGCCGGACUCGUAGGAGACGUUUAGAACUUCUUUGUCUAACUCAGCCCCAGAUGGUAUUAUGAAUAUGGACUUAGUUAAGAGUUGUGUUCUAAAUGAAGAAAUGAGAAGAAAGUCACAGGGCUCUUCUUCAUAGUCAAAUGUCCUAAUUAUUGAGAAGAGGGGGAGGAGUAAGAGUAGAGGUCCGAAGAACAGAGAUAGAAGCAAAAGCAAGACUAACAAGUUUGCCAAUGUUGAGUGCCACUACUGCCAUUUGAAAGGGCAUAUAAAAAAAUAUUGUCGCCAAUUGAAGAGAGAUAUGAAACAAGGGAAAGUGAAGGAAAAGAAGAAUGACAAUGGUGGUGAAGAUGAUCAAGUUGCCACUACUACUUCAGAUUUCUUUAUUGUUUAUGAUAUUGAUGUUGUUAAUUUUGCUUGCCAGGAAACCAGUUGGGUGAUUGACAGUGGUGCCUCCAUCCAUGCUACACCUCGGAAGGAUUUCUUUACAUCCUACACAUCCGGUGAUUUUGGAAGUGUUAGGAUGGGUAAUGAUGGCUCAGCUAAAGCCAUUGGUAUGGGAGAUGUACGUUUGGAGACUAGUAAUGGUACUAUGUUGACUUUGAAGAAUGUUAAACACAUUCCGGAUAUUCGCAUGAAUUUAAUCUCCACAGGAAAGCUUGAUGAUGAAGGGUUCUGCAACACCUUCCGUGAUAGUCAGUGGAAGCUCACUAGAGGUUCUAUGGUGAUAGCAAAAGGAAAUAAGAGUUCCUCAUUGUAUUUGAUGCAGGCAAAGGUAAUUGAUUCCAGUAUCAAUGCAGUGGAUGAUGAUAGUACAUUUGAGCUUUGGCACGACAGGCUUGGUCACAUGAGUGAGAAGGGCUUGAUGAUUUUGGCUAAGAAGAAUCUUCUUUCUGGUAUGAAGAAGGGAUCUUUGAAGAGGUGUGCUCAUUGCUUAGCAGGAAAGCAGACCAAGGUUGCAUUCAAAACACUUCGCCAUACAAGGAAGCCAGGUAUGCUUGAUUUAGUGUAUUCUGAUGUGUAUGGCCCUAUGAAAACAAAAACACUUGGUGGAUCUCUAUAUUUUGUGACUUUUAUAGAUGAUCAUUCAAGAAAGAUUUGGGUUUAUACCUUGAAAACAAAAGACCAAGUGUUAGACAUGUUUAAGCAGUUUCAUGCGCUUGUUGAAAGACAAUCUGGUGAAAAGUUGAAAUGUAUCCGGACUGAUAAUGGGGGUGAGUAUUCUGGUCCUUUUAACGAGUAUUGUAGACAACAUGGUAUUCGACAUCAAAAGACACCUCCUAAGACUCCUCAGUUGAAUGGGUUGGCUGAGAGAAUGAAUAGGACACUGGUUGAAAGAGUAAGAUGCUUACUUUCGCAGUCACAGUUGCCAAGAUCUUUUUGGGGUGAGGCUUUGAAUACUGUUGUACAUGUUCUCAAUCUUACACCAUGUGUUCCUUUAGAAUUUGAUGUUCCGGAUAGAAUUUGGUCAAAUAAUGAAAUCUCUUAUGAUCACUUGCGUGUCUUUGGAUGCAAGGCUUUUGUGCAUAUUCCCAAAGAUGAGAGAUCUAAGCUUGAUGCUAAGACAAGACCUUGUGUAUUUAUUGGCUAUGGUCAGGAUGAGCUUGGUUACAGGUUUUAUGAUCCGGUGCAGAAAAAACUUGUAAGAAGCCGAGAUGUUGUGUUUAUGGAAGACCAUAUUAUACAGGAUAUUGAGAAGACUAAUCCAAUGGAGUCUCAGCAUAGUGGUGAUUUGAUUGAUUUAGAUCCAGCCCCUCUGACAAAUCUUCCUACAUAGGUUGAAGAUGAAGCACAUGAUGACCAACAUGACAUGGGCGAUGUUGAAACACCCACACAGGUUGAAGAUGAAGCACAUGAUGACCAACAUGACAUGGGUGAUGUUGAAACACCCACACAAGUUGAGGUGGAUGAUGAUGUUCAUGAGCAGUCACCAGCAGCAGAGGCUCCAUCAGAUAUUCCACUUAGAAGGUCUACCAGAGACCGACAUCCUUCCACACUGUAUUCUGUUGAUGACUAUGUAUUACUAACUGACGGGGGAGAACCUGAAAGUUAUGUGGAAGCCAUGGAAGAUGAAAAUAAGAUGAAGUGGGUUGAUGCUAUGCAAGAUGAGAUGGAGUCAUUGCAUGAGAACCAUUCUUUUGAGCUUGUCAAGUUGCCAAAGGGAAAAAGAGCUUUGAAGAACAGGUGGGUUUACAGAGUGAAGCAAGAAGAACAUACUUCACAACCUCGUUACAAAGCUAGAUUGGUCGUCAAAGGGUUCAAUAAAAAGAAAGGUAUUGAUUUUGAUGAGAUUUUUUCUCCUGUUGUUAAGAUGUCAUCUAUUCGUGUGGUUUUAGGUUUGGCAGCUAGUCUUGAUUUGGAGAUUCAGCAGAUGGAUGUUAAGACUGCAUUUCUCCAUGGUGAUUUAGACAAAGAAAUUUAUAUGGAACAACCAGAGGGUUUCGUACUAAAAUGGAAAGAGGAUUAUGUGUGUAAGCUGAAGAAAAGUCUUUAUGGCUUGAAGCAAGCACCGAGGCAGUGGUAUAAGAAGUUUGAGUCAGUUAUGGGGGAGCAAGGCUACCGAAAAACUACUUCUGACCAUUGUGUAUUUGUGCAGAAAUUCUCUGAUGAUGAUUUUGUUAUAUUGUUGCUCUAUGUUGAUGAUAUCUUGAUUGUUGGUAGGAAUGUUUCAAGAAUUGAUAACUUGAAGAAGCAGUUAAGCAAAUCCUUUGCCAUGAAGGAUUUAGGGCCAGUAAAGAGAAUUCUUAGCAUCAGAAUUGAGCGGGAUAGAGCAUCCAAGAAGCUAUGUAUGUUACAAGAGCAAUAUAUUGAAAAGAUGCUUGCAAGGUUUAACAUAAGCAAAGCCAAAGUGGUUAGUUCUCCUCUAACUAGUCACUUUAAGCUAAGCAGCAGACAUAGCCCUUCUACAGAUAAGGAGAAGGAAGACAUGAGAAGAGUUCCGUAUGCCUCAACAGUAGGAAGUUUGAUGUAUGCCAUGGUAUGUACUAGACCAGACAUAGCUUAUGCAGUUGGUGUUGUUAGCCGUUUUUUAUCAAAUCCAGGAAGACAUCAUUGGGAAGCAGUCAAGUGGAUUAUGAGAUAUUUACGAGGCACUUCCAAGUUGAAACUCACUUUUGGAAGUAGGAAACCAAUACUUGUUGGAUACACUGAUUCAGACAUGGCAGGGGAUGUGGAUAAUAGAAGGUCUACUUCAGGCUAUUUGAUGACAUUCUCAGGAGGUGCUGUGUCUUGGCAAUCGAGACUACAGAAAUGUGUUGCACUUUCUACAACAGAGGCAGAGUACAUUGCAGCAGCAGAAGCAUGUAAAGAGUUGUUGUGGAUGAAGUGUUUCAUGCAAGAGCUCGGGUUUAAACAACAGCGCUAUGUGGUAUACUGUGAUAACCAAAGUGCUAUUCACCUCAAUAAGAAUUCUACCUAUCAUGCAAGAUCAAAACACAUUGAUGUGAGGUAUCAUUGGAUGAGAGAUGCUCUCAAUGACAACUUGUUUGAAAUUGAGAAGAUACAUACAGAUAACAAUGACUCGGAUAUGUUGACAAAGACACUACCAAGGGAGAAGCUUGGAGUUUGUUGUUCCAUCGCUGGGAUGGUGAGUCCCUCCACAUAGUCAGAAAGGGGGAGAUUUGUUGGGUUGGGUUAUUUCCUUCUUGUGGAGGAAAGCCCAAAGCCCAAACAUUUAAGGCUUCUUAGGCCUUAAUGUAUAAAAGGGAAGAAGAAAUCCUUUUCUCUUUUUCAUCUUCAUCUUUGCAGCCCUAGGAGGAGAGUAAGAAGAAAAAAGAAGAGAAAGUUAGAGAGAAAAAGAAAAAGAGCCACUGAAUUUUUGAAGUUAGAGAGAAGAAAAACGCUGAUUUCUUUUCUUCUCUUUACUGUCCAGAUUUCAUCAAACGACCGAUCCUGCUUCGUGUGUGGUCCGAUCGACCUAAAAUUUGAAGGAGAGAUUUUCAACUCAUUGAUCUAUAAUCUGAACGGUGGAGAUCGGAUUUGGAGUUCCGGAAGGUUGUUGUUUCAGUCCGUGAACAGUGCGUCUUUGUCGCUGAUUUCUUCUCACCCGGGCAGUUCUGAUCUUCAGCUUUGAUCGAGAUUAAUCCGUGGUCUGAUCGAGAUGAUUUUUUGUUAGCACGUUCUUAACUCAUUGAUCUUCAUUUUGAACGGUGGAGAUUGGAUUUGGAGUUUGGAACAGUGGUGAUUUGUGUCCGGGAACAGUGACUCUGUUUUGGUGAGAUCUCUCUAUUGUUUUAUGCAAGUUGUUUUGUAUUUGCCAAGACUAAUUGUCUUGAGAUAUGGCUGAUGUAAACCUCUAGUUUCAUCUAGAGAGAAUUGUGUAACCCAUUGAUUAUAUUAGUGUUGUUGCAUUGGGUGAAUUGUUGGUGUUCAUAUUCUUGUUGCAUUGGGUGAAUUGUUGCUACUCUAUUAAAUUGAUUCCUAUUAGGUUCUCACAAGAGGGGAUAAAAUCUGGUUGUGCAUUGUUUGCGUUUAUCCCAUCAAUUUCAUGAAAAUUUGAAUGAUCAAUUUCAACCUUGAUAAAUCUAUCAAUCGAACUCUCUUUCUCUAAUGUUUUCUUUGGAAAACAAUGCCACUGCAAAUAUGAUUUGAAGUUUGCUCGAGUUUUCAUGAAUAAGCAUAAUCAGAAAAAUGUAAACUAUUACCAGAAACUCUCUCUCCUUCAAGUUUGGUACAUUUAUGGACAACUAUCUCUCACUUCCGAUGCAAUUUGAUGCGAAAAAUCAAUGUGAAUAUGGAUAUCAUUUGAUAUUGUCUUGAACUGUUUUACAUUAUCAUAAUCAGAAGAAUGUGGAAGACUAAAGUCGAAUUUGGAUUUCCUAUACUUAUCCAUUAAUCUUAAUACAGAGGUAAUAUUAAUCUUCACUCAUUAGCACAAUCAGAAGAAUUGUGGAACACUACCAGCAGUUCUCUCUCCCUUGCUUGAGAACUCUAUGAAUUUCUCUGUCAAAUUGCUUGGAUUUUCAUGAAAUCUUGAAUGUUUAUUUUGAAUGCUGUACAUUUCAAAUAAUAAAGUUUAUAAUAAUGGAAACAUUUUUUUUCCUUUUUUUUUAAAUAUAUAUAUUUCACAGCCAAUGAAAGAAGUGAAUUUCUUUUCUGAUUUGGAUCUCUAUACCCUUUACUGUUUUUAUUUUUAUAAAAAUUAAUACUAUAUGAGUCCUAAAUUGAUCCUUCUUUCAUCCAGAUUCGUUGCAACAAUACUGGUCAAAUGUUUCUUUUUUAUUUUGACCUUUUUAUGUGUAUUGCUUUGUAUUGCAUGCAAAAAGGUAUGUAGAAGAUAUAUGGACAGAGAUUGCAAAGCACCUGGAUGGUAAAUCUCUGGUGAUGCUGGGAACAACAAAUAAGUGGUUCCACUGUCUGAUCAUGGAGGACAGUAUAUGGAAGUUUGCUUGUCUGCGUGAUCUCCAGCUACCAGAACCACAACACACAUUCCUCAAUUGGAUCAAGCUUUAUGCUUCUGCUUUUGGUAAUGAGCAGGGUGUUAAACUUUAAAAUAAUAAUGAUGCCAAAUAUUGAAAUAUAAAUGGAAUAAUUUUAAUUAAAUACAAAUUUUGCUAAAAGGAUUUGUUUGAAUCCAUUUUUGGGUAGGCAAUAGGCAAAAUAUAAGAAACUGGAAACUCAACUCUUGAUUUUUCAAGUGCCGAUUCCAAAAAUAUAAUUUGGGAUUGAUGCGGUUGCAGCCUAGUUGUUAUUUUAUACCCGAAUUGCCCUCUCCUUUCCUCCAGCUCAGCUUCCACACCGGAUAAAAAAAAAAAACAAAAAACUGAAAACACUCUCACUUUUCUCUCCCUACCCUGCCCUGCCCUGCCCUGCCUCACACUAACACUGAACAGAAACUCCAUCCUCCAUCUGCUUCUAUCCCUCUUCAAACCCAAAAAUCCAGAAACCCCAACACCUUCCUCGUGUUGAUCUCAAUCUGAAAAACCCAAAUCCCGUCAAAAACGGACCUCUUAUUUUCCCAUAUAUUCCCGGAAUCCCAAGAAUAUGGUGAAACCUAACCCUAACCUCUUCUUGUCACAACUGGACGACGCAGAUCCAAGGGCGUGGGAUACCCAUCAUCAUCGGCUUCUUUACAUGUGCUUCAGUGGCACUGCACUUUCCAAGCUCCUUCCUUUCCAUCUCCCCUCGUCCUCUCUCU
Molecule: long non-coding RNA, 196055 nt
Filed under: Vitis vinifera (wine grape)
Lineage: Eukaryota; Viridiplantae; Streptophyta; Magnoliopsida; Vitales; Vitaceae
Description: long non-coding RNA (VVIN_LNC005213)
Rfam family: Histone 3' UTR stem-loop (bases 81104-81150)
Source: RNAcentral